RNAcentral lists this long non-coding RNA (280800 nucleotides) under Malus domestica (apple). The record is from RNAcentral. Lineage: Eukaryota; Viridiplantae; Streptophyta; Magnoliopsida; Rosales; Rosaceae.
AUGGGGAAAGGCAUCAUGCAUACGUAUCCCUUGGAAUGAAGAUUUCAAAAACAGAAUGUUAUUGUUGGAUGCAAGUGAUGGCAUUGGCAUCGAUGCAUACAUAACACUGAAAAAAGAAGAUAUGGUCAUGAUUGAAACCAACCAGGACCUGCUUGCAUAUGCUUCUCUGCAUUAGACCAUUACUGAAAGGUAAAUCUCGUCUAAUCCUUCUCUAUAAUUACUUAAUAAAUAAAAGGUUUGCUUCCCCAAGUCAUUGGAGAUUCAAACUAUAAAUAUCUUUCAAAUGUCGGGAAAUAAAAUACAAUUAGACUAAGAGCUAGUUGCCAGUGUUCUUGAGCAUUUAGAGUUUGUUUGGAUACUAUGUUGUAACCUUUCGUGAUUUCUUUUGUUGCUUUUGAUUCCACAAUUUCCUUGUUUUGCGUGAACAGUGAGUAAUGUAUUGCUUUUACUAUCGACUUUAUUUUUCUUUCAAUAAAAUGGAUUUGUUUUAUUGCGUAUGCCUAAGAAAAUAUAGAUCCCUAACAAAAGAAAAUGAAAAGAGUGCUGAGAAUGCUUUUCUAUCAACAAAAAAAAAAAAGACAAAUUGACUAAGAAUGCUUUCAAGUAAUUUAAAACAAGGUUACAACACGUGUGAUAAUAUAAUGGACGAUUGGGUUGAUAAAUUCUAUUUUAAGUAGGACUCUUAUAAAACUGGUUCACCGCCACCCGAAAACCCCAAUUAUAUAACAAUGGCCCAAAACCUGCUGGAUAAAAGAGGCACGAUGAAUAAAGGGUAAUGGGAGAAGAUGAGUUGAUGUCGUCUAUUCCACCCCGCCGUGAGGGAGGCAUGCAGGCAAUGGAGGAUCUAAGAUUCGAAACUUGGGUGUCCCAACAUUAAACGUUCACGUUUUUUAAAGAAACAAAGUGCGGAGCGUGUUAAAAAAAUUCAUUUGAUCCAACUGAGGCAUUUUGUCGAACACUUAGUGGGUUUAUUGACGAAACCAGACCAAGUUGUUGCCUAUAUGUCAACAAGUUACGAUAUAUGCUAAAGCAAUCUGAAUAAUGCUAUCAAUAAUAUAUGUCGAGUGAUGUUGAUGUAGUCUGUCGAGAUAUGCGUACAUACCAAACAAUCAAAGGAUCUUCAGAGGAUCUUCAUAUGCGUGUUUUCCACCCUCCGAGUGGUCCUAAGACCACUUUGGUUCCAAUUUACAUCCACCCUUGCGGUGGGUGGAGUUCAAGAAUUCUUGUUGUUGUGUAGCUUUUUUUGCUUAUCCAUUUGUGUAUCUUAUAUUUUGUUUUCUUAAGUAAAUGACUAGGGGUGUGCUAUCCACACACUAUUUUUUACUUCUCACAUAUCCUCUUAAUUUUCGGUCGUUGGAUCAAAUGGAUUGAAGAAUAUCAAAUGACAAAAAUUAAAGGGGUGUGUGGAUAUCACACCCCAAAUGACUAAUGUUGAUGGGGAAAAAUAUGAUUGGCUAAUAACAUUUUGAUGUCAUAUAGUCAUCACAAUCUAAUAAUCUAGUCUCAUCUAAGACUAAUAUAUAGAAGUAAAGAUAAGUAUGUGAAAAACAUCUCAUCGUUAUAAGUUAAAGGGAGCUAAAGUGGUAUUUGAGAUUGGGAUAACUCUCACUUUAGUCCUGAUAAUAAAAAUCGAUAAAAAUGAUCCGGUCAUGAAAAUUAUUUUAUUUUUUCUGGAAAAAAAUCUGUCAAUCUUCUAAUAACUUUUUUAUGUAGUAUUCACCGAAAAGAAGAAGAAGAGGAAAGAAAGAGUUAUGAAACCUUUUUAUGUAGUAUUCACCGGAAAGAAGAAGAAGAAGAAGAAGAAGAAGAAGAAGAAAGAAAGAAAGAAUGUCAUAACUCAUAAUCCCAUCAUAGCCGAUUGCACCGCUGCCCUCCGCCGCCUCGCCCAACUCUAAAAUACCUUUUCGGCUAAGUCAAACCAGCAGCAGCACGCCUUAGCUUAAGGGUGGAAAAAAUUCCUAAAAAUCCCAAACCAAACCGAAAAAAUCGCAAUCCCAAACCAACAAUUUCCCAAACCGAAAUUUCAUUCGGGAUUGGCUUCUCUAUAUUUCGGGAAUCCCAUACCAAACCAAAAAUAUAUAUUAUUAAUUAAUAUAUAUAUAUACAUAUAUAUAUAUAUAUAUUAUAUAUUAUUCUUUUAUAAUUGAUGCUAGUUGACACACCCCGAUCCUGAAAUCAGGGCAUGCUAGCCGCCACGUGAGCGUGACGUAACCAUAAGUGCGAUACGGAAGCAAAGGGAAUAAGAAAUACGAAGGAAUAAAAACCAACUACUAGCAGUAUUAGAGUGAGUUAAAGUGUGCAAUACACGAUUUCAGAGCAUAAAAACUAGGUGUAGUCAAGUAGGACUAUAUUUAAAUUACAACACCCGCAGGUGAGUCCUACAUGCAGGAAGUCUGUCAGAACGUCAAAGAAAACCUCGUGAGCCACCAAUUGCUAACUAGAACCUGGAAGGGCGCAAAAACAAAAUUGAGCGGGUCAGUAAAACCAAAGUUUUCAAAAACAUUUCAUUUAAAACGUUUCUAACCCCUCGCUGUAAAACCUGUAUACUUCCCCAGAAAAAUAGUAUAUAAACAUAUAUAUAUCAUCAAAAGCUCAACUCACAAUCCUUCAUCGCUUUUCAGAAAGAAUAUGCCAUGCCAUGCCAAAAUAUAAUAAGAAUGUAUCAAUACAAAUCAGGUGAAAUAAUAAAUCAACCGGAGACCCUACAAUGGUCCUGUACGGCUGAUUCUAUAGCUCAAUAUCCCAUCCAGCCGGAGUCACCAACUGUGAUCUGUACGGCCCUGCCGAAGUCACCAACUGUGACCUGUACUGCACUACACUGCACUUAAGUCGGAACUACCUAUAGUAGUCUGUACGACUAUGAUGGUGAAUUAAUACGCUCUAGUGCUUCUCUCAUUAAUCAUCUGUGCAUAUAAUCUAAGGUCACCUACUAGUCGGAACCACCUCUAGUGGUCUGUACGACUAGCAUGUCGGAACCCUCACAUGGUCUAUACGACAUGCACCAACUUGGAUCCAAGGUGAGCGUGCGGUGCGGUGAAUAAUAUGAGCACUAACACCAGGGGUGUAGGUUAUGAGCUCUCAACACAAUUCACAUCAUCAAUGAUUCACAUGAAUAACAUAAAACUCACCUGAUACUCACCUAUGCGUCCACAGCACCAAUUCACAUAAAUAUGCAUCAAUUAUCAAUCCAUAUAAUUUAUAAUAUGCAUGCUUGGCAAUUGAAAACAUACUUUCAUAUAAAUUCAAUUUCUGGGAACAUUAAUAGUAUAUAGGUAAUACGAAAAACAAAACUGCCCACUCACUGGUAAGUCGAUGGGUCGUAACCCCCGUGAUGUCCCUGGAUGCGCUCGUCCUCGGGAUAGGUGUCACCUAUAUGCGAAACAACUAUAAAAAAGUUAAUUAAUGCACAUAACCGAUAAUUUGAAAUAACUUCUCAUACGGUGCUCAAUUUGGGUAUAUGAAUAUACCACAUCGACCUACUCGACGUCACGAACGUUGAGAAAGUUUUAGAAAUUUUUUUUGACGUGGCACGCGCCCCCACGCGCCAGGGCAGCACGGGUACAUGCGCCCCCCACGCGCGUCUUCUUCCUUGGUUCGCCGGACUGUGUUUUCCGGUGGCUGGAAAACUGGGGAUUUUUCAAUCCCCUUGUUCUCCCUCAUUUCUUAACCGUUUUCUUCGUAUUUUAUAUCAAUUUGAAGCCCUCAACAUGUAGAAUCAUGAUAGACUAGUUUCAAGGUCUAAAAUCCACUAGAUUUUACCUGAGAAAGCUCGAUAAUCCGGCCAAAUUUGAAAAACUCCGUUCUCAGUCCUUCAACGUCCAAAUUCUACCAACGAAGUACCCCGAAGCUCGUGAGGAUCUCCUUAAGCUCACUGUGAGCUUGAAAUUCCCUGAAAUGCAAGAUUUUACCUGUGCAUGAACAAUGCACAUUUUCGGGGUUAGGGUUUCACGACAAUUCUGAGGGUUUUAACUUCCACAAAUCACAUAUACGAACUCACAAGCUUACUAGGAGUUCAAAUCUUACCUUAGAACCUUCGAUCCGUGAAGAAAUGGGAGGUUCUUAGCUUGUCCGUACAAUUCGAGAGGGAGAGAGAGAGAAAGCCGUGAGGGAGGAGAGAGAGAAACACGGGGGAGGGAGAGAGGGAAGGAAGUGUGUGUGUGUGGUCUAUCACAACCCCUCACCAUCCAUUUCUUUUUCCUAACUCCCUAACCACAUAAAUUACAAACCAACAUUUUAAUCUCACUUAAGUUAUUUCCCAAAGCUUAUGAAAAUUUAGUCUAAAUAAUAUGUCACACACACACACAUACCUUAAUACCCGUCAAGGGUGAUUCCGCCAUUUCAUGUCCCCGAUAUAAAGAAUCAUAGGACGGGCUGUGACACUAGUAGUUUCUAAUUGAUGUCUUGUAUUUGUACCAUACUUUACCAAUACCGAAACUACUGAGCAUCGGUCAACGUUAUACCGUCAAGGACCUAGAAGAGUUUCCCUCCAACCAGGAGGCCAAUCACAGCGCGACACGUGUCGACAUCAGAAGCCAAUCAUAGCGCGACAUGUGUUAACAUCAGAAGCCAAUCACAACACAACACGUGUCAAUGUCAGAAUGAAACUAGAAACUCUCUUCUAUAAAUAGAGAUCAUUCUCUCACAAUAUUUCUGAAUGUCAUUUGUACUAAAUCAUUCAUUAGUACUCACUAAAGGAGAGCUUGAACUUAUGUACUUGUGUAAACCCUUCACAAUUAAUGAGAACUCUUCUACUCCGUGGACGUAGCCAAUCUGGGUGAACCACGUACAUCUUGUGUUUGCUUCCCUGUCUCUAUCCAUUUACAUACUUAUCCACACUAGUGACCGGAGCAAUCUAGCGAAGGUUACAAACUUAACACUUUCUGUUGUACCAAAGUCCUAAUUGAUUUUGUGCAUCAACAUUUGGCGCCGUUUGUGGGAACGACACUUAUUCCCACUAUCUUCAGCUUUGUCAAGCUGGUUUCCACCAUUCGUACACUCUCUUUUGACCAGGCAUCCCUCUCCAACAUGGGGAGCGAAUGAAGCCAUAACACACAGAAUGACACCCCUCUUGCACCUAGUGCGAAGCAACGAAAGAAGGAAGGAAAUAGGGUUGCUCUUUAAGCUAAAGUCUAUGAGCUAGAAGCUCAGAACAACAAGAUAGCAAUGAAGAAUGAGGUCCUCCAGGAGCAGUAUGAGAAGCUAUUUGAGACACUCCACGAAACUAGGCAUACUCAAACACGCGAGCUCGUUGCCCUUGUGGACAUCAACCAUCAUCUAGGUGCCCUCCAACACGGAAGAUUACCUUCCUUCGACAUGGGUAUCCCUGAUGAAGAGUGAGCUAAUCAUCAAAACAUUGAUCAACAUGAGACAUCUCUCAACCCAGCUGCUUCGACCCGAAGCAGGAGAAGUGGAGGAAGACACCUCCUUGCAGAAGGGUUGGAAUGAUCGAAAGCCGUUUAUCGUGACUGCUUAGACUUCCUAAAGCAACGUCGAAAGAAUCCCCUCCACAUAUGCUUGAAGAUCAAUGACCUAAGGGUUUCUGAAAGACUCGGUCUCCUCUCACGACCCAGGCCAUCUGCCAAUCUAGGGAAGGAACGACAGGUCCUAGAGGGACAUGAAGGUAUAGGGGACUCUGAAAUAUUCCGACAGACUAGCCUUAGAAGUCAGUACGGCGAGUCCAAGGAAAAAUCACACGCAUUUGCUCAAACUUUCCUACUUCCAAGAGGCGAUGGAGACUUACGAAAGAAAAUCCCAGUGGUACAUGACUCUACUCAGGACCCCCUUGUCCUACAGCUCCUUGAGGAAGUAAACAAGUUGAAGGCCGAACGUCAGGUUGAGAUACCUGAUUGGAACCAACCUAGGCCUGGCCCUCUCACAAGGAGGAUCCUCGACACCCCCUUCAAGCAAAGACAAAACAAAAGCUUGGUUUACAACUCUAUACUGGAAGGGAAGACCCAAUUGAACACCUUAACCUCUUUGAGUCCACCAUGGCAUAUCGGAUGCACACCGAUGAAGAACGAUGUCUUCUCUUCCCCUCCACCCUCUCUGGCGGAGCUCUAAACUGGUAUUGCCGUCUUCCACCUGAGACUCAUUUGAGGAACUGAGGAAACUGUUUGUCUCUCAACACAUCUUCCAGACCGAUCGCUUGCAUUCUGCAGAUGACUUGUACACUAUUCGCUAGAAGCCGGACGAGUCACUACGAGAGUAUGCCGGUCAUUUCAGCCAUGAGUAUUCUCGCUGUGCUGAGGCAGAUGACAAGACCGUCCUCAAGGCUUUCACGGUAGGCCUACGUGAUUGUUUCUUCAAGUACAUGAUCAAUGCCAACACUUAGAAGACUUACUCUAAGGUGAUGGCACAUGCUUACAACCAUGCCUCCGCCGAGGCAAUGACAUAUCAAGGGAAACCCCCCACAACCACCCAUUAUCAGCAAGUAGGGAGUGGAAGCCAGAUCAAACCAAAUGAGAAGACCUCGACCUUCCAAACGGCAACGGUGCCUCCCCCUACCUAACUUAAUACUUUGCCAAGUCAACAGACAUAUCAAUCUCAGGGCAAAAUGAAAGAUUUUCAUCAUCACCAGUCUCAUUUUAGUAAAAGGAGUAAGGGACACUACUGUGAUAACCAAGGGUAUCGCCAUGAUAAUCCCCGACCCCAGGCAGUCAACACAGUGGGUCAAGCACGUGUCAGGACAACCCCUACCCCGAGGUAUGAGGCAUACACACCUUUAAACACCACGUUCAUGGCCAUUUACCCCAGUAUAACACAUUUGAUAUCGAAGCCAAAGCCGAGGUACCCGGAUUACAAGCCCACGAUGAACACGAGCAUGUUUUGCUGUUACCACGAGCAUAACGGCCAUGACGGCGAGAAGUGUAUCACUCUUCGUGAUCAUAUUGAAGCUUUGGCACGUGAAGAAAAAAUUGAUCAAUUCCUCCUUCACCCUCCAAGGGGUAACCGUAACCAACGCUAGGUAAAUGUGAUAUAUUCCAUAAGUGGUGGCACACCUAUAUCUAAAUCUUCCAACAGGGCCAUGAAAAAUAGUGAAUGAAGUUUAAGGUCUGGCCAUCAAGUGUUUCACGAUGAAGACAUCAAGGGAGGUAAGUAUCAAAAGCCUAACUAGGAUCCAAUAUGUUUCUACCCUAAGGAAGAAAGAGGUAUCAUCUACCCUCACAACGACCCACUGAUCGUAGAAGCUCACAUAGCCAACUUUGAAGUACGACGAAUCCUGGUAGACACAGGAGCUUCGGUCAAUAUCAUGUUUGCUGAAGCUUUCAGGGCACUUAAUGUAGCUGAACACUUACUCGACCGUUCGAUUUCCCCUCUGAUAAGCUUCUCCGGUGAUAUCGUGCAACCUUUGGGGAGCAUACACUUACUUUUCACCAUUGGUACAGGCCCUUAUACAGCUACCAUUACCACUAACUUCCUGGUGGUUGAUUGCCUAACAACAUACAAUGUCAUCUCCGGACGCACAGGCAUCAAUGAUUUCAAGGCCAUGGUAUUCACAUAUAUGUUGUUGAUGAAAUUUCCAACCCCUUAUGGCAAUGGUUACAUCAAAGGAGAUCAACUUAGUGCACGAUCAUGUUACAACAUUUCGGUCAAGCAACAACACCUGCAUGUGCCCAAGGAAACCAUUUCUAUACAUGACCAAGUCAUAAAGACCAGCCCAGACAAAGCAAACUUAGAUCUUCACGGUGGCAAUAGUCAACCCGACGAUCCUCGAGAUGACUCUUUCACCCAGCAAGCACAACCCGCUGAAGAGUUGGAGAAGGUCUCUAUCUUAAAAGAUUAUCCGGAUCGCAUGGUGAAGAUUGGUACCACCUUGUCACCACCCAUUCAGUUGGCAUUGAUCUAUUUUUUGCAAGAGAACACUGAGGUCUUCGCCUGGUCAUACGAGGACAUGCUAGGCAUCUCUCAUGAUAUAAUCUAUUAUCGUUUAAGUAUUGACCCCAAGACUAAGCCAAUGAGACAGAAGCGAAGAUCUUAUGACGCUGAACGGUACGAGGUAAUGAAGCCAGAAGUUGAAAAACUCAAAGGCAUAGGCUUCGUCCGUGAAGUCAAUUAUCCAACGUGGGUAGCAAAUGUUGUCUUUGUUAAGAAGAAUCCGACCAAGGAAAAUCUCAUACUCCAAAAGGUUGCCCGAAUGACAUCUUUCCUCUUCCUCUCAUAAACAGACUUAUAGACUCUACGGCAGGGUGUGAACUCUUGAGCUUCAUGGAUGCUUACUCAGGAUACAACCAAAUCCUCAUGAACCCUCCGGACCAAGAACACAAAGCCUUCACUACUGAUAGGGGACUAUAUUGCUAUAAAGUCAUGCCUUUCAGCCUAAAGAAUGCAGGAGCGACUUAUCAGAGACUGGUCAAUUCAAUGUUCACCGAACAGAUUGGGAAGAGCAUGGAAGUUUACGUUGAUAAUAUGCUAGUCAAAAUCAAACAUGCUGACCAACAUAUCACCAACCUAUCUGAAACUUUCACCAUCCUGAAAAGGUAUCGAAUGAGGUUGAACCCCAACAAAUGUGCCUUAGGCGUAUGCUCUGGCAAAUUCUUAGGCUUCAUGAUAAGCCAACGAGGCAUUGAGGCUAACCCGAGAAGAUCAAAGCAAUCCUCGACAUGAAGGAACCGGUAACUUCAAAAGACAUCCAGAACCUUACUAGCAAGGUGGCAGCCUUAACUAGGUUCAUCUCUAAGGCCACAAACAGAUGCGCUCCUUUCUUCAAAGCACUUAAAGGAAGUAAGAAGUACAUUACAUGGACUGAUGAAUGUGCUGAGGCAUUCAAGAACCUCAAAGACUACAUAAGUAAAGCCCAUUUGCUCUCCAAACCUGAGGUUGGUGACACUCUCAUUAUCUAUCUGUUGGUAUUGGCUUCAGCAGUAAGUUUCGUUCUCAUUCGAAAUGAUGGUAAUGUCGAACGGCCUGUCUACUACACUAGCAAAGCCUUACAAGAUGCGGAGACACGAUACUCCAACAUUGAGAAAUUGGCUCUAGCAUUGGUCAUGUCUGCUCGAAAACUUCGCCCUUACUUCCAAGCACACUCCAUCAUCGUGCUUACCAAUCAUCAUCUUCGAUAAAUACUCUAAAGUCUUGACACUUCCGGGCGAAUGAUCAAAUAGGCAAUAGCAUUGGGUGAGUUUGACAUCUCCUACCAACCAAACCCAGCUGAGAAGGGCCAAUCAGUGGCAGACUUCAUAUAUCCUGUUGACAUUGUUUCUACACCUAAAGAAGUGGUUUCAUUACCCUCGGAAGCUCAGAAAAUAGAACCAACAGCCCCAGCAUGGAGUCUAUAUGUUGAUGGCUUGUCCAACCAACAGGGUUGUGGAGCAGGACUAGUCCUUACGACCCCUGACAAAGUGGCGAUAGAGUAUGCUCUUUGUUUCAAAUUCAAGGCGUCGAACAAUGAGGCCGAAUAUGAAGCCCUUCUAGCAGGCUUACGUUUGGCCAAACACCUUGGGGUUAAACGAAUUGAUAUCUUCAGUGACUUCCAAUUGGUGGUUAACUAGGUCACCAACAACUUUGACGCUAAAGAUAGCUCAAUGGCAGCAUAUCUGGCAUAACACAAUUGUUGCUCAAGCACUUCCACUACCAGAUCACCCAAAUUCCUUGAGCGGCAAACAGUCAUGCAGAUGCUUUGGCUCGCCUCGCCUCAGUGGUGGAAGACAAGAUUAGGAGAAAAAUUCAGGUCAAAUUGUUAGCAGCACCAAGCACCAUGGCUGCGGAAGUGUACAACUUACAACAAGGAGAUAGUUGGAUUACCUCGAUUUAUAUAUUCCUUGCUCAUGGCACCCUUCCAAAUGACAAAGUCCAACAUAAGCAGAUUCGAUACAAGGUUACCCGUUACUUGAUCAUUAAUGACCAACUCUACAAGCGGGGAUUUAACCUACCAUACCUAAGAUGCCUUACGCCCGCAGGGGCCGAAACUGUCCUUUGGGAAAUACAUAAAGGAGUCUGCGGAGAUCAUGCUAGAUCUUGAUCCCUAGCACACAAGGCUUUUCGCCAAAGAUAUUACUAGCCAACACUCCACCAAGAUGCCAUCAGAAUAUUCCGCUCAUGUGAUAAGUGUCAACGCUACGCAACUAUUCCUCACUCCCCUUCCAAGCCACUCACUCCUAUGAUCAGCCCUUGGCCCUUCGCCCAAUGGGGACUUGAUUUGAUCAGCCCAAUGCAUGUAGGGAAGGGCAAGGUUCGCUAUGCAAUCGUUGCAGUUGACUACUUCACAAAGUGGGCCGAAGUAGAACCCUUGGCAACCAUUACAGAGGUAAAAAUAAAAGACUUCGUAUGGAAGAACAUCCUUUGCAGAUUUCGCAUUCCCAAUGCGAUAGUCACUGACAACGGGCAACAGUUCGACAACAAUAAGUUCAGGAUGUUCUGCUCUAAGUUCAACAUCAACUUAUGUUUUGCCUCCCCAAUUCAUCCCCAGUCUAAUGGACAAGUUGAAGCCAUCAACAAAAUAAUCAAGCGAACUUUGAAAACCAGCUUGGACAAGGCUAAAGGUUGUUGGCCAGAAUUUGUACCCCAAGUUCUUUGGUAUACCGCACUUCGUAUCGGACAUCAACAGGAGAAACCCCAUUCUCACUUGCCUUUGGUACAGAGGCAGUGGUCCCAGUUGAGCUUGAUCAAGCAAUGUUCUGAGUCCAGAACUACGUCCAAAGUGAAAAUGACAAACAACUUACCUUCAACUUAGAUCUAGUCGAGGAACACAGAAACCAGGCUCACUUGAGGAAUGUCGCCUACAAGCAGCACAUCUCCGACUACUAUGACUCAAGGGUCAAACCUCGUUCUUUCAAAGUGGGGGACUGGGUAUUGAAGAAAAGAUUACUCUGCGAUAGAGUCCCAAGUGAAGGAAUACUUAGUUCAAACUGGGAUGGACCGUUUGAAGUUGUUGGCAUCAAUCACCCUGGCUCUUACAAGCUUAGAAGCUUCGAUGGCAAGACCCUUAGCCAUCCAUUGAACGUUGAUCACUUAAAGUACUAUGACAAGUAAACUCACAUUGUACAAGUGUUAAGCUUCAGCCGUUCGUCAUCCUAUGUAACGAAGACUAUUUGGCAUGAAUUCAAUAAAAAGGUGAUUUAGACAACUCGAUCCUAAUCCUCUUACAUUCCUAGCAAUGAAACACUCGGGUUCAAAGCUUCAACAUGAAUACUUCCAACAUGAAACAAAGUCUAAGUAUAUGUCAACAAGACUAUACAAAUAAACGAACAACUUCACAGUAUAUUCGUUCAAUCAUACAUUCUAACACAUUCAUACAUAAGCCAACUGUGCUUUGAAAGGGUUCAACAUAUUUUGUGUCAUUCGACACUUGCUACAAUGUGCCUAGACAUCUUGCCCUUAUUCUUACCAACCAAGUGAUGAAAUGUGAAGAAGGAACUCAUCUUCAUGCCACCAACUAGGUGAUGAAAUGUACAACCCGUACUCUCCUUUAUGCCACCAACCAGGUGAUGACAUGUACAACCCAUACUCUAAUAUCAUUUAGCAACUUGCCACUCAUGCCAACAACCAGGUGAAGAAGGAACUCAUCUUCAUGCCACAAACUAGGUGAUGAAAUGUACAACCCGUACUCUCCUUCAUGCCACCAACCAGAUGAUGAAAUGUACAACCCGUACUCUAAUAUCAUUUGGCAACUUGCCACUCAUGCCACCAACCAGGUGAAGAAUGAACUCAUCUUCAUGCCACCAACCAGGUGAUGAAAUGUACAACCCGUACUCUCCUUCAUGCCACCAACCAGGUGAUGAAAUGUACAAUCCGUACUCUAAUAUCAUUUGGCAACUUGCCAUUCAUGCCACCAACCAGGUGAUGAAAUGUACAACCCGUACUCUAAUAUCAUUCGGCAACUUGCCACUCAUGCCACUAACCAGGUGAAGAAUGAACUCAUCUUCAUGCCACCAACCAAGUGAUGUAAUGUACAACCCGUACUCUAAUAUCAUUUGGCAACUUGCCAUUCAUGCCACCAACCAGGGGAAAAAAGAAUUCACCUUCGUACCACCAACCAAGUGAUGAAAGCAACUCACCAUUCAUUCCACCUACCAAAAGACGAGUGGUACAACUUGUACAUGUAAACUCCUAGCAUUCACAAAUAAUCAAAAACCCUCAAGCUUGACAACUCAACUAAAGGAGCACUUAUGCCCAACAAGAGUUAUAGUCACCAACAAAGUCUUAUUGCAAGCCAACAACAACUUCAAUGCAUGGUAUACGAAGAUCAAGCUAUUCAGCCCUCUUGCAUCUACUUCAAACAUUUCCCCUCUGUAAUAAUGCAAACACUACAACUCGUAGAAAGCUUCACACACUCUUUAUCAAGACAGUGUGAAGCAAAACCAAUUUAUGGUGCCAACAAGAGCUUCAUCAAUGGAGGGCAACCAUAAUUCUCAAAAGCUUCACACACUCUUGAUCAAGACAGUGUGAAGCAAAACCAAUUUAUGGUGCCAACAAGAGCUUCAUCAAAGGAGUUCAACCACAAUUCUUAAAAGCUUCACACACUCUUGAUCAAGACAGUGUGAAGUAAAACCAAUUUAUGGUGCCAACAAGAGCUUCAUCAAUAGAGGGUAACCACAAUUCUCAAAAGCUUCACACACUCUUGAUCAAGACAGUGUAAAACAGAACCAAUUUAUGGUGCCAACAACAAGAGCUUCAUCAAUGGAGGGCAACCACAAUUCUAAAAAACUUCACACACUCUUGAUCAAGACAGUGUGAAGCAAAACCAAUUUAUGGUGCCAACAAAAGCUUCAUCAAAGGAGUUUAACCACAAUUCUCAAAAGUUUCACACACUCUUGAUCAAGAAAGUGUGAAGCAAAACCAAUUUAUAGUGCCAACAAGAGCUUCAUCAAUGGAGGGCAACCACAAUUCUCAAAAGCUUCAUACAUUCUUGAUCAAGACAGUGUGAAGCAAAACUAUUUUAUAGUGCCAACAAAAGCUUCAUCAAAUGAGUUCAACCACAAUUCUCAAAAGCUUCACACACUCUUGAUCAAGACAGUGUGAAGCAAAACCAAUUUAUGGUGUCAACAAAAGCUUCAUCAAUAUAGGGCAACUACAAUUCUCAGACCUUCGGAGCAAAUUCAAUUUAUAUGGUUCAUCCAAACCUUCGGCUACUACAAGGUGUGGCUUGCAUCACAAUCUCUUGCUCAACAGUGUGGAAGCAAAAUUUGUAUAUGUUAUCUUUCCCACAUUUUCAAAUUUCUAGUUUCCCAAAAAAAAAAAAAAGGGAAAUUCAACAAAGCUUCAUCAAUGGAGGACAACUACAAAUUCUCAAAAACUUCACACUAUCUUGAUCAAGAUAGUGUGAAGCAAAAUCAAUUCAUGAUACCCAACAAAAGCUUCAACUCCAAAGUUUCACCUACAAAGCUUCAACUCCAAAGCUUCACCUACAAAGCUUCAACUCCAAAUCUUCACCUACAAAACUUCAACUCCAAAGCUUCACCAACAAAAGCUUCAUCAAUGGAGGACAAUUACAAAUUCUCAAAAGCUUCACACUAUCUUGAUCAAGAUAGUGUGAAGCAAAAUCAAUUCAUGGUAUCCAACAAAAGCUUCAACUCCAAAGCUUCACCUACAAAACUCCAACUCCAAAGCUUCACCUACAAAAACUUCAACACAAAAGUUUCACCCACAAAAGCUUCAACACAAAAGCUUGACCCACAAAAGCUUCACCUACAAAAGCUUGACCCACAAAAGCUUGACCCACAAAAGCUUCAUCCAUAAAAGCUUCACCCACAAAAGCUUCACCUACAAAGCUUCAACACAAAAGCUUCACCUACAAAAGCUUCACACUAUCUUGAUCAAGAUAGUGUGAAGCAAAAUCAAUUCAUGGUGCCCAACAAAGCUUCAACCUCAAAGCUUCACCUACAAAGCUUCAACACCAAAGUUUCACCUACAAAGCUUUAAAAUAUAUAUAUAUAUAUAUAUAUAUAUUUUUUCGGAAAUUCAAAAAUUCAAAAAUUCAAAAAUUCAAAAAUUCGAAAAAAUUCAUGUGGUGGGAACAAAGUAGCUGCGACACCGAAUUCUGUAGGAAGUACUAUGUGAUUCAAUCAGUUGUACAUUAAAUAUUAUUUUCUCUAUUUUUAAACACGUUUAAAAUAUUUUAAGAGGCGUGUAAUGUCAGUUCUAAUCAAGGUCUUUGACACGUGCAUAAUAAUGUGAUUAAAUUAGUUGUCAAAUAAUUAGUUUUUUUUUUUAACAAACGAUAUUAUCUACACUAAGGGAAGGAGUGGUGGGCUUAGCCUCAUAAUGGGCUAGCAAUAAUAUGAUUCAAUCAGUUGUUUAUUAAAUAUUAUUUUCUCUAUUUUUAAUGUAAAUUCAAUAGAAACCGAAUGUAGCUGUUUUGAUUGGUUUAUAAUAUGUUUCUUCUAGCAUGAUUUAAGAUUAUUCUUUUAUUUCAAAUAUUUAACUUUUCUUUUGUCAAUUUACGCAUAUAAAUACAUUUAAAAUAUGUAAAUCGCACGUAUCACGCUAUGAUUCGAAAAACAUCUUGUACACGCGUACAAUAAUAGAGUUGUACAAACUGCCGUACAAUAAUAGAGUUGUAGUUAUUUGAGGGCACUGUCCAAGCACUCACUGUCCAAAGAGCACGAUGGUCCACAAUUUAAUUUCUUUUGAUUUUGUGCUUGACGUGUUCCAAAAGAAUGAGAUCCCAAUUUUUGAAACUACAUAAUCUUAAAUUUUUUUAGUGCUAAGUAAUUAAUUGGUUUAAUAAUAAAUAAAUAAAUAAAAAUGACAAGUAAGUGACAGUUAUCCAUCAUUUUCGAGCCCGAAGAGGCUAUGGGGAAGAAUCGGGUCGGGUAGAUCGGCAUGGAUUCAUUUAGCUCCAUGAAGAAGAAGAAUCUUCAGGUGACAAGGAGGUGCAGUGAGAAAUUACUCAAACCCCUUUGAAGUUAUUAAAAUUUAUGCAAUUGAAUUUUUUGAGUUUAAAUAUUUGAUGAGGAGACUAGAAUUUUCCAUAUAGAAGAAUUCGACACAACGCCUCUUUCUUCUAUCAAUUAAUAUUUUAUUUACGUGUAAAAAAAAAUUAUUUAAGUUUGCUUAUCUAGAUUUAAUACGAAGAUUCAUAUGAAAAAAAACCCUCCUGGGCAAUUUAAUUUUCAGGAGUGUACAUAUGUGUGUAUAAAUCAAUAGAAAACUUCAUUUUAAUCCUUAAAAAAGAUGAGUUUUAGACUAUAACCUUGUGUAAGAUUAAAAUCCAAUUUAGUCCCUAGUACAUUUAAUCAUCUCAUUUAUUAGUUAUAUUUUGAUGUUUUAUUUAUCUUUUUAUUCAUAUUUUAAUGUCUACAUUUAGGCAACUAAUUUUUUUUUUAUAAUAUAUAGUCCGAUAACAAUUUUGUAUGUUCUUCAUUUAGGUACGUUAAUAUAUUUGAAUAUUUCGGUAUAUCCAUCGAUACAAACAUAUAUGUACAUUAAUUCAUCGAUACAAACAUAUACAUACAUUUUGGUACACACAUUUGAGUUUUUAUUUCUUUAUUUUUUUAUUUUUUUAUUUUUUUAUUUUUUUAUUUUUUUAUUUUUUAUAGUGCAACUGACACACCUCGACCGAAGUCAAGACAUGCUGGCCGUCACGUGAGCAUGACGUAGCCAUGUGCACAGUGCGGAAGCGAUAUUUAUAAGGAAAGUACGAAUAAUUCAAAAGCUUCCUAUGAGCUUAAAAACCCCUAAAAAUCACUCAAUAAUUAUUGCAUGAACAGUGACCAUAACGGAGGUAAGUGGUUUGACGUGAAAACGGUGGACUUCUUACCUGAAACUAGUAUGGAUGGACUUGUAUCGACGAGAUGAAGACGAUGGUGGUCUUUGUUUCCUCGAUCUGUGAAGUUUUGAAGGUCCUUGGUGAUGGUCCGUGUGUAGAGAGAGAGAGAGAGCUCGAAGGGAAUAGAGAGAGUGAGUUUGAGGGAAUCACGGAAAAGAAGAAGAAAAAGGGGUGAUUUCUGUGUAUCCCGUGAGUGUAUGUGGUCCACAAGCCACAAUCAUUCAAACACAAACAAACAAAAUGCCAAAAUCAACCAACUUUUAAAAAUUAGGGUAACUAGAUAAACCCUAAUACUCUAAAUAUUUAAAACGCUCAAGGCAUUUUAUUAACUUCACACUCACGAAAAUGAUAAUACGGGACGGGCUGUCACAACAACGAUAUAUUUUACACUAAGACGGCUAAGCCACAUGGACAACUUAAUUUGGUAUCGAAUUCAUCAUCCACGAGAUUCGAACCUAAUACCUCUCAUUUGAGUAUUGAUUUUUAGGUACAUUAAUUCAAUAUACUAUAUUUUGGUACAUACAUUUCAGUACGUACAUUUUGGUACAUACAUUUCGGUAUUAAUAUUUAGGUACAUUAAUUCAAUAUAAUACAUUUCGGUUAAUACAUUUCGGUACAUACAUUUCGGUACGUAUAUUUUGGUACAUAUAUUUCGGUACGUACAUUUCGAUACUGUAUUUCGGUACGUACAUUUUGGUACAUACAUUUCGGUAUUAUAUUUAGGUACAUUCAUAUAAUACAUUUCGGUACAUAUAUUUAGGUUCAUUAUAAUAUAUUUCGGUACAAUCAUGUAGGUACAAAAAAGUCAAUUAUAUAUAUUUCGGCACAGUACAAUCAUGUAUUUAUAUAUUUUGUAUCACAAAUUUCUUUUAAUAUUUUCUUAUUUAUGUUCAUUUAUAAUUAAAGAACUAAAUAUAUGCAUAUUAAUAAAAUUAAAAUUUAAUGUGGAGAGAUUAAAUAAAAAUGCACAUUAAAUAAAAAAAAUUGAAUAUAAAUUUUGAUAAGAGUACACUUCAAGGGAUUAAAUUGAAUAUGUAAUCUAACACUAAUUUUUUUUUUAAAUUUUAAUCUUUUGCAAGGACUAAUGUUCAAAAACCCUAUAAAUCAAUUUCACGUCGGCAGAGCUGCUAUGGGGACCUCCGUACACACACAUAAUUUAUUCAUUCGGUCAUCAGCUCAGGAACCUCUCUGUAAACUUCUCCACACACUCCAGUACCUCUCUCUCUCUCUCUCUCUCUCUCUCUCUCUCUCUCUCUCUCUCUCUCUCUCUCUCUCUCAUCUUCUCCACUCCCCACUCUUCUCAGUUUUGGCAACGACUAAUGAUAGCCAAUAAUUUAUUCAUUCAGUCAUCAGCUCAGGAACCUCUCUGUAAACUUCUCCACACACUCCAGCUACCUCCCCCCCUCUCUCUCUCUCUCUCUCUCUAUCAUCUUCUCCACUCCUCACUCUGUUAGUUCUAUACAACUCAUCCAUCGCUUGGGGACUGACCUUGGGCUUUUCAGUUGCCAAGCAACUCCAGCAUCCGUUCUGAUCAAACUCAAAGUUGUAACUAAGGAGUUUGGAGAAAAUAAAAAGAUGAUCAAGGUUGACGUAAUUCACAAAGAAAUUAUUAAACCAUCCUCUCCAACUCCUCACCACCUUAGACAUUUGUGCCUCUCCCUUUUUGACCAGUUUAUACUUGAACUGUAUAUGCCACAAGUUCUCUUCUAUCCUAGCAGCAGUGAUGAACAUUCUUUGGUCGCUGAAAAGUCCGAGCUUCUAAAGAAAUCAUUAUCUGAGGCCCUCACUAUCUUCUACCCUUUUGCAGGGGAAUUCAAAAAUAACGUUUCCAUCAACUGCGAUGACCGCGGAGCUCUAUUUCUUGAAGCCCAAGUCAACUGUCCCAUGUCCAAGAUCCUGGACAAACCCGAUUCUGAGAUCCUGAGACAACUGAUUCCAACUCCUAUGCGUUCCAAACAAGCACAAGUAGGGCAUCUUGUACUAGUCCAGGCCAACGUAUUCAAAUGUGGUGGAUUGGCAAUUGGCGUCAGCAUUUCACAUAAGGUCGCCGAUGCCUUAGCGAACAGCAAAUUCAUCGAAAGCUGGGCUGAAAUUGCCCGCUCCACUGCCAGCACUACUGACCAUCACGUAGUACUUCCUACAGAAUUUGGUGUUGCAGCUACUUUGUUCCCACCACAAGAAUUUGUUAAGAAGACCCCCCUCACGCUACCUUUUAUUGACAAUGUUAUCGGAAGGAGGCUUGUGUUUGAUGCCUCAAAGAUUGCUGCUCUCAAGGCCAAAGCUGCCAGUGCCACAGUGCCAAAUCCGACGCGAGUUGAAGCAGUUUCCGCGCUCAUUUGGAAAUCCGCAUUGGAAGCAUCAAGAUCGAACUUGGGUUUUGCAAGGCCAUCCACAUGGCGGUCCUCUACGAACCUGAGGAAAAUAUUGGCUCAGCCCUUCGCAGAAAACUUACAAGGAAAUUUUGUGUUUUUUACCUUGACGAAGAUCGAAGAAAAUGAAGUAUAUGAUCUUCAAACCUUGGUUGCAAAAAUGAGGAAAUGCGUUGAGGAAUUUAAGGUAAAAUAUGCCAAUGAAAUUAGAGGGGAGGAAGUAGUUCAAUUCCUGAAGGAGUAUAGUGAGCUCGUUCAAAAGGAUGAUAUGGACAACUAUAUGUGCACCAGUUUGUGUAGGUUUCCUUUCGGCUCGGCCAAUUUUGGAUGGGGAAAGGCAUCAUGCAUUCGCAUCCCUUGGAAUGAAGAUUUCAAAAACAGAAUGUUAUUGUUGGAUGCAAGUGAUGGCAUUGGCAUCGAUGCAUACAUAACACUGAAAAAAGAAGAUAUGGUCAUGAUUGAAACCAACCAGGACCUGCUUGCAUAUGCUUCUCUGCAUUAGACCAUUACUGAAGGGUAAAUCUCAUCUAAUCCUUCUCUAUAAUUACUCAAUAAAUAAAAGGUUUGCUUCCCUAUGUCAUUGGAGAUUCAUACUAUAAGUAUCUUUCAAAUGUCGGAAAAUAAAAUGCAACUAUACUAAUAGCAAGUUGCUAGUGUUCUUGAGCAUUUAGAAUUUGUUUGGAUGCCAUGUUGUAACCUUUGGUGAUUUCUUUUGUUGCUUUUGAUUCCACAAUUUUCUUGUUUUGUGUGAACAAUGAGUAAUGUAUUGCUUUUACUAUCGACUUUAUUUUUCUUUCAAUAAAAUGGAUUUGUUUUAUUGCGUAUACCUAAGAAAAUAUAGCAGAUCCCUAACAAAAGAAAAUGAAAAGAGUGCUGAUAAUGCUUUUCUAUGGAAAAAAGUAAGAUAGACUGACUAAGGAUGCUUUCAAGUAAUUUUUAAAACAAGGGUUACAACACGUGUGAUAAUAUAAUGGAUGAUUGGGUUGAUAAAUUCUAUUUUAAGUAUGACUCAUAUAAAACGGAUUCACUGCCACCUGAAAACCCUAGUUAUAUAACGAUGGCCUGAAACCUGCUGGAUAAAAGAGGCGCGAUGAAUAAAGGGUAAAGGGAGAAGAUGGGUUUAUGUUGUCAAUUCUGCUUCGUCGUGAGGGAGGCAUGCAGGCAAUGGGGGAUCCAAGAUUCGAAACUUGGGUGUCCCAACAUUAAAAGUUCACGUUUUUUAAAGAAAAAAAGCGCGGAGCGCGUUAAAAAAAUUCAUUUUAUCCAAUUGAGGCAUUUCGUCGAACACUUAAUGGGCUUAUUGACGAAACCAAAUCAUGUUGUUGCCUAUAUGUCAACAAGUUACAAUAUAUGUUGAAGCAAUCUGGUGAAUGCUAUUGAGAAUAUAUGUCGAGUGAUGUUGAUGCAGCCUGUUGAGAUAUGCGUACGUACCAAACAAUCAAAGGAUCUUCAGAUGACCUUCAUAUGCGUGUUUUUGUAACAUCCCACAUCGUCCAGGGGAGUGGAUCAUGUAAGCCUUAUAUGUAUAUUCUCAUCUCUACCUAGCACGAGGCCUUUUGGGAACUCAUUGACUUCAGGUUCCAUCAGAACUUCGAAGUUAAGCGAGUUCACGCAAGAGCAAUCCCAGGAUGGGUGACCCACUAGGAAGUUAUCGUGUGAGUUCCCAGAAACAAAACCGUGAGGGCGUGGUCGAUGCCCAAAGCGGACAAUAUCGUGUUACGGUAGAGUCGAGCCCUGGAUGUGGUGGGGGCCCGGGCCGGAAUGUGACAGUUUUCCACCCUCCGAGUGGUCCUAGGACCACUUUGGUUCCAAUUUACAUCCACCCUUGCGGUGGGUGGAGUUCAAGAACUCUUGUUGUUGCCUGGCUUUUUUUGCUUAUCCAUUUAUGUAUCUUAUAUGUAUAUUCUCAUCUCUACCUAGCACGAGACCUUUUGGGAACUCAUUGACUUCAGGUUCCAUCAGAACUUCGAAGUUAAGCGAGUUCACGCAAGAGCAAUCCCAGGAUGGGUGACCCACUAGGAAGUUAUCGUGUGAGUUCCCAGAAACAAAACCAGGGGAGUGGAUCCUGUAAGCCUUAUAUGUAUAUUCUCAUCUCUACCUAGCACGAGGCCUUUUGGGAACUCAUUGACUUCAGGUUCCAUCAUAACUUUGAAGUUAAGCGAGUUCACGCAAGAGCAAUCCCAGGAUGGGUGACCCACUAGGAAGUUAUCGUGUGAGUUCCCAUAAACAAAACCGUGAGGGCGUGGUCGAUGCCCAAAGCGGACAAUAUCGUGUUACGGUAGAGUCGAGCCCUGGAUGUGGUGGGGGCCUGGGCCGGAAUGUGAUAGUUUUCCACCCUCCGAGUGGUCCUAGGACCACUUUGGUUCCAAUUUACAUCCACCCUUGCGGUGGGUGGAGUUCAAGAACUCUUGUUGUUGCGUGGCUUUUUUUGCUUAUCCAUUUAUGUAUCUUAUAUUUUGUUUUCUUAAGUAAAUGACUAGGGGUGUGCUAUCCACACACCAUUUUUUACUUCUCAUAUAUCCUCUUAAUUUUCGGUCGUCGGAUCGAAUGAAUUGAAGAAUAUCAAAUAACAAAAAUUAAUAAGAGGUGUGAGAAGUAAAAAGGGGUGUGUGUAUAUCACAACCCAAAUGACUAAUGUUGAUGGGGGAAAAUAUGAAUGGCUAAUAUCAUUUUGAUGUCAUCUAGUCAUCACAAUCUAAUAAUCUAGUCUCAUCUAAGACUAAUAUAUAGAAGUAAAGAUAAGUAUAUGAAAAACAUUUCAUCGUUAUAAGUUAAUGGGAGCUAAAAUAGUAUUUGAGAUUAGGAUAACGCUCACUUUAGUCCUGAUAAUAAAAUUCGAUAAAAAUGAUCUGGUCGUGAAAAUUAUUUUAAAUUUUCAGAAAAAAAUAUGUCAAUCUUCUAAUAACUUUUUCUUGUAGUAUUCACCGGAAAGAAGAAGAAGAAGAAGAAGAAUGAAAGAGUUAUGAAACCUUUUUAUGUAAUAUUCACAGGAAAGAAUGAGUUAUAAAAUACCUUUUCGGCUAAGUCAAACCAGCAGCAGCAGCACGCCUUAUCUCACUCGAAGCUCCCUCUGGUUCUCACACUUGCCGUCCCUCCAGUUUGUCAAGUUCGCGCCUUUGGCUUCACAAGGAUUUUUUUGGUUUCAUAAACAUGUUCUUUAAAAACGCUUUCAAUCAUAUUAAAAGUACUUCCAAAUGAGUCUAAAUUAAAAAUAUCUUCUUCACCUACUGUCUCUCAAGUCGGCAUCAUCCCCUUCCUUUCUCCAUCUCUCCCAAUCGUUCAGUCCCCUUUACUCCUCUUUAGUUUUUAGUUUUUUUCCUUUUCGCGUAUGAAUAAGGGAGAGGGACUCAUUUCAAAAUUAUCACAGUCGUUGUAAAAUUUUAUAUGAAAAAAGCUUCAUGCGUUCAAGAAGAGGGAAUCCCAAUUUUCAAAACAGCACAAUCUUAAAGGAUCUCUUUCCCCUGCAAUGCUAUUUUCAACAAAUUUUCAUUGCUUUCACAUUUACUCCGGAGAAAACUGGUAGGUAGUCUUCACCAGAAAGAAAAAGAAAGAAGAGGGAAAGAAAGAAACUCAUAACUCAUAAUCCCAUCAUAGCCUAAUUUUAGUGUUGGAAAUGGAGUCGUGCUUGGAUUAUUUAUUUAUUUAUAUUGGUGUCAUGUUUCGUGUUAAUAAAUUGUAAAAUUGAUAAUAUAUAAGGAUUUUUUUGGCCAAAAUAGUUCAUGAGAUUGAUAUAAAUUCUCAUUUUGAACCAUAAUAAUGAAAUUCAAUAUAAGUGGUCUCUGAAUUUGUUCACUGUAAAUCAUUUUGGUCAUUUUAUAAAAAAAUCUAUCAAUAUCAAUGUUAAGGGGAGAGUAUGGCUCGACAAAAAUACCAUUUAAAAGGUGAUCACAUAGUUGUUCACGUGAUAAUUUAACGAUUUUUCACAGAAUGAUCAAAAUAAUUUAUAGUGAAUAAACUUAUACUUGUCAACAAAGCUAUGAAGAACAAUCAAGAAAGUAGAGAGAGAAAGUACUCAAGAGAAUAGAAUUGUAUAACAAACUUAUUUGUGUAACAAUUACAAGACUUUCCCCUAUUUAUAACUACAUUUACCAUAACUACCUCAAAACAUAUCCACUAAUACAUUGACAAGCGGUACACUUUACAAUUUGGCACUUGUCAUAUUACAAGCAACCUACAAUCUUUAUAGUCUAACAAUACGUACCAACUAUCAACUUCAUUGUAACAAACUAUAAUGAAGAGUUAUAUCAAUCUUAGAAACCUUUCAUAAUAUAAUAAUAUAUCGACUCAUAUUAAACAUAAAAAAGUUAUCAUUUUGUGAGUAUAAUAUUAUGUGAACAGUGGAUGAUGUGUUUGUCGUUUUAAUUGUGUACGCAUUGUGAAGCCAAAAAUAAUCAAGAGGCGACACGUGCAUUUUUGAGUAAGGAAAAGACAAAAUUACCCUCGAUGCACAUCAGAUUUCCUACGCGCGAGCAGUGGACAAUCAUCUGUCAAUCAAGUCAAAAAUGUCCAAAAUAUGUAACAAAUUCAAAGUUAUUUCAUCCAUCCUCAUCCUAUAUUUUCCACAAGGUAAUUAUUUCAUAACCUUCAAAACAUUCCAAAUAAAUUGAGUUAAUUGGCUAAUUAAUGGAUUUAUUCCUAAUUAAUCCAUUAAUUACCAAUUAAAUCACUCAUUUCACACAAAAAUACCCCAAAGGGCGGGCCUCCUUUUCUCUAAAGGGGGACUGGCCAUGCUCUAUAUAUUGAACCCCAUUUUCUUUAAAAACCUAAGUCCACACUCUUGCAAAACUCCAAAAACUCUCUAAAUAUUUUUCUCCUAAAUUCUAAUUUUGGCAUCGGAGGUUCUUCGGUCAAAACCCCCCUCCCCCAUUCAUCGUGGGUGCGUGAGGCUCUUGGUUUUGACCCUAAGGUGUUAAUUGUUUUGCAGGUGCAAUUUUGUCCAAGAAGGAGAUGGAAAUUUGCAUCCACACGCAUCACAUCGUGCAUUCGUACAAGUUUAGAGUUGCAAUAACGUGUUGUGUCUAAAAUUACUAUCUGUAUGCAGUUUCAUACAAAACCAUUUUACAUAAUCGUCUUUCUCUCCCUCUCUUGUUUUUCUUUGAACAACUCAUUUUAUCAACCCUUAUGCUGGGUUUGGAUCGAAAUGUAUGUUUGGAAUUUUAGUCCAAACCAUAGUUCUAAUCAUACUCACGAGGUGAACCACCACUGAGUAGUAUAGUAGUUGGGAACGAAUUUCAAACUCAUAUUUCACACGGUAUGUCCUGUGUUUGAUUUCUGGCAUUGCUGAAUCGCACGAUGCUGAUCAUGAGGAAGUUAAAAUGCUUCUGUGAGUUUUUCUUACUCCUGAAAGAGUGUAUUGUCGUAAUGAAACUACGAGCUAAUCCUUUUUCAGAAAAGAAUAAAAUAAAAUCAUACUCACCUCCGAAUCUGAUUGAGAUCAAACACUAAACACGUAGAAUUAAUUUUGAUUGUUUAGUUUCUUUGCCUCCUUCACUAUAAUUAAAUCAAAUGAAAAAUUCUCAAGUACCUAGCUACCUUGUCCACACCAAAAAAUUAAUAAAAUUUGUAUCUCUGUAUAUCUACAGGUAGCGGUAGCUAUCUUGUGACUGUAUUAACAAGUGGUCUGUUCGCAACAGAUAUUGGAGAAUCGAUUCCCGACACAUGAAACGUCUGACUUUCACCAUUCUUAAUUUCUAAUAUUUUUUUUUUUUGUUUUUUGGGUAACCAAAAGGAGAUUGGAGAUGCAACACGAGAACUUUCUAGGAUGUCACACAUUUUAGUACUAUUGUCAUCCAAACUCGCUUAAUUUCGGAGUUUUAAUCAGAUCCGAUGCAUGUAAGUUGGUAGUACUACUCUAACCAAAUAAUUUUUUCAUGAUGUCCUAUCUAUACCUAAAGUUCACUAGCUUUUAUUCAUCGGAUUCAAACUUAGUCAUGAUAUUUUAUAGCAAAGUGAGAAGAUAAUGCAUUUUUUUAGUAUCUCUCCACUUGUAUUAUGACACAUAAUGUGCCUUUUUUAUUUUUUAUUUUUUUAUUUUAUAUAUAUAUAUAUAUAUAUAUAUAUAUAUAUAUAUAUCAACGAUAAUGAAAAUUUCUACGUUCACAUUUCCGUGGUGAGAAUGAAAAAUAUUACAAUGCUAGAAGCUAGUUAGCAAGGAUAUAGGAAUCCCAUUGCAGAGGAAGGACAAAUAAGUUGAAAAGGAAAAGAAAAGAGCAACGUGCAUAAUUACACAUGAACAGAGAUUUAGUAGCUGCUUAAUAUUUGUUAGUAGAUCUCGAUAAGUUAUUUUAAGGUAAAGUCUAUCGGUGGAGAAUUAGUUUUCUAUUUCACUCGCCGGUUUAUUUAUUUAUGAUUGAGUUAACUGAUUGAAAUCUUUCAACCAGAUGAGACCUAGAUGACCAGUGGAUCAACAGUUUUUAACUAGAUUAGAAAGAAUUUCUUCAGUGAUAAUAAAUUCGUCAUUAAUUUAAGGACAAAUAUGUUGAAGAGUGUAAAGUUUCACAUCAUGUUUAAUUAACUACAAUUUAUGUUAAUUGGUUUCACUACUUAUUGUAUCAAACAUUUUGUAAACAAAACCCACACUUACGGAAUUGCACUAAUGAUUAAAUUGGAGACAACAUCAAUAUUGAUUAACAUUAGUAGAAUAGUAUUUUUUUCACCUCGACUUAGGAAGAAAAGAAGGAAAGAAAUUUCUCACCCCAAGAGCGUUAAGGUGGCAAAGAGCACCAAUUGCAGUACAAUAAUAGAGUUGUAGUUAUUUGGGGCACUCUCUAAAGAGCUCGAUGGAGCCCGUUUCACACAAAAUGAUUAACAAAGAGAAAUGUUAAAGUUACUUUUUUUAAAGUAGAACUCUUUGCGAGUUUUUUAUCACUUUAUAUUUUUGGUAUAAAUUUUAUAAUGUUGGAAUAAAAAUAGAUGUUAAAUUCUAAGUUGACAGAGAAUCUAUAAAAAAUCUCACUUUUAAAAUAAUCCUUUUAACAAAUUUGGCACAUGAAUAUCGUAGUCUGAAUUUUUUUUUUUUUUUUUUUUUUUUUUGUAAAAAUGUUGACAAGUACUAGACGGCUAAACGUGUAUAAAAUUUUAACAUAAUAUUGGAGGACUCUUUUUGCCAAACAAAUAAGCUUAUGCCACCUACCAUUCUUUCAAAAUUGGCAACCCAUUUACAUUCUGCCCUACCAAUAUUUUUUGGAUUUGUAUAACUUCAUUAAAAAGACAUUUAGACAUUUUAAGUGAACAUUCCAGUGAAUUCCUUUUAUUUUUGUUAUUCUUUUGUAUUUUUGGUCAUAAAGUAACCAACAAAUACAGUAUUUCAGAUGGGGUCUUGUACCAGAUGCGUGUCGUGUAUGGACAUCUCAUUCCAUAAAAAGGACGGGGAGGAAUAGUCGUAUCACUGAAGAUAGAAAGGACAAAUGAGUUGGAAAAAAUAAAUAAAAACAAAAACAUGACAAUUAACUUGGACGAAACAAAACCACGCAUGUUUUUUAUUACUAGAUUUUCAAACAUAGGAUAUCUAUACUAUUAUUUAUCUUUACUAAUUAAUAAAAAUACUCAUUGUUAACUAAAAUUUUAUGAAAUUACUAGUUUAACUCUUUAAUUAAAACAGAACAUGAAUAAGAAAUAUGAGACAGAAAUGUAAUUUCACACAAUCAAAUUUUGCUGUUUUUUUUUCAAAGCCUCAUCUACAUGUAAUCCUAACAUAUCUUUAAUUUAAAAAAUAUAUAUAAAAAAAAAAACUUCUCACUUCCACAUUUUCUAUCACUCUCUUCCUCUCUCCUUCUAUUUCAAAAAUAAAAAAUAAAAAAAGUUCUCACAUACUUUGUAUGUGCCCAUAUGCUAAUUUAUUUAUUAAGAGAACCCUCUUUGUCAACUUUUUGCCACGUUUUUUCCUAUUUUGCCCUUACUUUUGAUACACACUAGUGACAAAAUGAGGGCAAAAUAGUUAUUUUGUACCUUUUGACAAAAUGACAACCAUAUCCCUAUUUUACCCUUUUUUAUACUUAUUUUUCUAAUUUUACCCUCACUUUUGAUACACAAUAUUUAUAUAAGGAGGACAAAACAGUAAUUAUGUAAUAUUAAAAAAAUUAUGUACUUAUUAAGAGAAAUUAUUCACACACACAAAGUGUGUGCUCACUGAUAGUCUUCUAUAAUAAUAUCGAUGGUUAGAACAUGUGUGCUCACUGUGAUCAAACCACUCUAGAUUUUGGGUUCAAUCUAAACGUGGGUUUGAAGCUAUCUAAAUCCUAAAUUUAUGUAAUAAUUUCCAACACUCUUCUCUUUCUUUAAUAAUAAUAAUAAUUUCACGGGUAGUCUAAAAAAGUGUGAAAAGCCUUACUAAUUAAUGAUAGCUCAUAUUGAAUUAUAAACUAAUUGCUACAUCGAGACCUUUUAUUAAAAAAAAAAAAUUUGACAGAAGUAUUAGAUUAAAAGGAAAACUAAUGAAAAGGGUUUGAGUUUUAAUGAUAAAGAUAAAAUAAAGAGUAAAGUGAAUAGUACCAUGAUUGACUUUUUAGUGUAAAAAUGUGAUUUUUCGUUAAAGUGAACAGUACUAGGAGUUUUUCGUUAAAGUUCCCCUAGAUUAAACGAGUAAAGUUGAAAUCUUUUAACAAGUGAUCUUCUAUCACAAUAGUGAAGAAGAGUAUUGUCUUUGCUAGACCCUGUAGCUUUUGACAUGACACAAAAACAACACGAAAAUAAGGGGUUUCGGAUCAACACGAUAACCAAUCGGCUCAUUAUCAGGUGACCCGUUAAGAACCCGUUAAUAAUGGGUUCUUAACGGGUAUACACGCGGGUAAUACGUGGGUAACUUGUUUCGACCCGUUAAGAAAAAAAUUAUUUUGAUAAUUUUAAAGUUUUAAGUACUAAAAGAUUUAUUAAAAAAUACAAUAGCCAUAUUAAUAUAUACAAUAUAUUCUAUAUUAAAUAUAUAGUUUUGUAUUAUUAUUCUAUAUAAGUUAAAAAAAAAGGUUUUAUUUAUUAUUUAUUUUUAUUAUGAGAGUUCCUUAUUAUCAUUACUAGGAUAAAUUUUACUUAAUUUGUUGUCCAAAUUAAAAUAAACUAGUAUAAUAUUUGUAUAGGCAAGAACUAAGAAAACAUACAUACAAGUAUGAAAAAUAUGAAAGAAUAUAUAAACACUCUUGAUUCAUCAGUAUUCCUCCACGAGUAGAUAAUGGUUACACUUACAUUAUCAUUUAGAUUUUGAGUAAACUGUCGAUUUGCCCCCUAAACUUUCACCGAACUUUCGAUUCCCCCCUGAACUUUUCGAUUGGAAAAUUUCCCCCCUGAACUAAUUUUUUUAGCCAAUUUGCCCCCUACCGUUAGUUUUUCAAACAUUCCAUUCAAAUUUCUGUUAAGUGAGACCAUGUGCACAACAUAUGAGGGUAGAUAAGUCAUUUCACUCUUAAAAAUGAUUAAAAAAUUGAAAAUAAAUUUUAAAAAAAAAAUUCCCUCUAUUUUUUACCUCUACCGCCGAUCUCCUUGUACCCACCAUUACCACCUCCUCCCACCCCUGAGACCCAUCAACCACCAUAUCCGGUCCUCCCCCUUCCCACACACACAGACUCCUCCUUCCCCUCUCUAUUUGUUAUUCUACGAACAAUGCAAGGAACGAAGAAAGUGGGAAGAGAGAGAGAGAGAUUUGUGAUGCAGGAAGAGGGUUGGGUCAUUGGGGUAGCAGAGGGUGGGGCCAAAUCAGGGAGUGGGGUUACAGUUGAGGGAGAUGAGGGUAGGGGGAGGAUGUCGUAGGGGUGGGUGAUGGGGGUGCGGAAAGGAAGUGGUGGUGGCUGGGGUUUUUGUAUUUUUUUCUUUUUUCUUUUCUUCGAUCUGUUUUUGUUUAAUCAUUUUUUUUAAUAAUGUAAAAUUAGUAGAAUGUUCAUGCCAUGAAGACAAUAACACCGUAUGUCAUUUUUUAUACAUAGGAAUGAGUGAAAAAUAAAAUUGAGGAUAUGAAUUAGAGGGAAAUUUUCAGUUUUUUAAUCAUUUUUAAGAAUGAAAUGACUUAACUACCCUCAUAUGUUGUGCACAUGGUCUCACUUAAUAGAAAUUUGGAUGGAAUGUUUGAAAAACUAACGGUAGGGGGCAAAUUGGCUAAAAAAAUUAGUUCAGGGGGGAAAUUUUCCAAUCGAAAAGUUCAGGGGGGAAAUCGAAAGUUCGGUGAAAGUUUAGGGGGCAAAUCGACAGUUUACUCUUUAGAUUUUUAAAAUCCUCCAAACUCUCAUGAAUAAUGUUUCUUAUUUGAGGGCAAAAUUAAUAAAAUUAAUAAUAAUUAUUGUAGAAGUGUAAAAAAUGUAAUAUAUAUAUAUAUAUAUAUAUAUAUACACACACACAAUUACUCAUAGUGACAAGCUUUACAACUUUCAUGAAAGGGUCAGCUUUGAAAUCCAACUCUAUAAUCCAUAAACCUUAAAUUUAUAUUUAACCGUCGAUUGUAUUCUUCUUAUUGAAUUUCAUUUUUUUAAUUUAUUUUUAAAACAUGAUCAUCUGGCAGAUGUAAGAAGAUGAACGGUUCAUAUAUAUCACGUUUCGAUAUUUACGGUUAACUAAAAUAUGAGUCGAUGUCAUAUAGUUUGUAGAAACUUUAUAACAAUAAGCAAUAUUUUUACUAACCGUAAAACUUUGAAUAUAAUAUCAACGAUCCAAACCGUUCAUCUUUCUGCAUACUCUAAUAGAUUAUGUUUUCAAAAAACAAAAUCUGAAAAAACAAAAUUUGAUGAGAACAAUGAAGCGUAAAUGUAAACAACAAUCAACGGUUAAAUUUUGAUUUAUGAUUUAUAUGAUUAUAUUGGCGAAUUUCGAAGUUAAGCUCUUCAUGAAAGUUAUAAAGCUUGUCAUUACGAACAUUUAUAUAUUUUUUCUAUAUACUUAUUUAGUAUUAUGUUUUUCAUUUGAUUAUUUAUUGGUUUAAAAUAUAUUUUCCUUAACUGGUAACUGGUCAGGUCAUAUUACCUGUUAAUAUUAUCGGGUCAAAUCAUUUUACCCGUUUAAUUUAACGGAUGUUACACGACACGAUCCGUUAAGAUAUCAGAUAUAACAUAAAAAACACAACACGAAUAUCAAGUCUGACUCUUUGCACUAUUGUGUGAGUCCGAAUUGCGUCAACUUCCUAAUUUAACAUCAAAGUUUCCAACAACCAUUCUUCCAAAUUGGUGAACCCGUCCCAUAUUCAAACUCCAAAGUCCAAACUGUCCAAAAAAAUCAAGUUAGUUGAAAAAUAUAAUUUCUUUUAUAUAAGGUAGAUAGCCCAUGAGGUUCAUUUACUCUGGCCAGUUUUGACGCGACUGGUUUAAUCGGACGUGGUAGGUUUCAGACCGUUCAAAACAUCUCUUGCUGUUCUACCCCUCAACCCCAUCGACGUCACUCAAAUCUUCUUCUUUUUUCUUUCUCAUUUUGGACUUCCCAGAAAAAAAUAGACCAUAUUAAUGAGAGCCCAUAAUUCCAACAAAAUAGAGGUGAUGGCCAAUUAUUUUAUUCAUUCAUCAGCUCCAUACUCUCUGUAAACAUCUCCUCCACACUCUCCAUCUCUCUCUGACUGUUAGUCUUCCAAUUCAUCCAUCGCUUGGGGACUGUCAUUGGGUUAAUUUGCAGGUAACUCCAGUAUAUGAGUCUCUCUCUCUCUCUCUCUCCAACUCUCUCCGACUGUUAGUCUUCCAACUCAUCCAUCGCUUGGGGAGUGUCAUUGGGUUAAUUUGCAAGCAACUCCAGUAUGUUAGUCUCUCUCGCUCUCUCUCUCUGUUUUACCAUGCUGCAAAGUUUUUGGGUAUGAUUUUCUAAACAUAAUUGGUUGGUUGGAUAAUAUAGAUUGGAUACCAGGAAUAUGAAAUGAUUCAUAACUAUCGACUGAUGAGUGGUUGUUGUCGUAUUAAGCUACUGAUAAGUUAGCGCUUUAGUUUUUCUAUACGUAUGUCUGUAUAGAUAUAUAGUUGGUUUUCUGUCGAUCUGCAUUUUGUAAGAGUUGAACAGAGCUCGACGUAAAACCCGAGUUCUGGGCGGAUGUCUAGUUAUUUUAGCAACUGCUCAGUAUGGUGAUUAAGUUACUUUUUACUAUUUGUAACUAGUCGAUUAAUUACAAGAAUACGUUCACUAACUUGAGGAACAUUGCUGUGAAUGAAGGACUUAGGUGGGUAGGAGUUAGGUGGGUUCAAACUUGAUAGGCAAUGUGCGGCUGUCGUUUCUGUUGACUAGUUGUUACGUGGCAUAUCUAGCUUCACGAUAAUUUGCAUUUAAUUGAUCAUUGUACCCCUAUCUCUCUAUAUCUCUCUCCAUCUCUCUAGCUGAUACAGCUCAUCAUCAUUUAGCUUUGCAUUUGUUUUUUUAUUGUUGGUCAUCAAUCCUAUUUUCCGAUUCUGAUAGGAACAGUUGCCAAGUGAAUUCAAGUUUCGUAUCCGCAAUGGCGCGAAAAGAAGUAUACCCAAUGUCUUUCAAUAAAGUAUUAGACAUUUCACAUACUAAUGAGUAAAUAUAUUAAUAUAAUUCUCCUAUUUCAUAAAAUGUGGGAACGCAAACCUUAGUUUAGUCAAGUUAAUUAAAGUAGUGUACUUCACCCUCUACGUCACAAAACAUGCAUGAAGUAUUUGCAGCUAACUGAAGACUUGAUGCAAAAUCGAGGGAACUGACGUUCUAGGAUUCAUACAGCCGAUCUCAUUAAUGAGAUAAUGCUUUGUUGUUGUUGUUGUUGUAUUUAUCAUUUUGUACGGAAAAAAAAUAUGAAAUCAUGUGGGCCGUUAAGCUCAACAUGUCAGUUAACCUCCUUUGAUACUAAAACGGUAGUUGAGAUUUCACUCUAAAACUAAUACGCAGUAAAUGAGUAGUCCAACUCCUUAUAAGACCUUUAAAUGUUUGUAAUUCCCCGAUGUGGAAUUGACACUCUCACCGUUGUUAACCGGCUGUGAGCCUUCAAAUUUGGAGACCUGAAUUUUACAGACUAGAAACCCAGUCUCCAAAAUUUUCUCCUUGUAGUGCAAGAAUGAAUUAAAACAAUUUCCAUGAGAAUAAUAUCCAAUCUUUUUUCUGAAGGCAGUUGUAUUUAUAUUUGGCACUUGCCUUGCAGAUCAAGUAACUAGACUCACUUGAUCACAUCACAUGGGAGAAGACAUUAAAAGGAGUCUCUUGGUAAAAGAGACAAGUGCCGGGGAAGAAGAGACUAGAGUUAUUGAUGGCGAAGAGGAAUUGUCACUGAAAAGAAGGGUAUGGAUUGAAAUCAAGAAGAUGUGGCUGGUGGCUGGCCCUGCUAUAUUCACCAGAGUUGCGUCUUUCGGAACAAAUGUCGUCAGUCAAGCGUUUAUCGGUCACAUUGGCUCUCUGGAGUUAGCGGCUUUUUCACUCGUGUUCACAGUACUUGUCAGGUUCGGAAACGGCAUCUUGGUAUGUUUAUUAUGGCUCCCUUUACUAUUUCUUUUAUUUGAUCUUGUUUUUCAGAUGUUCUUGGGGACCAAUUGCAAUCGGCAUACCACUCUCAAUUUCUUUUCGCAGUUUUUGAACUCCACAGUGAAUUAAUUUGAAAGAAGUUGCAUUUAAAGCAGAUAUAGUUUUGUUUAGUGCUAAAAUCUUAAAUUUAUAGCAGAUAAAUUUUUUAAGUUCGUGGUUGUCUCAAAGACUAGUUCAAGAUCGUGUUCACUUACUGUUUUUAGUUGUGUUGUUAAUGUACUUCAAAUGAACGAAUUCAUAAUAAUGGCUUCGAAGAUCAGCGAUUGAGUAUUCGUCAAGUUUUCUUUACUUUAUAACUUGCAUUUGCAUAUGAUCUAUGUACCCCAACUUGUAGCUGAAAAAUGUAUUACCCCAACUACAUUCUGGUUUGUCAUCUGUUUUCCAAAUUGUAGAGGCAAAUGUGAAAUAAGCGUUAUUUUCUAAUGGCUACUGUACCAAUUAGUUCACGAAGUUAUCUGCUCUACGAAAACUUAACCAUAACAGCUAGGCUUUUCCGUGUGAUCUGACUGAUCGAUGUUUCUGAAUCUGUUACUCUACAGCUUGGCAUGGCAAGUGCGCUGGAAACUCUCUGUGGUCAAUCGUAUGGUGCAAAACAGUACAACAUGCUCGGGAUACAUCUUCAGAGGUCAUGGAUAGUACUGUGUGUAGGCACAUUAUUCCUUAUUCCUCUUUUCGUCUUUACAACCCCCAUUUUUGAGGCUUUGGGCCAAGCAGACAAUAUUUCAGAAGUUGCAGGAUAUAUUUCUCUAUGGGUAAUCCCUGUGCUUUUUGCCUUUGUUGUAUCAUUUACCUGCCAAAUGUACUUACAAGCGCAAAGCAAAAAUAUGAUCGUUGCAUAUGUGUCAGCGGUUUCAAUUGGAAUCCACAUCUUUCUUUGCUGGCUUUUGAGUGUGAAAUUUAAGUUUGGGGUUCCCGGUGUGUUGGUGUCGACGAUUAUAUCAUAUUGGUUACCCAACGUGGGUCAGCUUUUGUUUAUUCUGUGUGGUGGAUGCCCCGAAACAUGGACAGGCUUCUCAAUGUUAGCUUUUACUGAUCUCUGGGAUGUCGUCAAGCUUUCUCUGUCAUCCGGCGUUAUGCUUUGGUAAGAAUUUCUAUUUGUUUCGGCUUUUAUUUUGUCCCUUAUUCCAUAGGUUUCUUUAAGUGCGCACGUAUAAGUUGUUAUAAAUUUACUGAUUUCGGUCAUUGAUAGUAUCUGCAUGGAGGCCUUAUGAACUAGGUGCUUUCACAUAGACACAAAUCACAUAACUGUUAUUCAUUUACAGUCUUGAGCUUUGGUACAACACAAUCUUGGUCCUUUUAACGGGAAACAUGGAAAGCGCUGAAGUUUCUAUCGAUGCCCUAUCUAUUUGGUAAGUUUUAGAGCCUUCCUCUUCCUUGUGAUCCUAAUCUCUGAUCAUCCAACUGUUUUCAAUGCUAAAUUUUCCGACAUAAUUGCAGCCUCAACAUCGUGGGGUGGGAAAUGAUGAUAUCUCUCGGUUUCCUGGCUACAGCAAGGUACUUAUUCUCGUUCUUCAGAAAAUUGUUCUCUGCGAACACGAUGAAAAUUAUAUAAGAUCUUCAUCGGAGCAAUGCCUCACUUUUGAAUAUACGCUCUUUGACAUAUUCUUAGAACUUCAUAUGUUUUUAUGUAAUGUACUGUUGUACUGAAGUGUGCUUGAUAUCUUUCACUAGUGUACGAGUGUCGAACGAGCUUGGAAGAGGUAGCUCAAAGGCGGCAAAGUUCUCGAUUGUGGUUAUUGUGUCGGUAUCACUCUCCAUUGGAUUGGUGCUUUUCGUGCUUUUCUUAUUCUUGAGGAAAAAACUUGCGUACAUUUUCACCAACGAUGAGGCUGUAGCUGACAUGGUUGCUGAAUUGUCUCCUUUGUUGGCCUUCUCCAUACUGUUGAACAGCGUUCAACCCGUGCUCUCUGGUACUGUUUCCAUUUCUCUAAAAUACGUAAUCGUAUUAUUUCGCCUAGAUUAGGUAGGUCGAUACCAUGAAGAAAACAAUUUCCUUCUGUGUCUUCAAGUACCAGUUGAUUAGUUAACUUAGUACAUUGCAAUUAUCAUGAACAUUUCUUGUUUCCGAAGGAACGUAUUAUAAAUCUUGAAGAGUUCAUAACGUAACGAAUCUUUCAUCGACAGGAGUUGCUCUGGGAGCUGGAUGGCAGAAAUAUGUAGCAUAUGUGAACCUAGGCUGCUAUUACGUUAUAGGGAUCCCUGUUGGAGUUGUGCUUGGUUGGCCUCUAAAAAUGCAAGUCAAAGUAAGCUACUCUCUCUAUCUUCUUCUCACUCAGUCUAAUUUUUGUUAGGGUUCGUUUGGGGUCCCCGAUACUGGGUUUUGAGACUGGAGUCCGAUGCAUGUUUUGUGACGUUGAAAUGGUUAUCGAACGAGCCCCCUACCAAAUCACUUCAAUAGUCGUGUUUUCUCUUCGAUUUGCUCUUUGCAAUAACUCAUUUUAUCAAUCCUCUUCUGCAGGGUGUUUGGAUUGGAAUGUUGUUUGGAACAUUAGUCCAAACUAUUGUGCUAAUGAUACUCACCUACAAGACUGAUUGGGAUAAACAGGUAGAAUUAAUAUUUGAUUGUUUUCUAUGCAUCCUUCACUAAAAUUAACAUGACAUACUGAAAGAACCUUUCUUCAGAACCAAGAAACUAAAACAUGUAUCAACAUCUACAGGUAGAUAUAGCUCGUAACCGCGUUAGCAGGUGGGGUCGAACAAAUAACGAAGAAUCGAAUCCCGACACAUGAAGAAAUGUCUGAUUUUUAUCGUCCUUCAAUUGUUCUAGUCCCACCACGAGAAAGACGCACAGAAGUAACACUUCGUGCGAGCAGAGGAUCUUUUGAGGGUUAAUUGUGUUUUCCAUUUUGCCCUUCAUUUUUAUUUGAUUCAAAUGACUUUCGUUAUGAAAUUGAGGGACAUUAGAGCAUUCUCAACAGAGUGGAGUCAAGGACUCCAGAUACCGCUAAACCAAAUAGUCAUUUGCAUUUUUCGGCGGUAAAUAAAGUGGCCAUUGGCGUUUUUUUGUCGACAAACAAUAGGAUAAUUACACAAAAUUUUUCUUUGAUUCAAACAAGUUUCAUUUAUGAGAGCAUUCUCAACAAAGUAGAGUCAUGGACUCUAGGUACCGCUAAGCCAAAUAGUCACUGGCCCUUUUUUGGGUGGUAAACAAAAUGGCCGUUGGCAUUUUUGUGUCGACAAGCAAUAGGAUAAUUACACUAAAUUUAUUUAAAAAGCGGGAAGCAGCACAGCGGAACAAUAAAAUCCCACAUAGGUGAGGCGUAGAAAGAAACACAUGAAACUUGGACCAAAACACAGAGGUAUAAUCCUCCCAGAUGGCUCGCAGCUCCAUCAUAGCUAAAAAUGGCUUCCAAAAGAAAGGGGGAGAAAAAAAAUGGCCCAUCCUCCGACCCCGUUGUGCCGGAGGACAGGGUAAACCAUCACGAGACAAGACUUUAACCGAACAGGGCGGGGAACCUGAAAUUUACCGACCCCUUCAUCAAUGAGAAGGGAAAUAUUAAUAUGUCAUAACCUUGAUGAUGAUAUGGCACUUGGACGAAAGAAAAUUGCACAUGUAACUUCUCAGAUAGAAUUACAGAUGGUGAGAGCACUAAAGUUAGAAGUUUACAAAAGAGAGGGAUCAUCUUCUCAACAGAUUGUAUGCUGGUAAAUCCUUUACACUGGAGACAUCCUCGAGUGCAAGCUCGCGUUCCAACUGACUUGUUGUAGACUUCAUAACAUCCUGGAAAAAAUUAAAAACAGAAUCAGAAUAAGAAGAAUACAGUGCUUUGCAUCUUAAAUUCGUGAGCGGAGUGACAAUGAUUUACGUUGAAGUCCAUAUAAGAAGCACGCUUUGCGAGCCAUUGAGCAUCCAUCAUCUGGAAGGCUACACAAUAAAGUUUGUCAAAUGCCAUCUCAUCUUCUUCAAGCAGUUCGAGAAAACGGAUUCCAGCCAAAGUAGUUGGCUUUGCUGCAAGAAAAUAUAUCCGAUUAUUUAUUUAUAAACACAGCAUCAGCGUUCAGAAUUUGAGGGAGGAAACAAAGAACUCUUCAGAUAAACAUGCUAAGCUGAUGCAUUCUUGUCAAAUGGUUAAGAUCGUCCAUCCUCUCGCUUAAAAAUUUAACGGUACCUGAUUGAAGAUCCAACAUUUGUGCCAAGACAAAAGAAAUAUUGAUGCCAGCUACAGCAAAGGGAUAUUCCCAGUCAGCUCUAGUUCCAUCUUGUUUGUGCAACAAUCUCUGGAAUGAUUCCUGUAAGAUGAUCAAAUCAGAAACUCAUCAACCCUUUCAUGACUUCUGCAGAAACAUGGAACAAAAUGAAAACUUAAUUAAAAUAGAAAGUCUUGCACGCUACAUUCAAAAGAAAGCAAUAUUUUGACACCCAUACACAUUAAAGCAUUGAAAGGACAAUAUUUCUAUGCACAUGCAUCAUGUAUGCAAUAACCUACAAGUUUUGAACAUACGAGAGAAAUGUAAGACAGAAUGUCUUGCAAGCAUGAUGCUGGGAAACAAAGAUAGACAGACAGACUAAGAAAGUAAAUCUGAAGGGAGUGGUAUUAUUCUGGUUAUAAGUUAUAACAAUAAGAAAAAUGCAUCUCCUUUGAGCACUUAACCCAACAAUCCCAGCAUCAAAAACCAAAAGCAUUCCUCUCAUGUAAGUAAUAGAAUGAACUCAAACCCUUCUUUUCUUUGAAGCGAAGAUGAUGAAGGGUACUAAUUCACCAAAAUAUAAAAAAGGGCAAGACUUCCAGUUUAUCAAAGGGCUGGCAUCCAAAAUAGCACCAAUAUCUGCAUUGAUAACACCGCUACAAAUGUGGGACACUGAAACUCUACCCCCGCUAUAAUAUUUGUCGAUAUUUUAUAACUUUGAGCACUGAAUCUACUGAUAUCUCAGACAAGGCCGAUAUUUUCAUCCUUAUCACAGAGGCUUUCUCUAAAAGUCAAAGCACCGAGGAAAAUUUCCAACUUCAGAACCAUUAAUAUUUGUGAAACCCAAAACUUCAAAUGCAGCAAGGAUUCUCCACUCAGCCUUGCAAUGAAAGUUUACUUAUGUAGUAAUCAGUGUUCAUUGUAAAUCAUAAAAAUCACAUUCAUCAGAACAGUGAAAGGGGCAAAGAAUUUGGAUGGCUCAAGUUUAAUAAAUUAAAGGUUUAAAGAAAACACGGGAUAAAUCUCAAAGUAACAGAAAAAUAUAUCAAAGGCAUACAAUUUUUUUAUCUACUAUUGAGAGAUUUAUUUGCUAAAAUGAAAUAGAACCUACCAGCCUAUUAUAAUUGAAAAAAAUAAAUUAAGUUAGAAAGAGACAAACCGGAUACUGCUGGGCAAAAAAGAUAAGAUUCUCCAAUGAUAUAAAUCCCCCACCUCUGCAAAUAAAGUUUGAAAUUUCUCGUUAUCAUUUUCUUUCACAAAGGAAAUAUGAAACAAAAAUAUAUGUGACUCACAUCACUAUAAUUUCAUCUCGUUUAAACUACACACCUAAAAUCUGUUGAAGGGUCUGAACCUUGCCAACCCAUCUGUUUCCAAAGGUCUGAUUUAAGAGGUGGGAGCUCCUUAUCCGGAUAAGCCAACCUCCAUAACUGUAAGAGCGCAUCCUGCAAUUAACAAACUCAAUUUGUGUUUAAAAUUGAAACAACAAAACUAAAUUGAUUAAUUCAAUGUCCAGUAAUAGUACAAACAACUCUUCUAUUUUUUUUAAAAUCACUUGGACAUUGUUUAUCAUCAUAAUCAAUUUUCAGUCUAGAAAAAUCAACUAUGAGAAGUUUGUAAAGUUUUAAAACCAGCAUGGCUGCAUCCAAAAUUUUCAUUAAACUCACAGGAGGAGGCUAUCCUAAGGUACAAUAUAAAGAAGAUAUAGAAUAGUAUCAUUCCAAAAACAUUGUUCAAUAUUUUCCCAAUUUCUUCAUGGCGAUUGCAUCCAGAAUUAGUAUGAAAAUAAUACCAGGGAUGCAUGCACAUCUUGGGAUGGAACUAAAGUUAAACAAACCAACUAACUGUAAAUACUUACAUUUGUCUGAACGAAGAGCACAAGUUUAGACAUUUUGGGCAUGAAGUCAACCAAAAUAAAAGAAAAUAAUGAUACUAAUAGCCCACAGUAAGUGUGAUACAGUAGUACUAGUAACACAAACAGAAAAAUGAUCAAAAUGCUGUGAAAUGGAAAAAAAAGACCUACUUGAUGCUCCACACGAGAACCAUCAAAGGGUACUUGAAGCCUUUGUCGUAGAUAUCUGAGUCUUGCUUCCUAGAGGGCACAAACACCCACACAAGUGAACCUCAUAUUAAAAAAAUAUAUAUUAUACCAUAUAUACACAUCCAUGAUGAAAAAACAGUAUAAAUCGUUGUCAUUCCGUUGUUCCAAACAUCAAUAUUACGGAUAUGUUCCCCUAACAACUAAAAAUCAAAUUGGAGGGUCAAGAUCAAAGAAGAGAUCUACUAGAAGGAAUUACACCAUCCUCCAAGCCCAGAAUCAAAAGAAAAAUGAAAAGCCAAAUAAGAAACUACCAGCUUGCAAAGCAAUUGGAAACCAGCUUCUAAUAACAGAUUGUAAUUUUCAUCACAAGCACACCCAUUAAUGAUGAAGUAUUCUACAGUCCUUACUCUGACUCCCCAGAGUUAGUAAGCCAAAGUUAACUUUCACAGUUCCAAAUUCAUAAACUUAAAUUUUAAACCAGCCCACACUCCUUGAAAAUGUAUGAUAGAGAGCUUUUAAAUGAGACCACACCCCUUGAAUAUAACCCAAGAGAAAGAAAAAAAAUAUCAUAAAGGUAAAGACAUUUCAUUUCUCAAAGGUUAUAAAGAUCAUAUCAUUUCAUUGGACAUACUUGCAGAGGACUAAGAGGAGGAGCAAACAACUUAGCACUUUCUCCAUUUUGUGUAGUUGAAGAGAAGGUCAAAAGCCGACCAAUAAGUGAUCCAGAUCCAAGAACAAUAUUUGCUACAAAAGAGAAAACCAGAAAAAUUAAGUUCCAAAACUAUAAGUAUAUUUCCACUAUAUAAAAUACAGAACAAAAUUCACAUAGUAUGAACAGUAUAAUGAUCACGAUCCGAAAUAUGUGGAAUGAGCUGUGUCUUGACUCUUAUCAAAUUUAACUAUAUCAAACUCCUCAACAGAAUUUUGAAUGAUCCUCAGGGUACUUUAACUCGUCCAAUGAAAAUAUUGCCAACCUUUAGGACAUUUCAGUAACCUAACACUUGAAAUUUGAUGAAAUCAUAGAACGACUGACCAGGAAUCAUAUCACUUAAUUAAAUGGUUGCUUAUCAAGUGGGUACCUUUCUAAGAAUGAUUCCAUAGUUGCUGUUUAUUUGGUUAGAUCAUGUUCUAAAAAUCUAGCUGUAUAAUGCCCCAUCACUUAUGGGCAAAGUUGAGAAAAGCUUUCCAGUAAAACGGUAAAGUCUUAUUGACAACAAAAAUCUUGAAUACCUAACCACCGUGCCCACUGCGCAAUCAACUGAGAAAACAGAAGGGUCCAAUGGAGGUGUUCCUUUCUCCGCUCAUCAUCCCAGAUCUCUUCAAGCGUCGUUUCCUGUGGUGCAUCCCAAAAAGAUAUCAAUCACAAAAGGCCAAAAAUAACUAUUACUGAAAAAAAAUAAAAAUCCUAUCCUCCAUUUAAAUGAACAAAUAAAAGCCUCACCUCUGCACGCCUAUCUGAAUAAUUUCCCAGUAGAGGCACAUUAAGUUCAUCUGACUCCGACGUCUCCAAAUGCUCCAUCUUUUUCCCAUCCACAUCCCCAUGAUGAAACCUUUUCCUCAAAGUUGCCGACGCCAUGGCGCUUCGUAUAUAAUCAGACUGCAUUUUCAAACAAAUCAUCUCAUCAGUCGCGUUGUUACAAGCCAAAUGCAGCAUCUUUCACACACUGGCAAACAACCCAAUACUACAUUCUCUCCAAACUUCCAUUAAAGCUAACAACUUUCCACCCAAUCGAAAACCAAAUCACAAACCCUUAAGCACAUUACUUAAAUCCCAACCACUAAAUAAGUGCAAUUUCAGACUAAUCCACUACUGCAUACAGUCCCAGAGCUACUGAGAUACACCCACAAAUUUCAAUUCCAUAAACCCUAACACUGAAAAAACUCGGAUUCAGUUCGGAAUAUCAAAUGGGUUUGUGUCAUCUUCCAAUUCAGGCCCAUAAAUCAAGUUUACAUUAGCAAAAACGAAGAAAUACCAACAAAUCAAAAGUUGAAGAAGAAGGAGAAGACAGAGGAUUGCUGACGCCUCACCUUACGUUACCUAUGGCUUCCGCAGACGACCCCAAAACUGAAUAGCCUUUCGUUCUUCAGUGAUUUUUGUGCUGACAAUCGAAUCGAAUAGCUUGCUCUUCUAUAUGUGACUUUAUUCUUCAACCCAAAAUUCUGAAAAAUCAAAAAAUUGUAUAUCUAUCGAUUCUGUGUGUGUGUGUUUAUUCAGAGUAUUGUAUUGGUGAAGACGACUUUCUGAAUCCAGAGUUUGACGCCAAUUCAAUGCGAGCACAGCCGAGGUGACGUGCCUAUAACGUUUUAAAGCUUGCAGCUUUUUUUUUUUGUUUUUUUGUUUUUGUUUUUUUUUUUGUUCUUACUUGUUCAGAAGUAAUCGUGUUAUCAGAAGGAAUAGUGUUUAUCUUAGAUUUGAUUUAGAACUCUUAUUUUAAUGUAUAGAAGUAAUCAUGUUAUAAGAAGUAAUUGUAUUUAUCUUAGAUUUGAUUUUCAGAAUUUUUAUUUUAAUGUUCAGAAGUAAUCGUGUUUAUCUUAUAUUAGAUUCUUUAAUUUUAAUCUCAACUAUUUAUUUCUCGAUAAAUUAAGUGAAGGUUAGGGAUUUAGCUUAUAAUUGUCUGAAUGAUGAUUGUAUUCAGUUUUGGAAAGUUGAAGGUUCGAAAAAAUUGAUUUUUUUAGAAAUUAGAUGCAAUUACUAAUUCAUGAUCUAGCAUGUCUAGAACAAAAACUCAUUCUUGAUUCUAGGAGAAUUUUUAAGAAAGCCUUUCGUUUGCUCAUCUUCGGUAGACCAAUUUAAAUUCUUUUCUUGUUUACAUGCCCAUGCAUUUGGACAAUCUUUCGCUAUACACAAAAAGUAAAUAGUUUUAGUGCGGAUAACAUCAUCCUGAGUGUUAUUAUUCCACUCACAUUAUAACGUAUGAGUAUUUAAAAAUGGAGUGUAUAACAUUGUCGCCUACAUAUACAUAACAUAUGGAAUAAGAGUUCGUUUGGAAGUGUUUUUUAAAAUACCUGAAAGAGUUUUUGGUGAAAUUGACUUUGUGUUCGAAAAACACUUUAAGUGUUUUUUGGAAGAAGUAUCAAAUAUAUAUUUCUUGCAGGAAGCACUUAAAAGUGCUUUUUUAAGAUCCACUUGUUUACUGAGGAUUAGUUUCAAAAAUAUUUUCACCAAAACAUUUUCAGUUAUUUUAAAAACAUUUGUAAACGAGCCCCAAUACACCAUGUGGUAAGUGUUUUCAAUACACGUAAAAAAAAAAUAUUUAUAUAGGACGAAAGUCUAAUUUUAUUUGGUGUGCCGUCAUCUAGUCUCCCAUAUUACUCCAUUAUGUUUUGUUCAAAGAAAAUCAAUAGCAAGACGAUUUCCCAGCAAAAUGAAGUGUGUGGGUGCCAAUAGCCAACCUAGUUGGCAUGUACACAUCUUAUAGUGAUCUUGCUACCUAAUUUACCUAAUUUAUCUUACAAAUGUGAUAUGUUUUCAGAUUGGAUAUCACAAGUCCUUAAUUUCUUCAUAUUUUCUAAAUGAAAAAAUUAUAGCAUCAGUCUCUCAAUUUUAAUCCAAUUCAAACAAAGGAAAACUAAUGAAAAGGGCUUGAAAACUUUGAGUUUUAAUGAUAAGGACAAAAUAAAGGGUAAAGUGAAUAGUAACAGGAUUGACUUUUUAGUGUAAAAAUGUGGUUUUUCGUUAAAGUGAACAGUACCAGGUGCUUUUCGUUAAAGUUCCCUUGAAACAAUGAUUCCUUAAUUACAAAUCCAUGACCCUUGGUCCCUAAACUCAUCAAAACGUGCAUAUAUAAUAAUUUUUGUCAACUCGUCAAAAUGACUCAUGUUGGAAGGACCAUUGUUAUAAUUAGGUUAAAAUUGAGAGAUCAUUGCUUCAAUUAGGUUAGAGUUAAGGGGUCAUUUCUUCAAUUGAGUCAACGUUGAUGGACCAUUGCUACAAUUUUUUUUUUCAUUUGGUUUUCCAUAUUUGCCCAUUUUUUCAGCCUAUGUGGCAUGUGACUUAUUUUGACAAAAGUUAUACGGAGUUGACAAAAAGAACCAUAGCUGCACAUUUUGAUAAGUUAAGGGACUAAUAGUCAUAGAUUUUAGUUGAUUGGCCAUUGUACCAAUUAAAUUAAAGUUGAAUGACCAUUGCUACAAUUUCCUCUUUCUAAUAAAAUUCAGGUCCUCUUGAUUGACACCGAGGCCCGACAAGAGCCCAAAAAAAUUCAAGGCCGGCUCAGCCCAAUUUUUAUGGGAGAUGCUAUCCACACCCCGCCUAAAAUUAACACGGUGUAUAAAAGAAUAAAAAAAAGUGUGAAUGCUACAAAUUUAUAACUAGUGUAUAAAGCACAAUUGUAGCCAAGAAAGCAGCAUCAGCCCACUCGAGAGGGGAGUCGACGAAAUGCAUCUCCCAAUACUACUCAUCUUCUGAAUGUCGAUCGGGACGCAACCUCCCGGAAGCAGCUGAAGAAACACUAUCAAGGUAAAGGCAUAUCCAAGAUUUAAAGUACGCAUUUAGUAAUAUGCCCCAAACGAUGUUUACAACGCCAAUGAAGUUUGCACAGGUACCUUCAAGUUAGGCACUUCAUGUCAAUAUGAAAUAUAGCUACCGCGAAAAUUUACGUGUUCUACGACACAUCAAAGGACUCUGUGCAUAAAUUGGCAAGGGGCAGGUGGACCUAGGUGUUUAAAAAGACCAGACGCUACUCUCUACUAAUUUACAUAAUAACACAAUGCCUCUGAGAAAUUCCACCGGCUCCAUAGAUUUCCAUGACGAUGUUGUCACCAAAAGUUUUGGGUACCUACGCUGGUUUUGCCCGAGAUCCAGGAUGGGAAAUUCUUACUAGGUGAAAUAAACAACUUACUGUCGAGGUACUGGCUGCGUAUUUGACUGAUUACUUUGCCCAUAGAACCCCAUACCCAGUGGCCGAUAAUAACCCCCAGUGGCCGGCUGCAACUGCUGCUGUUGUUGCUGCUGCUGAGGCUGCGACUGCUGUUGCUGCUGACUGGGCCUCGACAUGCUCAUUGAAAUAUGUGGAGGUAUGGGGGGUGGAGGUGGUAAAGUAUUUGAUCCAUAUCCAUAAGGAACUCCACCCACCAUAAGACCAGAGGAUUGGACGUAUUGAUUCGCUGGUGGAGUUGCAGUAGACGGUGAUGGCGCUGGAGGUGGUGGUGGCGGACCAAAAGGAUUUUGCAUCUGGUUACUUUGGGACAUGGGCUGCAUCGUUGCUGAGGACGCAAUUGGAACACUGGUCAUUGCCUGCUGGAGAGACGUAAAAUAGGCUGCAUUGCCACCAUCAGGAUUGUUAACAUCAGACAUUUGUUUCUCAAGCUUGGGCCGUUUUUCUGGAGGAAACAUGGAUAAUCCUGAUGUAAAUCCAGCUGAUGUUAGGCUACCGGUCAUCGAGGCAGCUUCUUCAGCAACAAGAGAUGAAAGAACAGACGUUAACAUUUGUGCAGAAGAUGUAGACGCAGCAAGCUUAGCAGCAACAGCAGCUGCCGCUGCUUUCUUGUUCUCUUCAUCAGUAAUUUUGACAGGGGCAAAAGAAAGCACGGACUGCGUUGGAGGCUGAGGUGGGAUGCCAGUUUGUUGAAGUAAUGGUAUAUUUGGUUCUAAACCCCUGGUAGACUCAGGUGUCAUGUUAACGAUAUUGCUUUCGGGGUUCAGUCUCCUUUUAAUAUUACCUACCCUCUCAAUCUGAUGUCGAGCAACCUGCAUGGAAACAAAUAGUUCCUAUUAAUCACAGGGAGUAGCUAGCACAUAAAGGAAUUGCAUUAUAAGACAUGGUUUGAUACGCUUUGCUCCGGACCAACUUUAUAAACAGACAAACCAUUUGAGUCUCCUAAUAAGUGCAUCACCACAAAGGAAAAAGAAAAGAUAUUGUUGAUAUUGUUACACCUUUCAGCAGAUAUUCAAACCCGAUGAGUAGAUUUAUAACUUGGAAACAAUAAAUGAUCAACCUCACUGUAAAAAGCAAAGUGAAGAUUUCUCCAUGUAAGAUUAGCUCAAAUUCGUAAUGUUGGAACUAGAAGAUUUAAUUAGGGGAGGACAUAUCACUUUAACUGAUGUUGCAAGUGUUAUUGUCCAAGAGUAAUCAGCUUAUUCUUAUUGCCUCAUCCGUCUCCUGGGAACCUUGGGACUUCGCUUGCUAUUUGGAGUUAAAUGAGGGCUACCUAAAUCAGUGUCUCCAUUUGACAUCCUUGCAUGGCCAGUUCUAGAAGCCAAGGCACUGGAACUACUUGGAGCUCCGAGAGCUUCACUAUAUAGCUUCCAUAAUGCUUCUCAAGAAAAAGGACUAUUAGAAUAUUGACAGGGCAGGAACACUAAAUUUCUGUGAUUCUAACAUCACUCCUGAGGACUUCUUUUAUCUUUGAUGGAUAAUAAAGAAGGGGGUGGGGGGAAGGAUCAUAUUUUUCAUUGAUUCAACUGAGUAAUAAUAUACAGCCUACUGGUUCCAUAAAUAAAAUGAAAAAUAAUGAAAAUUCAGAGUGUUAUACUUUUAUGCGCAAACGGAAGCGAAUUAUAACAAAGUACCAAAUAUCAACAUCGUAGGUGAAAACUAAAACAAACAAUCUCAAACUGACACAAGAGAUUUACGUGGUUCGGCGUAAAGCCUACUCCACGGGCGAAGCACGGCGAGGAAUUUCACUAAACAAACGGAGAUUACAAAAGAGUGUUUAAACUCUCACAACCCAAAUCCCACAAAUUACAAACCCUAAACCAAAUGAGUAGAGAACCCAAACAAACAGAGAAGAUUCUCCCAAAGUGCUCUCUAACUCACCAAUUGAUUCUCACCAAAUUGUCACACGAAUGAGCCACACAAAAUACACUAACCCUAAGGUCCUAUUUAUAGUGCAUAGGACUUAGGUUAUAAUAAGAAUCCUAAUAGGAAAUAAAUCUAAAUCCUAAUCAAAUAGGUAAUUAACAAAAUCUCUCCACCAAGGAAACUAACUAAGAAGUCAAAACCAAAUCCAAAUAGGACAUCAAAACCAAAUAGGUAACACAAACCUAAUUUAUUGCAUCAUCCUAAUUUUGAGCAAAAAACCCAACACAGAGAUCAUCCAAAUGAGCUCAAUCAAAGCAAAUAAAUUAGCUCAAUCAGCACCCUUAAAUUAGCUAAACCAAAUUAGCUCAAUCAUCCCUAAAACAGAAGGCUCUCACUCCCAGCUUGCUGCAAAUGAAAUCAAGAACAUGCUACGAGAUUUCAGAAAAACUUGAGCAACUUGAGCCUACAGUACUAAAGGCACUUACGGUUAUUCAAUUUUGUGUUAGUCACAAAGCCGAAGAAGAGGGAGUUCUUUCUGUCAGUUUUAUUACCAUAGAUCCUCAAGUGAAUCAAGCCAAGAACCAAGACAGCAUCUAAGCAAGGUGAGGUUAAAGUAUAGGACAAGAACCAAUACGAUAGAGGAGCCAAGUUAUAAAUUCAAAGUCUUUCUACUUUCUUUUGUAAUAAAUGCAGUUAGUCUGCAAGUUCUUUGAGUUUGCGUCUCUCUAUGUUACAAUAUUAAUUAUUAGGUGUCAUAAAUUUAGUCUUUAAAAUACUUGUGUAUAUUAAUGUGGAUCUUUCCAUGUCCAUGUACCAACUAGCCUAUAAAAAGGGCUACUUUGUAAGCUUUUGAAAAUAAGUAAACUUUGGGUUUCCUGCUUGUGUUGUGAGGCACAACCACCUUGGAGUGAUUCCAAGGCACCUUCGGUGUGAGACCGUAGGCCAGUGUGAUGCCAGAUUUUUUUUCUAAAAACCAGUAAAUUAACUCAAUCAUCCGUAAAUAGUAAACAGUAGGGUGUUUACAAGACCUACACUAACUAUUUCUUCACAUUAUUGUUGUACUUCGCAGACUGUCUACAUCCAUGGGUUGUUUCCAAAGAACAAAAAUAAAAGAUUGCAUUUGCUUCUCAGAGAUAUGCAGGAGUAGUCAAGGGAAGCUUUACCCCCAACACAUACAUAUUAAAAGCUCCAGCAAAAUAAUUACCGCCCAACCCCAGCUAAGUCCCAACUUAGGAGACAUUUUUAUUUGUAUCCAGAACACAAAGUGGUGCACCCCAUGUCAUAAUAUAAAUGGACGACAUGGUUGAUAUGUCCCACUUUUAGGGCAUAUUUCUCAUGUCCCUCCACAUAUAUUAUGACACGUGGUGUACCGUCUCGUAUUCCAGGUACACUCAAAAAUCUCUUUCAACUUAGAGUCGAAGACUCUUACAUCUUUAUCACUGCCAAUGCCUGAGAGGCCAUACGAAAAAAGAAAAAAAUUGUAAAUUAUGAGGAAAGGUAUUGCCCGUAUUUUAAUGUACAGUUAAAAAACAAGUUUAGAGAUCAUUUUAUAUCAACCUAAAAACUCAACGAAAUAAUAUUUCUAUUUAAAGUCGUAAAAAAUGAACAUACGGUCAGAUGGGAAAAGUUUAUUAAUCAAAUAUCUUAGAAAUUUAUAUGCCUUAAACAUUUUACUUAUUUAUUUUCUUUUACAGAGUCAGUCUGAGAGUAAGCCAAAAUUGAUGCAUGUUGAUGACAUUAUUACAGACCCAAAUUCAAUUAAAAUUUUCCGGGCAAAUUUAAAAUCGUAGAACUUUUUAAUCAAAAUUUAAAAUUGUCUUUCAAUUCAAUAUUACUUCUAUUCUGGGACUUAAUAUGCUUCUAAAUAAGUUGUUUUCUCAACUCAUCUCAAGAUUAUGAUUUCUAAAACUUGCUCACGCAAAAACCCAUCUGCAAAAGGACAAAAGACAAUACACAUACUAAAAACAGAACCGCUCAAUAGAUCAGUUGCAUCGAAGAGAGACCUAGAACUGAUACAGGACAGAUUUGAACCAAACUGAAUUGGGUUAAAAUUAGAAAUUAGAAUUGACAUAGGAAAGAUUUGAAGCAAACAAAAGUAAAGAAAAAGAGAGAGCAUAUGCGUCAAAAUACAAACUAGCAUCACUAACGAACUAAACACUCUUGACAGCUCAUCAUAAUUAAUUGUCUUGGAUAUAUGCACAUCUAAAUGCAUAUGGUAAUUAAGACCUAAAGUUGAUACAAAUGUAUCAUAUUCCAUUCUCAGCUACAAUAUAUACACACGCACAGAAGGGAGUCACAUCAAGAUUCAGUUUUCCCACAGUUUAGUUUACCUUCAAGCUAACUUUUUCCUACAAAACACAACCAAAUUAAUUCUUAUACAAACAUCAUCUAGCCCUUUCAAUCAAUAGAUAUCGACAUUUGAGGGAUGCAGGAAUCAAACUCAAGAUUUCAUUAUCAACAGAAUCAAGGUGCUGGGUUUAUAAUACCACAAUUUCUGUUAGCUAGAAAAGAUUAUGAGGAACUGGUGUUGAUGACUAGCUGAUCUCGAUAACAUUCAGAGAUAAAAACUUUCGUAAAUGAAAUUAUAAAGGCUUUGUAAAUGCACACCAUUUCCAAUAAAUUUAGACUUCUUAAUUUUAAGAGGGCUAAAUAGAGAUUAGUAAGGUACUCUUACCUGCACUUGAGUGCGAACAACUUCCAGCUUUGAUUCCUGUAACAGUUAUAUUAGCAAGCAUACAUCAGUAUCUGAAAUCUUAAACAAAACCACAGAAGCAGAAGUGAUAACAUAAGUGGAAUAGAAAAAAGAUUUGUACUUGAUCCUGGAGUGCUUCUUUAAGCUGCAAAACCAAGGCAGAUCUUGUUGCCUCCGAACUUUCAAGCUGCCCAACAGAUUGAUUAAGUACAUCUUCCUGCUCUUUCAAAUCAUCCAACAAUGUGGAUUCCGGCUGAGUUCCUGAUUACAGUUUAUAACAGCGAAAAAUCAACAAAACCAUUCUACAUGGCACUAAGACAAUAUACCUCAGGAGACACAGUAUUAUCUUUUACUGAAAGCAUCAAAGAGUUCAACCAUCUUCACUAAAUUACACACAUGAAAAUCAAAACAUUGUAUAUAUCAGCAUACCUAUCAAAUGAAGAUUUUUCGUUGAUCUCAAGGGUCUGGAUGGAUUUAGAUUUUCAGAUCCAUUUGGUUAACUUGACAUAGGAUUUCAAAUAAGCAAUUCAAUUAAUUUAAAAAUUAUUGCUCAUGACCCACACAACCCAAGAACAGUGAACCAUGGCCCAUGACUGUAGCUCAUUAUCUGUGGGUAUUGCUUGUCAGUUACUGUAACUGAUGAAACGCAACUUGCAACCUGUAACUUACAUUGCAAGUCGUGUUUCACCACUAGUAAUAGAAACUUGAACUGGUGAUAUCUAGGUUGCUGCUAUCCUUGGGUAUGGCUUGUGAUAAUGACAAAAGAGUGAAGGUAAACUUGCACUCUCUCCCCUUAAGUAUGGCUUGUAUAAUAAUUUUCAGUAUCCAGGUUGUUCAUAUCCCUGGGUAUGGCUUGUGACUUACUGUUUAAAUAAUACACUGAUGUUAUUAACUAAUACCUUUUAGUUAUCACAAUCAUAAAGUCAUAGCAACUAACGGUUUUAAGGUUCCUCAAUUAACUUAAAUCACAGAAGGGAAACAAAACAUACACAAAGAGAGGUGUAGAUUCAAUGGUUAGCAACUUCGUAUUCUAUUUAUAUGGUCAUUCCUAAAUAGUAAUACCCGAGACCGACAUUGUUACUCCUAGAACUACACGCAGUCUGAAACUUGCAAUUGUUACUCCUAGAACUACAAUCGAAACCGACAUUGUAAAAGACAAAGAUGAGACCAUUUGAGCAAUUAUAUAAACCAAUUCAAUUUUCCCCUAGCAGUCUAUUAAUGAUACGUAAAGGUCGCACUUGGUGUGAUGGCAAGUGCCUUCGCCCAUGAGCGGUAGGUCUCGGGUUCGAGACUUGGGAGCAGCCCCUCCAUAAAUGGGGGUAAGGCUAGCCGACAAUCACCUCUCCCAGACCCUGCGUAAAGCGGGAGCCUUGUGCACUGGGUACGACCUUUUUUAGUCUAUUAAUGAUACGUAUUUGCAUCUGAGCCAAAAAAUAGACAAGUCACAGAGCCUUUUGAGAUACAACUCGUGAAAAAAAAAUGAAAAUUCACACAAAAUAACUUGGACAACAUUCUUGACCAUGAACCAAUGGUACAAUACAAAGCCUAUUCAUAGUUCUCAAGUUAUUAAGAACGAAAUAAUGUGAUUAAAAAAAGAGACAGAUAGCCUGUCAUACUGAUGUGAGACUUUUCAAUCACUUGGCAAAGAUUAAUUAAACCUCUCUAAGACUUGGAAAUAAGAUAAGUUGCUAAUUUUAAUUUAACUAGAAACUAGCUGAACGGACAAACAGGUCAAAGAAGGAGAGGUCUAAGGAGGAGGUGAGCACCAAGAAGGAAGAAGGGAGGAGGUAAGCACCAAGAAGGAAGAAGGGAAGAGAUGAGCAUCAAGAUGGAAGAAGGGAGAAGGUGAGGAAGGGGGCAAACUAAGAUCUAAAUUCUAUACAAAGAACGGGAAAUGAUGCUAUUCCUUCUUUGAUGCUUUGUAUUGUCUAGCUAUAUUUAAAAGCUUUGCUCCUGCUUGCUUCGUAUAAUGUACAACUCUAAAGUAUGCACUAACAUCCAUUUGAAGAACAGACGAAACAAAAAUGGCCAAAAACUGGUGCAAAGUAUCCUCAUAGGUUCAAAACUUCUAGCAUUCCUCUCCCUCACAAACACCACAUAAUCCAACUAUACAAUGAGGAAUAGGGUCAAAACAUCUUUUUCCUAAACUAUCAAAAGAAAAUAGGACCAAAAAUAUCGUUCACUCUCAUACUAUCAAAAUAAAAUGACCAUCUUAAUAAAGCCACAUGAGAGUUCAUUCAAACUGAUCAAAAUAUAAUGACCAUCUUAGUAAAAAUAUACAAUUUUUUUUUUCUUUCAGAUAAGAAUCACGCAAAACCACACUCAAUACAUUCCACCUAGAUCACAUCAACUAUAAAUGCAACCAAUCCAGAUGGGUUACACAGUACACUAAAUAUAGCAUCCGAAAAUGCUAAGAAGAGGAAGCAGAAAAUCUAAUUCGUCCGACAUAAAAGUAAACUCCUCCCUAUCCUCAAAAAAUUUUCCCUUCCGUUACAACCAUGUAGAUAGGUUCUCCUAUUGGCCAGAGUUUAAAAGCUCUCUUAGUGGGCAGAGUUUAAAUUCUUUCCUAGUGGCCAGAGUUUAAAGGAUCUCUUACUGGCCCCCACCCACAGAAAGACCCCCGUCAACAAUGCAUAGCUAUUUCUUAGAAAAAUCAUGCAACAACUAACAAGUUACAACAUAUUUGUGAACUACAGGAGCAAUGUAAAAAGAUGUGCCCUGUUUAUUCACCAGCUAAUUUAAACGGCCACAGCAAUGAGAUAAGGAAACAUAGGAUCUUUUUAAAGCGUAGCACAAGUACCCAGACACAUGGAUAGAACAAUGCCUUCUAUCAAGCUAAGCUUAACUCAAAGAUAUAUUAUUGGUACGACCGUACGAGACAACAAAUUUCAAACAUCCACGAACACCCUGUCAUUUGGGUUUCUUGGGAUGAUUUAAGUUCCAAGACAAGGCAAAGAAGGAAAAUAUGGAUCUAAGGUGGACAAAACUGGAUUAUGAUCACACAAUAUCUAUAAUCAUCAAGGAAAGAAAAUUGAAGGGAUGAAUUACCUACCCUAGUAUCCUCCAGAAUUGGAUUCUAGUCCAAUUACGAACCACAAAUUUUGAACUAGGAGACUAGAAAUAGCCCUGAGAAACGUAUUUCCUAUGGCAUUGAAGAUAACUUCCACUCCACAACAUUAGAAUGCAAUAAAAUAUACUUUUGGUGAUCAACUGAUUUGUAGAAUUAGAAUUGUAAACAAACAAUAAUUAAAGUCAAAAUAAACAGAACCUAGUUUUCACACCGGAAGAGUCUUCUGUUUUGUCAUCUAAUCCUAUGACUCAUCAAACAAAGUCACAUAUAAACAAAAUUUGUGAACUUAACCACAUGUCCUAACUCUUACCAUGAAUCAAGGUGUUUUCAACAUCUUCAUCAAUUUUACCCACAUAAAGUACAGCAGCACUACACUUGUUUAAAGCAGCUUCUUCGGUAAGAUGUUCAUCAAGAACAGGUUGAAAUGCGGUAAGUAUUUUUUCUGGCAGACCUCCAACAGCCAAUUUCUGAGGUUUAGAAGAAUAAUAAGGCAUGUACAAGCUCACUCUAAAUAAGAAUACAAUUUUAGGCAUUGAAUAUAAAUCAACAUUAAAGACUGCCCAAAGUGCUUACAAGUCUAACUGAGUGUGCAUCCCUCUUCACUAUCUUGAUAGGAUUUGAACCCUUUCCAUUGCUUACAGGUGGAGCGGGAUGAUUGUUUCCCAUCAUAUCAUCUUUAAGACUCUGCCCUCGAGACCCAAAAACCUUCCUUUCUUCCCAUAUGUCAACCUGAACAAACGAGAUAGCUUACAGAUGAAAUAAUGAGACUAGAUUGCUAGGCACACAUUAUCAAAAGGAAGCAUAAAUAAGAGUGGACACUGAAAUGGUUCCCUUUAGUCCAUUACAUGGAAAGAAAGGAGAUUGUCUUCUGGAGAGUGGGAGCAAACUAAGAUUUUUUUGGAGUAAUAGAAGGUGCUAACUCAGUUAGGUAGUGAAAUCCUCUGAAGUCUAAAAAGUACUUAAGUUCAGAUUCCACUUCGAUGAAAUUACAAACACUGCAGAAUCUUUAAAAUUUCUCAGGCCCAUGCUAUAGACUUAAGUCACUUAACAUUGAAGUCUAAGUUCAUGCAAAUGCAUGCAUGCACACAUCCAAAUAUCUAUCUAUGGUAAUCAAUCAUACAGCUAUUUACUACUGUUAAUUGUAAAACAAAAGAGAACAUUCAUAAAUGGCUCACCAGUCUUGUGGCAGCUUUCUUUCCAUGUUGAUCACCAUUUUCAUAAACAUACUUGAGAGCUGCAGGAAGGACCUUCCAGAAUUCAUUCACAAAUUCACUGCCCUUUCGCCUACUGUUUUGCAAUAUGUCAUUAGCCAAAUAUAGACAAGCCACACGCUGAUCUUUCUGGGCAGAAUUAAAACAUUUAUCCCAUGUUUCAACAAUUUGCCUUGCUUUCUUUCGGUGAGAAAUACACCAACGAGACAGAGCUGUUUAAAUGAUUAAAGAAGCACAUAAUAUAAACAUCAAAGUUGAAGCUAAGUGAUCAGGUAGUACAUUAUAUAAGAAACAAUACAUCAUUAAGGGGAGGAAAAGGUGGAAGCAUAGAUAUGCACAAAAAUAGUCCUCCACAUAAUUUAAAAGUUAUGUUUCCUUUUAUAAGAAAGAAAUGUUACUGCUACUCAACAAAGUGCAAACAAAGUGGACAAGAUAUCACCCUAGAACAUACAUCACAGUACAGUCAAACUUAAUAAGAAUCGCAUUCUAUGACACCAAAAUAGUAUCUAUUGAAAAGUGAAUUACAGAAGUUAUUUACAUAAUCUAUACUAUUACUAAGGGAAGAUAUAAAAAGGACCAACUUUACAAUAAAAUACAUAGGCACUAUAAUAUAAAACGGACCUCCCACAUGCUUUUUUUUACAAAUUUUACCCUUAAUAAAAGAAAAUAAAAUAUAUAAUAUCGAUAACUAGAAACUAAAAUUCAUUCAAUAAAAUAAAAAUACAAAAAUCUCUACACAAUCUUUUCAGCACUCUCUCUUUAUCUCUUUUUUCCCUCCUACAAUAACAGUCAUUCUGACAUGCAAUAUAUGUGUGACAGUUGCUAGUAAACUAUAGCACAACAAGAACAUAGAUACAGUUGAAAUGUCACCAAUUAAUGCAAUGUUGAUACAGCCAAAAACAAGAGCAUACAGAAAAGGUAAAAACUUUAACAUUACAAGUUUUUUCACAAAUCUAAAAUUAGGGAAAAGUUUAAAUUUGUAUUGAAUUAGAUUUAGCAAGAUCCAAGUAAUAUAAAAUGUACAUAUGUUAGUAUGUUAUUCUAACAAAAAAAUUCUUAUAAAAAAGUAUGUUAAUGAGUAGGUGCGUAAUACAGCCACACAGAAACAAAUAUGAUACCCUCAUUGUAAACAUGACUAUCACUGUAUCAAAAAAUAAAUUAGCUAAACCAUGUAGUACUAUACAGAGGGGAUUUCUUAAGAGGAUACAUUCAAUGCAUUGUUGUGAACUGUUGAGUUUCGAAAGCUUGUCAGCCAAUAUCUGUCCGUCAAAUGCUUCAACGUUACUCAUUAUGCUGUUGCUCAGUUUUUUACAUCCCCUGCCACAAUAACUGUAUUGUUAUGCUAAAAAAAAUUUUAAAAAAUGCGGAAAAUGCAUUUCGAACUUGUAAAGUUUUUAACUUUUUUUUCACCCAUUUAAGUACAAGAUUGCAUUAACAGAAUAAACAAUUAUUUACACAAAUCCUGGUACUCAAUAUCGUCCCGUCUUGCUACAUAUUUACAUGCUAUCACAGUGAGAUAAACACAUAAAUUAUAAAUAAAUAAAAAAUCCCCCAUUUCCUAAACUAAAAUUUUGAAAUUAAAUAAACGCAAAAAAACUAAAAAUGUAUGUACAAUUUGUAAAGCUUUUAACUUUCUUCGACCCAUUCAAGUAUGGGAUUCAAUCAACAGAAUAAGCAAUCUUUACACUGAUCCUGCUACAUAUUUCAAUGCAAUCAGAGCUAAAAAUAAAUAAAAAAGAUAACCCAUUUCCUAGAUAAAAUUUUGAAAUUUACCAAAUUCUAGGGUUUAGACAAAAAACGUCCACGCACAGCUUCGAACCGAAACGCAGUUAGGGAAUCGAAUCGGAGAGAAGGACGGAAAUGAAGAAGGAGGAGGGAUGGCAUGGUUCGGAGACUUACCGGAGCAGCAGCGGAUGGACGUCAGUCUCUCUCUCUCUUCUUCCGGCAACUUUUGCUAUGGCCCGAGUGCGCUUGGUCCCUCUCUGGCUCUCCUCCCUCUGUGGGCUGAAACGACGCCGGGCUAUAUACGAUAUUUGCUAUACUCUUCCCUUUCCCAAAACCUUCAACUAGAGUCCUCAAGAAAAGAGAGAGUAAAAAUAUGGGUUAGCCCCAAACUUUGCCCAUUUUUUUAAAUUUAACCACUACCUUUUAAUAUGUUACGAAUGAACACAUAAAACUCGAAUUGACACCAAAAAUGUAUUUUUCAAUCGCAUAUACGCUUUUAAGUACCUUUGGUUAAAAAGGUUAAGUUUUGUUUCUAUUAUUUACACUAAAGGAGAGGGGUGGGCUUAACUCACAAUGAUUAGCAAUAAUGUGAUUCAAAUUCACCUUUGGCGAGAAUCAAAUCUAAGACCACUUACUUACAAGUAAAGAUGAAUACUAUUAGACCUUAGUACUAAAUGGCAAGUCUAGAACUCUCUCAUCACCAUUCUAAGUUUAUUUUUCUUACUCUCAGUACUAGUUUGGUACUGAGAUGUUUUUAUAAAAAGUGGGUAUAAAAAAAACUAAGCUCAAAAAGAUGUUUGGUAAACACUUAAAAACAGCUUAUUUUCACAGUUUUUGGCAAAAAAAAAAGUUGAAAACGUGAAGUAACAAAAAUGAGCUUAUUCUCAAAGCAGUUUUUUUUUUCAAAGCACAGCAAUACCAAAUCAACCCUCAUUUCUAUCUAUCAACCAAUUUACCUCACAAAACAUUUAAUACUUUAAUCUAAACACUCGGCAUUUAGGGUCUUUUGUCUGGAUUUGGAUCCUCUCCUGAGCUAAUGGAGAGGAUCCUCCUGACUCAUCAUCUUGGGCCGUUAGAUUUUUAUCCAACGACUACAAACAGGGGGUCCCUUUAAAGUUAUAAUAAUUAUAGCCGUUGGAUAAAAAUCCAACGGCCCAAGAUGAUGGGUGAGGAGGAUCCUCUCCAUUAACUCAGGAGAGGAUCCAAAUCCCUUUUGUCUUGGACUUGGCCACUUAACUUUUACCAUCAGCGAUGAAUAUAGGACCCCAUGAUCAGCCUCCAGACCUGCUGACUAAAAUUCAUCGAAACUUGUUAUAACCCUUUGUCACUAGAUUGAAUAAAUUAAAUAGAACCAACGAACAUGAUUAAACAGAGAUUUGUGAAAGUUAAAAAAAAAACAUGUGUUUAUAAUUCUCUUGUUUUGUGGCCACUUUUAGAUAUGUUUUGUUCGGGUCUCAUUACUCAUUAGAGCAUGUCUUAAGAACUAAAUUGAGUAAAAAGUAUCAUUUAAUGGAAGGUUAUCUUGUUUUCACCCAACAAGUAUGAUUAAAUCAAUCGAGUUGAAUGGUGCUACUUACAUACUCAUUUUUAUUUUUCUCACUCUUAUCUCAAUUUCUGGUUGUCAGAUUCGAAUGAAUUAAAAAAAAUCGGUAGAAAUAAAUUAUCGUAAAUCAAAUGAAACCAACAGGCAUAAUUAGUCGUGCCCGUGACGUGCUUGGGCCGUGUUUGACACCUCAAGAUCCAAUACUAAUUAGGCCCAAGCCACUAAAGAUUCAUUGCCGCCGGAAUGCUCUUGUGCUAUUAGCAUCAGCAUGUGAACCAUCUCAGAGCAAAUGCAAAUGGAGACGACGGUGGAAGAUACGUUGUACCUGCAGCUGCACAAGCUCUCCGCCACAGAGGAAGCGGCACUCGACCAGUUGCUCUCCACUCUAUGGCAAACCAGGAAAACCGGCCUCCACUCUCCCCACCAAAAAUCCCACUUCCAAUCUCUCCUCCAUCUCCCUUCUCUCUCCCACCUCGACCCUGUUCGUCUCUCUCUCUUUCUCUCUCUUUCUCUCUCUAAAUUUCUGCAACAAAAGCUAUCAAAUUUGCAUACCAAUUUGUUGUUUUUAGUGAUAAAUUGAAAAAUUACAGGUUUUGGCAUGCCUUCGAUCGCUUAUCAGAAAAUGGGUACACGAGAACUUCACCGCCAACGACGUUUUGAAGCUGUUUCCGCCCGAUUUGCCACUCGAUUUGCAGAGCAGUUUGGUGUUGUUGCUCCAGAAGUAUCAGGUUCAGUGGAAGGACGAAGUAGCUACAGAACAGGUAACACACUCAGGGACUGUUUGGAUUUGCUUAGAAGGGCUAAACGUGCUUUCUAACAACCAAAAGCGCUCAUGGGUCGUAAAAGCACUUUUAGUUGAAGUGCUUACGAGCAAAGUGCUUCAUCCAUAAGCAUUCCGAGCCCUUACUUUGACAAUGGACUUUCUUUUGGAAUCCCUUACGAGUAGAACUGCUUUCUACAUGUUUAUAGUAAAAGAACUUCUAGUAGAAGCACUUACGAGCAGAAGAGCUUCUUUCAUAAGCAUAUCCCGAGCCCUUACUUUGACCCUGAAAUUUUUGUCAAUCUCAAAACUAUUGCAAUUUGAUCGCUUACUGCAUAUUUUUUCCGGGUUCUCUUUGGUGUUUUGAUUCAUAUAUCUGAUGUUUUCCAGCGUUCAUUGCCAAGGGCUAGUGUUGCAUAUCAGGUCAAGGCGAAUGUGCCGCCGACCUUCACCUCUUUGGGUACCUCUGGCUCAUUAAAUGAUUUUGGAGCUUCAACAACGCCGAUUGUUUCUGCUACUGAUGCAUCUCAACUCACUUCCAUGCCUCCUGCAAACCUGGUGGUGGGUAUACUUUGGCGUUCAUUGGUUAUAAUUAAUUACCUAUGCUUGGAACCUUUUGUUCUAAUGAUAUUUCGUAGGAUUUGGGAAGUUUUUUGUUUUCUAUAUGAUCUUGGUUUCUCAACAGAUUCCAAACCAAAGCUGUUUUUUGUUGUGGAAAGUAUGCACCUGUUUUAUCUUUCAAAUAUAUCACUGAACUUGCAAACCGCGGAACAUUAUUUUCAUUUUCUUCCUCCCCUUCCCUUUAGGGGUAAAUGAUAUAACUAAUGGAUUUCCUCGAUAUAUAGGGAAUUCUACCUCGCCUAAAGUCAAUGACUUGGACCAUGGAGAACUGUAACUCAGGGCCGGCUAAUAAAGUGGCCGUCAUCACUCUAAAGGUAGGCAAAUUCUGAGAAGGAUUCUUCCCGAAAGAGUUUCGAACAAGUCAGUUGAAAUACAUUAUGAAGGUUUCAAUUGUGUUGUGUGUAUACGUAUAAAUAUAUGCCAGACGUAAGGUACACAUAAAAAUUUAAGCCUUCAAAAUCUCAUGUUUGAUAAGACUUGUGAAAUCUAAUCAACUGCAAGAUGUAUGUUUAUAUCUGUGUGUGUGUGCGCGUGCGAUUCAGUGCGUGCAUAUCUAUUUCUCAUCCCUUUCGCAGUCUCAUUAAUUUGUUCAGUCGGCUUUGUUCGGCCACAUGAUUUUAUUCUAUUUAAUUAUUUUUACUAUUACUUUUGCAGUUGCAAGAUUAUACCAAAUCUCCGUUAGAUGAAACGGAGGUGAAGUUUCAACUGACUAGGGACACUCUGGAAGCUAUGCUGAGAUCACUGACAUACAUUAAGGAACAACUCUCAAGCAUGGUAGGCAUGCUUUCUUCUAACUUAUUUGAGCAUUUGGCCUUCGUUCUACCCAAAAUUUUCAUCUGAACUUUAGAGAUAUAGGGAUGAUGAAAGAUUUCACAAGGUCCUUGUUCCCUUUGGAUCACAGGCAGCUUUAGAUGGUAGAAUUUUUAGCAAACAGGAUGUGUAUAUAGAACAGAAGUUUUAGGAUUCGUUUGAUUUUUGUGGAAUUAGAUAGAUGGAGAAGAAUGCGGAAGAGAAAAGAGACGAGAAGGUAAAGGACAUAAGCAACAAGCGUCAAAAAACAUCGAGGACCUGAUUUGCCUUAUAAGAGAGCCAUAUUUGGGCUUCAUAUAAAACUCCCAAAUACUCCUAUAAGUGGUCACCUUUUGGUUGGUGCUGCCAAGAACUGACCACCCUCUGCUGGUUGCCGGCAAACUUUAGUUUCCAAAAUUUGUGGAAAAUACGAAAGUUUCUUUAUACUGGAAACAUUAGAAAUGCCGAGAAAACGCAUCUAUUUUCUUAGAUGUAUAUUUUUUCUUUGAGAAGGUAUUUUUCUGCUAAUCAAACGAAAUAUUUUAACAGAUAGUUCAGCAAAUAGUUGUACAUCAACAUUGAUGUGAGAAUUUUAGGUGUCGCGCUUCUUUACCUUAUUGCAGAACGAUAUAUCUGAGCUUCUGUUGUGGAAAAUGUAUUUCAGGUCGGAGGAACUUCGGGGCCAUCACAGAAGAAGCAAAAGCAAUCGGAUCAUUUGGUUUGAUAUCGCUAAAUGUAUAGCUAACACGUCUAACAUCCCGAUAUGUUUGGAUACUAAGCGAAAUAGAUUUUGUUCUUCACCGUGACCAGUGAAUACAAAACUCUUACUGUACUUUCUUUUGUGAUACACUUUUAUAUGUCAGCUACUAAGUGAGAGUUUUGGAUUCGUGUAUAAGAUUUUAUUUUGUUUUAUUUAUUUUUUGGUCCUUUAGAAACAUUAGUAAGAUGGACGCAUUUGCCGUCUCCAUUCACAAACGCGAAGGUAGCUAGCAUUUUCCGUUAUUUAGAAGUUCGAGUGAAAUCAAACCAUUAAAUGCAUUCAGUUGAUGCGUGUAAGUUUCACACACAUCUACAAUUGACAAUCGUUCAUACAUUUGUAUGUAUUCAUUAUUCUUAUUCUUUAAGGAACCGACCAACGUCAGCUGAUCCAAAAAGUAGCAAAGUCGGCAGACGACUUGAAAAGAGACCAAUAAACUCUUCCACUCUUGUGCAUUUUUUCGGAUGCUUUGCUAGUGACAGGUUGGUCGGUUUUAACAAAGUUGAUUUACAACUUCAAACGGGAUUUGUUAUUAACGCUACAAAUAAUCAUCACGCACUUCUUCCCCCUUGUUUUCUUUCGCGAGAAAGAAGCACAUGAUGAGUUUUUUGGAGUGUCAAACGAAAAAUGGCUCCCUUUUGGAUACUUGCAGAAUGCAUAAGGCAGCCUAGUAGUUGAAAUUUUUUGAAUCGAUGGCGAGAUCUGAUAAGAAAUGUAAAAGAAAACGGGACAGAAGAAACUACCCGGAUUCAUAGCUAAAACAAUACGAGAACCUCAACUUUUACAUCCAAAACAUAAUGUACAAUACUGAUGAUCAAAGCCAAUCUUUCACCCAACUCUCACAAAAUGUAGGAUAAAACACGAAAAAUUCACACUUCAAGAAAUCAAACCAAAAACUCAUUCUUGAAGAAACCAAUCCAUAAAAAAUCAGCGAACGAAACUGCCACUUACCAAAAUAUGAUUAUAUCCACACCAGACCGGAGAAAACAAAGAGCUUGAAGUCGCAAUCCACCAAACACAUUCUUCAGUUUUCGUGUUUUAUAUUCUCAACCUCUGCCAAUCUGUCCUGUGUAACUGAUGGUUUUGGCGGCUCACCAUCAACAUUACUUCCUGAGACUUGCUCUAAAGCAAUAGGACUAGUUAUAGUUUCUUGAACACCAUGUUCUGUAGUACUUGAUGCAAUCUUCUCCACAGUCGACGCCAUUGCAGUAAUUCCUACUUCUGCCAAUCCCUCCUUCAAAUGUGAUGUUGGUUUUAAAAGCUCGUCGACAUGACUUUCCGAGACUUGCUCCAAAGUACUAUUCUCUUGAACACUUGAUAGUAUAUCACUUGAUGCAUACUCCGUUGAACUCAUUGGAUUAGUUCCUAUUUCUUCAGCUCCAUCAUUAACAUGACUUUCUGAGAUUUUCGUUGGAGUAGUGAUAUUUCCUUGAACAUUUGAUGGUAUAUUGCUUGAUGCAAUCUCCUCCACCAAACCUUUUGCACCAGUUUCUACUUCUUCCGACCCAUCAUGAACAAGAAUUUCUGAUACUUGCUUCAGAGGAGUGAUAUCUUCAUGAACACUCGAUAGCAUAUUGCUUGAUGCAAUCUCCUCCGCAGUACCCAUGGCAUCAGUUCCUCCUUCCAACCCAUCAUUUGAAAUUGACAUCGCCUUUGGCAACUCAUCAACAUGACUUUCUGAGACUUGCUCCAAAGCAGUAUCUGUAUGGGUAUCUUCUUGAUCACUUGAUACUGUAUUGCUUGAUGCAAUCUCCUCCGUAGAACUUAUUGCACCAAUUCCUACUUCUUCCAAUCCAUCAUCUGAAACUGACGCUGCUUUUGGCAACUCAUCAACAUGACUUUCUGAGACUUGCUCCAACGCAGUAUCUGCAUUGAUAUCUUCUUGAAUACUUGGUACUGUAUUGCUUGAUGCAAUCUCCUCCGUAGAACUUACCGCACCAGUUCCUACUUCUUCCGACCCAUCAUUAACAUGAUUGUCUAAGACUUGCUUCGGAGUAAUGAUAUUUUCUUGUUGAAAGCUCGAUAGUAUAUUGCUUGAUGCCAUCUCCUCCGCAGAACCCAUGGCAUUUGAUUGUACUUCUUCCGACCCAUCAUUUAAAAUUGAUGUCGCUUUUGGCAACUCAUCAACAUGACUUCCUAAGACUUGCUCCAAAGCAGUAUCUGCAUUGAUAUCUUCUUUAACACUUGAUACUGUAUUGCUUGAUGCAAUCUCCUCUGUAGAAUCCACGGCAGUAGUUCCUACUUCUUCCGACCCAUUGGAAAGCUCACCAACAUUAUUAUGAUCCGAGACUUGCUUCAAGAGAGUAUGAUUAAAUUCCAACGGUAAUUCUGUUGAUCCAUCCUCAGGUUCCAACACUUGAGGCAGCUCAUUAACAUUCCCAUUUGAAUCUUGCUUUAAACCAGUGACAUUAUCUUCCAAGUAGCUUGCUUCAACAAUUGGCAACUCUGAACUGGUCUGGGCAGUAUUUUCGGAUGCUUCCAAGCAUCUCUCUUCAACAGUUGGCAACUCGGAAUCUUCCAAGCAUCUUGUUUCAACAAUUGGCAACUCUGAACGGGUCUGGACAGUAUUUUCAGGCGCUUCCACCUCUAGCUGAUCGUCAACCACACUGGGAAGAACAACUUCCUCACCAGCUAGUCCCUUAUGAAUUUGCUUAAAAUACGUGUCAAUAUCAAGAACUGGUAGCUCCUGGUUCAAUUCUGACAGGUUUAAAUCACCAAAUUCAGUGCUUGAAACAUUUGCUUCCUCUGGUAUCAGCUCAUCUGUAUGGAAUGGCUCGCUGAUAACAUCAUUCACACUGAAGUCCCCAACUGCAUCUAACUCCGACAGCAGCCCCGCAUCAAUCUCCUUUACUUCACCUACUUCUUCUUUAAUAAUAAGUGCUUCGACAUGAUCAACAUAUGGUUCAACCAUGGAUUUAUCUGACCAGGAAAGGACUUUUCCGUGCUCUGACGGCGGCAGUUCUUCAGAAAGAACGGAUUGAUGACUACAAUCUGCUGUCUUCGUGUCAAAAAUCUUAGGGAGAUAGAUAUCAUCCUCUGAAUGAGAACCCACUAAGCCAACUUGGUUGCUUGUCCCCAAGCUUCUAUCAGUUUCAUCUGAUGCAUGUACUUUUGAGGUGGCACCACUUAUCUCUACAAAACCUGGAGUAUCUUUGUCUGUGCUUUCACCAUACACUUCAGAAUCCCGGUCUACAGACGGAACUUGCGCUUCAGCUAAUCCUGGAGGUGUAACCAUUUCAGAUAUAUCUGCUUGUAUAUCAGAAGAAAUAGAAUUGAAGGAAAGGAUCUUUUCAGUUGGUAGGGGGGUUGAGUCAUAGACUGGCUCAUCAUGUUCAUCUUCAUUCACCCUCCUGCUCAUAAACUGAACUUCUGACUCCUUCAGUGAAGGUUGCGGCGAAAUUACAAACUCCUUGGCGAUAUCACGUCUAGCCUCCAAACUGGUUGAUCCUCCUUCCACUGCAUCUGCAAUCUUUUCAUCCUCUUCUGUCAAUGAUGACAAGCUUGACGUACUGCUGUUGUCCUCUUCAAUCGGAUCUUGUUUGACAUGAACUUCAUUAGUAAUAUGUUCCCCAUGAGUAGCUAAACCCGUUGCACCAGACAAGCUCGGUUCCAGGUCUUGCGAUUCAAGCAAUUUUACUUCAAGUUCAUCAUGUUGACCAUCUCUUUUUCCGGCCUGUUCCAUUUCCAGAGAAUCUACGUCUUCAGAUGAUUGACUUCCGUGCUCAACAACAAGAUCAUCAGUAGCAUGGUAAAUGUUGGAUAUCGCUUCUGUUUCUUUAGUAAAGUCCUGCUCAUUGAACUUCCUUUCAUCCAGAUCUGCUGCAGAACUCACUGACUCGGUAUCGGGAACAGAACUCAACUUUGAUUCACUAACUUCGCUUAAUUGUCUUUGAAAUAAGGAACUGCUUGGUCCUUCAGAAGCCAACCGUUCUGAUACAAAAACAGGUCUCCAUUUAAAAUCUUGCCUCUCUUGCCUGGCCUGCCCUAAGGUUGACGGUCCCAAACUGAAGCUUUCAUGCCUUCGGAAGAUUGCAUCCUUGGCGUGAAAUGGCACAAACUCUUGCUCGAAAGGGUCUCCCUUUAGAUCAGGUUUUUCUUCAUUUGACUCAUACGGAAGAUCAAAGGGGUUUCGCCUUGGCAACAUUACUGAUGGAGCAGACCCAGGAAUGGGUAAACCCAAGUUGUCAAAGGGAUCAUACAGAUCAAAUGGGUUGUGUCUUGCAGUAGAGAUUGGUGUAACAUUAAACGGAAGAUCAACUCUAUCAAAAUCUAUAAGAUUCUUCUCUGCAGUUAUUUUGAAGCUUUUUCUUGCUCUUCUCCUUGCAAUAAGGUUCUCCAACCGUCGGUUCCUUUCGAGCUCCAGAUUCCCCAAAUCCAUGAGAUUCUUUUGGUCAUCCUCUGUCCAUUUGAUCGCAGAUUUGCUUUCAUCAUCCUUCCCACCCGGUGCUUCUUCCUCAUCACCGUCAUUAUAAUCAUUCCCAUCCUCUGCUACUUCUCCGCCUUGGUUUUCACUUUCCACGUCAGACUCAACACUGCCAGCAUUGUUCCUUUUAGACUGGUCUGAAGCAGCAUCAGGCUCAUGAUCAUGGGACACACGAGCUGGCUGUGGAGCUUCAAAGUAUAAAAGUGGGUGCAGCUCAUCAAGCAUCGGAAGGAUGUCAGCCAUUGAAGCAUCUGGUGAGGAACUCUCUGCUCGAUCUGACUCAGAAUCUGAAGCAUCGUCAUCCACAUCCUCACCAGCCUCAUCAUCACCACCAUUUCCAAGAAGCGAAGAAUACAAGUGAUCACCCUCGUGAGCAUAGCUUGCCUCUCGGGGACAUAUAUUUUCAUCUUUGACUCGAUGAAUCUCACCUCGCACCUUUUGAAAAGAAGUAUAUUGCUGCUCAACAGCCUCACCGUCAACACCACCACUGCCAAGCAGUGAAGAAUACAAGCGAUCACCCUCAUGAGCAUAGCCUGGCCCUCGAGGAGAUAUAUGAUCACCUUCCACUCGACGAAUCUCAUCUCGAAUCUUUUGAAAAAAAGUGUACUGCUGAUUAACAGUUCCCACAUCCCAGUCAAUGCCUUCUAUCCCCAAGUGAUCAUUAUCAAUCUUUCUCCGCUCUCCUAAGUCCGAACUUUCUAAUUCUCUCUCCGCAUCCUCAAUCUCUCUCUUCUCACCACCAGUGUUUAGCAAAUCCUCAUCAAUCAGUGGCAUAUAAACAACUGAACCAUCGCGAUCCUCAUUCACUCUCUUCUCACUAUCAGUGUUUUGCAAACCCUCACUAAUAAGUGGCAUAUAAACACCCAAACCAUCACGAUCCUCAACAUUGCUACUUUUCUCUACGGAUGCAUCAACAACAUCCCUAGCCUCUCCCAUGAACCUUUCUGCGGAAAAGCUCCCAUCUCUCUCAAGCACAACAGUGUCAUCCCCUAAACUCCUAGUCCUAAGAGAAGCAACAUCAUCACAGGUAACCUUCUCUUCCCUUUCGAUUUCGGGUAUGUUGGUUUGGCCAAAACUCAAAAGGGUUCCUAGAAGAACCGCAGUGCAGACUAAAACCGGGGACGUCGAAACCAAAAGGGUAAACACAAAAGGAAACGAUCUGUACAGAAAUAGCAGGAAAAGAAGCAACCCAGCAAGAAAAGGAUGAUUGCAAAUUGAUCUGUAACAUGCUCUGAGUGAAAUCAUCACAAUUUUCCGGAAAUUAACAACAAUUUCCAACACCAACCCCAUUUUUUAACUUUCUCAGUGGAUUAUGGGUAUAAAUACUAAUCGCAGUUCCAAUCUGUAUGAACAGAAAAUUAAACCAAUCAAUCAACAUACUAAAAGCAAAAGCAUAAAACUAGUAAAUUAAGUAGGAAAUAAUCAGAGAAAAGAAAAACCCACCUCAAAGAAGAACCAAAUGGGAUUUCAAAGCGAUCAGAUGAAGAUCAAUCCAGAACCUGAAAGCAGAAAAAUUGGAGAAAAAAAUGGAAAAAAGUUGAGAUUUUUUUUGUAAGGGAAAGAGAAAUGGAGACUGAGAGGGCAGAUGAAAAACCAUAGAAAGUAAAGGGCAAUGGGAAUCUCUUGAGCUUUUUCUUUUGAAGGAAAGCAGCUAAGGAAAGCUGUAUGUAUGUAUGUAUGUAUGUAUGUAUGUAUGUAUCUAUAAUUCUAUAUCUCCAUGAAUGUAUGUCUGUGUUUUUGGGUAUAUUUGAUAUGACUUUUUAGUGUUGACAGAGAGGAAAAUGGGGCGGCACAGAAAGAGGAGAAGAAAAGAAGCCUGCCCAGUCAAUAAAGUCAAUCGCAAUCACGACACCAACUUCUUUGUCUGAAAUAAAAUACAUAGCAGAUAACGGUCUCACUCCUCCACUUGGGGUGAACGACUUAGGUACGUGACGUUUUGUACCAAUAAAAUAAAAGUACGUAAAUCAACUCUUUCGUGUAGGUAUAUCCGUGCUAUUUAAUAAAUUCUUCGUAGGCUUUAGAGAAAUUUAUGUAAGGUAGUUUGACUAGUUAGAUAGUUAAAUACUCACUGUACUCCCACAAAGUAAUAUACGUGAAUUUUUUAAAUAUCAUUUGUUAUUCUCGCAAAGAAAUGAAUUUCGCUGUAAGUAAAGUAACGUUUGACUUUACAUAAGUAUAACUUUUAAUGCAUAUAUUCAAUUUAUUGUUAAGAGUUAGGUUGUCAUAUUUAAAAUUUUCUCUAUUUAUCUCGAUCGUCCAUUAUAACAAUCACCUGUGACAAUAAAAAGUAAUCGAGCGAUGACAACCAAAAAGUAGGUUUGGAAGAACCAAAGAAGUCGUUCUUUGAAGUUGGUCAAACUACCAUACUCAAAAUUCUCUUGUGCACCAUAAUUUAGUUCCCCCUAUAGUUCAAAUUAAAUUAGAAGACUUAAUAUGUUGUCAAACUUAUUAUUUAUGAAUUCAAACAUAAAAAAUCCCUCAUUUACAAACAAAGAAAUAUAUUACCAAAUUAUAGUAGUAAGUAAUUCGUAUUAUGAUAUUCUCAUUUCUUGGAGUUUCUGUUUUAUAGCGGCAUAAGCAUGUUGGAAAUUUUAUAUUAAAAUUUUAGGUGUGUGUUAUCCAUACAUCCGUUUUUACUUCUUACACACUUCUUGUUAAUUUUUAUCCAUCUGAUUCGACGGUAAAAAAUUAUAAGAAUGUAUGAAAAGUAAAAAAUGUGUAUGGAUAUCACAUCCCAAAAUUCAUUACAUCUUAACCGCUCAUUGACAUUUGUGAUACCCCUAUCCCUACCGUUCAUCUCUUUAUCAUAUUCACAUGUCGUGGGAGCCCAUAGUCUCUGUUUAACAAAUUAUUUUAUUAAAAAUUCGAAUAAAAAAACAAAUUAUUAAAAAAGAGAAUGUUGAUGGUAAAAAGUCAUGAACGGCGGUCCGAAUACCAAAUCAGAUGUUCCUACAAAACAAGGCACACAAAAAUUUCCCCUAACUUGUCUUUUUUAUUUUGCAAGAUUCAUCCGUCUCAUUUGCGUCUUACCCCUUUUCACAUAACACUUACGACUCACCAUCAAACGGUGAUCUCGCACGAGACCUUCUCGACUGGAUGGGGAAUUUGGUGGCUCUAGGAGGGUUCAACUUGGUAUUUUGGAUCCGACCCAUUACCCCAAUUUGAUCCGACCCAACCCGUUAAUAUUAGUAUUUAGGUGGAUGCUUUAACGGGUCAGAUCGUUAACAGGUGAAUCCGUUAAAUAACGGGUCAUUUUGGAUCAACCCGUUAGCACCCGUUAGUUGAUGAUGUUUUAAUAGUUUCAGUAAAGUCUUAAUAACAAAAAAUAAACACUAUGAAAAAAAAAAAAUAAUAAUAAUAAUAAUAAUAAUUAUUAUUAUUAUUAUUAAUGGAUGACAUGUUAGCUUAACGGGUCGGAUUCGGGUGACCCGUUAACUUAACGGGUCAGAUUAAACCCGACUCAUUUACAGGUCUAUUCGUAAUGAUGGGAGUAGGAAGUGGAAUAGACUAGUGAUGAGAGGAGUAUAUAGAGUUCUUGUUUGGAUACAGGACCCCGUUUGUUACAUUUUUUAAGAGGGACUAGCUUUGGCUAGGACUAUAGUCCUAUGUUUGGUACGGUCAAGGAUAUGGGUGAUUUUCAGACUAGAUUAGAAACAACGUUCGUUUUUUUUAAAUUUGGAAUCGGAGUAAUCUCUGUAAUUUCGAUCUACAUUUGGCUACUCGUAAGGUUAAUUCUGGCGACAAUAAAAGUGUAAAACCACACGACAUUCGAUCUAUAAUUGCAAGUCUUCUCAAAUUAUAACACGUCAUAGAAAAUCCCAUGGUAGGUGACUGUAUUUUGAUUACUGGGUGACUAAUAGAACGAGACUCUUCCCCGCACUAUCUUUUUCAUGGACUUCGUACACAGAGAGUAUCUCGUAUGUAUCUCGUAUGUAUGAAUGAAGGUAAAUUGAUCAUCUGGCCAACAAGGCAACACGAUCCUUCUGUAUUGCCUGCGUUAGGUUGAUUUCGAAGAGCUCGCAUCGUAUUGGCAUCUCCAUCUCAUAAAAGGGGUUCUUCAAGACGUAAUCGGUGUACAACUCAUAGAUAUGUUUCAAGAGACCUUCCAUGUGCUGCGUCCCAGGCUCACACACAACAAAGAACUUUGUCCCUGCAAAACCGAAACUAUCUUAUCAAAAAGCACCAUUUUUGCAAUCCCUUGCAUUAUUGCAAAAUUUCAAGUACAGGGUUCGCUUCUUGAACUGUCAUGGGAGGGGGGAAAAAGUGCAACCAAUGUCGAACUCUAAAAUACUGGUUCAAUUCGGAAGGAAAAAAAGGCCAAACCAGAAAAAGCAGACACAAUUACUCUGUGAAAAUGAAAAGCAAAAGAUAUUAACGCUGAAACAAGCAUUAACUUCGUGCUGGGGAAAUCUCAGACCGGCAAAUGGAUCUGACUUGCCAUCCAGGUUAUAAAAACAACUCAUCCGAGUGAUGCAACUCAAGUAAUAACACUUGUCAAAAUGCCUACUACUAUGUACAGUGUUGAAUCUGGCAUAUCGUAUUCCUUGUACUAUUUGAGCCAUUUGCUAAAAUCUAGCAUAUUUUCUUCGCUGGAAGAAAGUAAAGAACUUAAAAAUUCCUACAUUUACUGCAAGAAUGUGAUGCGGGGAACAAGGGGAUUGCUACAUAUGAUGACCAGAUUGAGGAAACAAACCGUUCAUACUUUGUUUAACCAGAACAAACAAGAUCCUAAUUGUAUGGAAAUCAUUAACAUGACACCAAAUCAAGUGGACCGAAAUUCUCAUUGUGUAAUCCAUCUUCAAAAAUACGUAACCCCGAGACAGAAGUUGCCUAAAACUUUACAGACACCACCCUGUCUCAAACAUUACAACAACAACAACAACAACAACAACAACAAAGCCUUUUCCCACUAGGUGGGGUCGGCUAUAUGAAUCCUAGAACGCCAUUGCGCUCGGUUUUGUGUCAUGUCCUCCGUUAGAUCCAAGUACUUUAAGUCUUUUCUUAGGGUCUCUUCCAAAGUUUUCCUAGGUCUUCCUCUACCCCUUCGGCCCCGAACCUCUGUCCCGUAGUCACAUCUUCGAACCGGAGCGUCAGUAGGCCUUCUUUGCACAUGUCCAAACCACCGUAACCGAUUUUCUCUCAUCUUUCCUUCAACUUCGGCUACUCCUACUUUAUCUCGGAUAUCUUCAUUCCCAAUCUUAUCCUUUCUCGUGUGCCCACACAUCCCACGAAGCAUCCUUAUCUCCGCUACACCCAUUUUGUGUACGUGUUGAUGCUUCACCGCCCAACAUUCUGUACCAUACAACAUCGUUGGCCUUAUUGCCGUCCUAUAAAAUUUUCCUUUGAGCUUCAGUGGCCUACGAUGGUCACACAACACGCCGAAUGCACUCUUACACUUCAUCCAUCCAGCUUGUAUUCUAUGGUUGAGAUCUCCAUCUAAUUCUCCGUACUCUUGCAAGAUAGAUCCUAGGUAGCGAAAACGGUCGCUUUUUGUGAUCUUCGCUAGAUUGCUCCGGUCAUUAGUGUGGAUAAGUAUAUAAAUGGAUAGAGAUAGGAAAGCAAACAAAAGAUGUACGUGGUUCACCCAUAUUGGCUACGUCCACGGAAUAGAGGAGUUCUCAUUAAUUGUGAAGGGUUUACACAAGUACAUAGGUUCAAGCUCUCCUUUAGUGAGUACAAGUGAAUGAUUUAGUACAAAUGACAUUAGGAAAUAUUGUGAGAGAAUGAUCUCGUAAACACGAAACUUCUAAGUACCGGAGUGUGGUAUCGUCUUGACUUGCCUUAUCUGUCUCAUAGGUAGAUGUAGCAUCUAGAACCGUGAGGUGAGAGUGAGGCAGUUCUCGCUCAAUGACAAUCUUUAGCACUCACCUCAGAUAACAUUUUAUCCCUCCGUAAUAACUAUCUGUCAUUCACUACAUUACAGCCUAAACUAAUGCAAUUCACAAGACUCGCUUCAAAAGUUCAAACCAAGUAGAUGAGGCUUACUAGGUUAGCAACAGAUCGAUCCCCAAUUUAUCUCUUCGGAACACAAAUUAAUCUCACCAGAUUGAAAAGCUACAGAGUUGUGUUAAUCUGACAAACCUCCUCAGAACUUCACCAAAUUUACAGUUUACAAUUAAAAUGCUGGCUGCAAUAGUUCAUAUGGAUAUCUAACAAUAUUUAACACACAACAACUAUUUGAGUUACAAAAUCACCUACAUCAUCUCUGCAGCUUGUUCAACACCCGCUUUUUCCAAAUUCUACGAAUGUUACUGAAACCCGAGUCCUACAAUACACCGGUGUAUGAUGCACCAGUUUUAUCAACAGUUAGAUUGGAAUAUCUAGAUUAAAGCACGCAAAUCCAGUCAUCCACUGAAGUAUUGCAUCCUAUACACCAGUGCAUUGUCGAAUUUUCGAUUGAUACCGAUUAAACAAAAGUGCAAAUUCUUUGAAAACCGAUAAGAUCAAAGUUCGAAUCGUACCGGUGAGUGAUUGAAAGCAAUGAAGAUCGAAAGUGUCAGCUUGGAGGAGCUCGAUGCCGAAACAGCCUGAUACUGGCGACAGCUGCUGAGAAAUGGCGUGCAUUGAGUGCCACAAGCUUGCAACCCUCAAGCUAUCAUUCGUGUCCAUUCGUCCCGCCGACCCAUAGUCCUAAGAUUGUCCAAGCAAACAAAGAGGCACAUCAAAAUCGGUUAAUUUCCUGUUUGGUUGCCGAGAAAACGGAGGAAAAUGGACGCAAAAUCGAAGCUUUUGAAAGAAAUCCUUGAAUUUUUUUGAGAAACAAACAGAAAGUGAGUUGAAAGAUUUGGGGUUUUUGUUACCUUGUAGAAGAUCAAGCCGCCUGAUUUGUUAAUGAUGUAGAGGCUGUAAAUUGCUGCCAUUUCCGAGGACUAAUUCGGAAAACGAAAAAAUGAAGAGGAAGAGGCUCUUGAUUCAAAGAAGGUAAUUAAAACCUUUGAAACCAAGGGCAGAUCGGGGCGGAGGCAGCGAAGAUUGGCGGAGGAGAGCGAGAGAGAGAGGAGGCAGGAGUAGGGAGGUCUGAUCGGGGUGGGUCGAGAGAUUCAAAGGCACAACCCGGGUCGCAAUUGGCACUCACUUCGCAGUUCGCACCUCCCCGGGUUUUUUUUUUUAAUAUAACAAAAAGAUAUAAUUUUCAUUACCAUAACUAACCACUUACAAGGAUGUCAAAUGGUACAUAUGCUUUAGUGAUCAAUUUCUUAAUCUGGAGGUAAUAAGCACAAAUUACAAAUGAUUUUAAACCCCUAUGCGGCCAUCACUCAAAUCGCACCACUAGAACAAGGAAUCCCGAUAUUGAUAUGUCCCAUGGACAAAAAGUGUCAUACAAAGCAUCGAAACCCUCACCAAAACCAUUGCGAGACAACGAGGCUACAAAAUCUCAGAAAUGACACAAACCACUUGCCGAAGCAACACAGACCAGUCAUAAAAACUAAAUUAAAAGAACAAAAGAACAAGGUGAAGUGUCCAUAAUGGAGAUGCGGUUGCAAUUUGGUAGUAGGCAUGGGUAGCAGAGGCAGAGGCACAUGCAAAAAUGUCAAGAGGUGUGCGAGGCCAACUGUAGUCGGGACAAACUCAAAGGGGUGGGCGGAAGAGGAUCUAGCCAGAGCCACCAAAGUCGUCGGAAUGCCACCACAAUCUAAAAACCUGCAUAAAACAUGAUAGCACCAAGAGUUGCCAGAAAUUCUUCUGAUCGGUGUUGGUCACAGUUAUGGCAAGAAAUAGCGGCAAUGACAUGGAUGGUAGAGGGGUUGCCAAGCCAAGACCACCCACAUCACUGCACUGCCAUCCCCAUCACCACCACAAACCCAAAGAGGACAAAACAAUAGUUCCAAGGGCAAAGCCCUCGGAAAAGUCCAAACAACCUAGAGAAAAUUCUGCUAGCAAAUAUGCACACCAUCACUGUGGGUGCCCAGGAAGCCACUGCCGAGAACACUCCAUGUGCAACCCCACCCAGGAAGCAUAAGCUGCACAAAUCCAAAUAAACGAAGCCUCCAGUAGGCAUGACAGCCACCAACUAGGCAAGAAGAGCAAAAAACCAGAAAAAGUAAGUCAAAUACCACAAAAACAACCCAAAACCGCAUAUCUAAGCUCCAAACAAGGGAAAAGCCUUGUAUGGCAAUAAAAUCAGGGAAGUGGGUCGGAGGCUCACAACAAAGCCAUGAAAACAGGUUGCGCACAGAAGAGUGAGGGGAGAAGGUGCUGGGCAGACCAAGGAACAAAGAAAAAGAGAAAGCAGCGAGGGGAGGGUUGGGGGCGCAGAAAGAAAGGAAAAAAAUGUGUGGGUCGCAGCAAGAGGACAGAGGGUAAGAAGCAAGGGGUGGAGAGACUAGGAGGAAGGGGAUGCUAGAAGGGGGUGGGAGGGGUUGCCGCCGGCCCAAGCCUAAGCAAGGAACCGGCGGUUGAAGCUUUGCAAAGUUAGGAUUUGUGGUUGGAGGAAGAGCUUACCAAUUUAUUUGCACAAUCUUUUUUUUUUUUGAAUUUGAUCCUACCUCUCGGGUUUGAAUUUGAUCCAUAUGAUCAAUUUGAUAUCCAGCUUAUUGCUGAUCUAGUGAUAUUUAGCUUUAUUUGUUAAUUCGUGAGUAAGAAUAUAUGUUUUGAAUUCGAUUUUUGUGGGUGGGAAAUUCGAUUUCAAAUUAUUAUAGUUGGUCAUUGUUUUUAAUCUAAAUUCUUCACCCCCGUAAUAUAAAUUCUCGAAUAAGAUGUUGUAUUCUAGUUCACACCCGAUUUGAUUUUCCAUGUCGAGGAAGACUUACAUGGCAACAAUUCCACCAUAACAUCCUGAUCCGAUAAUGUAUUGGUGUGUGAAUAAAAAAUUACAAAACAUAAGUGGUUGCAAAUCUCUUGAGAUUGUUUGAUAACAAAAUAUAUGUGGUUGCAAAACUUCCCCAAGGAUUAGUAAAAUAAGAGAAUUCGUGAAAGGUACUCCGACGCUGAAGACAAUAUUUGUAUGAAUGUCUUAUCAAGAUUUCCUUAGUGCAUUGCUGAUGUGUGGGAUUCAAGGCAUCACAUUCUCGAAAUUCCAAUCUCAGUAGAAAUAUUGAUCUUUAAACAACGUGUCAGCAAACAAGAGAAAACCUUUUCAACCAAAGAGGGAAAAAAAAAAGGAGCUGUAAAAGUAACUGUGUUAAAUGUUUCAUUACAUAAGGUGAAAUAUCAUAAAACCAAACCCUAAAACCUAGUGCUCAUCAUGCAGCCACUUUUGUGCAGUCAUUUGCAACAUCUUUGCUGUCGUGCGGUUGUCCUUGUACCUUCUCAUCGACGACCUCCAAGUUCGACGAAGCUGCUUCAUCGCACGACGAGCAGCCGCCUUCAUCGGAGACCUCAGAACAAUGGUCAGAAGUCAAUUGCUGCAACUCGGACAUGAUUGAUGGCGAAUAAGCUGGCGAAUAGGCUGGCGAAUAGGCUGGCGAACAACCUGAAUCGAUAAAACUAGACAUUUUCUUGUCAUCUUCUCGCAUUCUUUGUCCGUAAGCUUCAUAGUCGAAACCAACUGAACUUCUCCCGCCAAAUGUGGAUUCCAACUUGUCCAUGUUGAAAAGAUCUUCCAUUAUCUUCUGGCUCUGCGAGUUGUCCGAGUACACAAACUUCAUCUUCUUGUGUGUUUUUGGCUCAAGAAAUGGUUUUACCAACUGCAAUUCAAGGAAAGUUUCACCAGAUUUUUCGAACUUACUACAAAGAGGUUUCGAUAAUACUUAAAAACCAAUAUAGAUAAAGCUAAUCAAACGAUCAUUUAAUAAAGAUUUCAAACCGAAUUAGGAGGAGCAUUGUGGUCAGUUUUUACGCAGAAAACACAAGGGAAAGAAUAUGAGUACUUCAAGUUGAUGUGAUCUUCUUAAAUCGCAAAACUGGUGACAAAUGACAGACAAUUCUAAUAAACCAAGUAUGCCAUAAAACAGUUGGCAAGAGAUUUUCGUCUUUAAAAACCUAGUUUGAGUUGUUUAUUUUCGUCUUUAGAGUCUGCUGGCAGAUAAAUCUGGUUACAGAAACUAGUUCCGUGGCCAGAUUAUCCACGCCCCGGUUUUUCUCUGUAGUUUUCUACCUUCCUGUUCUUGUUCUUCGUCAUCCAACUACCCCGGAAUCUACUCAAGUCCCAGAAAAUCCAUAAGGAAACCCGGACCUACUAUUGUCUUCAUACCAUAUAUAUUGAACAAAACGUUAAUCGUGAAGCUCUUGCUUACGUUCCAAGUUUCCAACAUACCUCACUACACUAGCCCUAAUAUCAAAUGCAAAGAGUAAUAUCAUAAAACUUGAAGAAUUAUUAGGUUUAGACAAGAAAGCAAUAACAAUUGCAGAUAGAUGCGUAAUAACAUACCGUCCAAAAGGACUCAAAUAUUUUUGGUGGAUUAUAGAGGAUGCCAAUUCCCAAUCUCUCAGGGUAAUGAUUUUGCAGGAUCUUAGCUGUUUCCCUAGUCGCCUUCAACGAUAUGCUCGACGUGUUCCACCGUUGAAAAUCAAUUAGCCACACCAUCUGUUCCUGAUCUGGAUUCAUAUUCAGUAUGGCAUUCUCCAGGCAGUAUACCAAAUACAUCAUCUGCUCGUUUACCGCAUUUGUGUUCUGACACGACGAAAGAAUUUCACAGUCAAACAGAAAAAUGCUAACAACUACUAACAUUAACGUAGAUGCUUUUCGUUUGAUUUAACUACCUGAAAACCAGGCCUCAGGAUAAGAACUGUCCUUCCGCACUUGUCAUGGUAAUUGGCUCUGUAAAUUUUUCCUGUCUUCGCUUCUUGAGUAAUGUUUUCCUAUAUAAGAUUAGAAUAAAUCACUUUCAAAUGGGAUUAUUCCAUGAAGUUUUGAAAAAUAGACGGUUCAAACCUUUGAACUACAAAGUACAAACAACAUGCAACUUUACGAGAAGGAACCGAUUUUUUUAAGAUCCGAACUGCCUAUUUUUUUAAAGUUUCGCUCAAAGAUAAUUCUGCUAAAAAUCCAUCAAUUUAAAAAUCAUGUAAUCAUAUGAUUAUCAGCACGGCAUUUUCAUAUUCAUGGAAACGCUACAUUCGUCUAUUAAUUUGGCUUUUUUUUUUUUUUUUUUGCAAGAACAGUUUAUGCAUCAAAACUUUCAGAAAUUGACGGUUCAGAUCUUUGAAAGAUGCAUGCACAUUGCUUACCCAUCGGAUCUUCUCGGGCUUGAACUCCAACCUCCAUUUUAUGGUUUCUUUCAGCAUCUUGCCCGCCUUCUUUGUAUUCCAGUUCCGCGCUCUUAGGUACCUUGAGAUUGAAGCUUCUGAACAAAUGGCUGGUAGCCUAUCCGCAAUAGGACCCAUCAUCUUCCUUACUUCAUAAAUCUGAAGAACAGAAGGGCCAAAUUAUUUCCCAUGAAAAAAGGUUAAAAAAUAAACAAAAAUACAUAGAACUUUACUACUAUAUCCACGUUCUCAAUCACCGCUACAAUGAAACAAAAAGAAAAUAAUUUCUGCACAUCAUUUUCUCAUUCUGCACGCUCCUGUUUAUUUUUGCCCCUUGAUUUUCCGUCGAUUCUCGCUUCAAUCAAAACGUCAUGCAUAGGGUUGCGCGAAAACUUUCCCAUGAAUCAAAAUCUUAUAACCUCAUCUAUACCUUGGCCAGCUGCUCUCCAUGUGACAAUGCUUUAUCUGUUGUGCUUUCUCCUUUUUUGAAUGACAUCUUUUAAAAAAUUUCAAUGACCCUAAAUUUUAACGAAAUCGAUCACCAAAAAUCAACUGCAAAAUUCAAAACAAAUAAGAAAAAUUAUAUAAAAUUGUAACAAAAAAAAAAAAAACAACGAGGAGGAGAAAUUGAUCGAUAAGAAAAUUUAUAUAAAAAUUGAAACAGAAAUAAAAGAACUAGUACGUGUUUUGCCAGGCAAAUACUCAGAGCUCAUGGCAAAUAUCGAAAUCAAUAUCCAUUUAAUAUUUCCCCCAUCUGAAAAUUCCUAUCACUUUUUUUUUCCUUAUUUAAUAAUAAUAAUAUUAUUUAUAGAAUGAUGGGAAAAUAACAGAAUGAUGGCAAAAUAACAGAUUUUGGAUUCGAUAAAUAAGGGAAAAAAAGGAACAAAAACGUAUUAGCAUUAUCCCUUCUAAUCUUUUCUUUUUCAAAUUAUUUAUUUAUUUUAUUUCUAAAGAAUUAUUUUGGCCUGAAUUAUUAUAAAUUAACCAGCAGAUGUCAGGUAAGAAGAAAGGUGAGUACGUGGACGAAUUGGAGACGAGCGUCUGGGAUUUACGAUGGUGGACGGAGAGCAGGUUUAGGACCGUUAGUUGAAUUUUUCCUCAAGCAAACUCAAUAUUACAAUUUCUUCUCUUUUUUUAACGGCUCUUUUUCUUUUAGGGGAACGAGUGGCCACAUUUUGAUAAUCCAAAAUUUAGCGAUUGUGACCUCGUAAUUACGUAAUUACGUAAGUAACUUACACGCAACUGAAAUAUCAAAAUGACGGUUUCUUUUGUGGUGUCAUGUGAGUAAUUAAACAUGUGACAACAUAGACUUGGAAUACGAUUACAUUCACAUAGGCUAUCCAACGGCCAACUGUUAAUUAGUCCAACACUGACAUUGUCCCAAACCGAAUCGCUUCCAUAGUCAGGCAUGAGGUUUUAUGCAAAAACGCUUCCAUAGUCAGGCAUGAGGUUUUAUGCAAAAAGCCUUGGUGUUUAUAGGAGUGGAAACAUUCAUUUACAUAUUUAGUUUGAUUUGUCGAAUUUCCUCGUGGAUUGACGUUAGGGGUUUCCUGCCACUACAAUACAAGAAUAACCUGAUUUCUUGUUUUGUUGCAAGCAAUGUUUGAAAUUUCUUUGAAAUGGUCAACAUUUCUAAGGAAAUUUUGGAAAAAUCAAAGAAAGAUAUGAAAAGGGGCUUAAGCCCUACGUCAAAGAAACUCUUAAAUUCGACUAAAAUCGACAAAUUUUGUCAACAUUUCCGACAUUGGUUAAAUAUCGACAAAACUUGCCAGAGACAGAUAAUUAUGAUUAAAUACUGAAUACAUAGAACUUAUGGCCUCUAGAGUGCUAAACCCUAAACCUUAUAUUCCGGUUAUGGCUCCUAACCAACUGGAGAAUAAAAAUUACAAAUUACAAAUUACAAACUCUCAUUAUUGUACAGAAUUACGGAUAAAUACUAGCCCGAAGCUAAAUUAAACUACUUUAGAACAGGAGUCUGGGCUAACUGUUGAAGUUGAUGAACAAUGUGAGACAUCCUCGGGCGCAUUGAUGGGACAUGCUGUGUACAGGCAUAGACGAGGUCGACCACCUUUUGAAUGACACCAGCCUCCGGAAUCUCAGGAGAAGAAACAGUUAUAUGAGGGUCCAGGAGAUCCGGGUAGCGAUGAGCCUGCACCAGAGGUGUUGCCCACUCAAAAAUGCUCUGCCAACCCACCGAAUCAACGGCCUGUGCAGGUCUACGUCCGCUCACAAUCUCAAGUAGCAGCACACCAAAGCUAUAAACAUCACUCUUUGUCGUAAGCUCAUUUCUGUAGACAAAUUCUGGAGCAAGGUACCCGUACGUGCCACCAGCCAUCACUGUCCUCUCGUGCAUCACUUCAUAUGGUACAAACUUUGACAGACCAACCCCCAUUAGAUGUGCUCCAAAAUCUUCAUCAAGCAGUACAUUACUGGCACGGAUAUCACGAUGCACGACAUGCGGUUUUACCUUGUCAUGCAAGAACCUGUUUGACAUAUGAACGGAUGAACCACCAAUUAAACACAAUCCAUUCUGCAUCAUUCAAAUCCUUCCCAUUGCAUUCCAAGGUAGAAAUGUACUAAUGAAAUAAGGAUUGACAAUUUUCAGCGAAACAAGAAACAAAAAUGAGGAUUGACAAUGAUGGCAUAACCACCAACACUAAAGCCACCGAAGUAAACUAGCAAGGGAAAUCCACAUCAGAAAUGUAUGGCAAACGUCCAAGCUAACACUAAUGUAUGAAAGCAGCCAUGGGAAAGCCAUAUCAGAAACAAAAUGUUUCCGAAAAAAAUAGAUGCGAGAGUCGAGAUAUAUUCUAAUCUAACCAUGAAAAAUCCCUAAUAAACAAUAACCUAUGUCAAAUUUUUAUAUAUUUUUAACAGAUCUUUUCCUUUCCAGGUGAAAAAUUGCAACUCGAUCAAAAGUUCAGGAGGUAAUUUGAGAAUUUCCCAUUUGAUUUAAAUCUACACAAUAUUAUGAUUUCUAAUUUACGUGAACAAUGAUAGUGACCUCUCGGAGAAAUGAGAACUAUCACGAACAUAAGAUGCCUUGAAAUAGAUGCAACAGAGAUAAAAGAUCUAAGUGAACAAAUCAGUCUCAGAUUUUAGAUCUUUGUUUGACCUAAGACCAAGAGGAAAAAGUGAUGUAUAACUUACGCAAUUCCUUGAGCAAGAGUUGUGGCAAUUUUCAUUCUCAUGGCCCAAUCUAAGCUUCGACCACCCCUAGGUAUGUGGUGCAGCCAUUUAUCCAAGGGUCCAUUAACUAUGAACUCAUAAACUAUGAAGCGAUCACCAUGAUCAUAACAGCAGCCUUUCACAGCCACCAAAUUUGGGUGGUGAAGCCUUGCAACCCUUCCAAUUUCAGAGUAGAACUCUUUUUUCCUUUGAAAACUAGAUCUCUUCAACCUCUUAACAGCCACCCUUGAGCCAUCAGGAAGAAUUCCACUGUACGUGCCUCCCGUCUUGGCAUCUCCCAGAAGACGGUUUCCUUCACUAAAGUUCUUUGUAAUUGACCUUAGUUCCUCUUUCAUGAAGACUUUCCAUGACGGAGUGACUAAUGCAGUUUCUGCUGGAUUAGAUAGUUUGCGGGAACGUCUGCGCUUCUUGCUACGCUUGUAUGCAAGAAGCCAAAUCACUACAGCUAAUGUUGUGAAGAGAAUCAACCCACUUACUACUCCAAGGAUAAUAAGAUAUUCUCUGUGGCAAUGCAUGUGGUAACAUCUGUUCCCUGAAAGCAACAGGAGCAAAAUUAAAUUAGCUGGACAGAUAAUUCAAGAUUGGAGUUCGUAAUAAAAAAUUACAAAAUAUACCUAAAUCAACCAUGCAUAUAAAAGCAUGAGACGUAUUGCAUCUUUCAGCCAAGAGAGACGUGGAUCUAUUAGUCACCAAUAUGCAUACAUCGACCGAACUAUUGGUGUGGCAAGAGAUGUUACUGCAAAUUGACUGAAGAGGUUGCACAUGAAAGAGAGACCCAUUCCAAUACAAAGUAUUAUCAGACCAAUUCCAGCCAAGACCAAUGGUAGAGUUCACACCUCUGCCUCCAACCCAGCAGCCACUGGAAGCACAUAGAUUUUGGGCAAACGCAAGUUCUUGAGAUGUUUUGAAUGCUGCUAAGUUGCCAUUAUAACUUUUACAAUGGGUUUCUGACUCAUUCCAUGGUUGGGGGCUUCUCGUAUAACCAAAGCACUUCCUCCUAUUAGGUCCAAGAAUCCAACCAGCAGGGCAUGGUUCUGUUCACAAGCAAUUGAACAUAAUAUAUUGAUUAUAAACGCAUAUAGACUAUAAUGCAAUCUCUUUUAACAAUAACACCCUUGACACAACGAAACAUGAUCAACAUGCUCACUACCAGCAUGCUGUCAAAUAGAAUGCUCACUAACGCAGCUUAUAAGGUAACAAUAUAUCCAACACCUUUAAUUUCCAUGGUAUAACAGUACGCUGUCGGUUUUAGGAGCAUUAAGAUUAUUCGUUUCUAGAGACAAAUUACAUGCAUCUUCUUGUGCCUUGCAUAACUCAGCUGAUUUUCUAUAUCCUAAGUAUCCUAUCUAUCAGAAUAGCAUGUUUUAUGCAUCUCAGACCUCAGCAGUCACAGCUCCAAUUGUUCUAUACAAGUAACAUAAUAUUGAAUGCCUCGUUAGAAUCUUAAACUUCGUCAACCAAAUGCAUUGUUAGAGGUUCGCGAGAAGCAUUUUUACUUUUAACGGUGAUAAACAAUAUUCCAUCCUUCGAAAGGUACCACAUUAUACACAAAUGAAGGCUGGUUUUUGUUCAACUAUCGUCUACUAUCUACUCAAAAUACCCAUUUCCGCAAAGCGAAAAAGUGAAAUUUCUAUAAACAAUUAGGAUUUCUAAAGUAAAAUUUAGAACUUGAGCUGAAAAGGGUUACUCACACCUUUACCUUCUUCAGUUCCAGAAGUAACCAAAUACCUGCGAAUCGGCUCGUUAUGCACCUAAACAAUGAUAGUGUAGCUUUCAAUACGUGAAUCCACAAUGUAAAGCAUCUUAACAGUUGAGAUUAAAGAGAAAAAUAUUUAAAAAAUAAAUAAAUUACCAUAAUUUUCUUACCCUUUGUGAAUCGCAUGCACCCAGCAGAAACCAAACAAUCAGAGGCGCAACCAAUUGCAGAGCAAUCAGAUUCCCUUCCAUCAAACCCAUUUUUCAUAAACCCUAGAAAAAAUGGUAAGUAGGUAAAAUUUCAGUUCUCACAUAUCACGGCCCCUUUUCACACCACACCAUGCUCUGUAAAUUUGAGGCCUUUCACUUCAGACCCUCGUCCCAGCCCUACGCAGCAGCAAGGAAGUUGUUCUUCUUCCGAGCCAAGUCAAUCUGUGAGCUUGUCCCUCUCCCUCUUCAUUCAAUUUAGAGUAGACGGUGGAAAAACCCAUGUACUUGUAUACUUACUUUUCUUUUAGAAAACUUUUUUUUUUUUUUUUUAAGUCAAUUUGACGGAAAUUUGGUAAUUUACUUCAUAGAAUUUAUGAAGGAUGGAAUAGGUUUGGUAAAAAUGGAACCAGAUCCUUUCCGGAUCUAAAAAUCUGAGUUUCAUGAUUAAAUGAUUUAGACUAUUAAAAUUUGAUCAAACGAUUACAAUUAUUAUUCAACGUGUGAUUCAUUUACUUAAAAGUUUUCUUUUAGUAAUCAACCAAGUGUAAGAAUUUCUAAAUUAAUUUGGUUCGUUGAGUAAUAAAGUUAGCAACAAGUGGAUUGCCUUGCUAGUUAGAAUUUUAUUCUUCAACCCGUUACGCUCUAAGUUGAAAUCAAUUUCCGUUAAAUUAGUAUAGAAUGUAGCUUGUGGUCAAUAUUAGUAGAGAAUUCGGCUUUUUAUUUUUGAAAUAAACGAUAUUAUUUACAUUAAGGAAUAUGAGAUGCGCAAACCUCACAAUAAGAUAUUAAUAAUAUGAUAUAAAUUCAUUUUUUUAACGGAAUCGAAUUUAUGACAUUUUAUUUAUAAAUAAAGAAGAAUAUCAUUACGGUAGUACUAAAUCGUAGAAUCCGAUUUCUUUUAUUUUAAGUUUCAAAAAGAAAAUUGAUUUCAACACCACCAAUCUACAAUAAAGUAGAACUAAAGAAAAAGUACAGGAGUAGAGGAGUAGGUGGGUGAGCCUGAAAUUGGUAGGUGAAGUUGUAGUAGUAAAUUGGCCAAAAAUAAGAAGUUGGAGCAGCAACAAACACAAACACAAAUUCCAAGUAGAAGGAGAGAGAGAGGAGGGAGAAAGAAAUGGAAGGAUUAUACGGAGCAGUGAUGGAGGAGAUAGGGCGGUACACCGGACUAUCACCGGCGGCCUUCUUCACAAUCGCCGGGAUGAUGGUCGUGGUUUACAGAAUAGUCACCGGCAUGUUUGUGGGUCCCGAAGAUUACAACAAGCCUCCGGUGGCGGCGACCAUCGACACCGUCGAUUCUGAUUCCAAAUCCAAUUUUGUGAAUAAAUACUUCAAUUCCGCGGGGGCAGCGAGAGGCUCGUCGGUCCAGAUGGGAGACAUGACGGAGGAGCAGCUGAGAGAGUACGACGGGUCCGACCCCAAUAAGCCGCUGCUUAUGGCUAUCAGAGCUCAGAUAUACGACGUCUCUUCCUCCAGGUACUUUCCCUGCUUCUCUUUCCUUCCUUCAUUUUGCACUUAAUUGAAAUUUAUAAAAACAAACCGGGACCUUUUGGUCUUUCACGCCAAUUCCGUUAGAAUUUUCGUCAAAAAUAAGGACAGUAACUUGCCAUUUAACAGUACAUAUAUAAAUUGAAAACGAAAUAGUUACCAAGCGGUCAAAUUUUGUAACUUACACUUGGUUUUUAGGCAUGUGAUGACACACACUUAAUUUUGACGGAAAUUCUUAUUAUCGUCAAUAAAUAAAGUUAAUAAAAACUGAAAACUAAAUGGUUAUUAAACCGGUUUUUAGUAAAUCUUAUAACUGCACAUGUUUUUUUAAUCAUGUGACAGCUUGUGCUUAAUUUGACGGAAAUUCGUAUUAACGUCAACGACCAAAGCUACACACUUGGUCAAAAGGAAAUUGAUUUUCGCACUUCGCCAAUUUCCUCAGCAUGAAGAUAAAAGAGAGUGCAAAAAUCACUUCCUUUGUCGAAUUCGAACAAAUUUUACGGAUUUUUAAUCCGAGUAUCCAAAUUUUAUGGAGAUAUUGUUAUUAUUUAUCCUCUAAUAGCUUGUUCAGAUUUUAGAAAAGCGAACACAAAUUGGCAAUUUCAGUGCAAAUGAAGAUCAUAAUUUGAAGCAAAUUACAACAUGCAAUGCAGGAACUUUUACGGACCAGGAGGAGCGUACGCCAUGUUUGCUGGAAGGGAAGCAAGCAGAGCGCUGGCUCUUCUGUCCUUUAAACCCCAAGACAUAAACGGCAAUCUCGAAGGUCUGGGGCCUGAUGAACUUGGCAUACUACAGGAUUGGGAAGAUAAAUUCAUCGAAAAAUAUGACAAGGUCGGGCAGCUUGUAGCAGAGCAAACAACUACAAAUGCCGAUGAGAAAACUGAGGUCGCUGCCGAUGACGCUCAACCGCAAGCAGUUGGACAAGCAGAAUAGAGGAGAGGAAAGAAUAAUCUGUCAAGAUAUUGCACGCGCUCGGGCUAGGGUUUCCUUCUAGCCGAGCGCAAAUAUGUAUCUCAUUUCCGUAUUUUGUAUAAACACAAGAAAUGAUAACAGUAUAUGGUAAGGUAAUAUAGACCUUGUCUCCUGAAUCAGUGUCCCUUCGGCUCCUGCUGCCUUGAUCCUUGCAUAUUCAUCCUUCUCGGGUUGGCUGGGAAAGUAACAAGAAAGAAAAAGGACGACUAGGACUAAGGAGAAAGAAAAAGGACGAUUGGACAAGCAGAAUACAGGAGAGGAGAGGAGAGCAUAGUCUGUCAAGAUACUGCACGUGAUCGGGCUAGGGUUUCCUUCUAGCCGAGCACAAAUAUGCAAGGAAAACUAAUGAAAAUGACUUGAAAACUUUGAGUUUUAAUGAAAAUGACAAAAAUGUGUUGUAAGUGAAUAGUACCAGGAAUUUUUCGUUAAAGUUUCCUGUGUAUCCCAUUCCCAUCUUUUGUACAAGCACAAGAAAUGAUAACAGUACAUGGUAAGUAAAAACCUUGUCUCCUGAAUCAGUGUCCAUUCGACUCCUGCUGCCUCGAUCCUUACAUAUUCAUCCUUCUCGGGUUGGCUGGGAAGAUAAUAAGAAAGAAAAAGGACGAUUAGAACUAAACUUAAAAACACUAACCUUGAGAAUGCAUCAAAUCAGAUCUACUGGAUACCUGUGACAUCAGUGACUCUUGUACCCCAAGAAACCAAGAGUGCAAGGCCGCCGGCGGCAAAAUUGGCAUCACUUGUCCACCAAUCCUCAUACAAUUGUAAUAACAUAACAAGCUAAUUACACCAGUACAGCCAAAUAAAAGAUUGGUAUAAACUAAAGAUGAACGGAAAUAAAUUCAACACCGAAGAGUAAAAAUGAAAAUCGAAGGAAACAAUAUAUCAAACAUCGAUAGAUUAUGCAACUACCUUAAAGUGACAUACUUGAUCUUCAGAAACUAACAAGAACUUUGCUUUUAUUUGUGCUUGUACAAGAGCACUUUGGUUUAUGCGUACAAUGAUACCUCAGGAAAAUUUUCUAUAUAUGAUACAUAACCCGAAUACAUAACUGAAGUGUUCCGAUUAUUGUAAUGUAUCUUCUAUCGACACGAACAAAGUACAUUAUCGCGGAGAAGAACAAAAAAAUAACGAAUCAAGCAUAGAUAUAUCAUACAAAUACUUUGAAUGAGACAUACUCUGGCCUCAAAAACUAAUCAGAACUCUGAUUUUAUCUGCACGUAAUUGUGGUGAUUUCAGCAAACGGCUCCUACGGCUUCUCUGUACGUGCUUUGGCUUUUCGAACGGAUUUCAUGGCUUCUUCAAAUGAUUUCUGAAUGCAAAUGAAAAGCAUGUCAGUGACACAAUGUUGGAAUGAUUCGUUCGACGAUUUUAGGCUCAAUUUCUAUAGACAUACAAUCGACGGAUACCGACAGCAUUAUAUAAACGAAAAUUAGAGAAAGCUUGAAUUGAGAAAACGAAAGACCAGGGCGAAAGAGGAACAAGAAGAAGCAACGUACCUCAUGAUUAUGCAUCUUCCAUAAGGCAUCCCAGCCCAAAUUAACAACUGCUAUACCACCUAAGCAAGCCCUGCAUAAAAUUUAUCUUCCAAUGAAGCAUUUCCAAAGAGAAAUUUACCCAACAUAGUACACUGAUUAACCAAAUGCCGAAUUGGGCACGGUUCAAUAUAAUUCCAUGUUCAUCUCAUCGGGCAAAUGUAUGGGUUUUUAUUAACGAAAACUAAUUAAAAUGAUUUGAAAACUUUGAGUUUUAAUGAUAAGAACAAAAUAAAGGAUAAAGUGAAUAGUACCAAGAUUGACAUUUUAGUGUAAAAAUAUGGUUUUUCGUUAAAGUGAACCGUACCAGAACUUUUUGUUAAAGUUCUUUUUUUUAUAGCAUAGAAUAUUACAAAUAAGUUCUGCCUGUACAAUCUUAUGCUACCGAUCUUAAACCGAAUUACAAAAAAAGGAGACAGUUAGGUAGUGCACAACCAUCACUCUUUUCACAUUCGUUAUAUUUGUUUCAAAUGAACUUGAUAUAUACUUUUAAAAUAACUGAAAAUACUUUUAGUAAAAAUAUUUUUGAAAUCAAUUUUUAGUUAAAAUGCAAGUAAAUUUUGAAAAAACAUUUAAAUACUUUCGGUAAGAAGCACAUAAUUGAUGCUUUUAGAACUCAAAAACAUUUUAUCUACAAAGUUUUCAAUCAUUUUAAUUCAAUAGAAAAACUGUAAAAAUCAGCCGCGGAAAUUUACAGACAAGUGAAUAGGAAAAAAAAUUACCCUACCCUGCGACGGAGACAUUGAGAAGGAAAGCGCGCGUGGUGACAUAUCGGAGAAAAUUCUCAAAGGCGGAGGAAGCUCCACUGGCGGCUCCGGAGCCACCGCCUCUUCUGUAACUAUUACCACCACUAUAUCCGUAACCGUAAUUGUAAGUGCGAGUGUAGGUAUUGUAAUUGUUGUGGGGGCGGUGAGAGCUCUGGAAAUUGUAUUCGGCGCGCUUGCGAUCGUCGAUGAGGACCUGGUAGGCCUCGGAGACCUGCUUGAAUCGGACGGUGGCUCUGUCUCUCUCCGCCUUGGGGGAUGCGGAGUGCUUGUCUGGGUGUAGCUUCACCGCCAGCUUCCUGAACGCUUCCUUGAUUUCGGCUUUGCUCGCAUUCCUCGCCAGCCCCAAUACCUUGUAGUGAUCCAUGAUUUCGUUUUUGAUAAUUUUUCUCGAUCGAUCAAUUCGUUUUCUUUGUAAUUAGGAUUCGAUUUUUUAAGUUGGGAAUUGGGGAUUGAGGAACUAGGGUUUAUAAAUUCGUUUCGUCUUGGUGAAUGAAGGGUUGGGUUAUUCAACGUCGUGGCAUCGCCAUAGCCGCUUCCUUUCUCUUCAUGCUUCGCGGUUCGCAGUUCAUUUUCAGGAGAAAAUUCCCCUUUCCCCAUUAUACCCUCCCGAAUUUUCUCUUUAUUUUAUUUUUUAUUUUAUUUUAUUUUAUUUUUUAACAAAAGAUAUCAAGUUUACUUUUAAGAGAAUUAGACCUAAGAAAUCUCGUAUCUACGUAAAGAAGGAAAAAAAGAAGGUUAUUUUGAUAAAAGAAAAAAGAAAAAAAAAAGAGAAAAAAAAAAGAAGGGUUUAAUUACUCUAGUGCCCAUAAAAGAAUGCAUGACAAAUGAUGAUUAAAUACUUUUUUUUCUUCUUUUUAUAUAUUCAUGUUUUUUUGUGUUUAUUGUUUCGUUUUCGUGAAAAGUGUGUUGUUUUCGGUUGACUUACUUGACGGUAUAUGUGAAAAUGUGUCCAAACCUAUCUUGAACAUGAAGGCUAUCUUUGUUACUAAGCAUCUUAGAUAUUCGUGAAUUGUGUCCGUUUAUUGUACAUUGUAUGAUCAAUUUUAUCAAGUACUGUUUGUGUUUAAUUUUAAAUAAAAUACUUAAAAUAAUUUCUAACUGCACGAUGUAUAAUAAAUGAAUAUGAUUGACGGAUCCUCAUGAUCCUCACAUAAAGGAUCCGGGUUCCCACAUUUAACCCUCCCACAAAGCUAACCCUCCAAACUUUUCAACCCUGCAUUAUUUUUAAUUGAAAAAAGAGUAAUGUUAUAUUUACCACUUAAUUGUAUCUUUGGGUUCAAUACUCACUAAAAACGAAUUUGAAUCACAUUAUUAUGACUAGUCUAUCGUGAGGUUUUAGCCCACUCCCCAAUACUCUUAGUUUAGAUACCAUCUUUUGUUAAAAAAAAAAAUUGUAUCAUCUUUAUAACACAUGUGGAUUCUAUCUCUAUUAGAAAGAUGUUAUAAUUAAUGAUACAACUAGAUAAUAAAAUUAUUUCAACAAACACAACUAUAUGGUAAUAUCAAGUGACACUAAAUAAUAAGGAAAACUAAUAAAAAUAGUUUGAAAACUUUAAGUUUUAAUUGUAAGUAAAUAGUACAAAAAAUGACGUUUUAAAAGUAAAAAUAUCAUUUUCGUUAAAAAUAAACAUUGCCGAAAUAUUCCGUUAAAACUCCUUAAAUAGUACGGCCGUAUAUCUAAAUUUCAAUCAAGAAAAAGGUUAGUUAAGUCAAAGCCCAAAAAGGUAAUUUGAGCAACGGAAUCAACUCCAGGUUCUCUUCCAAUCGACUCGGACCCGGUUAGCUCCCAUCAUUUCCAUUCUCUCAACCACCGAACAGAACAGGCGGAUCGUCGGCGCUACUAUUCCUUCCUCCACCACCGACUCAGCCGGCCCGGUAAGAAUCUUAUUUUCCGAUUUCUACCCAUUUCUUCAUUGUUCUUCGCUCUCAAUUUUCUUUAUUAUUUAUUUUCCUAAUUCAUAUGUAAUUAUGUUGGGCAUGGCAUAUAGCUUGAUUUCUUAUCUAAAUCCUAGCUCUGAAUCUCAAAUUUUGUGUCCAAAAUCCGAACUUUUGAUUUGAUGCUUUGUUUUGUGUUCGAAUUCGUUGAAUUUGUUACUCAAGAGUUUCAAUCUUAGCAUUUGUAUGUGUUGAAGAAUACAAGAAUCCCACAUCGAAAAUUGACCAAAUAAAUUACAGUAUGUAACGAAUGCUUCCGCUCCUAAUGAUACCGGGGCUUUUUUUGUGAUGAAGCCCCAUAAGUUUGCGUGAUUAGUAGUGGGCCGCUGGUCUGACUCUUUGAAAUCUUGACAAAAGCGUUGCCGCCCCCACUGAUGAUUUCUCUCCCUCUCACAUUGUGUCUGUUUCGCUUUCGUGUUUGUUGGUUAAUUCUUAAUAGAAGUGUUUUUGUGACUGGUUGAGAUCUGUGGGAUUGCACAUUCAUUGACUCUGUUUCUUUUUCUUUUUUAUCCGUUUCUAGUGCUUUUGGGUACUGGUACAGAUCAUUUGUGUAACCAGGAAGAAGAUGAAAGGCCAAAGCAGUUACGCUCCACCUGCUUACAUUCCGUUGGGAAUGUCGGAUUCUGAAUCAGCGAUUGUUUUGCGAAAUGAAGACCCGCCUAAUCAGCAGAACAGCGUUGACGGGCCCAAACAAUGGUCUUCUGGAAUCUGCGCUUGCUGUGACGAUAUGCAGAGCUGUACGCUACUUUCUGCUUUGUGACCUUGAUUUAUCAGAAGGAAAAUUAUGAAGGUGCCUUCUUGAGUAGGGAAAACGAAAAUUAGCCUGUUGUCAUUAUACAUGAAUUUUACGAGGAUUCUUUAAGCAAGGCUAGGAGAGGACUUGAAUUAUAUAACUAACCCUAUAGGUUACUAUAUGCUUGCCUCUUAUUUUUUAUGCAUUAAUGUUCUCUAAGUUAGCAGACCCCACUUAGUGGGAAAAGGCUUUGUUGUUGAUGUUGUUGUUGUUGUAAUGUUCUCUAAGUAUUCUUCAAUAUGUGGAGGACCUCUUUUAUGUCUGAAUUUGUGAUUGGUAUUCAUUCUGUGUUAGUUAGAAGCCAUUGCAAUAUCUAGAUUUUAGGCGAGUAACCAUGCACGGAUUUUUUUUAUAGAUCAAACAGUAUAUACUAUCCCAUCAAACUUGACGAGAACAUGAAGACAACAGUAGGUUAGAAUAACAGAACUUAUGAUGUGUACGUUGAUCAACUAACACCUUGAAUUUUUCAUGGACAAAAUUUGGAUAAAGAUUAUUAAUAAGACCCAUAUAUUAAGUACUUUAAACCUCAUUUUAAGGAUGCGAUAUCCAGUCUGAUGUGAGGUAAAGCAUUGGUUGUUGGUAUAUACUCUGUGUUGUUAGUGGUGAAUAAAUAGAUGAUAAUGUUUUGAAUACGUUAGAGGAGGAUGUACAUGGGAAGAGGGUAAUCUGACUUGUUUAUAUUUUUUUGUUUAUCACGAUAAGUUGUAACAUUUGCUUCUUAGGUACACAACCACUGCUAAAUAUGUUCGUAACAGUAGCAGGAGCUUCAUCCAUCAUGUCUCCAGAUUAUGGCUUUCAAACCAAUGACGACCAUCUGAUUGCCGAAUUUUUUUUUACAGGUUGUGUAGGUCUAUUUUGUCCUUGCUUUCUGUUUGGAAAGAAUGCAGAAUUUCUGGGUUCUGGGACAUUGUUAGGAUCAUGCAUGACUCAUUUUAUUUUGUGGGCACUUGUUAAUACCGCCUGCUGCUUAUUGACUGAGGGCCUGUUUUUGGGCAUACCGGGAUGCUUUGUUGCAUGUUAUGCUUGUGGCUACCGCAGUGCCCUAAGAACAAAGUAUAAUCUUCAGGUAUAACAUCGUUUUUCAAUUUACAGGCUUAAAGUCUGUUAACUUUUUAAGAGUAGAAAAGUUUUGAUUUUGUGCUUUUAUUCUCUCAGUUCCUUCUUGAAUUUUGUUUACUUUUCAUCUGAGUUUCAAUCUGCGUUUUGACUGUUUGAGAAAUAGAAAUGAUUACCAAAAAUGUGACUGAUUAUUGAUGUAGAAGUUGGGUUUGACACGUCGAAUGAAUGCUUUGAUACCAUGUUAAAGUUUGAGCUUCCCACCGCAAUUCAUGCCCGUGCGUGACACCAUAUAUAAGGCUUACCACUCUAAGAUUUAAAAAAGAAAGGUUCAUAUAUAGUAACGAAAGGCUUCAAGUGAUAGGGAAUGUGACUUUAUAUUGUGCUCAUUGGUGGAAAAUAAUUUAUUUGAUUACUUUGAAAUAAUUCAGUGCAAAUGGAGGCCAAAACGAGUUAGGGGUGAAGAUCGGAGAUCAAGAAAUACCAAAGAGCGACCGUUUUCGUUACCUAGGAUCUAUCUUGCAAAAGAACGGAGAAUUAGAUGGAGAUCUCAACCAUAGAAUACAAGCUGGAUGGAUGAAGUGGAAGAGUGCAUCCGGUGUGUUAUGUGACCGCCGUAUGCCACUGAAGCUCAAGGGAAAAUUUUAUAGGACGGCAAUAAGGCCGGCGAUGCUGUAUGGCACAGAAUGUUGGGCGGUGAAAUAUCAACACGUACAUAAAAUGGGUGUAGCGGAGAUGAGGAUGCUUCGUUGGAUGUGUGGGCACACGAGAAAGGAUAAGAUUAGGAAUGAGGAUAUCCGGGGUAAAGUAGGAGUAGCCGAAAUUGAAGGAAAGAUGAGAGAAAAUCGGUUACGGUGGUUUGGACAUGUGCAAAGAAGGCCUACUGACGCUCCGAUUAGAAGAUGCGACUAUGGGACAGAGGUUCAGGGCCGAAGGGGUAGAGGAAGACCUAGGAAAACUUUGGAAGAGACUCUAAGAAAAGACUUAGAGUACUUGGAUCUAACGAAGGACAUGACACAGGAUCGAGCACAAUGGCGUUCUAAGAUUCAUAUAGCCGAUCCCACUCAGUGACUUGGAUUUUCCAAGUCUCCAACCGAGAAGUUUUCCUUACUCGGAAAAUUAAGGGAACACUACCCAACCUACAUGCUCCACUCAGAAAGCUUCAACAUACAAGCUUCAACAAAAGAAAAUUCAAAGAACUUAGCGAAGAAGGCUUUGGUGUAUCUAACACAAUACGUUGAAAUGAAGGAAAGCUUAUUUAUUGAUAUCCCCGAUAAGCUACAAAUAUGUACAUAUACAUGAGUCAAAAUAAACACACAAGAGGGAGCCUUCACACAGGUUGCUUAGGAGAAGUCUCAGCAGUCGGUAGAGCCCCAGAAAGAGAAGGCACCGGAGGGGGAUCAUUUGGAGCCUCAGUACUGGACAGAACCCUAGAAGGAGGAGGCAUCAGAGGUUGAUCAUUUGGAGCUUCAUUACGCGGUACAGCCCCAGAAGACGAAGGCAAUAAAUGCCUUUGGAACAAACCCACAAAUCUCUGAUGAUCAAGUAAAAACCUGACCAUCAGUUUCCUUCAUCUGGUCAAGCUUCCUCUUCAUGUUUGUAGCAUAGUCAUGUGCGAGCCGGUGCAACUGUUUUAUUCUCAUGCUUGAGCCCUCUAAUCUCCUGUUUGAGACUCAUCACUUCAGCCGCCAAUGAUUCAACUUGGCGGGUUCGAGCAAAUAGGCGUUGGGCCAUAUUAGACACAGAACCUGCACACUGAACACUGAGAGCCAGCGAAUCCUUAACAGCCAACUCAUCAGACCGUUUGGAAAGUAGUCUGUUAUCUUUGGGAGUGAGAAGGUUCCUGGCCACCACCGCAGCGGUCAUAUCAUUCUUCAUCACGGAAUCCCCAACGGUAAGAGGACCAGUAGGGGAGACGAAGGAUGGGCGCCAUAUGUUGUCUGGAGAAGGCGGGGCUGCCUCUUCAACAAGGUUCAAGUCAAAACGACGGUCGGAGGGGCCAGACAUUUUCAAAGGUGUUGAAGAGAGAAGAGGUCGGACAAAUCAAGAUCUUAGAAGUGCAAGAAUGAAGCUCCUACUGGUGGAGAUUCAAGUGUGCUUUGGAACUUAAUGCCAGCCCCUAUAAAAAUCUGCACUCGACGGAGCUUCAGAAAUCGAAGAGGCGCCUGCUCAGAAAUCGAAGAGGCGUUUGCUUUCUCAAAAGCUGGGCUGCUUAGAGAUCACGAGGGUUGAUCUCAGAAAUCGAAGAAGCGUUUGCUUUCUCAAAAGUUGGGCUGCUCAAAGACCUCGAAGGCUGAUCUCAGAAAUCGAAGAGGCGCUCGCUUUCUCAAAAGAUGGGCUCCUCAGAGACCACGAGGGCCGAUCUCAGAAAUCGAAGAGAGGCACCUACUUUUCCAGCCUUGUCAGCACCUGUCACACGCACACUCAGCUUUGCGGAAAUUAUGGGCAUUCUGUCGAAGACUUCUGGGGAAGUAGAAAACACAUGAAUCUUACUGUUCAAUCACCCACUUCCCACACGCAACAAUAGCUCAUGGGUACCACAUAAAACUUUGCCAAAGUUCUCUGCCAAAGUUGAGCACGUGAAGCUUGCAGCUCCCACUACAUCGCUCUGACCAAGAAGGGUAAAGAGAUAAUAGCAAAGAAACAGCACUAACAAAGUUUAGACCCAUAAAUUUUGAAGGUCUAGCUACCAUAUUAUUACCCACAAGGGUAGGGUAAGGAACAGUACCACUGCUGGAUAAUUGGAAAGUCCCUGUGUGUCAACCUCUGUGCUUUGUGGCAAGGUAGACUAGCAAACAUGCCCAACCUUUACUCAUAUUCGAGAAAACACUCCCAAUAGGAUUGCUUGCUCCAAAAUCGAAGAGGCACCGUCCUCCUAAUCUCGAGAGCCAGACUCCCAAUAUGACUACUUUCUUAAAAAUCGAAAGAGAGGGUAAAGGAACAGUACCAUUGCUGGAUAAUUGGAAAGUCUCUGCAUUCUUCCACAUCAAAAUCUCCACACGCGAUUCGACGCCACUAGCGUUCUUACCGUCCACCUUUUUUUUUAUCGUUUGUCGUUACGUAGCCGAUGACGCCUAACUUCUUGUCACCCUGGAUCCUGGUGGUUACUAAGGACAACUGCUGGGGAUGGAAAUUCCUUGAUUUGUGAUCUACCCAUCCAAUCCACCAUUCAGCACUCCGCACUCGAUAACAUCGAUUGAAUCGCUCCGGGUUACACCCCUGUAUGCCACUCGUCGUGGCUGGGCCUCCGUGAUACGUUUAGACUAGCAAAUUAUGCCAGCCUCUUCUCGCAUCUCCAACGCGAUUCACGUGUAGAAACAGGCGCGUGAGACAAGAUCUGCGCGUGGCGUCGCUACUAAACAUACAAGAAGUCGAGAACACCACCCCUCGUGCGUAAUCCUCGAAGAAAGACAGAGUACUCCCCCAACAUUAGUUUUUUCUCAAACACAUAACGAAGAGACACUGUCUCCCCGAAUCUUCGAAGAGGCCAGACCCCCAGCAUGAUUGCUUUCUCAAAAAUCGAUGAGCUCGUCUCGAAUCAAUCCGAAGAGGCGCUCGCUUUAUGACGUUUAGCUGGGCUGUCUUCAGUACCACGAGGGCCACCCGGAUCUUCCGCAAUUUCAAGAAUCAGCUAGCGGCACCUACUUUUCUUAGCACUUGUCAGCACCUGUCACAACGCGACGACACUCAGCUUGCAGAAAUUAUGGGCAUUUUGUCGAAGACUCUGGUUUGAAGUAGAGAAAGCACAUGAAUCUUACGUUCAAUCACCCACUUCCCAACGCCAAACAAUAGCUUCAUUGCCCCCAGUACGGUUCGGGUACCCCCCGAAAGGUAAGAUAGCAGGAGGCAGAGUUACACUAACAAAUAUCUCCGCACAACUAAAACUUAUGAAGGUCUAGCUAACAAUAUUUGAUAUACGCCACACAGCUGUAAAGGGCACACUAAGAUGAGUCCACUGCCUGUCCCGAAAUAAUUCGCAGUAUUAAUUCACAACGUUUGUCAACCUCGGUGCUAGAAUUUCCUCCUUUCUUGCCACGUGAACGGUCCCACCAAUAGCAAUUCCCAGGAGGUCGUGUGGUGACUCACUUACUCUCGCCGAGGUGUAUUUUACUUAAGAUUUCAACAUACUCUGUCUUGCCUCUCACAUUUUAAACAACUCCACGCAAGUGCCCGUGCCGUACCGCAACUUUAGAGCCAGAUCCCAAACAUGAUAAUAAUAUACAGUGCACAUAUCCGAGAGAGAGUGCACGAGGAGACAAUCGCCUUCCUGUGAAUAAGCCUUGCGUGUGUGCAAACCGCUGUCGCCUGCAGGCGACGUCCGUGGAAGAUCGGAACAUAGUGAAUAGCCAAAAACCGUAUUUCCACUACACGUCAGUCUCAGUGAGAGCUUGCAAGCACCGUUCACAAAAAGAUUUCUUGGCUCCAAAAAUCGAAGAUAGGCACCUCGCCCUCGAUCCGUUCUCCGAAUCUCGUCUCUGACACUUUCCCGCCGAACCUAUCCACUCUAAUACUGUCUCAUAAAUCUCGACAGAAGAGCGAGUGACAUAUACACAGAAAUCGUCUCGGAGCGUCCCAGAGCUAAAAAAUACCCUCGCGAUGAUUGCUUUUCGAAAAAUUGAAGAGGGCCUAUCGUCUUCGAAUCGAAUCGAAGAGAACCGAGAUACACAGACCAUUUUUCAAAGUGCUCUGACAGAGUUAAACAUGUGAACUGGCAGCUCCCACCUCCGGCUAUGACCAGACUUCCGGUGGUAAAGGACCCAUAUUGACAACUUAAUAGAUUCUUACGUAAUCUCUGUUCAGGAGCACCUCUCUACUCUCACCUCGCGAUAACCCUCCAUCCCUCCACACGCGAAGGUCCUUACAGACUGCACACACAUACUUUGCUCUACUCUGCUAUCACUAUCUAGAUGAAGUGGCCGCUAUACCUCCUCACGCUGGACUCUCUUUCGACGCAAUAAUUCAGCUUUUCGUCAUCAUCGCGCGUCUAACAAUAAGGUUGAAGUAAGUGGGAUUGGCGCGGUCUGCCGUAAGUCCAAGCAGGACAAGCAUCUUCCCCCACUCGGCCCUUGGACACAGAUAAUUCACUCUGCCAAACCCACAGUCUAAAUACGUCCUCACGUGGGCGAAGAUAUGCUCUCAUAUGUCAUUGGUCAGUGUUGCUCUCACAGGCAAAGCAGUCAAGCUCACUCUAUACUAGUUCAUUAGAAUGCGUGUUGCCCCAAUGCUUUUCCUCCUCGAGAGCGUCUUUGUUUUCUCGCAAGAGACGAAUUAUUACAGAGACGCACCAUCAGUCCAGCACUUGGGUUAAUACAACGGUAUAAGAACAAAGAUGGGGAAAACCGACUGCCGUGCCUUACAAUGAAUAAAUCUACCCUCGCGCAUUGCUCUCGUAGUACGCUAUGCGUCCAUCUUGUCAAUCUUAAUUUCACGGGAAGAUUGUGGCGGUGGAGAGCACAGAUUCAGCGGCGAAGUCGGCACAGCAAUCCGACUUUACAAGGAAGCAUGUGGAGGACAAGCGUACCAACAGGCACAACAGUAACCUGAUGACUCCUCACUCUCACGUCGUACUCAUUAACGAACACAAAAAAGUAAAUUUAUCCAUCCCAGCACGGUUCCUUGGGAACAUAGCGUUAAACCUCAUCUCCAGAUUUGACAGUGAGUUGAUUAUAUGACCUCUUCUGAUCAGCUCUCUCUCUGCCGGGGCGGAUAAUACUCGAUUCGUAACGAUCACAAAAAACUCCUCCACUCGAGUCUCCAAUUGCACAUAAGCGCGUGUGAGACUAUCGUGGAGUCGUGGCGAGAACUGAGAGGCGAAAAGUAUCUCAUACUUCGAUCUCUCCUGCUCCUCAUCUUCUUAUCUCAUCUAGUCCCUUCAUGCCUAUGCGAACUACUUACACAGAUGGGGAGAAGUGACCAAUCUCUACAGCAUUUCCAGGUGGUCUUCAAUGCCCUGUUGCAUUACCUUGUCUUUGUCAACCUCUUUCAGCAGAGCGCCCCUAGCUCGCCUGGUCGAAACAGCUUGAGACUGCCUUACUACAUUAAGUGUUUGUAUCUACGUCGCUUGACCCAAGCCUGAAACUACAAGUAAGCUUCAAGGAAAAUUGAAUACAUUACCUUGUCGUUGUGUCUAAUGUCUUGAAUACACAAUGCUUCGGGCAAUUUAAGAGAAUAAGACUACACUGAGUCGUCGAUUGUAAUGGGAGUACUCCCUUCGGAGCAGAUAGUGACUGGCAACACCCUCUACCUAUGAGACAAGAAUUUGUGGACGUGACAAGGUCACGCAAACGAACUUACUCCCACACUCCGAGAUACUUAGAGAAGUUUCGUAUUAGGCUUCCGAGAUCUUUCUCUAUACAACGCACUUAUAUUUCGUCCUAAUGUUAUGUAUUGUAACUUAAUAACAUAUUCUCAACUUAAAUCCUUACCAUGUAUACUAUCUUAAAUAAGUGAAACGACAUGUUCAUUGAUAUAUUACCAUAUACUAAUUUACUUUCGUGUGUGUGUGUGCUAUAAAUCCCUAAUCAUACUAAUCCAAUGUGAGAACUCAUCUCCCUCCUCUCCGGUGGGAUCGUCGAUCCAUAGUUCCUUUCUGUCAGCAAUCUAGGUGAACCACGUUACAAUUCUUGUGUUUGCUUUCCUAUCUUCUAUGCCAGUGGUUGCCCGAUAUAUACUUAUUAACACACUACAUUUCAAAUUCGGACAUCGUGGGUGAAGCAUAUCGUAGACUGUGAAUAUUAUCACCCAAAUUCUCACUAUAAAGCUCGGAGACCUGUUUCUUACUGCUAUCCUAUGAGAGUCUCCUAAAUACCUCUCGCUAGAAGUAGAACACGGAGAAUUUAGAUGAGAUCUCAACCAUAGAAUACGAGCUGGAUGGAUGAAGUGUAAGAAUGCAUCCAGCUUGUUUGUGAGACCGUCGUAGGCCACUGCACUGCUACAAAGGCAAGACAAUAAUCUUUAUAGUUGGUUCGGGCAAUAAAGGCCAGCGAUUGUUGUAUGGCACAGAAUGUUGGGCGGUUGAAGCAUCAACACGGUACACAAAAUGGCCCAAAGCUAAUUGGUAAAAGACGGAGAGAGUGUAGGAUGCUUCGUGAGAGCUUCGUGUGGGUAUCCACAGUUUAGGAUUACCCAAAGAGUAGACCGCCAUAAGUAAUCCUGUGUGUCAUCUUUAUAUGCAAGGAAUUAUCCCUCGAUUGACCACAUUUGUGUUUAAGUAGGAAAGUACCGAAAUUGUAGGAAAGAUGAGAGAAAAUCGGGUGUGUGUCUUUGGUCAAUGUUGUCUAUAUAAUAGGACAGUGUCCUCCGCUAUCCCCACUAAACAAGUCUGUCUCGGUAUCAGAAUAGAUCUGUGACUACGGGGACAGAGGUUCUAGUGAGGUCCGACUAGGUGUGAUUAGUAGUGUCAAGACCUAUAUAGGAAAGUAGCGUUGGAAGAGACUCUGAAAAAGAAAAAUGACUUAGCCGAACUUACGCUAUACUAUUGGAUUUCUAAAACGUGAACCUAGGAUGCGACUCGACACAGAAAUUCUUUCAAUGCGCGCAAUGGACUGUUAUCAUAGGAGUCAUUUUAUCAAGCAACGCUCGGACCGCUCACUUAGUGUUGGGGAAUAUUUUAGUGUGAUUGGUAAGUCUCGUUGCUCUCUUGUUUGCGCUUUUCGACUUGAUCUCACUCUUAGUAGCUAAGUGGCUAUUAAACUCUCAGUCGUUGCGGGAUUGCCUUCGUAUAGGAGCUACUACGAAACUUUUUGUGGACAACUGUGCCGGAGGGGUGGCCCCUUAUUUUUUUAAGUUUUAUUACUAAUUCACUAAGAUCGGACUUAUCAUUCUUGUCAGAUUAGAAUUUUGUAGGCCAUGGCACUCCAUAGCUGGAAGGGGAUAUCAAGCUUACUGACGACUUCUUUUCAAUCGGCCACUCCACAUGUGUGCACUUUUGAUCAUGGGGCUUUACCCGUGGAGAUCCGGUCAUGAAAGUUAUCUACAUUAUAACCAGACCAUUGCAGUUCUGACACUGUAGGAUAACUGGCUAGUUAGGUACUGUCAGCGGACCAAAGUCCCUCACGUACGCAAUGGAAACCUUGAGUCUGCCGAUUACAAGUAUAAGAACGCACUCUCUCGAAUAUAUUUGUAUAGAAUAUCCUGUAGGAAUCCAUGACAUGCGUUUUGUACGUGUUAACACAAACCGUGUGCUUUGUGGCUCUUCUCCAGAUAGACCAAUUGAACUCUAGGUAAUGUUACUUGUAGCCUCACAAUUCUCUUACACUUUAAUGAAAUUAUUCGACUACUUCUAAUUGGAUUCUUAGUUCCCGGUGUCGAUUAUUACUCUGGUUACGUUUAUCCGCAUGAUGUACUUUGUUUCACUGUUCAGAGUGUUUGUGCUCAACCGCGAACCUAUGCUACUCUUCCUGCCAUUACCUAGAUUAGGCAUGCAAGGUCCUACUGAGUGAAUCUAUUAUAUGGGAACGUUUAAUGAACAACGAAGUGUAUAUCUGCUACAUCCCAUCUAUCUGUUAUCUCUCUCGUCAACUCUUUCGUGCAUAAGAUAGCUCACACACGCUUUUUGUGAUCCGUGUAUUGCAAAUCCGGUAACCUUUGGUUUCUACACAUUCUCGUUUAUAGAGUAUUUUAUUGGUAUUGCUGCUCAAUUCUAUUUUCUGUAUAGUCAACAAUCAAAUAUUUCCCGGUACUUGGUUAUUCUUUCGUAUGAGUCAUCACGUACGACAGCUAAGGAUGUGGCUUCUUUGGACGAGGGCGGUAAUCGUUUCUAUUUAGACUAUUUAAUUUUGUUUGUAGAGUAGGCCCCGGCCAUUUGUCUGCCCGCACUACUCAAACGUCUAAUAAUCCUUUGUCCCAUACUCUUUAUUAUGGCUCAGUAAAAAAAUCGAUUAUGAGCUAUAGGAUUUUUAACUGAUUGUGAAAAUUGGGAUCUCGCGAAGCGUUUAGAAGUUGCUUCACCUAAGAUUCUUGAAAGUUUGAUGGCAAAGGAUUCUCAUCAUCUCAACGUUGGGUAUGUUUAUUGGGCUAACAUUAUCGUCAUAUUCACUAUCUUGCUAAGAGAUGUGCUGAUGUGUGCUUGAUUUUUUUUUUUCGUUUGUCUAACCUUUCUUUGGAUUAUAUUGGAAGCAUCUCGCAUUAGCUCCUGAUGGGAUUUGUUGGACGAAGAGCGAAUUUUCAUGGGAAGUACUUUGAUCCGAAUUUUCAAUAUCUCUAUAUUGGCUUUCGUUUUCGUCUUUCUGUAUUUCCUCCUUUUUGGUGUAUCUUUCUGUUUGUUGUUUACUCGCCUGUAUGAGAGCUAGUGGUGCGAGAGUUAGUGAGUGAGCCUCAUAGUUAUCGGAGGAAAACACAUGCGCUGUGGAUCACACGAUUUUUCGAAUCAAACCACGGAUCAUCAACACGAAUUAGUUGAUUAUGAGUUCUCUGUCUCCUCGAAUGUUAGUAUCUUCAUAAUACAAUAAUCUUACUGGAAAACUGAGACGACGCGAGCUGUAAUUGUAAACGACCGUAAACUUGCUGUUUCUAGCAAAAAAUAGUUUGGUUAAAAGUGGCCGAUUAAUAAUUGCACAUUGAGCUAAUCUAACCGUGCUUUGGUGGUUUGGACAAAUUAUAAGCCACUAAUUAUGUACAGUGAUUUUGUCUUUUUUAUUCAUUCUUAGUUAGACAUUUAUCUUUUCACUAAGAAGAUUAGUUUCAAAAAUCAUUUACCCAAAAGGCCGUUGAAAUUAUAUGAGCGUUUUAUAUUUCUUUAUAAUGUUACUUCGUAUCCCCCUCCAAUUCUCAACGACUACUGAUUGUUAAGAUGAGUGCUAAAUUAGCGAGGGUUGAAAAUUGAGAGGGGUGUGUGAGUAAAGUGAAUUUGAGUGUGGUAGAGACAUGGCCUAUAACUUAUUGCAGUGGAGUUAGGACAAUAAUAUAUAUACAAUUAAACGGAUAAUAUAGAUAGCAUCUAGUGCUCAUAGUUUUUAUUAAGAAUGAAUGAAGAGAAAACCUACCAUAGAGUAAUGUUAUACUUCAAAGGAAGUCAACCGAGUGUAUAACAGCAAAUUUUAUUCGAUAACCUUUGGGCAAUAUUCCAGGAGAGUUGAAAUGAAGUGUAAUAAUCCCUUCCCAUGCAUAUGUAAAUAGUUUCGGAUGGGCAGAUGUAUCGCAUACGUUUCGCAAAACCCGAGUAUGUUCAAACACAAGAAUUGAACCUCAAGAAUAAGAACUAUACCGUUAAUUCCCAUUAAUGUGUGCCUGCUUCAAACUAUAACAGAGAAUGAUAUUAGCUGUAUUUUUUCCAUGUCAAUCAAUUGAGUGAGAAGAUAUUCAAAGAUAUUUUUUCAUACUCCACAGCAAAACAAUAAGGUAAUCAUUGAACCCAACUUAAUUAAACACUUAUUUUUGAAUAUCAAACUCUUUUACUUCAGUGUGUGAUAUUGUGCAGGAAUAUCAACUACGUCAGUGGUUUGUAUAGAAGGAGAAAGGGAGGCAUUGAAUAAUUGCGAAUGCCCCCAAAUAUAUAGACCAUUCGCAACUAUAUUGAGUGGUCUCAUGUAAACUUUCAAAUCGUGUCAAAUUUUAGCUCAUGUGUUAGUUUAUAGCACAUUAUUAGACAACGUCAUCUAAAGUUAUUGAGAUCCUCUGUAAGAGAUGAUAGUCUUAAUGCCCAUGUUAGGUUGUACAGAUACAACUUUGAGUUUUGCUGCCUAGCAAUUUACUGUGCUUACUAUUCUUCUCCCAUGGACAAUAGUGCGAAGGUAUUAAGUUUUUAAAACACAAUUCAACUUUGUUGUAUUUCUCGUAAUUGUCUUGUUAAGUUAAUAGAGCAUUUGUUACAUUACGUCUGUAUACCUACUAGUUCACGCUACUCAGAGGAAGUAGAGUUGUUUAUGCGGCAUUGGGAGUAGCAUUAUAGACUGAGUCUCGAUCAGCCUUACAUAAAUUAGCACACUUUAUUCUAAUAAGGGAAGAAAAUAUUCUUUUAGUCGAAUUGGCUGAUGUUAUUAUUCGAGAUUGUUAAAAAAUAACACGGCUUCAAAUUUAGUAUUCCAUUGUUCUAAGAAGUACGGUAUUGACUACCCCAUAUUAUUCACAUGUUCAUCCGGAUAAAAGAUUCCCUCUAGACCGAUAAGACCAUUUUUUAACAAAAUGUCAGGCAUUAGAUCUUAAGUGGUGGCCCUAUAAGGAAAUUCGAAUUGAUAUUUAUGGUGUGGACGAAUAUGUCUUUUCCCUUAUUUCGACUAGAACAUGUAGUACCUCUCAUCAGUAAGAGCUAAGAGUAAGUUUUAAAAGAGUGAACAGAAUAUUCUACAAUAGAUUUAUCCAAAUUCAAGUAAAUGUAAGGUUAUAAAAUAGCUGUGAAGGCACUAUUAGGUCUAAUUCAAUCAAGAUUUUACAAGAGUUUAUAAAUUUCGAGGCUGAUAGAGUUUUAUAGAUAUUUUUAAAGUAUUCAUAAAAGGUGACACUUAGCUAUCUAGCAUUUGGAUUUUUGAAUGAAUGGAUUUUGGCUCGUGCAUAAGUCGUUAUUGUGUAGCUUGUAUUGUGAACAUUUUGAAUGGUACUUUAUGGGUAAUGUCUGAUCGAAUGUCCUUAUAUUUGCUUUUUAUGGUCCUUCGGGUUUGAGGGUUGUUGUGUGUAAUAAGUUUGUUUUUAACUUAUUUAAUGAAAGUGACGCGUGAAGCUCUUCUCGUAUAAAUCCGUCGACAUAUAACCUAAUGUAUAUAUACUAUCCAAUUAAAAUUUUACAUCACAUGGAAUCUAUAAAACUCCAUUAAACACCAUAAAUUUAUAAAUCUUUUAAAAUCUUUUAGAGAGAUAAUCCUCUAUAUAAUCUCCUCUCGUGAUACGUGAGAUCUAUAAAAUACGUACUCGUCAAUUAAGCUCUCUAGUUCGUAUAAAAUAAUUAGACAACUAAGCUGAUUCACAUACUCGCGAGCUCAAUAGCCAUAUAAUAAAGUUUUAGAACCAACUCAAGAGUACCCUGUGAUAUGGGAGUGAUGAGAUUAUUUUUGAACUUAUCAACCCAGUAGAAAGUGAGAAGGAGAGAGAGAAGCAAUCGGGAAUAUGAUGGAGUUUCUCUCUCGGGGAACUCAACGAUACCCAUAAGGAGUUGUGUUAGAGAUGGGCCUAAAAUAUAUAGGAGACGUAGUGAGCCCAAAUCACCGAGCAUGUGUGCAGGAAUACGGUGAUAGAAUAGCUGGCGUUGAAUAGCUUGAGUUGCCUCCAUAAAGUAUUUAUAGUGAAUAAAAGUGCACGAUGUGUUCAUCUGUAACUCUCUUAGUCGAGCCUUCGCCGUGAAUAUAGGUGUACCUCAGAUCCCAUCACGGUCGCGUUGCGGAUUAGCGGUCUUCAUGUAACCUCUCAGGCAGUCACUCAUUCCCACUAUCAUUCGUAUGGUGUGAACGUGCGCGACUGUCAGCCCCCAGAUUCCCAAAUCAUCACCAACUACAAAGCCAAAUCCACUCACGGCCUCUCUCUUGCUUUCUUGAUGACUUGGAUUCUCGGGUAAUAUUCUAAUGGGUUUAGGGUGUAGGGUUUAAGAGGCGGACUACAGUGUACUAACCAACUAGCUUAACGCACGGCUAUCUACUAGUUACGUCAAUGUCAUUCCAAAUACUUUCGAACACAAAACCUCGGUGUAUGCAUAAAUAUUAUUUACCACUUGAAUUAUAAGUGUUUUUGUCAAACUAUACUAUCCAAAUGCAACCUUGAAGUUCUUGUAGUUUAUCUUGCGUGUUGUGAGUGAGAAUGUAUUUAUUAAAUGCCUGGGAUAGUGAAUGUUUCCUUUCUAACAAGUAUAGUUUAACAGUGUCUCUCAGCCUUGAGGUGCCAUAAAUGGAAUGGCAUCUUAUGAGUAAGUGUAGAUCGAUUUAUGAUUCUAAAUCGCUUUUGUUGUAUAAAAAUAUGUCGCUCGAGUUAUUUGUCUCAACUCGUUCUCACCAAUGUCAGUUAAGAUUGCAUGAUGUUUUUGGGAAUCUGUAAUGUUUUUUUAGAAGUGGUGUUUGAUCAUUCGUUACAGGUGUGGUCAGAAUACAACGGAAUAUUUAAAUUUCUUGAUUAUUGGACAACUCUCAUUACACUCAUGUUUUGUGCAUAUAUUCAAUAUAUUUGUCUUUUCGCCAGAGUAGCAGUGUGUUUUUAGUAAAAACCUAUAUUGUGGACGCUGCCUGUUAGCGUAUUAAAGCCACGCCUUCCUCUCGAUAGAGUGUUUAACCCUUGUUCAGUGUGUUUUCAACAUAGGUAGUUUUCGAACUAUUGUAUAGAGGUCUUUUAUAUAUAGUGUCUUCUCGCCUUUAAAUAGUCGAUUAAAAGUUUGGAAAUGGCGCAGUAGAGAUCUGACCGAUAUAUAGGAUUCUUUGGGAAUGACUGUGCUGAUUGGUGUGUAGUGCAAACUUUUACGACCCCCAGAAGUAGUAAGCUCGAUGUUAAAUGUGCAGUGACAAUAACAUAUUCUUCCAGUAGUGCAUACUGUUAAGAGGCUGUAUGGGCUUGUGGGUUAUUUAGACUAUUUGAUGACCUUUAGUCUAAUUGCUAAUUAUGUAUAAUUCUUGAUUAAAUUGCCUGAUGGGAAGACCAAUACUUGUGAACAUGGUGCUAUCGCACACACAAUAAGAGACGAACUUUUGAUGGUCUUGUGAAUCGUCUUGGCUCCUGGUAUAAUGGGGUGUGAUCUAACCCGUUAGAGUGCCAGGUCACACCCACCCGAUAAUCGUCAUGUCGAUUUUUCUCUCUAUAUGUCACGUUCUAACCUUCUCUUCUCUCAGUGACAAGUUAUCGCCUGUUGUCUUUACUCUUUGCGCGUUUGCUGUCAAUGUCGUCUUGUUACAAUAAUCUCCGGGUCAAGAUUCUAUCCAUUCCACUUUGUACAUAACUACCCAUGCUUCUUGCCCACCAUCUUCUUUCAAUAUUCGAAUACUUAGGCUUAGUUAUGGGUGCUCUAGUGCCCAAAUAGUUUCUUGCCAACGAUUACAUGACACCUAUAACUCAAGCAUAUAGCGUGUAUAUUGGAUUCGUGACUCGAAAGAGCUAGCCUCACGUAUGAAUAAACCUAUGACACCCAGCGAUUAGAAGGUUUCCUCGUAUGCUAUGUAUAUUAUAGUUACGUCCUCACUCGUCUCGGUUAACAAAGUAUCAGUGAUGUGUGAUCUAUAUUUACAAGAGUUUUCAACAUGUUUUUAUAGCGUGUGGUUACUUGCAGAGAAUUUACUUAUACAACUGCCACUAAGACCCAUUCAUCGAAGUGUCGUCCUCAUUCUUGCAUUGGACCAAGUAUUACUAUCGUUACAUAUAUUCCUCGUCUUAAGUACAAUUUGAAAAAAGGUUUAGUAUCUGAGGUCGGUCUUCGGUGCCUCAGUCUCCUCUUUAGUGUAAUGUACAUGCCUCAAGAGUCUGUUUGCACUGCGUGUCAUGUAUUUCUUUAGUUUGGCAAACAUUUAUCCAGAGUUUAUACCUUCGGGUAUUCUAUUCGAGAGGAGAUUGUGGUUCACCGACUGAACUUCUUCUCCGAGAGGACUUUGCAGUGUCUGUUAGGUCUUCAACGUAUCCGGAGGUUAUAUAGAAUAAUUAAUUCUGGUGUCAUACGCUUACUUACUUCAUAUGACUCUCGAUUGUUGUUUAAUUUCAUGAAAUAAUAUUUGUGUGGUGAGCUUAAAUAUGGAACUACUAAUUGUAUGAUAUAAUAGGGGUAUAUUCAGUCUCCUCGUGUAUAUUUCCUAUUUAUCGCCGUGAGAACAGUACGUGUAUAUCAAAAAAGCAAAAGACGAGAAAUUAUUUCCUCAACCUUUGACCGAAUAUGCUAACGAUAGUAUCCAUACGAUUUCACAUCCAGUUAGUUCUAUAGAUGGUAUACUUAGUGGUUUGUAAUUAUUUUAAGCGGAAGUAGUGUUUCCAAGUUAAUCCGCGCUGAGUAGCCUUCAGUGGUGUAAGAGAGUUCCAGUGUGCGCCAAACGAGUGGCAUUUAAUCUUGGUCGACUUGACAGCGCCCGCCUCUGUCAAGAUAAUAAAUAGUUACAAGUUUGGUUCCACCCAUUCUUUUUCGCCCAAUUAUUUUCUCUCGGACGAAGAAUCACUCCCACUACCCUUGUAACUGAUUGGCCCGCGACUUCUAGAAGUCAUAAGAUGGCUCAUCCUGCUCUGUGGAAAUGUUACCUGGCAUCUAUAAAUCUUUUUAAUUUUCUUAUAAUUAAAAAUGAUGGAGAAUUCGAUUUGGCUCACUAAUAGUGGCGAAAAUGGUGCUGUUUUUUCUUCAUAUGCUAAGUUCGGUUACUGACUUCUCCUCACGUUGGAGUAGAGCUUUAUAUUUGAAUCAAACUAUGCCUCCAUCCCUUGUUGUAGACAACGUUAUAACGAAAGCUUUAUUACAAAUAAACGUUAGGUUAUCUCCUCAAAAAUUGAAUCGUGUGUUCUGUGACAUGAAUAUAGAUGGUCGGAUUUACUUCAUUAUAAGAGUGAGCGACAGUUUCUGACCUACAAUUUAAUCAGAUGCAUUCUGACAUGGAAAAAUUGUGUGAAAUGUACUCGCCGCCAGAGCCAGUGUCCGUGAUCUUAUUCAACUUAGUCAAACUUUAUGACGGAGGUUCUGACCCGCUAACAAUUGAUCAUCGCUCAAUUGGAUAUUGAGUAGACUUCUUAAUUUUCUUUGAAUUCAUCAGAUCAGCAAGAUCUUUAUCAAGGAGUCACGCCUCUAUAGAAGAAUUUAAUGUCGCACAAAGAACAACUCGUACAUUGAAUCAUUAAUCGAAAUCCCAAUGUAAUACAUGCCCUAUGCUGUUUGGUAUUAUCACGUCUCGUCAUACGUCUGCACAAUUUCUGCACCAGAUACUAAUAAUAAUGUGUUGUCUUAAAUUGGACUCCUAUUGUAUGUUUAAAAUGUUGAGGAUUGAGCUCCCAUGAUAUCUAGUACGUGAUAUCUUUAUAUAAUUUUUAUUAUUUCAUCGUUAUAAUCUUUACGAAGCUAGAUAUAUUUGUCUCUUUGACUUUAGGUCUCAUGUAUUAACUGCAUUAUUUAUGUUUAGCUAGAGCUCUUUAAUUCGAGCCGAUAAUACUAGAUUGUGAUUUACAUGCUAUUGCGAGGAGAUCAAGGUAAAUUCACGUGAGCUAGUGUGAUAAUCCAAAUCGGAGAUGAGUCCAUUAGGUUUGAUUAAUUGGCAAUUGAUCAGUAAAGUGAGAGUCUAGUCGAGUGAAUUGUUGUACGUAGAAACUCGUUGUCCUUCACCCCGGUGUUAGUUGCCCUCCUGUUGCAGGUAGUUGACAUUCCAAAGUAGUAAUUUACUUCAAUUUUAUUACUCUUAAGAUUCUAUAGAGAAAACAGGUUAAGCAGCAUUGUUCUUGUUGCACAGGAGCAUAGUUGUUUCCCCAGUCUACGCACGUUUACGUUAGUGUAUGUCUCGCUUGUCGCGUCUACCUUCAUUUCUAUUGUUUUGCUUAUCAUCCAUUCAAUCGUCGCCAAUCACUCACUCCGAGUGUCUUCUUGUGCAACACUAUAUCGAGAAUAUUGGACAAAAGGUUUAGAUGGCUCCGGAUCACUGAUGUCUCUGGUGAACCCUAUUGACUCACAUAUAUGUACUUAGGUUGUGUCGUUUCCAGUUAAGUUGCAUUGCAUUUUGCUUAUUAUUCUUUUUUUUUGUAUAACCGACCCAUUCGUCCACAUCUGUAGUGUAGAGAUACAUAGACUCUCGUAGAAUAGUAGUUAAUGUCUCAUUUUUCGUUCUAUCUGCCCUUUGAACUUGACCGUAUUUGAAUAAUUCAGUUGAUGUAACGCUCGGGCCCUAGCCUGCUCUAGAGAUACGGUGUAUUUCAAGAGACAUCAGUGCUGCCGAAGAACUUGAACGUGAUGAGUGUUAUAGACUUAGUCGUACAAUGGGAUAGGAAGUUUCCUUGGCUGGGGUGACAGCUAUUUACAUGGUGCGCUUAACGGGCUUGCUCAUCAAUUGCUUUUAACUGAGUUGUAGAGUCAUAUACUUUUUAACUCAAGUUAGAUUUAUCUAUUCUAACUCUGUGACUUAGUUCAUUCUGGUCAAUGUGUGGUGUGUUCGCUGAGCAUUAUGUUAACUUCUCAUAUCUUGAUCGAUCAUUAUCUAUAUGUUUGGUGUGGGUGUUGUCUAUGCAUCUCCGUGCGUCGAGCAUGGUUUCUUAUAUACGUACGUAGUAUUAAUAUGUUUCUGGCAGGAUGUAUACAUUAUUACGAGUGCUAAUGUCUACUCUUCACCAUCUUUCCUUUGGAGUGCAUUAGAUGGGUUGGAAAAUAAGUUUAAUCAUGUAGUUUUAUGUGUUAGGUAAAUUUAUAUUCUGGGACAUGCCGCGUGUUGUGUUUAUGUGUGUGUGGUACCUCCAUCUCGAGCAUUUGUUGCAUGGGUAUUUGUAUCGUGACAUUUUCCUCCUACUCUUCGCAGGCGACUCUUUCUUAAGAUCUACUUGUACAUUUGCUUGUGCGAUGCAUUGUGCGUCACUCAUUAGUGGACUGCCGGCCGAUGAUUUCUGACAGACCAUUUUACCCAUUCCGCAAGUGUUGAAUUAAAGGUUGGGUUUACUCCUCUUAUUCAUGAAUGUUUUUUUUUCUAAUUGUUUUUAGCCUUAUUGGUUUUAAUCAUAGCACUUUUUAGCUUGUAGCGUAAGCGUCGGAAAUGUUCAAUCUGACUCGUGUAUUUUCUUGACCCAAAGUCCUGGAGGUUAUGGUUGUAGUGAGAGUAUUUUCAUAUAGUCUGAUCUCACUUUUUUAAACAGGCUCCCGUUUUCUCACAUUCGGAUCGUAUUGUGGUCUCUUGUUAUGUAUGUCGCCUCAGCAUUUUAGGGUCUAGUGUUUUAAAUUAGUUUUAGGUUUCAGUCUUGUGUGUUAGUGUACUCUCCGCCAUAUCGUCUAGGUAUCUCUGAAUCCUUCGCCGGUUUCACUUUGCGCUCACAGGGGGGUGAGCUAUUGGGCCCUGUUAUGGAGGUUAAUGGCACUGCUUCUGCCGGUGAAUUAAUCUCCUAUUCUCGUGCCCUAUCCUUUAUUAUAUGCGUCACUAUUUUUAACUAUUAGAGGUCGUGUUCGUAUCAAACGAGUGAUCAAAUGUAAAUUACUUAUAGCAUAGUUAGUCCGAAUAUAAAAAAUUAAGUUUACUCGCGAUAUUAACAAUACUGAAUCAACACAUCACGACUGUCAGUCUCAUUUAUCAACUACAGAGUUGUCCUGUCGCAACUGAAUUGUCUUAAAAACUUCAUAUCAUACUCCAGGGGAAGAAAAUUACAUAGAAAUUUAGGGAACGGGUUUCUUUGCUCAGAGCAAAGAGAUGCAGUAUCGAUUGGAGAAAACAAAUAUGAAGAGAUUCUUGUACCUGUAGAGAUUGGUCUAUGAUGGUAUGAGAUUUAGAGAUCUGAUAUUAUUCUAAUUCUUUUGCCAGGGGCAUAUGAAUACUGUAGAGGAAAAGAACAAGAACAAGACCCGAUAGUUGGUUUGGUUCGGGAAUAGAACACUCCAAAUGUCUCAGUUCUCUCCCACAAGUUGUAUUUUACCUUGAAGUUCUCACUUAUAUUCUCAUAAUUAUGGAUAUUAUUGAAGGUUAUUAAUGUAAUUUCAUUGGGAUUAUUCCUAUCCACUCUCUCUCUCUCUCUCUUUGCUACUCAUCAAUGCUGUACAUCUCUGUUUGCAUAUUCAUAUUUACUGUCUCUAGUGAGAGACUUUGUGUAUAAGAGAUUUAUGUGAAUGAAAAAUCAAACUUGCGCUGAGAACUUCUUAAUUUUUAAAUGAAUCAAUUGGUAACAAUUGACCCAUUCUAACAACAAGGAAAAAAUGUAUUGAAAGACAAAAAGAAUAACACAAUAAAAACCAAAUAAUUCUCCAGGUUCUGAAGUCAUAUAAUUAAUAAAAUGAGCGUAGCUUGGUUAUGUCCUUUUCUUUAAUAAGCACCAAUUAUCAACACAAGAUGUGCUGCUUGUCCUUAAUUGUAUGCUAAGCGUCACAAAUUACCAUCGCCAAGCUCUGCUCUCGUAGUCUACCCAAACACGUGGUAAUUAAAUAAUUAUUAGACAGCACUUAAAAAUGAAAGUUGUCCUAAUUCAAACCAACUAUGUAAGAUCUUUCCUUUUGAAUACAUGUAAUGGUAAGUCUCUCCAACAGCCUUCUCCUUAGCGCCAUUCUCAAUAACAUAUCAGUCAAUGUUCGUGCCAUAAAGUUCUUUAUCUCCCAAUUUUAUCUCUUCCCGUAGUAAUAUAUCAUGGUUUUCAAACUUUAUUAAACAUCACAUAGAAUUUUCUUCCUCUACACAUUUUAUAUCCUCACUACUGUUGACCCUAAAAAAGUGUCAUCUACGCAGUCCAAUAAGAUGAGAAUGUGUGGUGCUCAGGCACUGUGUCAGGUACAUGUUUAUUUAGGACAUAUUUCCUGUAGAGUACGGAUCCAAUUGCCUCUGAUGUUAUGUGUCAGGUCGGUGCGUUUGCAGAACUCGUAACUGGUCCAUAUCUCCUCGCUCGAGAUCAAUAUGAGUGACGUGAUGACAAUGCAACUUGUUUUAAUGAUUGCAGCCCCUCCGUUGAAUCAUAUUUAGCGAUAAGAACAUAAGAUUAAAAAACUGAAUUUACAAUCUAUUCGUAUAGCGGAAACUCGUCAAAGGCCUAAGGACAUCGAAUACAAAAUCCGUCUGUCUUGGCCCGUCCCUUCCGGGUUCUACGCUCUUAGACCACAACCAAGUCCUAGUCGCUUAUGUGAUUUGUAUACUGACCGCAUAACAUUCCUUAUAUACAAAAAAUGUUAGAGGAUUUCCACUUUAAGAGAAAGCCCUUGCACAGAGUAGGUAAGACCUCAAGAUAAAAAAGGCUUGGUAGAGAAACAGACAGACGUCACUUCCACAGCGCAGAGAGACAAGAAAACUUCAAUACCUAGAGAAUGAUCUUGCUAGCCCCAAUAGAGGUAUUUGUAAAAUAAUCUCUUCUUUGACCGAGAUCUUGGAAGAUAACCAGUCGGUCUUGGUAAAUACAUCGCUCCACCCAUGGCUAAUAUAUUAAUCCUAACACCUGAAUGGUAGUUUUCUGCGUAGUCCAAAACAGGAUUCGGCUGAAAUUAUUCCACGAAAUCAGACAAUGUAUGAUUUUCAUCCAAAAUGAAGGUGUUUCCGCCAUGGUUGCCUUAAUAACUAACUGCUGUUUAUCCAAAACUGAAUAGAGCCUCGUGAUAAAGUAGUGCGAGAAAAACCCAGCGAAAAAAUAAUAGAUUAAAAUAGAAUCAAAUUCGUGGAUAUUAUUGUAAGCUGAAUCAGCUUUGCUGACAGUGAGGCUAUGAUUGAAGGUCAUUUGCACAUGAAUAGUUAAUGUGUGUUGGAAUUAGAUCUAUGUUAAAGCUUUUUAUGUUCGCCCUAAAUAAGCGUAUUGCGGAACGUGAUAAAAUGUGAAUUGCUAUAUGAUGGAUUUAACAUCUUAUAAUCUCAACGUGUGUUAUUAUAAUAAACCAACUUCAUCAUAACUAGCAACCGACCGUCUAGUUACCAAAACAAAUUAAGGUCUGUGUGAUACUGCAUGCAUAGAGUAAUAAAGCCUUAUUCUUGUCCAGUUAAUGAAAGAAUAGAGUCUGAACUAUUUACAAAACAAGACUAAAUAGAAUAUAGGGCGCGCACUCUUGACUUAUGCGGUGCAUCGCCUAUUGUUAAUUAAUAUAAAAAGCAUUGAAUCACGCUCUACGCCCUAGUGUGGCAUGUUCCGUGUUUCCUUCUUGUGUCAGUUAUAAAUUCGCAUUCACCCAUCCAUGUUUCACUCUAGUGCCUCUUGCUUUUUGUAUUAUGGGUACAUUUUACUUAUAAGCUCUAAUUAUAUUAAGACUGUCAUUCUAACUACUUGUUCAAUUUUCAUCAUUCACCACACGCAGAUAUCUCAAAUCAAUUUUGAACUGUACCACUUGCUUAGGGUGACAUAUAUAUACUGUCGGAGUGCCUCUCAUAAUACAUUUAUUAUUCCUUCCCGUGUGAAAAUUUAAAGUCCAUAUAUGACACAAAGGAUAAAUUCAUAUUAAUAUAUCGAUAAGUUAUAUUUUUAAGAAUAUGAUUACCUCUUUAAAUAGCAUUAUUAUAUAUGAGUCCUUUAAUCAAUAUAAUCCAAGAAAUCUUUGAGUACUCCAUUUUUUCUCUAUUUCCAAGAACGAGUUGAGUAUCUCCAUAGCACUUUCUAAUACUCAAACUUCGUAGCAUUGUAUUCAUUAUUUAUGAAUACCGAUGAAUGAAAAAUUUGUGUUCGAAGAGAUUUAAAAAUUUGUGGCCAAAAAAACAUCACGUAAACAUAUAAUUGAAGGAAGAUAUAUUUUAUUCAACGUUGGCAUGUAUAGAAUGAGAUUGUAUAAAAAAUACGAUACUAUAAAAUAACUGCCAUCUCUAUAUAAGAGAAAUUUAGCAAUAUCAGUUAGUUUGGAGGAGAAGAAUUUCACUAGGUAUACUAUCUAAUAUUUAAAUUACUUAAAAAGUCUUUAUUUGUGUGUAAAGAAAUAUAUAAAUAUAAACAUGGUCAUCAACCAACAUUCUCCAACACAACACUAGAACCUAGUACGCGCCAAUCCACCCACCGCUACUAACGCGAUACCCUAGCAGACUACAAUUAAUACUACCAAACUACAGUAUCUAUUAAUCAAAAACAUACAACCGCAACAAACCCCCACUUGGUUAUCUUAAAACUUGGAACUUUAAAGUUAAACUUUGUAAUAAGAUUCGUGCAUAAAUGAUGGUGUUAUUCAACUUCCGAAACUCCAGAGUAACACAUCCUACGUGAUCACCUCCGUCCUUUUCAUUAAUUAAUCCUCACUCUACGUUAUCUCAGUUAACGAACGUUCUAGCUCUUUCGAACCAUUCAAUCUCCCUCCCUAUUCACUACAACACUCAUCUACCCAAGACAUCUACCUCUGACAAGGUAAUGCAUACGCCCAUCCAAGAACGAGCACAGAUUCGGGCCUUGUGCAUUGUAUCUAGGUUGGUUCGGGUCUGGGAUACCGAACCGAAACCCCCAACUAGGAAUCCACCAAGACUCCUCGGAAACUAUUCUCUUCCCCGGUGGUGCGUAGUUGCCCAUGAUUUUAUAUCCCAAAAAAUCUCCGUACGACCCUCGAAUUAACUUAUAUUCAUCUUCGUAAUAAAUUUGACGCGCCUUACUUGCCAACUUGAGCAACUCAUCGGUUGUCACAGCAAGCUCAAUUUGUCUACUUGCUGGGUCACUUUGGGUUCGGGAUCUUGGUUACCUGUGAUAGAAAUCCCAAAUUAUUUUGGCCUUUUUUAUAUUUCUUUUCUAACAAUCUCACUCUGGUACCUCUCAAGCUGAUAGAGACGCAUAUAGUUAACCUUCUCACCAUUUUCAGGAAGAGUAUUACACAACGUUACUCAAAACUUGUCGCUUGACAGGUCUCCUCGACCAACUACGGGCCCACAUUCUCUUGCUUAUCAACUCGCGAUUUCUCCCUAGCUAAACUGCGAGUCUCAACUUCUUCAAUCUCCCAAGGAGCCUUCACCACGAACAUGUUCAAUCCUCAAUAGAUUCCUGGCUCAAGGACUUUUCAAUAGCAAGCACGGCAGUUCAUGAAGCGAACUCUAACAAUUAAGCAUGUAAAUUCCCUACAAUCCUGUGCCUUGGUUACCGAAAUAACUGCUUAAUUAAAAGCUUGCCAACUGUUAGCAAUAAUGAAUAUAAGUUUAAAGAUUUUUGAACAUACCCAAAACUGGCGUCUCGCCCGAACUCGCCAAUUGGUACGGAUUUAUGUUUACAACAACCAGCUUAUAAAGCAAACCUCCGAAAUAUUUUUCUCUAAGCAAAAAGUUGCAUGGCAACCAAAAUGAACUUAAGUUGAAGUUCAUUCCCUUUCGCCCAUUCCAUUCCCAAAAGUCUCUCCAGCUCAUGCCGAUCUAGCGUGGGAUUUGUGACGACCAACUGCGGACUUACCCCCCAAGGAUAAAUUAAAAGGGAUUUGGUUAUGGCUAAAUAGCAGGAUCGUUUUGACGGCUGGACUUUAACACAAAUGAUCGUUCUCUUACCAAUCUAAUAUCGAAUUCCCCAGCUCCCUCCACGCCACACUGCAGAGUUAUAACGAAAUCCAGCUAUAAUAUUACAUUGAAAUUAAAUUGCAACAGAGAUAACUCGCCUAUAAGCCUCUAGGGGGUUUAACGCUAUAGAGAAUGGUUUUUCCGUCCUCCAAAGAGCGAUUUGCGUUCCUAGGUUUCCUUCUUCCCUUAUCACAUGAUAUAGCCCCCACCUUGUUGCAAAAGGCCUUUGUUUAUAGAACAAAAAAAAAUUCAAAACCAGUGGCACAACCCUAGACCCUCUUAUAGGCAUAUGCAAACUGAAGGUAGAAGAAUACGAAAACUUAACUAUAGGCAUCAACUGCUGUCUGUUGUAAUCAACAAUAACUUUAGAAUCAUCAAUCAAGGAAUGGUGAGCUUCCUGCAAACAACCAACUAAUCUAAGCACAACACAGACACGUUAUGACUUAUGCAGAUCAUAAUUUCACAUUGUCCCCUAUUUUCUUUUCCUUGGCUUGCCUCGUCUAUCCACAUUUAAGACAUUAAGCAUACCAUUACGAAAUAUAUUAUUCAACCACCUACAAUUGAUAUGCACAUGUCUUUUCUCACAAAACUAGCAAGCACAGCCAAAUCAAUUUAAUUUUAUGAGAGAAGGACGUGUCUAUGAGAACAAACACCAAUACCAUUAUGCUUGAAGCGAAAUCUAUCAACAAUACAAGAAUGUAAAAUUAGAAUUCCCCGCCACAUAGACAUGCAUAUACAAACUUAUAUGCACGCUGCACCUUAUAUGAAAAUAAAUGCAUAUACAAAUUCGUGCACCCACCCUCCCAAAGGCAUGCAGGUCCUGCACUGCACCCACCCUAAUUCGAAACCCACAGUCCUCAAACCCUCACACAUUCGACAAAAUACUCAGAAAUCAAGUUAAUCAACAUGAAAUUUGACUAUAAACACUAAAGAACAAAAACCCAGUGAAAAUAAAAAACCCUUACCUGGAUUUUGGGACUCGAUUGGUCUCAGAUUCGCGUCUUCUUGCGUCUAUGUGUGUGUGGCUGGUUGGAUGAGCGUCGCUGAAGUGGACGGAGGACGGGAGCAGCGGCGUGACUCAAUGGAGGAGUGGCGUCACUCGAAUCGAUGGAGAAGCGAGCGGCGGGAGCACGAGCAGUGUUCGGGAGAUUGAGUGAGAGUGAGCGACUGAGAGAGCUUGUGAGGAUAACAAAUGACCUAACUAAUGGAUGGUUGGAUUAGAUCUUAACCAAUCCAACGGUCCAAGAAAAUUCUAAUUAUAAAUUAAAAAUAAAUAAAUAUAUAUAUAUAUAUAAUAUUUAGUUCGGUUCGGGAUUAUUGAACGUUUUCAAAGCUGUGGCCGAAUCCCAAACCGAAACUUUCGGAACGGGUUCCGUUUCAGGUACUGAAUUUUUUGGGAAAUUCAGUUCGGGCAUUUUUCAAUCAAAUUUCGGGACGGGUUCGGGACGGUUCGGGAUUUUCGGGAAAAAUUUCCACCCCUACUUGUAUCCCAGUUUAGUGAUAGUACUAGAAGUUAGCCCUAGGAACUUCAUAGUAGGCAGCCUCACCUUUACUAUCACAAAGGUGAAACUAUCAAGGAUACUCUUAUAGCUGGAUAUCCUACUCAACUAGAGUAUAGUUUUCAUUAAGAGUUUCAUAACCCAUCCUUUACUUGUGCUACAAGAUUUCAUGCCUUUAGAGAUAACUUCUACAAAAAGUAUAGCAUGAGUCCAUAUCACAUCAUAACUUGUUAUUACCUGUUGAACCAAUUUCUUGGGAUCUCCAGUCCAAAGGUUAGGUUACCAUCACAAGUGACUCAACUUAUCAAGGGCUUUAACCCCAUUCCGCUAGAGGUUUUCCAAAUUUUUUCUCAUGCUAAUCCUUUCGUCAAAGGGUCAGCAAGAUUAUCUUCAGACAUGACAUAAUCGAUUCUGACAAUCCCUGUGGAAAGAAACCAUGUUAUUGUGCUAUGUUUUCGAUGAAUCUGUCAUCUCUUUCCAUUAUAAUAUCGAUUUUUCACUUUUGCAAUGGCUGUUGUGCUAUCACAAUGAAUAAGCACAGCAGGAAUUGGUUUCUCCCACAAUGGAAUGUCUAACAAAAGAUCUCUCAACCAUUAUGCUUCUUCACUAGCUGUUGCUAGGGCAAUCAUUUCAGAUUCCGUUGUUGAUUGAGCAAGUAUGGUAUGUUUCUUAGACUUCCAUGAGACUGCAGCUCUAGCUAUAUUAAAAAUAUAGCCACUCGUGGCUUUAGAGUCUUUUGAUAGUGUAUUCCAAUUAGCAUUGUUGUAUCCUUCAAGAACAGCGGGAAACUUUUCAUAACAUAAACCAAAAUUGAUGGUCCUCUUAAGGUAUCUCAUUACCCUUUCAAUUGCAUACCAAUGUUCCAUAUUGGGACUGGUUGUGUACCUACACAGAACCCCAACUGCGUAGGCUAUGUCUGGCCUAGUGCAAUCAGUAGCAUAUCGGAGGUUACCAAUGAUGCUCGCAUACUUAAUUUGUCUAACAUUUUCACCAGUGUUCUUAAACAACUUCAUACUAGGAUCAGAUGGUGUACAAGCAGGCUUACAAUCAAAAUAUUUGAACUUCUUCAGAUUUUUUUCUAAAUAAUGUGACUGACUUAGAGAAAACCCCUUCUCAGUUUUGUUAACCGUUAUUCCAAGAAUUAAAUUUGCCUCUCCUAAAUCCUUCAUAUCAAAGUUAUUGCAUAGCAUGGUUUUAACUUCAUUUACCAGGUGAAUAUUAGAGCCAAAAAUAAGCAUGUCAUCAACAUAUAAACAUAUUACAACACAUAGAUUACUCUCAGUUUUAAUAUACAUGCACUUAUCACUUUCAUUAAUUUUGAAGCCAUUAUCAAGAAGUAAACAAUCAAAUUUAACAUGCCAUUGUUUAGGUGCUUGUUUUAAACCAUAAAGUGACUUAUUUAAUUUAUAAACUUUAUGCUCUUGCCCAGGUAUUACAAAACCAUUAGUUUGAUCCAUGUAAAUUUCUUCCUCUAAUUCUCCAUUUAAAAAAGCAGUUUUAACGUCCAUUUGAUGCACAACAAGAUUAUGUAAAGAAGCUAAUGCAAACAUGACUCGAAUGGAUGUAAUUCUAGAGACUGGUGAGAAAGUGUCAAAGAAAUUGACAUUCUCUCUUUGCCUAAAACCUUUAACUACUAACCUAGCUUUAAACUUGUCAAUUGUGCCAUCGGAUUUUAGCUUCUUCCUCAGCACCCAUUUGCAGCCAAUGGUUUUGUAACCUGGAGGUAGCUCAACCAAGUGCUAAGUUCUAUUCGAUUCUAGUGAAUCCAUUUCAUCGUUUAUGGCUUCUUGCCAUGAGUCUGUAUCCAAUGAAGUCAAUGCCUCUUGGAGUGUUGUAGGAUCUUCUUCCAGUGCAUAAGUUUGGAAGUCACCCCCAAAAUCCUUGGUGACUUUGGUUCUCUUACUUUUCCUUGGUUCGAAACUAGUUUCGACUGAAUCAUUUAGAGCAUGGUUGCUCGUUCCAUCCUUCCUUAAAUUAGUUGAGGUUAAACCCCCACUAUUCCUUGACAUAAAAGGAAAUUUGUUCUCAAAGAAAUCAGCAUCAUUAGAUUCAAUAACAACAUGGUUCUUUAAAUCAUAAAAUCUAUAUGCUUUACUAUGGAAUGCAUAACCAAUAAAAAUACACUCAAAAGCUCUACUAUCUAGUUUUGACCUUUUUGGGUCAGGUUUUCGUACAUAAGCUAAGCAACCCCAUGUUCUUAAGUAGGACACAUUAGGCUUCCUAUUUCUCCAAAUUUCAUACGAUACAAUUUUAGUUUUUGAAGAGGGAACCCUAUUGAGAACAUAACAGACAAUUAAAAUAAUUUCACCUCACCAAUAUGAAGCACAACCAGAGUUAAGAAGCACAACCACUAUUAAUUCACAAAGUGUCCUAUUUUUUCUUUCUGCUUUGCCAUUCAUUUUUGGGGAGUAGGGUGCAAUUGUUUCAUGUAAUAUGCCUAGAUUUUUACAAUGAUCAUUGAAAGGAGCAAAUUCAUAUUCAAGUCCCCUGUCACUACGAAGCCUUUUAACUUUUCGAUUAAAUUGAUUCUCUACUUCAGUUAAGAAAAGUUUAAACAUGUCAAGUGCUUCACUUUUGUUUUUCAUCAGGUAAACAAGACAAUACUUUGAACAAUCAUCGAUAAAGGUGAUGAAGUAACGUUUCCCAUUUCUUGUGAUUACACCAUCAAACUCACAUAUAUCAGAGUGGAUUAAGUCAAGUAGUUCAGUUUCUCUAUGUAUCAAUUUGUGUGGUUUUCUCGUGAUCUUUGCCUGACUACAAUAUUCACAUUUUUCUAAAUCCUUUACUGAGAUUUCAGGAAUUAGUCCUAAACUACUCAUCUGAUUUACUAACUUCUUAUUUACAUGACAUAACCUAGCAUGCCACAUAUUGAAAGAAGAUAACAUGUAAGCAGAAACAACAGUUUUAUUCAUAACAUUAACAUUGAGUUUGAACAUUCCAUCAGUGGCAUAUACCCAUUUCCCACAAAGACACCAUUCUUUGUGAGAGUAUACAAGUCAGCCCCAAUAGUUUGUGUGAAACCAGCCUUAUUGAUAAGGUAACCUGAGACCAAUUUCUUCCUGAUCUCUGGAACAUGCAUCACCUCCUUCAAUAUUACAGUUUUCCCUGAAGUGAACUUGAGCUCCACUUCUCCAACUCCAGCAACAUGUGUUAAGUGAGAGUCACCCAAUAGAACCCUUCUGUUUUCCGCCUCAGUGUAGGACUUAAAAAGUCCACGAUCAUAGCAGACAUGGCGCGAAGCACCAAUGUCCGCCCACCACCCCUCGAAUCCAUCAACCAAGUUUAUCUCUGAGACCAUUGCAACAAGCUGAUCCUCUGUGAGAUUGGCUUGAGGAGCAGUUCUUCGUUUGUUGCGACAGUUACAAGCAAGGUGUCCACGUUUGUCACAGUUAUAACACAAAAAUGGCUCAACUGUUUCAUCUCUUGAGUAUAGGUAUUUUUCUGUUGUUAUUACGAUAGGUGUUUUGUACCUUCAUAGGGUUCUUGUUACUGAGCGAGUCUUGGUGACAUUCUUCAGAUUCUUACCAUUAGGUUUGAGAUCAACAGUAGCAUGGUUCUUUAAGUAUGACUUCUUGUUGGUAUUCGAGAUGACAAGGACCUCUUCUCGCAUAUCUUGCUUCCUGGCUUCUUCCUCGAUUCAAAGACGAGUAAUCAAGCUUUCAAGAGAAAACUCUUUUGUCUUGUGUCGCAGAUCCUUCUUGAACUCCUUCCAGCUUGGUGGCAACUUGUCAAUGAUCACAGCAACCUGGAACUGUUCAUCCAGAUUCAUUCCUUCAGAUAUGAUCUCAUGAGCAAUCUUUUGCAAUUCAUGUGAUUGGGCCUCCACAGACUUGUCAUUCGUCAUUUAGAACUUGAGGUAACGACUGACUGCAAAUUUCUUGGCUCCCGCUUCUUCAGUAUCAUACUUCUUUUGGAGUGCAUCCCAGAGUUCCUUAGCUGUUUACAGGAAUAGUAGCAAUCAUAAAGAUCAUCACAUAAAUCAUUUAAGAUAUAGUUUUUGCAGAGAAAGUUAUUUUAAUUCCAUGUUUGAAAUAGUUUGAAUUGUUCAGCAGUUGGUUGAUCAGGUAGUAGUGGCAUCUCAGAAGUACAGUUUGAAGCAAUUUUCUUGGUGGUUAACAAAAAUAACAUCUUUUGUCUCCAGCAUUUAAAGUGAAGUCCUUCAAACUUGACAGGUUUGUUCAAAUCAGUGACGAAGAGAGUGAUUUUAGUGUCCAUGGAAAAAAAUAAUCGUCUUAAAAUUGAUGAAAACACUUCACAAACUCAAAGAUAGGGAAUGAGUUUACCAGGAAAAUUGAUGAACUAAAGAACACAAAAAUAUCUUGGGUUGAGUCGUAAACAAUGUCGCUUUCUUUAAGACGUUUCGCGACUCUGCCUAAGGUGUGUAAGUAGUCACAAAUGCCACGCCGUCCCCAAGAUAAAACAGCCCAUUAUCACCAUUGAAUAGAUCUUCCUUUGCAUUGAGGAACAUCCAAAGCCUUCACUCACUCAACAACUCAAUGUUCUCCAAGUAUUUCUUAGGUUUUUUCAAUGUUAUAUACCAAACUAGAACCCUAGCAUUUAUAUACUACUUAGAGAGAUAUUAACGUUGGGAUAAUUGAGGAGAAAAUGCUCACAAAAUCCAAUCAUUAAAUCAAGAAGCAAUAUCAGUUAGUUGAGAAAGAAUAGGUCUUCUAAAUAAAACAAAACUUUAUGUUGGAGAAAAAAAAGGAUUCUCCAUAAAAUUAGGAAUCCAACGUUAACCUAUCUGACUAAUCCUAAAUCUUAAAUAAACAUACAACCCCAACAGGUUCGUAUAAAGAAUGGUAGAAACCUUAGAUGAAGAUUUUAUUUUCUUCUCGAAACAUUGGUCUUUAGCGGGGUUGACUUAGAUAUUCUACAAAUCAUUAUGUUGUGUUACAUAGUUCUUGUAGGAGAAGAUAGAGAUUUGAACCUGACGUUCAUAAGAGGUUCUAGGUUUGCAAUAUUUGCUGAGAUAGCGAAACCUCUGUGGUUCACGGAAACAAAACUGUUUGUCCUAAAUUCUCAAUAUGUUGCUUGCCAUACAAGUUAGAAACUUUGAAUCAUGAACAUGUAUGGUGGAAAGAAUCUUGGAUAGAUACGACAGCCGGCACUCUGUUUUUCACGUGGAAUUCCUCAUGAUAUGAAUAGUAUUCAUCUCAUUGUUGUCCAUAUGCUAAUGCUAUAAUCUAAUUUACUUCACUUUCUCUGAAUCAGGAUACAGAAUUUUCCAGGGAGCCAGGCAUGUAAAUGAAUCUUCGUCGCUGCCUUUUCAGGAUUUCAUCCGAACUAAUCUAAUCCAGUCAUAUGAAGUAUUCAGCAACCAACAUGCCAUUUUUGUGCUUCGAUUUUGCACCCUUACAUUAGCAGACGAUAUCGGUGUCUGGAAUUUUGAGCAGUUAGAUACAAUAUUAUUUUUGUUGCUACUUAUCUUUAGACUUUCCAGUUUUACCUUGGUGUGAAUUGACAACAAAGAACAUAACUUCUUUUUAUCUUAAAAAAAAAAAGAAAAAAAAAAAAACUAAUUGAAUUGCUCCAUGAAACUACCAUUUAGCCUCAAUUUACCCCUUGAAAUUGUCGUUUUCAACUUUUUUGUCUCACUUCACCCCAUUCUCUUUAAGAAAUGUUAAAUUCAAGGGUAUUUUAAACAUUUCACUUUGUACACAUCUCUUCGUCUUGCCUCUUUCAUGCGCUUCACCUUAGUUGACUGAUCAUCUUAGUGAAACAAAUAAGGGUUCACGGAAGAAGAUAAAGGAAUUUAAUAAUUUAUUAUGUUUGAAUUUAACGUUUCUUUAAUAGAAUGGGGUCAAGUGAGAUCAAAUGAGUUGAAUAUAGUAGUUUCAAAGACCAAAGUGAGACAAAACUAGUAUCACGAGGGAAAUUUUGAAAAAUAACCAUAAUUUAAAUCCCAUAUAGAAUUAUAGCCACUCCUUCGAGUUUAUGAUAAUUAUAAUCAAAAGUUGAGAUAAAAAUACUAAUAUACCCUGAAAAUAAGGUUUUCAGAAGAUCCAAAAAGACAACAGGUGCUUCAGACUCAAAACCAAGUUAGUACUAGUCUCCAAGUUCCAGUCUCACCAAACCCAACAAAAACCCAUAAAAAUUUAAAUUUAAAAGUAAUACAAAAAAAAUCCGCAAAUGAUGAUUUCCAUCAUAUAGAUCGUACGGUCCAACCAUUGCAAAAAACGCAGCAAUUUGUGGCUGCCAUGGAGCAAAUCAUGGGCUCCCCAUCUCAUACCUUUCCCAUCCAAUCCUAUUUCUAUAAUCACGGUUAAGCCACGUUAACAUUUUAUAUUUCCAUUAUUUUUUGUCUUAUUAUUUCUAUAAAAAAAAAUCAAUAUAAAAUGUUGAUGUGGCUUAUCCGUGAUCACAGAAAUAGAAGUUUCUAUAAUAAAAAAUCAAUAUAAAAUGUUGACGUGGUUUAACCGUGUUCACAUAAAUAAGAGGGGAUGAGAAGGGUAUGGGAUGGAGGAGAGCAGACAAUCCAGGUCCUCUACAAGAAGCCCUGACCAACUCCUACUCCGUAUCCCCAUCGUACCAACGCCUAAAGCGCCAUAGCAGCCAGUGAGAUACUUUAAACAAAUGAAAGCCUAGGAGUUGGAAAUUUUACAAAUUUACAAACCUUGGGUUUUAAUUGGCCUCUAGCACGAUUGAGUCUUCGGAAGGAUCAUGACCCAACUACCAUUUCAAUCCCAAAACACCAUAAAUUAAACAAAAUGCAGUCAAAUUUUAGAGAAAAUUCAAGAAACAGGCUACCUGCAGUGGUUUGGGGAUGAAAUGGCAUCGUUGUUGGUUGAAGAGGAAAUUAUAUGGAAGAAGGUGCUACUGUUGGUACUGCAACUUGUCCUGUGUUUGAUGAAUAAAAAGAAAGAAGCUUGUGUCUCCAUUGCAGUGCGAGUGCAGAGCAACGCAGCGACAACACUUGACACGAAAAGAAAAGCUCGAGACAUUGCAAACACAUAUGGUUAAAUAGGGUAUAUUAGUACUUUCUCAUCAACUUUUGAUUAUAAUUAUCAUAAUUUUAAAAGUGUAACUAUAAUUCUAUAUAGGGUUCAAAUUUUGGUCAUUUAUCCAAAUUUCCCGUAUCAGAGAGUAAAUUGAGACUAAAUGGUAGUUUAUGGGGACAAUUCAAUUAAUAAGCCAAGCAAAAAAAAACUACAAAUCUUCGUACUUUUUUUUUUGAACAAUCGAUAUUAUCUACACAAAGGGGAAGGGGCGGGUGUUCGUGGCAGGAAUUUCCAUCGGGGAUGCUUCCUAGCCGACGAGCACACAACUUCCCGAGAGGUCGUCGCUGGUUGAUGCUUUCUGUCGGGCUUCUGCUUUACUGGCGGGCUUGUCAGGUAAGGCUGAAAGAGAAGGACAGAGUUAACUUUGAAAGGUGCCUUUGUGGGGCCUUAGGUGUAGGCCUUGAGGCUCACAAUCAAGAUUAACUUUUCAGUGCUCAGGCGUGCCACUGCCAUCUUCAGCAUGGCAGAUGUAAAACGGAUGUUGAGUUUUAAUUAUAUAUAUACUCGAGAGACUACGUUAGUUAUGACAGGUGCCUUUGUGGGGCCUUAGGUGUAGGCUUUGAGGCUUCCCGUUAAUAACUAACUUAGUACUUGAAUACAUAAGGUUCAUUUUCUUGGUUAUAUGAGUCUUAUAACCAUUAUACUUCUGAUUACCUGAGCCCAAAGAGCAGAAUGAAUCCAAAUAGGUGCCUUUGUAGGGCCUUAGAUAGGCCUUGAGGCUUCCCAUCAGAACUCCUUCUAUACUCAACGUUCUAGCCCGAGGAACAUGAUGAAUCUAAAUAGGUGCCUUUGUAGGGCCUUGAAUAGUCCUUGAGGCUUCCCAUCAGAAUUUAUUAUGUGCUCGAACGUUCUAUGGUAAUCAUAAUAUAAUAGAAAUAAAACUAAGUGACAUGUCGAUUACUUGCGCCUCAAGUAACUUCAGACUUCUUGUUUAUCAAAGCUUGUCGUGGAUGGGUUAAGUCCACAUAAGGUUCUUUUUUUAUGCCUUGAGGCCAAGGACUUUUGAGUGAUCAAAUCUUACAUGCCCGAGGGCUUAGAACUUAGAUCUGGCUUGAACUGUGAAGACAUAUUCAAAUCGGAUUCAAGCGCUGAGAGAGUCUUUUAAUAGCCAUAUUACUAGAAAUAACUUGGAUACAACUUGUAGUAUACAACAUAUUGCUAGGCUAAUGAAUGAAAAGACAAAAACAAAGAGGGUCGGGCAAGGCUGAUCGUCUUGCGACUUCCUAUCUUUGUGGUUUAUCAGGAGGUUUGAAAGCUUAGAAAAGGGGUUGGGAGAUGAGUUUACAGAAAGAAAUCGAUACUACAGCAAGAGUUGAACAGGGUAGCAGAGCUAUUACAAAGGGUUUAUCCCGAAAUGGAUGAAGGCUUGGGCUGACUACAGCUUCGUUUUGAAGGAAAAUCUGGCCUUGAGCAGAGUUUGUGCUUAUAUUUGUUGGUUUGUUUGAGUGUCCUUAACUCUGAUUUCUCUUUCUUCUUUUAUAGACACUUUGGCUUGGCCUCCUGUAGCAAUAAUCUUGCCCGAAUGCAGUUUAAAGGAUAGUGACUCAUUAGCUAUUUACUUGUACUGCCACUGUAAAGUACUUUUGGGCUGAUUAGCUGGCUGGUCUAUACCACUUGGCCCUUGGGUAGGUGAGCAAGUGGUGCAAAUGCUCUGCACCUAGUCGGGAAAGGCCUUUUCUGCCUUCUAAGCUUGGGUUGUGCUUCGGGCUUUUCUCCUCUUUGUAGGCCAACUCCCUUCUAAGCCUAAAGUUUAAGUUUUAACCCAAACAGCGGGUUUAGUCUCACAAUGGCCUAACAAUAACGUGGUUCAAAUUCGCCUUUGACGAUAAUCGAAUAUAAGAUCUCUUAUCAGUAAAGAAGAAUAUCACUAGACCGUAAUACUAAGUGGCUACAAAUGUUCAUACUUAGUAAAGCAUGAAUUGCCAACUCUUACAAAUUGCAGGAAGUGUGAGUCCAAAUGCCAAGAAGAGAGGCACAUUGUCCCAACCAACUUGGUCCGAACACACAGGUUUAACGGUUGAUGUAAAGUUCAGCAACAUGUUGUCGAAUACCCUUUGUUGCGCCCGGCAUGUUUUAAACCACCCUAGUUGAGAGGAAACAGUGUUAGGCAACCAUAAUUUGCGAGGCGCCUAAACCCGCGCAAUUAUUUGAGACAUCCACCAUUUGGCUAACUCCUUUGAGAUCUCUGUCAAGCAUAUUUUGGGAGAAUCCCCACCCAGCCAUUUUUAAUCAACCGGAACGAGUCAAUUUGGAACUUCUUCCAACAUUGAGAACAGAAGUACCACUAGAUCAAUAAUUUUGGUCGUUUUGGUAGCGUUUUAGUUGAUGUGAGGAGUAGAGGGACCAAAGCCACUAGUGGAAAUUAGAGGAAGACCAAAAUACCAGAUAAUUGCAUUAAAAUGACAUUUCAAUACACACUUAAAAAGGCUCAUACAUUUACACAAAAGUGUGAUUCCCUGGACACAAUGGAAUACUUCAGUCCACUCGCGCCUUAGCAUUCGAAAAUAUUCCGGCGAACUUCGAAUCUAUCUUUACAAAGGAAUGGUAAUAAAUAGAUACAGCAAAUAUUCUUUUAACCAAAACUCUUUCCGAGUCCAGAAAUCAAUGAUUUUUUUCGAUCCCCUACUGUUACUAGGGAGCUGUAUGCAAACAUAUCCAUAUAAUUUUAAAUACUCAGGUCCGCCAUGAACACACUCUAACCCUAAAAGCUCAGAAAAUUCGCGAAAAUGAUGCUCACCUGCGCAGAUUCUGUGAAGCAGUCCCAAAAUAGUUUCCAGAGCAAGGAACAGCACAAACAUCACAUUCUGUUCCAACGUAUGUCACCGUCCUUUUACACAAAUAUUCUGUUCCAACUUCCAAACAAAAGACUUCAGAUGACCAUCACAUUGGACAACCGACAUCAGGUGUCAAAAACUUCUUACAAAAUUUCAUGUUAUUGCAGCCAAGAACCGUUUAUGACCCAGAUGAUCCACAAGGGAUCACUUCUAAUUCAGUGGCCCUUGAAAAAAGUCCUACCCCAACGUAUCAAUUUCCUUCCCAGAAUCAUCCUCAUUAAUGUUUCUCCUCAACCUUCUUAGCCAUAUAUCAUAGUCCAUGGGAUAUGGUGUCCCACAUAGACUAUCAACAUAAUCGGCAAAUGCUUUCAACACAGUUGAGGCCUCACCUAACUUCUGUUGAAUUAAUCUUCUGGACCAAGAAGUCUCUCUCCACUGCAGUGCCCCCUCAACGGAAUCCAGAUCAGGUAGAACCCCACCACACGAAAUAUAAAGCAUGUAAACAAGGCUCUCUGCAUCUGAAGCUGAGCAGAGCUUUCCCUCCUGGAGAGCAUAAGUAGAAGAGAAAUGAAGGUUCAUUGCAGGGCGGUCCCUAUCUUCAAGAAUAGCACGUCCCCAACCAAUAAGAACAAAAUAAGGUUGCUUCUCGGCAGACCUGACACAAAUCACAUUCUCAGGCCUGAUGUCUCCGUGGCGAAUUCCUGCAGAAGCAGCAGUUGAAAGUGCAGAUAAGCAAUCAUGGCAACAUCUGAUCGCGUCCUCCAUACCAAAUCUGGCUUCACUUGUCAUAUGAGCCACUGUUUCACCAACUGGGCUGGUCACAAGAAUCGGGGUGCCACACCAGGGGUGAUCACAGUUUCCACCCGAGCUGGGUUUCUGACAAUGACCAGGGUGAAUAAUCCUGCCAGAAGCACUUAACUGAGGUAGAUACUUGCUAGAUAGACCUCUCUGUUUCAUAGUAGUCAAUAUUUUCGUCUGCCUCUGAACUUGAUACCACAGAUUCAUAUCCUCCCACGCGGGCUCCAGCUGGGAAGGAUGAGAACCAACAUAUAGAAACAAACUUUUCUGAGGUUCUUCAACCGGAGAAGCAAUGUAAUAUGGAUGUUCACUGUUAUUCAAGACUUGAUUGAUCUGGUAACCUUUUUGCCAGUUAGAAUCCUCCAACCAUAAUACAGAUCCUGCUUCUAGCUUCAUUAACUGUUCGGUCUCAAUUUUAGCAGAAUCAUCCUCAACUUCAACGAUUUCUGGGGAUACAUUGCGCUGCUGGAACCGACACAGACCAUUUCCAUUCGCCCGGGAAUUCCCCAACUGCCUCUCAGUCCUUCUUGCUUGGAGGCGAGGACCAUGGUCAGCAGCUAAAUCCUCUAUUGAGUGCUUGGGAAAUCCAGCAAAUUGCACAAUACAAUGGAAGGUAGCAAAGAGUAACUGUAAAGCACCAAUGUCUCCCCAGUUGGCAUUUCCAAGUUUGUUCCAGAUCCUAUCAAUGGACGAGACUGCAAUCCUAGAAUGGUUUGUAAUCCAUUCAGCUGCACAUUCGUAAACAUUAUUGACAUCAAACACCAUCUUAUUUACAUCUCCUUCAACCUUUACUACCCCACCAUACUGAGAAUCAACAAGAAGAAUAAACACAGAGUUUGAACUCUGAGAGUAGUUCAUUCUGCUCAAGCUUCUUGAUAAUAGUACACGAAGAGCAUAGAAAAGGGCCUCGCCUAAAACAGAUAGAGAAAGCUGCCUGUCACUAUCCAUGGAAAAGUUUCUGAUAUCAGGCCUUAAAAGAGACAGUUCAAGAAUAUGAUCCCACUUCCCACGGGGAUGUCUAGGGUUUGUAAGCAAUAAACCGGUAGCACAAAGACCUCCAAGCUUACCAUCCCCAAUUGCCUUCUCAGCCUGGUAGAAUUUCAAGUUUUCAUUGUAUAGACAAGCAACAGAGAAAGGCAUAGGCUCAUCUUGAUUCCAGAAUGCUUCCCACAAUCCCUUCGCACCGGCAUGUAAAAAAUCUUCAAUGGCAAGAUAAGCAGUUGCUUCAACAGCAUCCGAUGUUGAAGCAUAAACGGAAUUGGGCAUCCUAAUCACCUGCUGAAAUGAAAUCCCUUCCAAUGCAUAGUCAAACUUUUGAAGUUCUAUCAACUCAAAAGGCACAUCAAAGGCCGGUUUCAUUGGUUCUGAUUUGUUGGAUAUAGAUUCAAACCAGUCUUCUAAUUGUGUAGUAAGCAUGCCACUGUCUACAAAUCUAUGAAGAAACUCCUUGCAGUUACGAGACCUACUGCCAGAUGAUGCACUAGACCUCCUUGUCCCAGACCCAACUGAUUCCUGGUCUGGCGACACAGCUGCCAAAGAAAGUAUAAUAAUGUAGAUCAGCAAAAUGGGGUCCGAAACAAGAAUAUGCACAUGAAUCUACGUGUGUGUUUGUGUACUAUUUCUUAACAAGUGCAUCCACACAGUUGAUAUAUACCAAACAGUUGAUAUAUACCAAUGACAGAAACAAUUGUUACUGAUUGACUUUAAAAAUUAUAGAAAAGCUGUGCAGUUACCAAAAUUUGACCAUCAGUCCAUUUGUACCUUUUUCUAUUCACUUUUUAUAAGAACCACAAGUUUUAUUAUGAAGAACGGAGAACAAUAGAAAUAAAAUUGAUCAUAAAUCCAAAAAAUCAAAGACUCAUAAGACUUUUCGUACCCUACUAAAAUCCGCGUUAGCACUUAAUAUUUGUUUCUUUUUUUCGCUCUUGGUCAUCCUUAUAUGACAUACGUAAUGCAUUCUCUCAUGGUUGUGAUUCCUUGGGCCCUACUCCUACUCUCACACCACUCUCCUAAUUUUUAUCCUUGCUGACUUUCUCGAGUAUGCUGUAUUUCAAUUUCCAACUAGUUUUACAUUUCAUCUUCAUCCACUAUUCUAUCCCCAAGUUCUACCAAAAGAAAUACCCUUCCUCACUUAGCCAUGUCCUCCUUCUCCUCCUCCAACAACAGACUUACAUGGUUCCAAAUCUCCCCAAUAAAUAAUUGUCUCUCUAUUAUACAUCUUAGCUAUUGUCUCUUCUGCAACAAAUUGCAGUGACAACAAGGUGCCAUGUACAUUCCAUCCACAUAUUCAUUUCGAUCAUUUUUUUUAUCAUAACAAAUUAGGUAUAAUAUAAACCAAAUGCUUAUACAAGAGGAUCAUAAACAUGACCACCACUAAUUCGGAUUAGAAUACACCAAUCAAAUGAUCGAACGUGCGAAUUCAUUAAUCUUAACAUUUCAGAUAAAAUAUUCUCAUCACCCAUUGUGCCCCUUCACCGAUCCAAUAUACUCCACAAACACAUUAGAGAUAUGGAAAAUUUAAAAUUAAAAAAAAAAAAAAAAAAAAAAAAAAACAUUCUUGAAGUGGAAACCCAUCUUAAGUCCUUACGGCGACAGGGCCGGCUUAGUUCCACCAACUUCUCGAGCAGUUGCAACAAUGACAUUGUGAACCCAUCACCCAUUGCCUUUGGACAUUCAAUUCAUCUCAUAAAUUUUACAGUCACACAAUUGGGGUCAUUGUGCAAUGAAACCCAUAAUUCAUCCACCAAACACUCAGCUGGCCACAUUAAUGUUACUUCCUUUUGAGGAAGAAGCUCUUGAAUUCACUUUAAAAAUACAAAAUCGAGCUCUUGAAUUUACUCAAAAUUCAAAAUUGAGCACAAAAAAACACUGAAAAAAUAAGAAAUUGCCUAACACAGAAACCCUAGAGAUGACCAAGACUAAAGGAAACAGCCAAAUUUUCCGAGUAGACAGAGAGAGAGAGAGAAAGGAAGAGAUGAAAGGCUGACCUUCCAUUGCGGUUAGGGCUAACAGUCCAAUCCAACGUAAUCCAGUCCAACGCAGUCCAGUCCAACGCAGCAGCUCAUUGACCGACCAUGUCUGCGCCUCCUCCUCCUGCGCCGAUCAAACGAUCGCUGCUGGUAAUUUUCUCUUUUUCUUUUCUUUAUUUUUUGGUUUUGUUUUUUUAAAUCGGGUAUCCGAAUAUCAAGGCUUUUUUUUUUUUUUGGGAUCGUUUUUUUUUUUUUUUGGAAAAUGUCUUCAUUUGCCGGCCGACCCUUGGAUUAUUCGACUGCCCCCGCCCGCACCAUGUACACGUAUUUUUAUUUUAUCUUUUGUUUUUACUGCCAAUUUUUUCACAUUUGCUUUUUAUUGGGUUGCACAUUUUUACAUUUUUUUUAUUUAUUUGUCAAUCUUUUUUCUUCAAAUAAAACUAAAAUAAUAAGUACGAAUACGGUCGGCUAGGGCCUCGAAUUUAAAACUCUUAAGUGAUGGCGAAGAAAUAUCUCAUACGAAAAGUACGUGCUUAUAAGUAUUUGAAUUAUUUUAUUUAUUGUGAAUGGUGGAAUCUCAAACUUUUUCAACGGUCAUACAUAUUUCACGUUACUUAGUUUGUUCGAGGUGUUCUAACAUAUAAAGUUUAUUAAAUUUUUCAUAUGCUUAUAAGAAGUUAUUGAAAACUCUUAACUAUCUUCGUCAUAAAAUGAACUAAUUUUGAAACUCUAGAAUUGACUCGGCUUACCCAAUUGCCUAUGCUAGUGGGGAUGCAAAAGCACUCCCACAACCACUUAUAAAAAGGUUUUUCUUGCCAAUUCUUCAAUAUAUUUUUUCGACACAUCUAUAGAGAAUCUAACUUCAUAACUUAUGCGUCAUUUCCAUUCAAAAACCUAGAACCUAGGCCCAUCAUCUGCUUGUGCCACGCCCAUACUGCUUUGCAAUGGCUACAUUCUUCUCUUCAAGUUGCCUUUCGUUGUAAUUUCUCAAUUUAUUUCUUUUGAAAUUUAAAAAGAUAUAUAUCCCUACGUAUCGGAGUUGUUAAUAUAAAUUGGCGAUUUUGUACGACAUACAUUGAUGAAUUAGAAAUAACUUGAACAAACUUAACGACGAGAGAUUCCGUCCGUCGAAGCGAAAGCGUAGAAGUUAGAACUAUCCAACUGGAUUUAUUGCAACAAGAGUAACAGCUAGACAAACACACAGAACGAAGCAAAAGACAACAUGUUCAGUUCAAGUGCUGCAAACAAAAAGCAGAUGUUAAAACAUGAAAGCCGAGUCUCUCAACGCUCGUACUGCUUUCGGAGCCUACGAAGAACAUUCGAGUAGAAUUUCCAAUAAGGAUGAGUAGAUGAAACAGCAGGCUGUCCAAAAGGGUUUUCCUUCACAUAAAUUUGCACAUCUUUUGCAUCUGCAAGGCCAUCCAAAUACUUCCCAAGUUCUCGCUUUGGAUCUAUUUCCAACAGUCCAAGAAAAAAGAGAAAUCAGCUUUUAGGUUAAGCAAGUGGUAGAAUUUCAAAUGUUAAUUCUCAAGGGAGAUGAUAUCCGAAUAUGCCAGUUCACUGUGUGCUAAAAAUAUAUAAUGCAGGAGGAGAAAAUGAGCAUGCGAAAAUCACUUCCAAAAUAAUAAACGUAUCAAAUUCUCGUCAUUACCUAAUUCUUUGUCGUUGUCAUUCUCAGCAUCAUAUGACUCCAAGAAGAUACCUGUGUUAGGCUGUGACAUGAAACAAAGAAAACAACUUUAGAAUGAUUAAGGAUAGACAUUGUCGCACUUUCAUUUUCCCCUUCUGCACUCCUUCCGUUUCUGUCAUUUGUUUCCCCUUAAAAAUUCAAUCCAAAACCUAGGAAAAAAUGAAGUGCAGAGGGAGAAAACGGGAGUCCGAAAAAAAAGGAGGAAAUCAGAAUUGUGAUAACCAUACAGGAUUCAAUAGACCCUUGUAAGGUUGAUCAUCAAUGAAAAGUGUAUCAGAUUCUGAGUAUUUCCCGCUAAAAUAGCUCCACACUUUGUCCAGUUCUUUGAAAAAUAGAGGCUUGCGAUUAUCCUCUAGCGACUUGAACCCAGAGUCGGUACAUUCAUGUUGAUCCUAUUGAAGAAAUACAUAUCAGUAAAUCUUGUCACCAAACAUUUACCUAUAUAUAUAUAUAUAUAGAUCUCAAAAAUACAUGUAUAUGUGUGUAUAGCUUUCAUAUCUUAACAGUUCUUACCCAAACAAAUGACAGUCGCCUUCUCAGCUUUCCCAUCACACAAUCCAAAACACCAUCCACAUUUUUUCUGUUAAUCAGUCAUUCAUAGCACAAUAAACAGACUGGAUAGGAAGUAAAUAACAAAUGAAAAUCAUGAAGAAACAGAAGUAUAACUCGACAUGAUAAAAGGUAGACAAUAACAUUAAUAGCAUGUUUACUUACCAAAAACAAGAACAAGACUAAAUGAUAUCGUUCUAAUUCCCAACAUCUUCAUGUUUGCAGUCAAAAACGAAAAAGAAAUAAAAAUAAUAAUAUGUAGGUUUCAGCUUAAAAUCAAGAAUUAGAUACUCUCGAAACCAAAAAUUAGAUCAACUAGACAAAAGUUGAUUCAAUUCGACAGUCCGAGUUACCCUGUUAUAAGUUCCCAAAUUCAUAAUUGAUAGUAAACAUGCCAUAAAAAGUUAAAGAACAUAAAACAUUGUGUGUGCACUUACACUUGGGCAGAACUCAAUAUUCCAACUUCGAAUCUUUCAAAACAAAAUUGCAUGAAUUCCUCACAAAAUGGUCUCCUAAAAACUGCAACGUCAAAGAAGAGGGUUGUCAAACCUAAAACGAAUGUACAUUGUAAAUUGCGAAUGUAACAUGUAGUAAUUGCGAAUGUAACAUGUAGUAUUCUAAGUAUUUUUUUUAUCUACUAUUUUUUAAUACAAGCAAUAUUACUAUUAUAAUUCACACUAAGGGAAGGACAAUUUGAACUCGGUAGACAUCAUGCUACAAGCUCUAGUAGACAAGAGAAACUCAUCAUUAUUCAUGAGUCGUUGAUAAACUUUUUUGGAAAUGUAAUGUUAGGUAGACAAACUUUUUAAACUUCAUUUGCAAAAAAUAUGUUAUAUCAAAGAAAGAAAAAAAUAUGCAUGUUAGUAGAUCUUCAAAUUUUCCCUACAAAAAAUUCCACUCUCCUUUGUACUCUCACAACAAUUAAGUAAUAAUCCAACUGUCAUCAACCACGUUAGGUUUACAAAAUAUAAUUUAAAUUUCCUUUAAAUGCUAUGAACAACACUCUAAUUCAAAGAUUAGUGUACGUACCUAGAUAGCUUCCAUAUGUGCCAUCAGGAGUACGAUUGCUCGGAAUUUUUGCCCUGUUGUAGCGGAUAACUCUGUGGACUAGCAAGCCAUUGAGGCUAAAGAUUACAAGCUUCUUCCUUGAUCCUAUGUAUAGCUUCUCCAGAAAAAGGCCGCAAUCGCUUCCGGUGUCUUCGUUGCAAUCAUCGUCGCCGUCAUCAUCGUCGACCUCAUCGCUGUCAUAUUGAAGCUUGUUGUUACAAAUCUUUUCAUCAGCCAUUGUUCAAAGCAAUGAUGUAACAAGUAGCAAUUUUGCCGAGUAACAUAUGGUGUCGUCGGUUUAUAAGAGGCUGCUGGCUUUUCAUCUUCUGUAAAUGUUUGUCGGUCAAUUAAUAGAGAAAGAUGAGACUGUUGGCUUUUCAUCUUCUGUAUAUGUUUAUCGAGUAAAUGGUGGCUUUUCAUCUUCUGUAAAUGUUUGCCGGUCAAUUUAUAGAGGAAGAAGAGACUGUUGGCUUUUCAUCUUCUGUAUAUGUUUAUCGAGUAAAUGGUGGCAAAAACCAAAGAGUAAAGAGAAAAAUGGUCUUGCAAAUCUUUGGGUACCCUAGUCGAGUAAAAAGACGAGAAUGACUUGAAAAAUGCCACUCAUUUUUUGUGACGUGACAUAUUUGACUAAAAAGUUAAUUAUGAUUCAAUGAUAUUACUAUUCAUUUAUAAAGAUGCGCUUUCAAGUCUUUCUCAUUUAGACGACGAGUUUAAUACCUAAUUGUAGUGACUGAUCAUUUCAGUACAAAUCUUCCAGCUUUUAAAGUAGAACAUUAUUCCCAUAACUAGUUAAAGUCCUCCAACAUUCAACAAUAUGAACUAGUUGUCCUUGCGUUACUACUCACACCAUCGUCAUAUGGAAUCGUAUGUUUUUUUCUUUCUCGUCAUGUGACAUGUAUUGAAGCAAUGUCAACCAACAACUACAAUAGGAUAUCCACAUCUUUUAACCGACUCAAGAUUAAUGAGGCCCAAAUUGCAAUUUUCUUUCUAGCCCAUUAUAACAACAAAGAUUUCUAACAAUUGGGCUUGUAAUAGCAUUCCCAGUGAGGGGCUUUAUAUGAAGCUGAAAAAGUGGUGAAUAUAGCCCAUUUUUAGAGCUUCGAGGAAUUUUUGGGACUUUAUAAAAUAAUCUCUUCCAAUGAGAGGCUAUAUCUUUCGGGCUCUAUAUGGGGCUAUAUAUAUUUAUUUAUGUUGUAAUUUGAUUAAGCAAUGAUUUUUUUUUUGUGUUAGCUUUUCUUAAGUUGAUUUUUGGAAAUGCUAUCUUAAAUUUUUUUUGUGAACCCUUCAAGCUAAAAAGUUCAAAUUGUGACAAAGUUAGAUUUCAACACUUAUGAAUAGUUCGUUGGAUUAGAUUCCCUUAUCUCAAUCUCAUCCGUUGAAAGAAGCAAACCCCAUAUUCGCCCUUUUAAAUAAUUAAAUUUUCAUGUAUAACACAACAAUUUACCUAGCACCAAUUGGUAAAUUAAUAUCAUACAAUUUUGAAAAAAAAAUUAUUUGAAAAUUUCACCCAUCAAUGCCCAUGAACGUUAAAUCAAUUUGAAAUUUUAAUUCUUAAGGAAUUAAAACAAUCAUUAAUUAGCCAAAUUGCAACAAAAAUAAGUAAGAAAAAAAAAUUAAAAUAAUAAAAGGAGAGUAUAAGUGUAUUCGCAAGUGGAAGGAUAGUGAUAGAAUUUUGCUCACAUGAGUUGCUACUUUUUUUGUGGGACUUACUGUUUUUUGGGGCUAGAUGUAGCCCAAUUUUAUACUACCCAAUUAUGGAUUUAGCCCUAUUUUUUGGCUCAUUGAAAAUGAAAUUUAUCGCUAAAGCUAGAAAUGUGAUAGUCUCAUGAAUGAUAGACAGAAUUCAUGCACCAUGUCUCCAAAAUUCUUCUUCAAAUUUUGUGCAGAAGCUUCUCAAAGUUACCACAAAAAGGAUAAUAAUUCCUACAACAAAGCGUGGGAGUCUCCCAUACCUCCACAGGGCAGAAGGUUGUAGUAACACCCCACUUUUCCAGCACCUUCCAGUACUCUCUCUCUCUCUCUCUCUCUCUCUCUCUUAUACACACCCAAGACUGAAGACAGAGACCUGGGUUUUUGUUCACUGAGGCAUAACAUCAAAACUUGGAGUGCAUAACAAAAUGAAGCCAAUCGACGACAAGAAAUACAAGGUGACGAUCCGGACGGUGACCCACGACGAGGAGGGCCGUAAGAGGGUGGAGAAGAUGGAGCUCCCCACCCACAACAUCGACAGCAUCGUACGUCGAGAAGAAGCUCAUAGACAAAGGCGUGCAGCGACUCGAACGCCACCCGUGAGACGGGACUGGGAUCGGGAGGCCGCCGCCUAAGUCGGGCCACGGUGGCUAGUACACGUAUUUUUAUUUUAUCUUUUGUUUUUACUGCCAAUUUUUUCACAUUUGCUUUCUAUUGGGUUGGAGAUUUUGUUUUUAAUAUUUAUCAAUCUUUUUAUUCUUCAAAUAAAACUAAAAUAAUAAGUACGAAAACUAGGGCCUAGAAUUUAAAAAUCUAAGUGACGGUGAAUAAAUAUCUCAAAAAGUACGUGCUUAUAUAAAGAUUUAAAUUAUUUUAUUUAUUAUGAAUGAUAUUAUAAUAGAAUCUAACUCUUUCAACGGUCACACAUAUUUUAUGUUAUUUAGUUUGUGAGAGAUGUUUUAACAUAAAGUUUGCUAAAAUUUUAUAUGCUUAUAAGAAGUUGAAACCUUUUAUACUAUUUACUUUAAUGUAUAGUAAAAUCUUAACUAUCUUUGUCAUAAAAUGACCUAAAUAUGAAAUUCUAGACUCGGCUUAGCAAUUCCACAACUACAAAAAAAGGUAUUUCUUGUUAAUUCUUCAAUAUACUCUUUCGACACAUGUUUAGAAAAGCUAACUUUGUAACUAAUGCGUCGUUUCCAUUAAAAAACCUAGAACUAGGUCCAUCAUCUUCUUGUGCCACGCCCAUACUGCUUGGCAAUGGCUACAUUCUUCUCUUCAAGUUGCCUCUCGUUGUAAUUUCUCAAUAUUUUUAUUCUGAAAUUUAAAAAGAGAUAUAUCCCUUCGCUUGGAGUUGUUAAUAUAAAUUGGCGAUUUUGUACGAAAUACAUUGAUGAAUUAGAAAUAACUUGAACAAAAUUAUCGAAGAAAGAUUCCGUCACGAUCCAACAGAAUGUAUUGCAACAAGAGUAACAACUAGACAAACACACAGAAAGAAGCAGAAGACAACAUGUUCAGUUCAGGUGCUGCAAACAAAAAGCAUAUAUUGAAAUUUAAAGUUGAUAACAGUUCAUGUUAAAACAUGAUAGCGGAGUCUCUCAACGCUUGUACCGCUUUCCAAGUCUACGAAGAACAUUCGAGUAGAAUUUCCAAUCCGGAUUAGUAGGUGAAAUUGCAGGCAUUCCAAAAGGGUUUCCCUUCACAUAAAUUUGCACAUCUUUUGCAUCUGCAAGGCCAUCCAAAUACUUCCCAAGUUCUCCCUUUGGAUCUAUUUCCAACAGUCCAAAAAAAAAAAAAAAAAAAACUAUGUUAAGCAGGUGUAGAUUUUCAAAUGUUAAUUAUCAAGGGAGAUGAUAUCCGAAUACGCCAAUUCAUGUGCUAAAAUAUACAGUGCAAGAGGAGAAAAUGAGCAUGCGAAAAUCAUUUCCAAAAUAAUAAAUGUAUCAAAAUUCUCGUCAUACUCAGCAUUAUAUGACCCCAAGAAGAUCCCUGUGUUAGGCUGUGACAUGAAACAAAGAAAGCAACUUUAGAAUAAUUAAGGAUAGCCAUUGUCACACUCUCGUUUUCCCCUUCUGCAUUCCUUCCAUUUCUGUCAAUUGAUUCUACUUCAAAAUUCAAUCCAAAAGAAAAAAAGGACUGCAAAAGGAGAAAACAGGAGUACCAAAAAAGGAAGGCAGAGUUGUGAUGACCAUACAGGAUUCAAUAGAGCCUUAUAAGGUUGAUCAUCAAUGAAAAGUGUAUCAGAUUCUGAAUAUUUCCCACUAAAAUAGCUCCACAGUUUGUCCAGUUCUUCGAAAAACAGGGGCUUGUUUUUAUUCUCUAGUAAAUCUUGUCACCAGACAUUUACCAAUAUAUAUAUAUAUAUAUAUAGAUCUCAAUAGUAUACGUAUGUGUGUAAAGCUUUAUAUAUCUUACAGUUCUUACCCAAACAAAUGCCAGUCGUUUUCUCAGCUUUCCCAUUAUACAAUCCAACACACCAUCCACAUUUUUUCUCUUAAUCAGUCAUUCACAACACAAUAAACAAAGUGAAUAGGAAGUAUAUAACAAAUGAAUCAAGAAGAAACAGAAGUAUAACUAGACAUGAUAACCGGUAGACAAGAACAUUAAUAGCAUGUUUACUUGUCAAAAACGAGAACAAGAAUGAUAUCGUUCUAAUUCCUAACUUCUUCAUGUUUAGAGUCAAAAACAAAAAGAAAAAUAAAAUAUAACAUUUCGUCAGUUCGCCGAUCUGAGUUACCCUGCUAUAAGUUCCGAAAUUCAUAAGUGAUAGUAAACAUGCCAUAAAAGUUCAUUAGAAUAUAAAACAUUAUGUGUGCACUUACUCUUGGGCAGAACUCCAUAUUCCAACUUCAAAUCUUUCAAAACAAAAUUGCAUGAAUUCCUCACAAAAUGGUCUCUUAAAAACUGCAUCGUCAAAGAAGAAGGUGGUCAAACCUAAAGCGAAUGUACAUUGUAAAUUUCAAAUGUAACAUGUAGUAUUCUAAGUAUUGUUUUUAUCUGAUGUUUUUUAAUACAAGUGAUAUUAUUAUUAUAAUUCACACUAAGAGAAUGACAAUUUGAACUCGGUAAACAUCAUGCUACAAGAUCUAGUAGACAAGAGAAACUUAUCGUUAUCUAUGAGUCAUUGAUAAACUUUUUUGAAAGUGUAAUAUUAGGUAGACAAAUUUUUUAAACUACAUUUACAAAUCAUGUGAUGUAUCAGCAAUAAAAAAUAUGCCUGUUAGUAGAUCUUCAGACGUCCUCCUACAUGAAAUUCCACUCUCCCCUAUCUCAUAACACUUAAAUAAUAAUUCAACCGUCAUCAACCACCUUAGGUUUACAAAAUAUAAUUUAAAUUACCUUUAAAUGCUAUAUGAACAACACUCUAAUUCAAAGAUUGUGGUACGUACCUAGAUAGCUUCCAUAUGUGCCAUCAGGAGUACGAUUGCGCGGAAUUUUUGUCUUGUUGUGGAUGGAAACCCUGUGGACUAUAAACCCAUUGAGACUAAAGAUUACAAGCUUCUUCCUUGAUCCUAUGUUUAGCUUCUCCAGAGAAAGGCCGCAAUCGCUUCCGGUGACUUCGUUGCCAUCGUCACCGUCAUCGCUGUCAUAUUGUUGCUUGUUUUUACAGAUCUUUUCAUCAGCCAUUGUUCAAAGCAAUGACGUAACAAGUAGCAAAUUUUGCCAAGUAACAUACGGUGUCGUCGGUUUAUAUAGGAAGAAGAGACUGCUGGCUUUUCAACUUCUGUAAAUGUUUGUCGGUCAAUUUGUAGAGGAAGAAGAGACUGUUGGCUUUUCAUCUUCUGUAUAUGUUUAUCAAGUAAAUGGUGGCAAAAACCAAAGCAAAAUGUUUGUCAGUCAAUUUAUAGAGGAAGAAGAGACUGAUGGCUUUUCAGCUUCUGCAUAUGUUUAUCGAGUAAAUGGUGGCAAAAACCAAAGAGUCGAGAAAAAUGGUCUUUCAAAUGGCUUUGGAUACCUUAGUCGAGUAAAAAGACGAGAAUGACUUGAAAAAUGCCACUCAUUUUUUGUGACGUGACAUAUUUGACUAAAAAAUUAAUCGUGAUCCAAUUUUAUUACUAUUCAUUUAUAAAGAUAGACUCUCAAGUCUUACUCAUUUAGACGACGAGUUUAAUACCUAAUUAUAGUGACUGAUCAUCUCAAUCCAAAUCCUCCAGCUUUUAAAGUAGAACAUUAUUCCCAUAACUAGUUAAAAUCCUCCAACAUUCAAUAGUCUGGACCAGUUGUCCUUGCGUAACUACUCACACAAUCGUCAUAUGGAGUCACAUGUUUUUUUCUUUCUCAUGUGACAUGUAUUGAAGCAAUGUCAAUCAACAACUAUAAUAGGAUAUUACGCUUCUUUUAACCGACCAAAGAUUAAUGAGGCCCAAAUUGCAGUUUUCUUUCAACAACAAAAGAUUUCUAACAAUUGGGCUUGUAAAGACAGAAUUCAUGCACCAUGGUCCAAAAUUCUUUUCUUUUCUUUCUUGAUUUAUUUUGUCGCUUUUCAUUUCGUUUUUGUUGUUUUUCUUUAUUAUCUUUUAAUUAUUGUUAGGUUUCGUUUUAAUAUUUAAUUUUCUUUUUAAGGUUGUUUCUUUGAUUUCAUUUAUUUUCCACGCCUUAAGGAUAAUCUGUGAUCCAAGUUUUGGGUGGGAAAUAAGAAUUUUCAAGUUUUUUAUUUUUGAUUCAAUAUAAAAAAAAUUCAUUCUUUUGAAAUUAAUAUCUAUAGAUUAUUUUAAACAUUAGAACAAAUGGACUUCAAAGUCUUUUCUAUUUAUCGUUGCUUAGACACUAAUUCAUGAGUUAUACUUAAAAUUUUGCACAUUCACAUCAACAUGAUUUAUGAGGAAUGAGAUUGAAACACUUACUUUUAGUCUAAAGUAUUUUUUAAUUAUUUUUUUUCUUAGUCUAGUGAAGUUCGUUAUUAUUAUCAAUAAAGUAAUAAUUAUUUCACACAAAGUUUUGCUUAGUAACCAGGCCAGUCCUGCCUAAUCAGUAUUGAUUCUUGCAUUAAAUGAUAGAGUUUUGGCAUGGGGCAGGGUGGUUAGUUGAUUUCGUAGCCUUUUCAGCUCGAGUUAGUAAGUCCUUAGUGUCCUAAAACCCUUGUGGUUUGGGAGUCAUUGACCUAAAACUUGUUACAUGAGUUGGAUCGAAAGCUUAAGUGCACUGACAUUACACGACCACUACUAUUAUUAAAAAAAAUCGAAAAAAAUAAUUAUAUAAAGAAAGAAAAGAAAAAAAAUAAUAAUAGAUCUUUUUGAGGUUAGUAUGUGUGAAGUAGUGAAUAAAAAGGACGAGAGGUAAGAGUUUUAGUCGAGUCUCUUUAACUAUGUUGGUUCACUCUACACCAAGGGAAGCUCAUGAAUUAUAAUUGAAUAUAAAUGGCUUAGACUUUGUAGUGGGAUUGGUUGGAACUUUUGGAAAAAUGUUCUAAUUUUUAACGUUUUUUAUGGAUUAAAAUUUGAAGGUGAAAUUUUUUUGUGUGUCUUAGUUAAUUUUGUUUAAGUUUUUUAGUUUUUCUUUUAUUUGCUAGUUUUGUUUUGCUUGAGGGCAAGCAAAAAGCUGAGUUUGCGGGUAUUUUGAUGAGUUAAUAUUAUAUUAUAUAUUUUACCCUAUUCUUAGUAAUUUGGUAAUUAUUUUUGUAGAAUUUUGAUACUAUGCUUUAUAUUUUCAACAUUGGACAUUUGACUUCAUCCGGAGUGAAACGUAAUCAAACGGAUGAAUUUUGGAGUGAUUCAAAUUGGAGGACGUUCGUGUGUUCCUUAGCUUGUUUGUAUCAAAAUUUUAACAAUUUAUACCGAGUGGUUAUUUUCUGGCGAUUAAAUAAAGAAGCAGUACAAGUUCCUGGAAAUUGAUGUUUUUUGGCUUAAAUGCAAUUUUUGGAGCUUAAGAUGACCUCAAAUGGGUUCGUGGCCUUCUGGAGAAGUGUUCAUAAUAGUCCAAGUUUUAAAUCCAGCCAUUUUGGGCCAAUUUUGAAGCUGAUAUAGGUCCACAAUGUGGUUGUGCAGAAUUUUGGACGAAUUUACCAAGUCAAUUUAGGACUAUGUUUCUUAAUUUAUUUAAAUUUAUUUGGUUUCCUAGUCUUAUUCUAAGACAUAUUACUAGGAGGAUUUAAUUAGCAUAUCAAUAAGCCUUUUUGGCUGGCCCUAGGGUUUUUCUCAUGCAAUUUUUUGGAGAAGAUUUUGGGCAAAGCUUAAAGAUUUCAAGACUUAUAUUUUCAAAGUGUUUUCAUUCUUUUCCUAUAUCAAUAAAGACUUUGUGAUUUUUAAUUAUAAAUAUGUGUAACUAAUUCUCUUUGCUAGGGUGAGACCAUGAUCCUUAGCAAGAAUAUGCAAUAUUUUUUUAAUUUGCUUAUGAAUUUAUGCAUGCAAGUUUUGGAUUGUUAAUUACUGGUUUAAACUAUCUAUUUGUCUGAGUGAUUCACGACCAUUAGGAUAUUUCGAAAAGUAAUUUGAUGCAAUUUUGGCGGAGGGUUGUCCCUAAAAUUGACUAUGGCUUAUUGUGGUUAAUAUGUGUAACUUCUUAGGAUGGACAACCCAUCUUAAGGGUUACAUAGUUUUUCAAAAGCUUUUCACAAAACUUAAUAAGUCUUACAUGUUCACGACGCCACGGACGGAUUGCAUGUUAGAUAUACGUUCUAUGUUGGAGGUUCCAAGUAGGAUAUAUUUUACGAAAACCUAACCUUCAAAAUAUGCAUGUGUAAUUCAUAAGAAAUUAGAAGAACUACACAAGAUUAUUAGGAUGACGGCGGAACCCUAGUACUUUCUCACUUUGAAUUCUAAAAAUUGUUUCCUUUUUCCUUCUUUAAAUUUGCAGAUUCCAGUUAACUUUUUUUAAUUAAUUUCGUUUUUCUUAAUUUAGGUCAUAAAAUAACCCUUUUUUAAACUUUGUUUUCAAAUAAUUAACUAAGAUUUGAUUUUAAAAUAAAUUAUUCAUUCAAUCCCUGUAAAAAACGACAUUACUUGAGCUGCUAUACUUUUGCCACGCCCAUACUGCUUGGCAGUGGGCUACAUUUUCUCUUCAAGUUACCUUUCGUUGUAAUUUCCCAAUUUAUUUCUUCUAAAAUUUAAAAAGAGGUAUACCCCUUCGUAUCGGAGUUGCUAAUAAACACUGGCGAUUUUGUACAUACAUUGAUGAAUCAGAAAUAACUUGGAACAAAAUUAUCAAAGAAAGAUUCCGUGGACGCGAAAGCGUCGAACGAUCCAACAGAAAGUAUUGCAACAAGAGUAACAGCUAGACAAACACAGAAGGAAGCAGAAGAUAACAUGUUCAGUUCAGGUGCUGCAACCAAAAAGCAUAUAUUGAAAUUUAAAGUUGAUAACAGUUCAUGUUAAAACAUGAUAGCGGAGUCCCUCAACGCUUGUACCGCUUUCCGAGUCUACGAAGAACAUUCGAGUAGAAUUUCCAAUCCGGAUGAGUAGGUGAAAUUGCAGGCAUUCCAAAAGGGCUUCCCUUCACAUAAAUUUGCACAUCUUUUGCAUCUGCAAGGCCAUCCAAAUACUUCCCAAGUUCCCCCUUUGGAUCUAUUUCCAACAGUCCAAGAAAAAAGAAAAAUCGGCUUUUAGGUUAAGCAAGUGGUAGAAUUUCAGAUGUUAAUUCUCAAGGGAGAUGAUAUCCGAACACGCAUGUUCAUUGUGUGCUAAAAAUAUACAGUACAAGAGGAGAAAAUGAGCAUGCGGUAAUCACUUCCAAAAUAAUAAAUGUAUCAAAUUCUCGCCAUACCUAAGUCUUUGUCGUUGUCAUUCUCAGCAUCAUAUGACUCCAAGAAGAUACCUGUGUUAGGCUGUGACAUGAAACAAAGAAAGCAACUUUAGAAUGAUUCAAGAUGGCCAUUGUUGCACUCUCAUUUUCCCCUUCUGCACUCCUUCCAUUUCUGUCAUUUGAUUCUCCUUCAAAAUUCAAUCCAAAACCUAGGAAAAAUUGGAGUGCCGAGGGAGAAAACGGGAGUCCGAAAAAAAAGGAGGAAGGCAGAUUUGUGAUGACUAUACAGGAUUCAAUAGGGCCUUGUAAGGUUUAUCAUCAAUGGAAAGUGUAUCAGAUUCUGAAUACUUCCCGCUAAAAUGGCUCCACACUUUGUCCAGUUCUUUGAAAAAUAGAGGCUUGUGUUUAUUCUCUAGCGACUUCAACCCAGAGUCAGUACAUUCAUGUUGAUCCUAUUGAAGAAAUACAUAUCAGCAAAUCUUGUCACCAAACAUUUACCAAUAUAUAUCUCAGUAAUAUAUGUAUAUGUGUGUAUAGCUUUAAUAUCUUACAGUUCUUACCCAAACAAAUGACAGUCGUCUUCUCAGCUUUCCCAUUACACAAUCCAAAACACUAUCCACAUUUUUUCUGUUAAUCAGUCAUUCAUGGCACAAUAAACAGAGUGAAUAGGAAGUAUAUGACAAAUGAAAAUCAUGAAGAAACAGAAGUAUAACUCGACAUGAUAAUCAGUAGACAAGAACAUUAAUAGCAUGUUUACUUACCAAAAACGAGAACAAGUCUAAAUGAUAUCGUUCUAAUUCCUAACUUCUUCAUGUUUACAGUCAAAAACAAAAAAGAAAUAAAAAAAAUAAUGUUGGUUUCAUCUUAAAAUCAGGAAUUAGAUACUCUCGGAACCAAAAAUUGGAUCAACUAGAUGAAAGUUGAUUCAUUUCGCCUGUUUGAGUUACCUGCUAUAAGUUCCCAAAUUCAUAGUUGAUAAUAAACAUGCCAUAAAAGUUAAUUAGAAUAUAAAACAUUGGGUGUGCACUUACUCUUGGGCAGAACUCCAUAUUCCAACUUCAAAUCUUUCGAAACAAAAUUGCAUGAAUUCCUCACAAAAUGGUCUCUUAAAAACUGCAACGUCAAAGAAGAGGGUGGUCAAACCUAAGGCGAAUGUACAUUGUAAAUUGCGAAUGUAACAUGUAGUAUUAAUUCUAAGUUUUUUUUUUUUUACUGUUUUUUAAUACAAAUGAUAUUACUAUUAUAAUUCAUACUAAGAGAAGGACAAUUUGAACUCGGUAGACAUCAUGCUACAAGCUCUAGUAGACGAGAAAUUCAUCGUUAUCCACAAGUCAUUGGUAAACUUUUUUGAAAGUGUAAUGCUAGGUAGACAAACUUUUUAAAUUAUAUUUGCAAAUCAUGUGAUAUGUCAGCAAUAAAAAAUAUGCAUGUUAGUAGAUCUUCAUAUUUCUCCCUACACGAAAUUCCACUCUCAUCUGUCUCACAACACUUCAGUAAUAAUCCGACAGUCAUCAACCACGUUAGGUUUACAAAAUAUAAUUUAAAUUACCUUUAAAUGCUAUGAACAACACUCUAAUUCAAAGAUUGGUAUACGUACCUAGAUAGCUUCCAUAUGUGCCAUCAGGAGUACGAUUGCUCGGAAUUUUUGUCCCGUUGUGGAGGGAAACUCUGUGGACGAUCAAGCCAUUGAGGCUAAAGAUUACAAGCUUCUUCCUUGAUCCUAUGUUUAGCUUCUCCAGAGAAAGGCCGCAAUCGCUUCCGGUGUCUUCGUUGCCAUCAUCGUCGCCGUCAUCGCUGUCAUAUUGAUGCUUGUUUUUACAGAUCCUUUCAUCAGCCAUAGUUCAAAGCAAUGAUGUAACAAGUAGCAAUUUUGCCGAUUAACAUAUGGUGUCGUCGGUUUAUAGAGGAAGAAGAGACUGCUGGCUUUUCAUCUUCUGUAAAUGUUUGUCGGUCAAUUUAUAGAGGAAGAAAAUACUGUUGGCUUUUCAUCUUCUGUAUAUGUUUAUCUAGUAAAUGGUGGCAAAAACCGAAGAGUAAAGAGAAAAAUGGUCCUGCAAAUGGCUUUGGAUACCCUAGUCAAAAGAUGAGAAUGACUUGAAAAAUGCCACUCAUUUUUUAUGACGUCAGAUAUUUGACUAAAAAAUUAAUCGUGAUCCUAUGAUAUUAGAAUAUCUUCAAAUGAAAUGUCAAAUUUUGAACUCAAAAUUAAAAUUUGACAACCUAAAUGACAUUUUGACAUCUUUUAAAGUUUUAUUGUCCACCCGAUAUGUCAAAUUAAAUUAUUAUUUUAUUAUAUUAUAAAAUAAAUGAUUAAAUUAAUAAAAACUUAAUAAAAGGCAUUUAAUAAUUAUGAAAUUCGAACCGGUCACCAUUUCUUUUUAACAAGAGGGAAGUAAUAAAAAGCAUUCAUAAUUAAUUUUGAAGCUGCUCUCAAAUUUGACAGCAACUCUCUUGCUACCAAUUCAUGUUAUCGUCACAUAGGAUUUGACAUUUUGGUUGGAGAACAUUAGUGUGAUCUUUUUUUACUGUUAUAGCUUAUGUGGACAUUUUGACAUCUUUUUUGGAGAUACUCUUACUAUUCACUUAUAAAGAGGGGCUCUUAAGUUUUACUCAUUUAGACGACGAGUUUAAUAUCUAAUUGUAGUGUCUGGUCAUCUCAGUCCAAAACCUUUUAGCUUUUAAAGUAGAACAUUAAAAUCCUCCAAUAUUCAACGGUCUGGACCAGUUAUCCCUGCAUCACUACUCACACAAUCGUCAUAUGGAGUCAUAUAUUUUUUUCUUUCUUUCUCGUCACGUGACACGUAUUGAAGCAAUGUCAACCAACAACUACAAUUGGAUAUCCACUUCUUUUAACCGACCCAAGAUUAAUGAGGACCAAAUUGCAGUUUUCUUUCUAGCCCAUUAUAACAACAAAGAUUUCUAACAAUUGGGCUUGUAAAGACAAAAUUCAUGCACCAUGGUCCAAAAUUCUUCAAAAUUUGUGCAGAAGCUUCUCAAAGUUACCACAUAAAGGAUAAUAAUUCCUACAACAAAACGUGGGAGUCUCCCAUACCUCCACAGGGCAGAAGGUUGUAGUAAUAGCCCACUUUUCCAGCACCUUCUAGUACUCUCUCUCUCUCCCUCUCUCUCUCUCUUAUAUACACACCCAAGAGUAAAGACAGAGACCUGGGUUUUAGUUCAGUAAGGCAUAACAUCAAAACUUGGAGUGCAUAACAAAAUGAAGCCAAUCGACGACAAGAAAGACAAGGUGACGAUCGGGGCGGUGACCCACGACGAGGAGGGCCGUAAGAGGGUGGAGAAGAUGGAGCUCCCCACCCACAACAUCGACAGCAUCAAGUACGUCGAGAAGAAGCUCAUAGACAAAGGCGUGCAGCGACUCGAACGCCACCCGAGAGACGGGACUGGGAUCGGGAGGCCGCCGCCUAAGUCGGGCCACGGCGGCAAGUACACUUGGGAGGGACCUGGCGACGAGGUGGAAGUUGAGAUGGACCCGGUGCCGCCGGCGAUCGACGAGAGGGACCCGAACUACGUGGAUGAGGAGACGGAGAAGAAGAUUGUGAAGGGGGAGGACGAUGAUGCGGCGGGGUUGGUUGUGGGGGAGGUGGAGGUAGCGAAGGCGGCGAAGGACAGGGAGGGGGUUGCUAGAAUUGAGGUGGUUAGUCCUCGUCACCUCCAGACUUAAGUUGCUGAUCUUUGUAACGUAACGGUGUACUUGAAGAGCUUACUAAAAUUAAAAUGUUGUGACCUGUCUUGCGUGUAAUUAUUUGGUUUUGCAUGAAAAAUUAUGUAUGCUUUCUUUUAAUAAAUAUGCUUUAAUUUUGUAUUGAAUUUUAUGAUAACAUUUCACUUUCUAAAUUUUGGUACCUAAUCUUGUGGAAGAUCAAAUUGUGGGGGCUUAUAUUAAGCAUGUUCUGCGCCUUCGGGUUUGUGUUGCACAUCCAUCUUCUUUUUUUUUUUUUUUUUUUUUUAAGAAACGAUAUUAUUUAUAUUAAGAAGCUUCUUAAUAAAUUAGUAACAAUGUAUCAAAACUUCAAAUUUAAGAUUUUUCACAUACAAAAAGAAGAACAUUAUUAAAUGUAGUAUUAAAUGAAAAACUUAAAACUUAAAAUAUGCUGCUUUGGGCUUUUAAACAACGAAAUUCGGCCUAAAGCACCCAUAUGGUCUUUAUACAGAUCAUGUGGACCUUUAAAAUCAUCCUCAAGCCUCUUUGUUGAUUUUAUGCUUGUCUAGAUGCCUUUUUUAAGGUCCGAUAAACGAGUUGUAUUUGUUGUAUUUGUGUUAUUUUCGUGUUAUAAUUGUUAUCGUAAUAGGUUUAAUGUGUUUUUAACAUGUGACCUAAUAAGGAUCUUAUUCAACGGGUCGUGUUGUUUUAUGUCAGGUUAACGGGUUGUGUGAGAAAUUAUCAUGCUUGAUGUUUAAAUUUGACAAAUGAUAUCUUAUUCGGCUUUUAACCGGUGACAUGAUAGUAACUCAAUAUGUUAACGGGUUCUUAAUGGGUUACUCGAUAAGAGCCUGACUUCUUAUUAGGUUGACUCAAAAUUUGUUAUUUUCAUGUCAUUUAUUGUCGAGUUAAUAGGUCAUGUAAGAAAUUGUUCAACCAAUCUCCUCCCCUCCUAUUGCCUUAUCCUCCCCUUCUCUCCUCUCUCCUCACUUUCUUCUUUUACUCUCUAUAAAAAAUCAACACAAAUGUUGACGUGGCUUAAUUGUGGCAGUUCAAAUAGGUGAAGAAAAUAAAAUUUUGAAGAAGUGAGAAUCAUACUCUAUAACAAAGAUCAUGUUCAAUAGCUAAGGCCUUAAUCAAAUGAAGCGAUCUUCUAGUAUUUAAUUGAUAAAACCCAAAUGGUGACCCAGCUCAUCACAUCACUCCCAUGCAACAGUUUCGUAAGCAUUAACUUGUCCAACAUGGAAGUUCAAGAGUGAUGCCACACCCAGGGCUGAAGGGGUAGAGGAAGACCUAGGAAAACUUUGAAAGAGAUUCUAAGAAAAGACUUAGAGUACUUGGAUUUAACAGAGGACAUAACACAGAACCGAGCGCAAUGGCGUUAUAAGAUUCAUAUAGCCGACCCCACUUAGUGGGAAAAAGCUUUGUUGUUGUUGUUAUAUAAUUAUUAUCGUUAAAGAGAAUAGAAAAUUCGAAAUUAUUACAACAAUAAAAAAAGAAAGAGUUUUUAACUUGGGACUCAUUCACUAAAAUAUUGAACCAUAUGCAAAAAGUAAGCCAAUUAAUGCCACACUAUAAUCGUUUUUACAUCACUUUCCGUAUUCUAAACUUAUGGAUUAUUUCACCCCAAAAAAAAUCUUAUGGAUUAAGUGUCUGACUCAUCAUCGUCUCAGUAUUUUGUUUUCGUGAUAUCUGGACUCCCUAUCUGAAGCUAAGCUUAGUAAUUGACCACCUUUUUUAUUUUUUUUUUAUUUUUUUAUAACAAAUGAUAUUAUGUACAUUAAGAGAGAGAUGAUAACCUUAACCUUACGAUAAGCUAAUAAUAAUGCGGUUCAAAUUCAUCAUUGGCAAUAAUCGAACCUAAAAUUUCUCUUACAAGUGAAAAGGAAUACCACUAGAUCGUAGUACUAAGUGACAUUGACCAUCUUGUUCAGAACACCAAAUUUCGUUGAAAAUCCAAAUUUCUUGGCACGUUUAUUUGAAAGUGUUUUUCUAAUCUUGAAUUUUUGUGAAUUUCAAUUAAACAAGGACAAGAUUUUUACGAAACAUCGAUGUAUAGCAUGCAUUGUCUUUUACGUGGUGCAGUUUCACUUGUUAAAUUUUCUGGAAUUCUGCAAUAAAUGCCUAGCUGUUAAAUUCAGCAAUAUCCGUUACAUUGUUGUAAUCUUGAAUUUUCAAGUAAUUUAGGUAUAUUUUGACCGCUGGAGUGACACGUGUUAGAGAUGUUGUGGAUCUCUCACCAGAAUUGUCCAAUCAUUUGAAUUUAUUAUUUGAAGAUGAAGAAAGCCAUACGCAAGGUUUUGUUCCAGAGAAGAACAAAAUGGAUGACAGCACAAGGAGUCUUAAGUUAAGGGGAGAAUGAUUUGAUGGCUGGUUGCUGAAACGAAUCAUGUCUCUGGCUCUCUGCAUAUCUGAAGCAAAAGGGGCGUUCCAACCUUUUUAAUGAUAAUUGACAAACUAACAAUUGCGUUAAGUUUGUUAAUUACUUGUUUGUAUUCGUCUAAUGUCGUAUUACUUGAGAUAAAGAAAGUUUUUUCAAGAACGUGCGUGAAGAAUGAUUUGUAUUAAGUAAUGGGAUCUAUGUCCCUUUAUCUCCUAAUAUGGCAGAAAUGAUUAGCUUGCAUUCCAUUCGUCAAUGGAGUCUCAGCUGGCUUGGAAAUCAUCUUUGAAAUGAUUAGCCACAAAAAUGUAAAAAAAGUUAUUAAAGGGAUCCAAAGUGAAGAUCUCAAAUUUAAUCAACUCAAAAAAAGUUAAAGCACAAAUUUAAUAUUUUACGCCACCAUCUUCUUCGGCCAAUUUCUUAUGGUUAAUCAUCUAGAUUGAAGCUCACUAUUUAGAAUCUAUAUGAGAAAUGAUUUGCGUACUCAAUUUCUACCCUUCACAUUGUUAUUCAUUUAUGAUAUUUGGAUAGAAUAUAGAGAAUUUUAACGAAAAGCUACCGGUACUGUUCAUUUUAACGAAAAAUCACAUUUUUACACUAAAAAGUUAAUCCUGGUACUAUUCAUUUUACCUUUUAUUUUGUCCUUAUCGUUAAAACUCAAAAUUUUCAAGCUAUUUUCAUUAGUUUUCUUUAGAAUAUAUAAAACUAAAAUUACGAAGAGUAGAAAAAAUGAUUGUUGAAAUUAUUUCUUUAAUGAAACGGAAAUUCAAAAUGCAACUUAAAUAACAAGUUUUGUACAAGAAAAUAUGAAAUUUGCUGCAAGUGGUGGAUUGCUCUGUUAGAGUUUUCCUCUUCAAGACUUCAACCCACUAGUUACCAGGUUCAAAGCUUCCCCCCUAUCCUUACUGUAUAAUUUUGCUUGUAAAUGUACACAUUUUGGUUACUUAAUUUCAAAGUUCAACAAUUUUCUUGGUUUCAUAAAACAAGUAAUUAGCCAUGAAAAAGAUAUAACUUAACUUGUUGAGAUUGCUACAUUUUGUGCACUAGCUUCAAGUUUUUCACAAAGUUUGUUGUGAUUAAGAUGAAAUAAUAAGAAUCGAAUCAUUGACCUAACCUAAUCCUUUCUCAACAUUCCUAACUACAAGGCAAAUUAUUUUUAAUUUCAUUUUAGGCUAAAAUAUAAUUUUUAAAAGUCUGAACGCUGAUUUUUUUUUUUCGCCUUUCAUUUAUUCUCACUUUUUUCUAUUUAUACAAUAUGGUGAAAGGGACUUAUGAACAUACUUUCCGAGUCAAAUUCAAAAUGGGUGUGAGAUGAGUGGAAUAUGGUAUGGUGUCUAGUUCAACAAAGACAUAUUUCACAUUAGAUAACAUAAUAGAGUGAACAACAUCAAAGAGAAUUGUAUAACAAGUUUGUUAAAACAUGGUGGAUGGGAGAUCAUUUCUAUUAUAUUUCAUAUGGGCUCCAAGCCCACCAAAAAGUUUUCAGACCCCAAAAAACAGAAAAUAUAAAAUAAUUAAAGAAUAAAUAAUAUAUGAUUAAAAUGUCAAACUGCUUUUAGACAAAAUGUUUUUGGGCUUCAAAAGCACUUGAAGUGCUUCAUUCAAGAAGCAUUAGUUAUGUGCUUCUUCUAGUUAUAUGUUUCUUCUAGGAAGCACUUCAAGUACUUUUAUGGGAUUUACUUGUAUUUUUACUAAAGAUUGGUUUAAAAAACAUUUUCACCAAAAGCGUAUUUAGUCAUUUUCAAAGUCCAAACGAGCUAUAUAUCUCUUUGAAAAAAAAAAAAGUUAAGUGCACUAACCACAGUAAAAAAAAAGGAUAGUGCUAUCCAACACCCACUUCUACCUCCUACACAACUCUCUUAAUUUCCGAUCGUCAGAUUGAAUGAAUUGGAAGAAGAUCAAAGACAAAAAAUUAACAAGCAUGCGUGGGAAGUAAAAAUAAGUGUGUAAAUAGCACUAUCCUAAAGAAUAUGUACAUAACAUAGGAAAAUUGAAUACUUCACUUGAUUGGUUUUCCUAUAGAGUAAUUAUAGGCAAAUCAACUUUUUAUUUUUUAUUUUCCAAAAUAAAAAUAAAUAAAUAAACACGUUAAUCAUGUGAUAUGUCUCAAAUAAUAAAUAAACACGUUAAUCAACGCUUAAGUAAUAAUCCAAUAAUCAACAACCAUGCCAUAUGGUUUACAAAAUUUAGUCUAAAUAGUUGGUCUAGCAUUACCAUUUGAUUAAAACAACAAUUAUUAAAAGAAAUAUUAACUAGUUUUUCGUAUCAUCUCCUCUAAAUUAAGAAAAAUCUCAAUAGUUUUCGUUGAUAUAAUUGACAUAAUAAAUCUAGACACACAGAAUUAAUUACAUUAUUGAUAAUUUUUCUAAUACGGAUCAACUCACUGCAGAUUGAAAUGUGAAAGGGGAUCAUUCCAAAAUUGAAAAAAUUUGUUCAUUGGUGACAUUAAAAAUUUUAAAUGCUAAUGCAAAUAAUUGUAAAUUGGAUAUGCUUUGAACAACAUACUAGUUUUAGGUGAUGAAAAAGAUAGAUAGGUGACUAUUAAUUCAGGUUUUUUUUCAGAGAUAUAUGCAACUAUUAAUUAAUUGUAAAUUGGACACAAAUUUUCACAGUCAUACACAAAUAAGGGUCAUCAUUACGGGUUAAUAUAAUUAUUCUUCACUUAUAAGGUCAUUUUUAACCAAAGGCUCUAGGCCACAUUUAGUCUUAAAUUUGAUAAAAUUAGUCCCUAAUUAAAGGGCUAAAGAGAGUCAGGCUAAAAGAUUCAGGCUAAAUUUGGUAUCGUGACAAGCAACAUGUAACCUCAAAAUAGUCUUUAAAAUAUUAAUUUUUGGAGGACUAAAUGGCUUAAGUGGUAGUCGUUAGGUUUUAGUGUUUGUGAACGGCGAGUUGUCAUUUAUUAUUCAAUUUGGUUUUUGAAUUUCAUAUUCCUCCAAGUUUGUUACGCUCUCUGUCGUUUAUAAGGCCAAUAUUUCUACCUAAUUAUACACACUCUAUUGGUGUACGUUGACUCGAUAUAAAUCUAAGGCCGCAAAGAGUAGUCUUACAUUAGUGCAUGGUUGAAUUAAAUGGUGAAUACCUUUACCUCUAAAUUUUUUGGUUGUAAAAAAAUUUAAACAACUUCUUGAUCUAUGCGUAUCAUCCUUCUUAGGGUUGGGCAUUAAAAAAAAACCGAUUGAACCGUCCAAACCGUACCGAUGGGUUGAUUUGGUAGGGUUUUUUUUAAUUUUUUAAUUAUUUUUUUAUUUUUGGUGGUUAAACCAAACCGCACCGAUCAUAAUCGGUUUGGCAAGCGGUUUUCAAAAUUCUUCAGAUGCGGUUAACCGAACUGACCCGCAUAUACUUAUUUUAUUUUUAUAACCAUAAUUAAUACGUGUAAUAAUAUAAAUAAUUAGUUAUUUACGAGUUACUCUGUAUCCACCACAUAAAAAUAAAACAUGAUUAGUUUAGGAGUCCCUUUUUGUCACAGCACAUCCCAGAGUAUUAUUUUUCGACGACAUGAAAUUACAAUAUACCCUUGAACCUUAUGGUGUGUGAUAUGUUGGUUGCGGUUUCAUUCCUAAUUUUCCCUAAGUUUUGAAAGGACUUAAGUGCUUUGUUUUGGUUUGUUGGGGACAAACUAGGACCACAUAACACACCCGUGCUCUCUCUCUCCUCCCUCACGGAUUUUUCUGAAAAAUCCGUACAAUUGUACGGAUGAACUUUGGAACCAACCGUAUACGCACGGAUCGAUGUCAAGAAGGUAAGAUUCGAACUCCUUGCAAGUCUUUGAGUUCAUAUAUGCCAUUUUUAGAUCGUGAAACCCUCAAAUCCCCGAGAAACCAUCACCCCCGAUUUGAGUAAUGUUCACGUGGUCGUAAUUAUGGAUGUUUCAGGGGAUUUUAAGCGCAUAGGAAGUUUUAGGAUGUUUCAGGGGAUUUUAAGCGCAUAGGAAGCUUUAGGACGUUCUUACGAAGCUCGGAGAAGAAAAACCAAGCAAAAUGAACGUCAGGAGACCUAGUUUUGACGAGUUGCAAUUUGGCAGAAUUAUCGAGGAAUUUUCCGGCGUGAUUCUGUAAUUUUUGGAGCUUGAAAUUGGUAAGAAAGUGUUUUACUCGUUGUAAGCUUAAUUUGGUAUAAGUUUCAUGAGUUUUUGUGCAAAAAUGAAGAAGUUAUAAGGAUUUUAAGAUUUUCCAGUUUCCGGCGACAGCGACGGUCGCCGAAGUUCAAAGGAAGAAAACAGAAACUGGAAGGAAUAUUCUAACGCCGUCAGGUAGACUUAACGAUUUUUGUUGUUUUUAACGGAAUAUUCCUAAUGGCAAUUAGGUUUCUGUCAGGGUUACUCGCGCGUGGGUGAUUGGAUUUUUUUUCUAAAAACAUGAGGAUGUUCGUGAAAGUGUGUAGAUCAUGUUGGUGUAUUCAAACAUCCCAUUUGAGCAAUGUAUGAGAAGUUAUUAACUAGUUUUGUCCAUAUGCUUUAAAUAACGUUUAUUCAGUUAUUUCGCAUAUAGGUGAGACCUAUCUCGAGGACGAGCGCAGUCAAAGGCGACUCGGGGGCUACGACCCUUCGACAUACCAGUGAGUGGGCUGUUGGUUUUCAGUAUAUAUUUAUAUACUUGAUAUUUUCCCAGAAAAUGUGUUUAAAUGAAAGUAUGCUUUGAAAAUGCCAUGCCUAUUGAAUUAUGCUUAAACCAUGAGUUAGAAUUGUAUGCAUAAAUGUGAUUUGGUGCUGUGGACGCUUAGAUAAGUUUAUGAAUUUUGAAUGUGAAUUGAAUGGUUGUGAUUAAUUGAGAAACUUCGAGCUCAUAAACCUGCACCCUGGUGAUUGUGAUUUAGUUAGAGAUAAGGUACAUGUCUGUUUAUGAUGUCAUUACCCGCACCAUAUGCUCACAUUGGAUCCAAUUUAGGUGCAUAGCCUUGUAGUACAGACCAUUAUAGGUGGUUCCGACUCAUAAGUGACUAGCGAAUUAUCGCGCAACUAUCGUGAGAACGUAGCAUUGAGCAUAACUAUAUUCACUCAGUCUUGUCGUACAAACCAUUACAAUGGUUUCGACUCGUGUGCAGGGUGCAGUGCCGUAUAGGUCACUGGCGGUGACUCCAGCUAGAUUGAUUAAUGAGCUAUAAAUUCAGUCGUACAUACCUCUGCAGGGGUUCCGGCUAAUAUGUUAUUUUCCAUGAGCUUAUUCUCACCUGAGUUACUUAUUAUUUUCUAUAUUUGACAUGACAUACUUAUGUUUAUGGUUAUGUGAAGCAUGAUUUGAAAUAUAUAUAUAUAUAUAUAUAUAUAUAUAUAUAUAUAUUCCAUUUCUGGUAAAAUUAUACAUGUUUUACGGUGAGGGGUUAGAAGAAAUUUUAAUGAAAUGGUUCCAAAACUUUCUGUUUGCGCCCUUCAGGUUUUAGAUAAGGGGUUGCUAGUGGAAGGUUGAUUAGAGUGACGACUGCAAUUAAAGGCAUUUUGGUGUCGUUUAAUUAGUACUAACUUUAGGUUUAGCUAUUUAAUCUCCUCUUCUAGAGUUGGUAUUUAAUCUAUAUCAUUAUUGCUUCGGUACUAGGUCACAUCAGUAGGGCAUGUUCAAUCUCGGUGUGUGUCACUUUUCCUUUUAUAAGCAUAUGCCUUUAAUAAUUAUAUGCUUUAUUAAUUUGUCACCAUUUGGUGAGUUCUUGUUUGGUGCAUGCUUGAAUCUCAUUUGUUUUUUCUUUUUGGCUCAACCAUACUUUUUAAUUUAGCUUUUUGAAAUUUUUUGUUUUUUUUCGUCUCCUUUACUUUUUGUGUCUUUUUUAGAAUGCCUCAAUAGUCUCUAUUUUGCGUUGCAUACAGAAGGUAAUGUGAAUCCUAGAAAAAUUGCUAUUUUCAAAUAAGCAUUCACAAUCACGUGAUUUAAGUCCACUAUGGCAUCGGCGUUUAAAAAUUGGUGUUUUGGUGUUAGAGGUCAAGUUUUUAGAUAGAAGCUUAGCGAAGCGCACCAAAAAUUUCAGUUUAUUUAUUGAAGCAUUUCGUUGAACACCUAUUGGUCUUGUUGUCGUUAGCAAACCACACAUGUCAACAAAUAUCAACAUAUGUCAAAGGGUGAUAUCGAGAGAAUUCAUCAAGUGUUGUACGCAAUCUGUUGAAAUAUGCCCAGUAGGUAUUACUUCAAACACUUGAAGAGUACAAAAGAGACCUGUACAGAAUAUUUGGAGGAUUCUCGGAAGAUCUUCUUAUGUAUAUUUUUCUGACUCCGACAUGGGACCACGUUCCAGAGCGCGUGGCCCCUUAUAGUAACAACACAUACUAGACAGUAAUUUUCACAUUUUCGUUUUAUUUUUUUACAUUGUUUUACUCUUAUUAUUCUUAUAAAAGCCAGAAAUAACCGAAGCAAUGAGAUGCAAAGAGAACAAGUAGCAUUUACUACCCGGAAUUCCAGCAACUAGAGAGAGUAUCAGAUAUAAAGGCUCCACACCAAAUACAAUUUUAUAUUCAGUGCUAUAAAGUACCCGCCUGAAAAAAUUAAGCCAAAAAAUGGUAGAAAACCCCAUUAUAUUGUGUUUUAGCUAUAUUUUCUCUUUGUCUAAAAAACAAAAUCCCCAUUCCCCAUCCAAUAUUAGAUUGUAAAUAUGGAAAUAUAGUUGGAAACAUCCCACCUUAAAAAAUGAUUACUCAAAAUUUACUUUUUUAGUCAUUUUUAUAGGAAUUUCUCCAAAAAGACUAAUGAUCAUGAGCGUUAGGUGACAAAUUUGGUAAACGGCUAUUGACGUCAUAUGAUGUCAGCCGCCGGUAAAACCCGCCGCCGGCACGUUUGCAUUUUUCUCUUUUCUAUUUAGAAAAAUGCUAAAAAAAAAAAAACUAAUGAAAAUGAUUUGAAAAUUUUGAGUUUUAAUGAUAAGGACAAAAUAAAGGGUAAAGUAAAUAGUAACAUAAUUAAUUUUUUAAUAUAAAAAUAUGAUUUUUCGUUAAAGUAAUUAAUAUCAAAAAAAUUUCGUUAAAGUUUCAAUAAAAUAAAAAAAACAUAUUUGGGAGGACUGAACUGGAGGCUUAUAAAAGAGGUAGAGAGAGAGACCACAAAACUGCCAAAACACCCUAAAAACCCAAAGAAAUUAGAGAGCUUUUUAUUUCCAUUACAUUUUACAACUAGCCUUUGCCUUUCUGUUUCUGAUUUUUCUGUUGCCACAUUGUGUGUAUAUAUACACACAUAUAUACACACACACACACGCAUAUAUGCGCUGUUCUUCCUCUGUUUUUUCCUUGUUUUCUGAAGCAGAAAAGUCUCUGUAUUUUUAGAAAAAAGGGGGAAAAGAAAAGAAACGGAGCUUUUUUUUUCCAAUACAAAUAAAUAUUCAGUUCAGCCGGUCAAUUGUUUGUGUUUUUCUGUGCAUUUGAGCUUGAAAUAUCAAAUGUGGUGGAGGUUGAACCACUGAAACUUCAGCUCUUCUCCAUUUCCAUCGUUUUUCCGAUCAAACAAGUAAGUUCUCGUGAUUUUUUUCAUAAAAAUCCAUUUUGUCUUCUGGGUUUUUCUCAAAUUCCAAAAAGUUUUUGUCUUUGCACUUUUUUUUCUCUUCCCAUUUGCUCCUCUUUUUUCUUGAAAAACUCCAAAUAAAAUGUAUUUCAUUUUUAUUCAGUUGAUUUUCUUCCAAAAAUGAUUGUUUGGUGUUUUGUCUGUGCAUUUGAGUUUUGAAAUUCAAAAACGGAGAGGUUGAACCACUGACUUAAAGCUCUUCUCCAUUUCCAUCGUUUUUCCGAUCAAACAAGUAAGUUCUCGUGAUUUUUUUCAUAAAAAUCCACUUUUGUCUUCUGGGUUUUUCUCACAAUCCAAAAAGUUUUUGUCUUUGCACUUUUUUUCUCUCCCAUUUGCUCCUCCUCUGUUUUCUGCGACGAAAAAUCGAAGAAAAACUCCCAAAUGGAGCGACUGCCGACUGCGGCGAUGCUCCCGGAUUCAUUUCUCGGCGCCAGAGACGACAUUUCCAUGCAAAUGGGGUUGAUUUGGGACCAGAUCAAGGCCCCAUUGAUCGUUCCUAUGCUGCGACUCGCCGUCGUUCUGUGUCUGAUCAUGUCGGUGAUGCUCUUCGUCGAGCGGCUGUACAUGGCGGUCGUCAUCGUUCUGAUCAAGUUCUUCGGGCGGAAGCCGGAGAAGCGGUACAAAUGGGAGCCCAUGAAAGAUGACGUGGAGCUCGGGAACUCGGCUUAUCCUAUGGUUCUGGUCCAAAUCCCAAUGUACAAUGAGCGAGAGGUCCUUAUCCUUAAGUCUUUUCCUUAAUUAUGUUUUGAGGCGAAACGAUAGCGGUUUUAUUUACGGUCUAGUUUUUGAGUUAAUAACAUUGAUUAGGUUUGUGUUUUGGUGAUUUCAUUGUCGUUGCAGGUUUAUCAGAUUUCAAUUGGAGCUGCAUGCGGGCUUUCAUGGCCGUCCGAUAGGAUCAUCGUCCAAGUACUUGAUGAUUCAACUGACACAACCAUCAAGGUCACUAGCAAAAAUCUUUUCUUUUAUACGUCUAAACAACCUAAAUAUUUGGAAAGGGAAUUUGAGCACGAGUUUAUUCGGCUGCCUGACCAACUGACUUAAACUACGCUUAUAAAAACUCAAACAUUUCAUCAAAUUUAUACCAAUUUUAUAUUUUCCUAUGUUUUGGAAUAAUUCUCAAAGAAAAUUUAGUUGGCUAAGCCAUUCUGUUGGCCCCUUGAACCCAAAUUUGAGUCACUUUUUCAUAAAUUAGAGUAUUUGAGUAGUUUAGAAUAUUUCUCUUAAAGUAAAUUGAUGGAAAUGAUCAGCUUACAAAUCUUAAGAGUUGAUAUAAUUAUUUUUUAGUAUUGGUGGAUAUAUCGUAAAUAUUCGAUUGACAUGUCAUCUGUAUUUGAUUUUGAUCAGUUCAGCAAUCGAAAUUUGUAAAAUCAUUGUAGUCAACUUCCCUGUAAAAACAACCCAAAUGCUCAAAUUUUAAUUACCAAGUUAAAAUUUGGAAAUUUGGGUUGUACUAAUUGUUAAAUUAAAAUGCAGGAGAUGGUGGAGCUGGAGUGCCAAAGAUGGGCAAGCAAGGGGAUAAACAUAAAGUACGAAAUAAGAGACAACAGAAAUGGCUACAAAGCUGGGGCGCUCAAAGAAGGCAUGAAGCGCAGUUACGUCAAAAGCUGCGAUUUCGUCGCCAUUUUUGACGCCGAUUUCCAGCCGGAGCCCGACUUUCUCUGGCGGACCAUCCCCUUCCUCCUCCACAACCCUGAGCUCGCCCUCGUCCAGACUCGCUGGAAGUUCGGUUAGUUCUUUAAUCCCCCAUUACUCUCAAUUCUUUGAUUCGUUUGGCCGUUUUGAAAUUGCUUUUGGAUAAAACACUUAUGCUCAUAAACACUUUUAAUAUAAGUGUUUGUGUAAAAGCACGUUGAAAUUUAUAAAGUAUAAGUGCGUCUUAGAAAAACAUUUGGUUGAAAGUGCUUAUUUGAAAAGCAUUUUUACGACCUCAGUGGUUUAAGUUUUUCUGUCGAAAUUAAUCAAAAUCGCUUGCAUAAUCAAACAAGCGUUUUUUAGUUAUUUCAGAAUCUAAUUCUUAUUUUGUAAUGUAGUGUUUAAUUUGAUUUUGGUUUAUUUUAGUUGGGUUUUAAAAUCAGAUUUGUAAGUAUUUUGAAUAUUUACGUAUUUUGUUCGUUUAUUGUAUAUCGUGUAAUUAUAAAUAAUUUUAAAUUUUAUUAUUUAAAAUAAAAAUCAUAAGUACGAACACAAUUCAUAACUUCUGGGAAUAGAGGAUCCGGAUUCCUAAACUCAGGAUCUGUCUUGACUUGAAAACUGUCGGUGCCUCUGUGCUGGUUUGAGAAGAUUUCUAGGAAGUAGGUGGGCCGCUCCUUGGGUUGUCCUUUUUCCUUUGCUGUGAUUGUCUUGUCGCUUGUUUUGUUUGCCACGUGUCCGAACUUUCUGUCUCUUCUCUUUUCUUUAGAGUGUAUCUUUGAUGUUUUCUAAACACAAUCACGUCACAUGAUUAUUUUACUAAAAUUAAAAUAUGUAGUUUAUAUAUAGUUGAUAAACUAUAAAAACAGAACAUUUUGAUCUUAUUGUGCACACAUAUUAUAACAUGUGAAAAAAGAUCAUGAUCAUCUCUUGAGCUUAGAAUGUUGAGCUUUAUGAGCAAAUCACACGGUCUGUUGGAUCAAAAUUCAACGAUUACAAACAGAAAACACUUUAAAAGUUAUAAUAAUUGCAGUCGUUGAAUUUUGAUCCAACGAUUCGUGUGAUUUGCUCAGUAAGCUCAACCUUCUAAAUAUCACUUGAAGCAGAGCAUUUAUGUUACUUGGGACCCACAGUCCAAAGCAACCCACACGAAAAAUCAGUGUGGAAAAUCAAAAUCAAUGGCAUUGUUGCUAUUUCCAUCAAUGCAUGCAAUUUUGAGGACCAGAAAACCCAGAUGUUAUUUUCAGCACUUUGUCUGUUUUAAUCCGUCUAAUACAUCUGUGAUGCUAUUAACAAUUAAUAAAUUCGUUGUUGGGGGGUUGUGGGCAUCUGUGGUCACAAAUGGAGAAAUGGCAAAGCUCUUAGCUGGAUACAUAAUCCCCAAACUUUAGUUUUAAAAGAUAUCAUCUAGUGGUUUUGUCACGAUAGUUCAUCUUUUUAGAGGCCAAGAGAUUAGCUAGUAAUUUUAUCAUGAUAGUCACUUUUUUAAGGCUAAAAAUACUCAAAUUGGUAUUUCAAUCUCAUUCUAACGAUUAUCGUGUGAUUCACCAAACUUUUGGUUUUCAUUAAAUUAUUUGACACAUUUUGGCGCAAGUUAAUUAGAUAUUGAUAGGUUGACAGUAAUUAAGUUGAAAUCAUUUAAAGCAAAGCAACUUUUACAGAGGUUUGUUAGUGACAUAUCAGCUUUGUGGCUGAAGGAUUGGAUGGACUAUGUUGAAGGGUAACCUAUAGUCUAUGGAGAUUCAAUUCUAGAUCUUUUUGAGAAUGUUUUUGGAAUUCGAGGUCUGUUUGGCAGAAAUAAUAAACAGUGCUUCUGAAUAGUGUUUAGGGGUUUUUUUCCAAAAAGGAAUGAGAUUCUUUCUUUCCGAAUCUUUUCCAUCAAAAUUCACUAAUCAAUUAAUCUGAACCUUUUAAAUUUGAUUCAACGAUUAAAAUUAUUAUAAUUUUUAAAAUAACUUUAUAUUUGUAUCCAUUAGAUUAAAUUUUAAAGAUUCGAAUUAAUUGAUUAGUGAACUUUGGUGAAAGAGAUUUAGAGCUUUCCAAAAACAGUAUUGGGCCCGGAUCUCUUCCCUUUCCCAAAAAGUAUUGGGAUUUUAAUAAUUUUUGAGCUCGUUUAGAAUUGCUUUGGUAAAAGAUACUUUUGCACAUAAAACAUUUUUGUUAGAAGUGUUUUUAUUGAAAGUGUUUUCUGAAAAGCAAAUGGUAUGAAUACCUUUAACUUUCUCUCUCAAAUCUAAUAAAAAAAAGCAUAUGUCAUUCUACAAAUGGAAGAACACUUAAAAAAAAAUUUCUCUUCACUUAUACCGCACCAUGUUCCUCGGGUACAUUGAAAACUCUCUCCUUGUUUGUACAUAAAAAUUUGCAAAGGCAUGCAUUGUAACAUGGGACAGCAGCAUGUGGCCAUCUUUAAUGGUGGACCUCAAUUCCUUAUAUACCCUAGUCACACUCACACUCUACUCUCUAACUUUUAUACAUAUUUGACCUAACUUUCUGCUAGCUCAUUACUUUUUGAAAACUCGAGCCGAAUUUGCAGCAGCUGUUUUCAGACUUCUUUUUUUACAUAUUUAUUUUGGCAGUGAAUUCAAAUGAGUGCUUGAUGACAAGAAUGCAAGAGAUGUCUCUGGAUUAUCAUUUCACUGUCGAACAAGAAGUGGGCUCCUCCACUCACGCCUUCUUUGGAUUCAAUGGUAAUUUAUGCAAAUUUUGAGCGGUCAUGUGUUUGAAUUGAGGGCUAAUUCUGUUUCGAUAUACAAUAAUUUUAUUUAGGCCCAUAAAAUCGACACAUUGUUGAAUAAAAGUGGCCCCACCCCACCAUAGUAUCAUUGUACGUGAGAUUCAUCUGUAUUAGAAAUGAUGUAUGUCAGUAAGUGUAUCAAUUCAGUCUGUCAACCAAGUCGAAUUGCUCUUCAGUAGUCAUUUAGUUACACAGUGGAGAAAACCAGCACACUCUCUAAUAGUGGUGGACCCUAUCGUUGUAUGCAAAACUCAUUUGUAUAAGAGAGUGCGUCUAAAUAGUAUUACUCUUCUUAAUAUAUGUACUUUAACAGUCAUUUUGUUAUGAAGUGGAAGAAAAUUGUAUUACCAUAAGCUAAAUGGGUUGAGGUAGUAUUAUUAGUAUGUAUAUGCUCAGUUCUGUUGGUAUAAUGAUAUAUAGGGACUGCUGGUGUAUGGAGAAUUACUGCAAUCAAUGAAGCCGGAGGAUGGAAGGACCGGACGACAGUGGAAGAUAUGGAUCUGGCCGUUCGAGCGAGUCUCAAAGGCUGGAAAUUCGUAUAUCUUGGUAGUAUACAGGUACCAUUACUGUCCUGUGCUUGUAUAUUUUUCUGCAUUAACGUAUUUUUGAGUGUUUAACCGAUCGAUCCAAAUGUUGUGUUUUUGCUCACUAGUAGGGUUUAGGGUUUAGGAAAGCCAAAAAAAAGUUAGUUCUUUUGACUCAACGACGUACUGACAUGAAACCCAACUUGUAGAGAGGGACAGAUCUCUUAGCAUUUGCAUUACGUGAGAUGCAAGUCUCAUCUGACCUUUGGACGUAUAAAACCGAUUGUUUUGAAUGCAUUUUUAAGUUACAUUUCAUCAACUUUUGAUUAUGCCUCCACUUUGUUCCUAAAAUUGGUAGAUUUCAACUCCAAAUGCACCGUAAACUUUGGAUUCAUGACGGAUUUUGAGUGAAACAUCAUAUCCUCAUUUCGUUUGCUCUAUAGGUGAAGAAUGAAUUGCCAAGCACUUUCAAGGCCUACCGAUACCAACAGCACAGAUGGUCUUGCGGUCCAGCUAAUCUUUUCAGGAAAAUGGUCAUGGAAAUUGUAAGCAACAAGGUGAGCGUUUUUCAUAAAUCGUAUCGAAUUUAACCAAGGGUGGGAGGUGAAGUGGAAAUGAGUGAAUAGCUAACCCUCUACCUUCAUAUGUUUAAUGCAGAAAGUAACGUUCUGGAAGAAGGUACAUGUGAUUUACAGCUUCUUCUUUGUCAGGAAGAUCAUAGCGCAUAUCAACGCGUUUGUAUUUUACUGCAUUGUCUUGCCCUCAACUGUCAUGGUUCCUGAGGUUGAGGUGCCAAAGUGGGGAGGGAUUUAUAUUCCUUCCAUUAUUACCAUUCUCAAUGCAGUUGGCACUCCAAGGUCUGAUUUCCUUUGAACUUCCGCUGUUUUUCCAUUUCGAUUUCUUUUUGUCUUCUACUCGGUUGGCAUUUGAUAUUCAUGUUCUACAAUUUGCAGGUCAAUCCACUUGUUGGUGUUCUGGAUCCUAUUUGAGAACGUCAUGUCACUACACCGUACGAAGGCUACAAUCAUUGGUCUGCUAGAGGCUAGUCGAGUGAAUGAGUGGAUCGUGACUGAGAAACUUGGAGAUGCUCUCAGGACUUUGAAGGCAGCCACGAAAUUACCUAGAAAAUCUCGAUUCAGGAUCGGAGAAAGGUACACGUUCUCACAUAUACUACUUCCCCAAAAUGAGAAUUUGAUGUUCGAUAAUGCCUGACCGCAAUUUGCCAUUUGUGUGUGCUUUUUACAUGUUAACAGACUUCAUCUGUUAGAGCUAGCUGUUGGAUUGUACCUCUUCUUCUGUGGCUGUUACGAUUUUGUCUUUGGGAAGAACUACUUCUUCAUGUUCCUUUACAUCCAAGCAACUGCCUUCUUCAUCAUGGGUUUCGGGUAUGUUGGGACAUUCAUUCCCAACUCUUAAUCUGCAGAAACGCUAUGAAAUCAUUCUCUUCUUCGAAGAACACCAGCGCGAUUGUAAAGAGGGAGACCAACAACGAAAGGAAAAAUGACGGCCAAAUUUUUUACGUACAGCAUAAGAUAUCGAGACUACUCGAAAAAUUAGUUCUCUUGUGAAUUGUCAAGAAAAGUAAGGAAAUUAAGUUUUACAGAUUGUUGUUAUGGGAAUGCAACACAAAAGGGGAAAUGGCUUUUAGGUUGUAAUUGUGAGAUUUUUCUUUGAUACUUUUUGUUUUCCAUUUUUUGGUUUGAUUUUGCUCAAAUGAAUAAACUCCAUGGGAAUGGAAGAUGUCACAAUUGUUCUCUCUCUCUCUCAAAAUAUGUACAAGAAAAUUUGUUGCUUGGUAUGGCUGCAUGAUUAGGGCAUCUCUCCUAACGUGAAAACAAAUGAGAUUAAAAUACGAAGUUUUUCUGUUUUUACAAUAAAUGCCUUAUGGAUGAUGUGAUCAGAUACUCGGAAUUUUUCAUGGUAUUCAGAUAUAAAAAAAUGAUUCACUAUCCUCUGUCCAAUGCAGAAAACAAAGCAGAUUGAUAAUUCCAAACAAUUCAACACCCAUUCUUCCAUUUCCGGAUGCCAUCAUAGCAAUCUUAUUAUCUUUCAGAGAAAAUACAAAAAUAGUAGAAAAUGACACAUUUCUGUAGCCCCACAUAAGUGGAUCAGACACUGAAUUACAAAAUGUAUGGUCUUCUCAUUUAUGAGAUUUUUUAGUAUGUUCCGAAAUAUUCUAUACUAUAUAGUUUUUAGCCGUUAAAUUCUUGAUACAAUGGCUAAGUUUUAACGAAAUAAAUCAGUAUAAGAUACUUGGGAGCAUGAUACAAAUUUAUUUUGUGUUGGUCCAGCCAUAACAGCUGUCAGAUGCAAGCAUAUAAGCCCUUGAAUUAAUGCUGGAAAAUGGUUUUAUGGUACCCACAACCUACUAAAAUGUUUGGUUUGGUUGGUGAAGGGGCUGGUCACAUAUCUUCUGUAAAUUUUGUUCGUUGAUUAUUUUUAAUUUAUUUGAUUCGAUGGUCGGAAAAAUUAAAACGAGGUGUGUAGGUAGCACCAUCCUAACCAAGGGUGUUAGAAACAUUUGUGUUGGUCUUUGGAGGAAGGUCUUGUUAUUCUAUAUGCCUUACCAAUUACCAUUGACAUAUUUUGUAUUAUGAGUAAUGGAUUUGUUUAAGUGAAAUUGGAGUAUUGGUUCCUCAACAAUAACUGAAUUUAAGUUUUAGUCUUUGAAUUUAAAAUCCAAUCAAAUUGGUAUUUGCAUUUGAAAAAAAUAUAAAGAGCAUUAGUUCCUAUGCCAACUCUGAGAAUUUCUGUCAAAAUUAAGCACUUGAAAGUAGUAGGUAAUCCUCCUUUUAAGAAACAAAUUGGAGAAAGGGUGUGCUUAUCACGUGUUUAAAUUUGGCGGAAAUCUCACGAGAUUGACAUCAAAAUCUCAAUUAAAUACAUUCCCUCAAUUUGUGAAUCCAAAAAAAAUUUGGACAAAAAAAAAAAAAAAAAAAAUUGGCCCAAUGAAAAAGCCCAUUGAAGAGCCUUCAAAGUUCAAAAUCCAUGAAGAAAUCUCCAUUGUUCUUUUGGGUUUUAAUUACAAAGAGGGUUUUGGAAGGGUUUUACGAUCAAAUUAAGAACAACAAAAAAAAAAAAAAAAAAAAAAAAGGGAUUUAGGGUUUUUGAAGGGUCAAUCAAAAUCCCGACUCCUCCUCCUCUGCGCUCUGCCGUGACUGCACCUCUCCUCCACCUCCAGGCGGUGGCUACUGUGGACUGCUGCUAACUCCUUCCUCAUGUAAGUGUGUUUCUUUUUCCUUUUGUUCUUGAAUUUCAGGGUUUAGCGAUUUGUGGAAUUGGGGAAAUUAGGGACUGGAAUUUUGAACCUGAAUCACUGAAUUCAGUAGUCUUCCUCUCUCUAGCUGCCUCAAAGUCGGAAAAUUGACAAAAUUAAAUCAUGAAUUAUACUGAAAGUAACAAAUAAAUAACAGAUUGGCCGAAUUUGGGAGUGUUAAGUGUUAGGUUUUAUGAGGUUUGAAGGAACGACUAUUGAAUUUGAGUUAAGAAAUUUUCAAGUACUUUGUUUUUCUCGAGAAUGCGUGUUGGAUGAGUCGAAUUUAGGUGUUGUGUAGCUCUCAUUUGUGACGUUCCGAUUUGUGUACUUGGAUUCUAUCCCCUCAUUGCAAUAUUUGUAGGCUAUGUUUGGGUGAGGGAUUUCCAAGUCCCAAGGGAUUGAUGCCAAGUUUGUAAUAAAAUGUUAGACAGGAGGGAUUAGAACAACUCCCACGUAUGGACUUCUACGUACGGAUUUGCAAAUCGUUCUCACAGCCUUUGUAAUACAUCUACACUUUUUUUUGUCAUCAACAGGUGUGAACUUGGGGGAAUGUCGUAGAAACGAAGGAGACUCUGUUGAAAGUUUGACAAAAUCCUUCUGCUAAUGAAAUUUGGAUUCGAAGUUCAGCCCUUUGCAGUUUUAAUACCUGGGUCCGUAACUGAUUACAGACCGAGACUCUGAAAAGUUGAAAAUGGCAAGACGUGUUUAUCUCCUUCCCAAACCCGUAUUGAAUGCCAUCAACAAACCUCAAAAUCCAAUCUCAGUCCCUCUAUCUUUCAAUCUCUGCACAGACUCUGCUGACAACCAAACUCAUCAACCACAGAUUGAAGGCCCAACAGAGAACCACAACCCCACCAACAUCCACGACCAACAACGCCAUGAGCAAGUCCGAAAACUCCGAGUCCUUCUCCAGCAGGGUCGCUCUGAAACAGCACGGAGGCUCAUCAAGUCUCUCAUUCUCCCCGGUUCACCCUUCUCUUCCCCCACUGAACUCUACACCCUGUUUUCUCUCUCUGCACCCUCCAUGAAACCCACAUUCUGCGACAUGCUUUUAGCCGCUUGUUCAGAGUCUAAGAUGCCGACUGAAGCAGUAGAAUUGUACAGUUUGAUGAGGAAAAGUGGUACACGCCCUUGCUUAGCUUCUGUCAAUGUGAUGCUUGAAUCUUUGGUGACUUCAAAGCAGUUUGGUAAGACCCUUGAAUUGUUUUCGGAGAUUUUCGAGUCAGGUCAGGGCAUUCGACCUGAUAAGUUCACGUAUGGGAAGGCAAUACAAGCUUCUGUAAAGUUAGGGGACCUGGAAAGGGCUGGUCAGCUAGUGAAUUCAAUGAAGAUGAAGCGGAUGAAUCCAGGUGUGUUUGUGUAUAAUGUUUUACUCGGUGGGCUGUGUAAAGAGAAGAAAAUGAGGGACGCACAGAAGGUGUUUGAUGAAAUGAUUGAGGGAAAGGUGACCCCGAAUUUGGUUACGUACAAUACGAUGAUUGAUGGGUAUUCUAAGGCGGGUGAGUUGGAGAAGGCCUUUGAAUUGAGAGAGAGGAUGAAGGAUGAGAAUGUGGAAGCUAAUAUGGUCACAUAUAAUACAAUGCUCAGUGGACUUUGUCGGGUGAAGAGAAUCGAGGACGCGAAAAGGAUUUUGGAAGAGAUGGAAGCUCACAGCUUUGCACCUGAUGGUUUUACUUAUAGCAUACUCUUUGAUGGGCAUUUCAGGUGUGGGGAUGGUGAGGGGUCACUGGCUUUAUUUGAAGAAGCAAUUAGUAAAGGUGUGAGGAUUAAUGGUUAUACUUGUAGCAUUUUAUUGAAUGGCUUGUGCAAGGAAGGAAACAUUGAGAAGGCAGAGGAGGUUUUGAAGAAACUAAUGGAAACUGGUUUUAUUCCAGAUGUAGUGGUAUAUAAUACUAUUGUCAGUGGUUAUUGUCGAAGGGGUGAGAUAGACAAAGCCAUUUUGGCCAUUGAACAAAUGGAAGUACGCGGGUUAAAGCCAAACUGCAUCACCUUCAAUUCUUUGAUUGACAAGAUCCGUGAGACAAAGGAUAUGGAUAUGGCUGAGGAAUGGGUGAAGAAGAUGGCAAAGAGGGGAGUUUUUCCAAAUUUGGAGACGUAUAACAUCCUUAUUAAUGGCUACGGGCAGAUGGGUGCAUUCGAUAAGUGUUUCCAGAUUGUUGAAGAGAUGGAAAAUAAGGGGAUUAAGCCAAAUAUUGUGAGCUAUGGUUCUCUUGUAAAUGGUUUGUGCAAGGACGGGAGGCUUCUUGAAGCUGAAAUAGUACUGAGGGACAUGCUAAGCAGAGGGGUUUUGCCAAAUGCACAAAUAUAUAAUAUGCUCAUUGGUGGUUGCUGUACGGUGGGGAAUCUGAAAGAUGCUUACAGAUUCCUCGAUGAGAUGGCGAAAACUGGGAUAAGUCCAACACUUGUAACCUACAAUGCACUCAUUCAUGGACUCUGCAAGAAAGGACGGUUCAUGGAAGCUGAAGACUAUGUAUCUCAAAUUACAAGUAGCGGUUAUAGCCCGAAUGUGAUCACAUACAACUCCCUAAUUUCAGGUUAUUCUGAUGCUGGAAACACCCAGAAAUGUCUGGAAUUGUUUGAAACUAUCAAGAGUCUGGGCAUGAAACCUACUUUGUAUACAUAUCAUCCUCUAAUUAGUGGGUGUAUCAGGGAAGAUAUGGUAUUAGCAGAGAAGCUAUAUAAUGAAAUGCUACAGAUGGGCCUGGUUCCUGACCGGGUUGUAUAUAAUGCACUCAUUCACGGUUACGCAGAGCACGGAGACACUCAAAAGGCACUUGCUUUGCACUCUGAGAUGGUAAACCAGAAUGUUUAUGUUGACAGGAUGACAUAUAAUAGCUUGAUUCUGGGGCACUUCAAGCAAGGAAAAAUUUCAGAGGUAAAGGAUCUGGUAAAUGAUAUGAAGGCUCAAGGAUUGACUCCUAAAGCCGAUACGUAUAGCUUACUUGUUAAGGGACACUGUGAACUGAAGGACUUCAGUGGUGCCUAUUUUUGGUACAGGGAACUGUUUGAGAGUGGUUUUCUUCUAAAUGCCUCGACGUGCCAUGAACUUACAUCUGGCCUUCAAAAGGAGGGGAGGUUGCGAGAGGCCGAGAUUGUCUGUUCAGAAAUGAGCGCCAAAGGAAUGAAUGACUGCAGCUCUAAUGAGGAAGUGUUUUCUGUUGCCAACGUCUAGGGAACAGAUGUUUGCCGUUCUUGAAGUUCUCCGCACAAGAAUUGGCCAAGAUAUAAGUAUCCCAUAGCGUACAUCUCCGCUGGCAGCCUGGCAUAUCCUUGAAGAAGAGCACAGUAAACUCCAAAAAGGUGUUGGUCAGAUAAGUUCAGAAGUAAUCCGGCAAAGAUUGGCCGGUGGAAGCGAGCAAGGAGCUUUUCGUUGUUUCGUGGACUUGGGAGAGAGUUAUCGAUGUGAAUAAGCUUCGAGCAUCCCAUAUCUUCUCCAUAAAAACCCAAAAAUGUAUGGUGUCCGUAUAAGUUUAUGGUGAAUUUUAGUGCUGUAUACCUUGUUUAUCCUAUUCGUCUUCAAUGUGAAUAAGCUUUUGGAUUGGCGUUCUGAAAAGUUGCGAUCUUCAAAGCUGUUUCAAAGCUCUUCGUUUUACUGGAAAAUGGAAUAUAUGUUGUCGAACGUUGAUGCAUCUAAUUUGAGCAUGGUUUUCUUCUAACCGUCUCCGCGUGCAAUGAACUUGCAUAUAACCUUCAAGACGAGGUGAGGUUACGACUUACCAGAGCUCGGGAUCAUCUGCUCAGAAAUGACGGUCAACGGAAUGGAUGAUCGCAACUCUAGUGGCGAUGUGUUUUCCGUUGCCAAAGACGUAGGGAUCUAUGUUUAGUGUUCGUGAAGUUCACGGCGCGAGAACUGGCCAAGAUCGAUAUCCGUAUAGAAAUGUUGCUAAACCAGUAGCCCGGCAACGAACCUUCAUUUCUCUUCAAGUUUUAUGCUCUCCGGGAGGGAAAGCAAUGCAUCGGGCUGAAGACGGUUUUUCAAGGGCCACUGCAUUAGAAGUGGUCUCUCUGGAUCAUUAGAAGUUCCUGGCUGCAAUGACAUGAAAUGUUGAUGGUUUGCUUUCAUUUCUGCCAUGUUUGUGAUUGCUUCUGCAAGGGCACAAACCGCUACAUGAUAGCCAAAGCGCUUCUACUUGCGUUUUGUAGAAAAACUUAAAAGUGCUUGAGUCAUGGAAGGGCUUCUAGCAUAAGUACUUUCUGGAAAUGCAAUUCCAAACAGGCCAUGAUACUAAAUAUUACCAUGCCAAAACGCAAACAAUUCAUCACGAAAAUUCGAAAACCAGAAUUUUCUACAACCAUCAAAUCAGAAAAAAAAAAAAAAAAAAAAACCCAACUGAUUUUAUUAGAUUGGAGUGGAAAAUCGAACUCAUUACCUCGGCUGCAAAGCUACUCUUAACCAUCUGAGCUACAAGCUCGCAGCACAGUAUUCUACUCAUAAAUUAAGAACAAAAACAAAAAAAACAAAAAAAAAACAAAAAACCAAAAAAAAAAAAACCUUACGAAGCUAACAACCACCGUCACCGCCGCCGCGAGAAGCAAAUUCAGAGCACUUUGAGAAUGUCCUCAGCUCCACUGGAGGUAAAGGCACCGCCUUCCUCCAAAUUCAAGACCUUAACAACGCCAUCCUCCGCCAAAAGCGAGUACCUUCUGGACCUGACGCCCAGCCCCACCGGCUUAUCGCUCAAAUCGAGCUCCGCCCCAAUCGCCCUCGUGAAAUCACCGUUCCCAUCGGACAGCAGCAGCACCUCGUCGCCGAUGUUGAGAUUCUCCUUCCACGCCUUGAGCACGAAGACGUCGUUGACCGCAAUGCAGGCGAUGGUCUCGACGCCCUUCGCCUUGAGCUCACCCGACUUCUCCACGAAUCCCGGGACGUGCUUCUGGGAGCAGGUCGGGGUGAAGGCGCCGGGGACGGCAAAGAGGACGGCCUUCUUGGAUUUGGUGAGCUCGGAGACAGUCACGGUUUGGACGUCGCCGGCGGCGUCGAGGUACGCGAGGGUGGCUUCGGGGAGCUUGUCGCCGACGGCGAUGGCGGCGGAUAUAGGUUUGGCAGCGGUGGUGGAGAAGCGGAGGAGGGGUUUUGGGUGUGGGGAGUGUUUGAGGGGGAGAGGGGUGUAGGAGCUUUUGGAGGAGAGGGAUUUGGGUGAGAAGAGAGACGUUUUGGGUGGUGCGGCGGCGGUGGUAGUGGAGAAAGAGAGGGACUUGGGGGCGGUCAGGAGCCUUGAGACUGUGAGGGAGGCUGCCAUUUUUGGUGGUUUGGGUUUUAGAGAGUGAGAGAGUGAGUUUGAGAUGGGAGAGAGAGACUGGUAAGCUUUGGCAUGCAGGGUUUGCUGGGUACGCUGGGUUUGUUGGGUUUAAGGGUUUUUAGCGGAGGGAACAAUGAGAGGUUGUUGUGAAGAGGGUCGGAUAGAUAGAGGAUUUAUUGGACCCUUCUGUUGUGUGGGCAUGUGAGUUUCCAUAUACCUCCAACUUUGCCACCAUAAAAAUUAUCAACGUAUAUAUGACAUGUUCUUGGUUACGUUCACUCGGAUAUGUCCUUCUCUCCACAAAGAAACUUGAUAAUUAGAACGGCUAAAGUAAAAAUAUCGUUGUAUUAAAAAAAAUUAUAUAAUUUAGUAAAAAAAUUUAAUAAAAAAUUGAACUUUAUUCCUCCUCAGUAUAAUUCAUUUCAGUUUAAAGGAUAUCGUCCUAUUACAUAUUAAUAAACAUGUCAUAAAGUAGUUGCGUUCUAUAACUUGUCUUUAGGGUUAGUUUGAAUGUGCUCCUAAAAUAACUAAAACGCUCUUGACGAGAGUAUUUUUGAAACAAAUCCUUAGUAAAAUGCAAUUGAAUCUUGAAAAAUACUUAAAGUGUUUCCUACAAGAAUCACAAGCACUUCAAAAAUUAUUACACUAAAGCCAUAAGUUAGAACUCAAGCGUUUAAUCUUGAUGUAGUCUAGCGUAUGGUGAUUAGUAGCGCUAAAAUAUAAAAUAGUAAGUUGAUAGGCUUUAAACAUAUUUCUGUGUUUAACAUCACAAAAUGGAGGGUCUUAGUGUAAUGAAAAUAUUACUUUCAAAAUUUUUUUUUUACCAAAAACGCUUUCAAUUAUUUUAAAAUCAUAUACAAAUGUGUUGUGACAUAUGUUCUUAUCAAUAUGUGAUUGUGUAAAUCCUAAGUAGAGAUAAAAUAGGAAUCCUUUGGGAUCUAGAAGAUCUUUCCUAAUAUACUUUGUAUUACUUGGAGAGCAAGUUUCUCUCCUCCUAAUUACUAUAAAUAAAGGCACAAUGACUGGGGAAUUAAUACACAAUUCCUCAAGUCUAUUCUCCAAUCUCUUCUUCUCUUUGCCGCAUAUCUCUGUAAAAUAUAGGCCACAACACGUUAUCAGCACGCUCUUCACGCUGUGCUUAGAAGAAUUUAAAGAGAAUUUAUUCGUCUACAAUCAGGGGAGUAUUACGUUUCAAUUAUUUUUAAUUGAUUAAAUCUUGAUUUUAUUGAAUUCAUAUAUUGUUAUUGAUUCAAUUUAUUUUUCUUCUUAUGUUGAACGUGAUACAAGCUUGAAGAUGAAAGCCGAAAUUGAAGAAAUAAUUUUUCUGCAUCAAACCAGUUCAUUCAUAUCAUCACGCAAUCAGGUUCUUCCAAAACAACGGUUUUUAACUCGAUAUUUUUGAAGCCCUGAUCGCAUGAACAUUCACCAUGAUACAUGACCCAACUUUACGUUUAACGUAUUUUAGAUUCUACAUAAAUUGGGUAUGCCUCAUAACCAAAAUUGCUACAAUUAUGUGAAUUUGAUAUUUUUCAUGAAUUGAAUCUUACAUAUGUACAUGCAUUGAAACUAUUAUUUGCAUAUGCAUCAAAGUAAAUACGUGAUUCAUUGAAAUAUAUAUACAAUUGAAUUAUAAACCUGAAGUUAUAUCUUUGUAUAUCCUUGUUGUAUAUUUGCUUGCAUAUAUAUACAUAUAUAUAUAUAUAUGUGUGUGUGUGUGUGUGUGUGUGUGUGUGUGUGUUUGUCUGCAAAUAUUAUGAACUUAAAAUUCAUACUUCCGAACCCCAAGUUUCGGAAAAGUGCCAUAUGAACCUGAAGUUUCUUAAUGCGCAACACUCAUGUUGAGACCCGAAGUUCUCCAUGCUUAAAUCCGUUUAAACCAAACCAUGUCUUAGAACCUGAAUGUUCUAAAUUUGUUGUUUAUGGAAAUUUUAUUUCCUAAAACACCAAUCACAUUCUUGUUUCCUCCAUUCAGCGUAUUGUCGAACCGUAACAAGUUCGAUUUCACUGAUUUGGAAGUUUCGAAUAGUAAACUACUUUAUGUGGAUACAAGACGUGAAUAAGCAUCCGCCAUGAUCCUUAUUCGAAGAAUUAUGCAUGAAGCAUAUCCAAUGGAAGUACCUCCCUGCUGAGGACUCCAUGGCUCUUCAAAUCCGUUAUGGAUUGUUUCAAAUCAUGCAAAGAUGAAUUUUUGCCUGAAGCAAAACAUGAUUGAAACUGUUACGUCCAUGAAUAGGUACAAUUCUCGUAGUCCAUUUGUGAGACUCAUUUUGCUCCACCUAAUACAUUGGAAGAGCGAAAUUUGACAUGGACGGCCUAUUGGCCGAACCCCAUUGUUUUUUUUGGUUUAUUUUGUGAAUAAUUUAUUUUGUUCUCGGAUUUAAGAUUAGUGUUUGGAUUUCACCAUUAUUCUCGAAUAAAAGAGUUAAUUAACGAAGAUUACCACAUGUGACUACAAUUAACUCAUGCUUAGGUAUGUUUUAUGGGGAAGUUAGCUGUCUGGUUCUAUGCUAACUUCAUACCUAAUCAUCUCCCGACAACCUUUCAGGCUUAUCCAACCUGAUUGUGGGGCAUGGCACUGCCCUAUAUUGUCCAAUGGUAUUAACUUUACCAUAAAGGGAAGCCUUAUACUCACUUCGUUCCGGAAGAACGCAUUUUUGAGCUUUAAGGAUAUUCGAGAGUAUUAUUACCAUAUUGAAACCAAUGUAGAAAAAUGGAGUAAAAUUCCUUGGCAUAUUACCAUUUUGCACUUCUUACGAAUAUAGUUAAAUGCAUAUUCUAGAGAAGAUGGAACGCUUAACGAAUGGAUUACAUCCAUUCAAGUCCACUAUGUGGCCGGCCAGAAGCCCCGCCCGCGAUUCCUAAGGAAUUUUCGCUAUGGAUGUACGUUUGGGAUAUCUAGGAUGAUUCGUGAUGCGCCGUUUUUGGGCAUCCUCCUUUUACCAGAAGUAAAGAAAUCAUACCUGGACACGUAUUAUACCUUAGCACCCUCCAUCUUUUUACAAAGGAUUCAAAUGGGACAUUUGUGGAUAGAUUCAACCACCCUACGGACCAUUUAAAUAUUCUAUAGUAUUGGUUGAUGCUUCUACACGUUUGUCACACGUGUGGGUUUGUUUUCCACAAGUUGCAUUCUCUCCACACUGGUAGCUCAGAUUAACAAGCUCAGGGCUCACCACCCUGAUUAUCUGAUCAAAUUUAUUUGAUUGGAUAAGUUGGAGAAUUUACAUCGAACAAUUUAAAUCUCGAUGGAUAUUGCAUGUCGGUUGGGUUUUUUGAAAGUUGAACAUCCAGUCCCAUGUUCAUACCCAGAACGACCCAGCAGAAGUAUUCAUUAAACGCCUUCAAAUGCCUUCAAAUGAUUGCGUGGUCGACUGGUCAUACGUACCACAGUUCCCGACCUCUGCUUGGGGCCAUGCAAUAUUGCAAGCAACCAUGUUGGUCUGCCUGAGGCCCGUCACGACCCAACCUUAUAAAGCGCGUGUCAGUUGGUUACCAAAUACGAACCCGACAUAUCGCAUCUGCGCGUCUUUGGUUGUGCGGUCUAUGUGCCAUUUUGCGCCGCCCUUACGUACACAAAAACAAAUGGGUCCUCAGGGAAGGAUGGAAAUCUAUGUCGGUUAUGAUUCUCCUUCUAAUAUUCGUUACUACAUAACCUUUGACAGGCGAUUUCUUUACCGCUCAUUCUGCGAAUUGUCACUUUUAUGAGACAGUCUUCCCGUCGUUAGGGGGAGAUAAGCAUGUCAACGUUCCUAAAGAACGACGCGAAUUAUCGUGGACGUCCUCACUAUGUCUCAUAUCGAUCCCAAUCUAGAUCGUCAGAGUUUAACCAGACACUUCCUCUGAUCUAGUAAAAGUGACAAGAUCACAUAUACCAGCUGCAAAUGUGCCUGCAAAGAUGUGUACCAAAUGUACUUCGGACCUUUGUCCUGAAAGUAGGAAAGCCACAAUUAUGGCCGACCCUCGUACAUUGGCGGUUAGCCAAUCAAUCUAUCUUAUGCCAGAAGCAUGGUAUAUCACUCGGUUCGAGGAUUCACCUCCCCAAAAGAGGAGGAACGUGGCACGAAUGAAUCCGCCCCUCGAUCGCUGUCUCAGACCUUUUCAUCUCAUGAGAUUAAAUCCGGAUUACUCCCGAGACCUGAAGUUCUUGGUCCAGUAUACUAGUUUGGAUGAGAUAUGGAAUUGGAAUGAGAUUAUCAUAAAUGAUGUUUCAUUUAUAUGGUACCGACAUAAAUGAAAAGCGACGAUAACGAACCGCGUUCCGUUGAUUAAUAUCGACAUAGAACUGAUUGGUCAACUAGAAGAAUCAAUCUAUGACGAAUGAGAUGAAUGAAAUAGUUCAAUAUGACGCCUUAUGGUGCAAGGUUUCUCUCAUACGCCAUGUGAUUGAUUGCAGCAUUACAAACGUGGUUGUAGUAUCUCUGGGAUCGUGAUAUGAACCUACAUGGAGUUUCCAAAGGACUUACAUGUACUGAUUCAAAUAGUUCUAGACCACAAGAACAUCCUCUUGAUUCUCAAGCGGCCUUCACUUUACGGAUGCAGAACUAUCUGGGCAGAUGUGGUAUACCCGUCUAAGUGAAUAUUUGAUCAGUUAGGGAUAUAUGCCCCUGCGUGUAUAAAAUCCGAAAUUGCUAAAGUUGAGAAAAUUAACUCGCAUAUCGGACUAUAAGAUGAAUGAUCUUGGGAGAACUUGACAUUACCUCGACCUGAAGUUUCGAGCUAGUUUUGAUGGUAUUCUGGUCCACCACUCAAACUAGACCCAGAAGGUGUUACGUCUGAGUAUAUCCUGAUCAUCUGUAUGCUAGAUGCAAAUGAGACCUUUACGGAGGGUAUGAAGCAUAAGGUUCCAUAUUGGAACGUGAGGCAGCCAUAUCUAAGUACCAUUGGCGUUUGUUGUACUUAGCUCAAAUGCACUAGAUCAGACAUCUUAUGUGCUGAUAAUCUUUUGGCAUAAAGCAGCACUGCGCCUAACACACCACCACCAAAUUUGGUGUUAAAGACGUUUUUCUAUUACUACGGAUUUGGGCUUAUUCCCUAUGCAUCUCAGAAUAGAUCACACCCCCUUGAUCUUCGGAAUGAUGCCUACCUUGUGGGAUUCGCUGAAUCAGACCAUUUGUCUGACCGCACAAGGUACGUUCCCGCAUGGUUAUGUCUUUACCAUUAAGGAACACCGCAAUAUCUUGGAGGUUAACUAGAUAGACCUUUUGUUGCGAAACCUUUGAAUCGCUCCAAGACUCACUAUGUCUCAUCACGUGAGAGAUAUGGUCGAGAAUUCUUGUUGAGCAUAUUCAAAAUCCUUGCGAUUUUCAUCCAUCGUUGAGUCCCAACAACGAUCCAUGAAUACAACGCUGUAUGUAUCGACCAGAUCAUGAUACAUCCAACAAAGUCAACACCAAGCAUAUUGUGUCUACAUCAGCAUGAGCAUCAGAAGAUUGAAGUCAAGCAGUCCAAUCCCAGACAACCUUACCGACAUCUACACAAAGUCACUACCAAAGUCUACCUUCCAGAAGCUUGUCCAAUGAAUUGGUAUGCGUAACUUUCUCAUUUGCAAUGCUUGUAGUUUCAUUUGGAAGUUUUGUCAAACUCAGGGGGAGUAUCUAGAAGUAUACUCACUUGAUCUUAAUGUACUCUUUUUCCCUACGAUUAGGAGCAUUUUUCCCACUGGGUUUUUGCUACCUAACUAGGUUUUAACGAGGCACCCAUCCUGGGCUGAUCAUACCCUUGUGAGCUCUUCUACUUGCGUCCAGAAGACGUAUAGUUUUGAUUUAAUGCAACUUCUCACUUUUCUCCUUAGCCUAUGGGCUUUUCUCCCACCUUGGGUUUUGCCAUAGUAAGGUUUUGUGAGUUUUACCACUCCUGCAUUCUUCCGUCUUUUGAGACUCGCAUUCGCUACUUGUGCCGACUAAACGAGACGAUUUCAUCCACUACUUCUACAUUUGCCUGAAGAUCUGAUGCGCCAUCUACUUGAGUAUUUGCACACUCAAGGGGGAGUGUUGUGACAUAUGUUCUUAUCAAUAUGUGAUUGUGUAAAUCCUAAGUAGAGAUAAAAUAGGAAUCCUUUGGGAUCUAGAAGAUCUUUCCUAAUAUACUUUGUAUUACUUGGAGAGCAAGUUUCUCUCCUCCUAAUUACUACAAAUAAAUGCACAAGGACUGGGGAAUUAAUACACAAUUCCUCAAGUCUAUUCUCCAAUCUCUCUUCUUCUCUUUACCGCAUAUCUCUGUAAAAUAUAGGCCACAACAAAAUGAACUCUUAAUUCACCUUUUAUCAAUAAAAACUUUCAAAUUAUGGUACAUAACCUGUCAAAUGACGCUCUCAGAAUUUGUCAUAUAGCAUCGCGCCACACGUGGUAGUCUAGUAGGUUUAUGUCGGCAUGUGUCACGUGAGAUCACAUGUUGUACUUGACACAUGUUGAAAGAUUUUUCAGUGUGAUUGGCACACGCAAUGAUACAUCACGUGUCAUUAUACAAAUAAUGAGAUAUGUGUGUGAAAAAGUUAAUAACUUAAAAAAUAAAAUUUUCUACUACUUACAUAAAAACACGUGGUGUAUCACUCGUGUUAUUGUCACUAUGAAAAUUUUCUAGUGUUGAUAUGCUUGCAAGAGUUGCGCAUCUACCGAACUUAAAAGGAAAACAAAAGUUGCGUGUCUUUGUCAAGCCACGAGUCAUUAAUCCACAGGAUUAUAGUACAGGCCCAACGGAUCGAUGCUCCGUAUUUAGAUCCAACCUUAAUAUAACACAUAGUUAAAUUGGUUAGAGCAAUAUGAUUUUUCUGUAUGUGCACUUAAGUUUGUAUCUUUCUCCUUCAUUUAUAUUAACUUAAAAUAUCGUUCGGAACUUGAAAAAAAAUAAAAUAAAAACACUUCAAAUAUUGGAUUGGGUUGCCUUUCUAACUACACGAUGUAACACUCAACUAAAAUUUGAAGCUUUAACUAGCUUUUGAUUUAGGAUUCAAUCAUUCAAAUAUGUUACUUUUGAGUUUGAUGUGGAGGGUUUGUUUGAGAUUGCUUGUGGAAUGACUAAAUGCGAUGUAUGACAAUAAAAAAAGUUUGUAACUGCGUUUGACUUAAAAAGUUAAAAGUGUUUUUUUAUUAUAUAACUGCUUUAUAGAGAAUUAAAUCUCAGAUGAUUCUUCAAGAAGUACUUUCAAGUGUUUCGCUUGGAUUUUUAAUAGAAAUUUUAAUGUGCUUCUAGUGAAAGCACUUUUAACAUAAGCGCUUAUGAGUAAAAAAGCUUCAAACAUAAAAUUCUCAAACAAACUAUGAUGAUUUUUGGCUUGCUAUUCUUGGGUGAUAUUAUUCAAGCCAAUGGUGAAUUCUCCAAAGUCCAAGAGUGGUCAGUUCAUCCAUGAAGAUCGAAAAAAGUGGAUGGAUAUUGCCUAUGAUAACCUCUUAGUCGACUAGAUAGUAACAUAAUGCAUGUAAACUGAUAGAUAAAUUGCCUGAGUGAGUAUUUGACACAACAUCUGCAAGGUUUUAACCUAAUCAAAACGAAGGAAGAAUGUUUGUUUGAAAUAUUUAUCUGUCUAUAUUAUCACUUAUCAGUGUUCAUGGUUCAUUUUUUAAAUCAUUAUUGACAUGUUUUAUAUAACAUUAAAACCUUUUUUUUUCCAUUGUCUAAGUUCAUACUUUACGCCAAAAAGUCUUAAAUAAAUACAAGCAUGCAAUCCCAUGCGCAUUGACCAUUUAGCCACCAAUUUUCGAGUCACAAAAUAUAUGCAAACAGAGUAAAAAAACUAAAAUAUUUUGAGAGAGAGAAGAAAAAUUCCUGUCCUUUUUGUAUUUGAGAGAGAGAAGAAAAAAUAAUGUCAUUUUUGUGUGAGAUUCGAGAAUAUUUUUGUUUACUAUUCUAUUUAUUAUGGUUAAAUGAGUUUGAUUUCGAGACAUAUGUCGUAUAUAAACACAAAUUUUAAAAUUUUUAUUCACCCAUUAAUGCAAAUAUAGUGAUUAGCAUUACCACUAUUUAAGAAUGGUGAACAAAAAAUGCACCUGUGAGAUGCCAACCAGGUUGGACUUGUGGGUCAAAUCAAAGAUGAAGUGUCCACUUUUGUUUUUUUAAAGUAAUGAUAAUUAAUUGAAAUAAAUAAGGACAAUAACUUAGAAAUGGACUCUAUUGGAUGGAAAUAACAGAUUUAUCCAUAAUUCUAUAUAACCAUAUAUAUUUUGCAAUCGCAUAAUUAUUUUUAUUUCUGUUCAUUUAUGCGAGUUCCGUUCUCCUAGACUUUAUGAUCUAAGAAAAUUUUGGUCAAACACCAUUCAAAGUUAAUAUAACGAUAGAAGAUAAAGCACAACAAUAAAAAUUAUAAACGACUGCAUACCAUUAAAUUAAAAUCGAACAAUGUAAUGUAUAACCACACAUUUACCUGGUCAUGUAAUCUACGGUCAUUACGCAUGUAUGUAUACGUAUACGUACACAUAUAUAUGUACAUGGAAUCCAAAAGCUGAUAAGAGAGAUGUUGCAGUUUUGUGUUGGGAGUCAAGCUGUAACAUGCUGCAAGAGAGAAUAUUGCCUUGGCAGCUGAGCAUCCUCAUCGAAAUCCAAUAAAUUAUUAACCAUCUGAAAUCAUGUUGUCAUUUUCGUUUCUUAAUUACACAAAUAUAUGCUUGACCAAAAAAAAAAUAUUAUUAAGAAAACAUAUGUUUUGAAAAAUCAAUUUGACACAACACGAGCGUAUGUGUGGGUUACACUGUUUCACUAUCAAUGAGAUUCACUAUAAAUCUGCGGACAAGGAGAUUUGGGUCGUUCAACAGAGAGGGAAAGAAACGGGGUUUUGUGAGAUAAACUAGUGAAAUUGACUAAUAGGGGUGUAUGAUUGAAAUUGUAUGGUCUGGAUCUAUCUGUAUGUGGGCUCUAAAUACAGAAAUUUGGAGUAGAUUCAAUCCAUUUCACUAGGACAAUGUGAAUGUUUCCUUAUUCUCAUAUUUGAAUUCGCUCCCUGUAAAUUAAUACGUAAUUGAAUGAAAAAAAAUAUAAAUAUAAGUCAUGAAUGAUUCAUGUAAGAACAUAAGAAAAAAGGUCUAAGUUGAAACCUGAGACAACAUCUAUAGGAACAAAAUAAAUGAGUCUCCAAGUGGAAAAUUAUUGAACAGGCAAAAUAAAUAUUUUUAACCAAUUGAGUGACACUCUCAUUCCAACACUACUAAUUGUAAAUGACUAUAUCAAUAUUAAGAAUUUGAAUUAUGUUUCGUAUUUAUAACUCAUGAUAUAUAAAGUGAAUAGAGUAAUAAUAGCCACGAGAUUUUAUAUUCUUGCCCAAUAAUUAAAAGCCUUGCAUUGCACAACAAAUAAAAGGAUAAAACAGGAUGUUUACCAUCAAUCGUGAACAAAUCUUUGAGGAGAAUAAUGAGCAAAUCUUCGUUCUUGCUCAACAAUCAAAUUCCUUGCACAACAAUUAAACCCCUUAUUUACAAGAAAAAUAUAUAUAUUUAUUAAACUUCGUGACCAUAAAUUUUUUUUUUCAAAAAGAAAAUGUUUUAUACCACCAAAUUCCAGAAAUAAAAAUCAUACGUACCAUAUCACGUGCAACUAGAAAGUCAGAUCUGACCUACCCAUUUUUAUUUUUCUAUUUUAGUAUUAUAUUCGUUUUGGACAAUAUAUUUAUUUUUAGUUAUAUCAAAAAAUAAAUUUAUUUUUAGAGUGUCACACUUUCCUUUACUUUUCACGCACAUUUGUUAAUUUUAUCCGUUGAUCAUUAUUAAUUUGUUCGAAGAAGGCCUGAAAAUUGAGAGAGUGUGUGAGAGGUAAAAAUAAAUGUGUGGACCACCAUCUUUUUUCAAUUGAUUUAUAAUUGAUUUUGUUUGAGGGGUCUUGUUAUGAGUGUAUUUUUGCUCACCAUUCUAAAAAUACUAAUCACUCUAUAUAUCAUUGUUGAAUGAAUUUAGGGGUAUAUUCAAUUGAGCAUUUGAGAGAUUUUAAUGGAUUUAUAAAUUUAUGGAUUUUUAUGGAGUUUAAUUGAUUUGUAGAGAUUCCAUAAAAAAUUUUGAUUUAAUUCCCUUGAAAUCUCAUGAGAAGAUGUGAGAUUUGUGGAUGCUUAAAAUACACUACGAAAUAUCUCCAAUUUCCUCUAAUUCCUCAACUUUCUUAAAUUCUUUAAAAUCAAUUUCUAAUUGAAUAUACCUGGAAUGUUAUAAACUUCUUUAAAAUCCUAAUUGAAUACACCCGGAUUUCUAAGGAUUUUAAUAAACUAUCUUAAAAUUUUGAUUCAAUAUAUCUUUAAUUUCAGAGAAUCAUUUAAAAUCUUGAUUGAACACCCUCCUUAAAUUUUUACUUUGUUUUUAUCCACAACACAUUUUUUUAAAAUGUAAUAAAAAAUAAACUCAUCUAACGAUCAUAAAUAAAAUAUUACUCUUAGUUCAGGGAGGUAAAUAAAAAUAUUCUCCUUUUGGUACAAAUUAAUUUUCUUUUCUAAACAAAAUUAUAAAUACUUGCUUAAUGAGUCCGCUAAACCUAAAAGAUUAAAUCGGACGGCUGCAAUUAACUAAGUUCCUCUACAAAGAGGCCAGUCCCUUCACUCUCCCAAGUAAAAGCUCUUACCAAAGUCUCUCUCAUCUCUCUCUCUCUCUCUCUCUCUCUCUCUCUAUCUCUCUGUGCAUCCAUCCAUGGCGACGAUCCAGAGCGUCAAGGCUAGGCAGAUCUUCGACAGCCGUGGCAAUCCCACCGUCGAGGUUCGCUUCUCUCUCUCUCUCUCUCUCUUCGAUACUUUCUAGGUCGCCGAUCUACUUGUUCAAUCACUGAUCGCAAUCCUCUUUUCUACUUUUUGUUUUUCAUUGAUUUGAAUUCGAUUCGGUUAAAACGACGCGUUUCGUCUGUGAUUACGACAGGCAAGAGCGUUAGCUGAUUAGAUCGAUGGGUGCUUGAUUAUAUAUGAACAUUUGUUUUUAUUUUUUCGAAUUUAAUUUUGCGAUCUGUAAUUUUGUUGAAUUUAAUUCUCAAAUGGAUCGAUAAAUGUUCGAUUGAAAAUUAAAAAAAUGGAUGUGUGUUCGUUGCAGGUCGAUAUCAUACUGUCAGAUGGCACUUUGGCUAGAGCCGCUGUUCCAAGUGGUGCAUCCACUGGUAUAUUUCUCUGAUCGAUUUCUCACUUUUUUUCGUGUUAUUCGAAAGAUUUCGAUGUAUGGAACUUGUACGAUGGUUCGUGUUUAUUGUCCAGUAUACAUCUUAAUAGUCUUAUCAAACAAGUGUAAUUUAUCGUUUGUCAAUAACUUGCAGGAGUUUACGAGGCCCUUGAGUUGCGCGAUGGAGGCAAAGACUACCUCGGAAAGGGUGUUUCGAAGGUGAGGAAUCGCUUCGUUGUUAGUUGAUUUUGUGUACCACCCAGAUUGAACAUAGUGUUGAUCUUUUGUGACUGGUUUAUUACCUUUUUUUGUUGUGUGUAGGCUGUCAACAAUGUCAACACAAUCAUUGGCCCCGCUUUGAUCGGCAAGGUUGGUUGAAUCUGCUUGUAUUCUAUUAGAUUAUGUGUUCUGUUUUUGUCAAUUUAAUGUUUGGAACCUUAAGAUUGCUGUUUCAGGCGGAUAUAAUUGUAAACUAAUGUUUCUUGUUGCAUUGCGCAGGACCCGAGCGAACAGACGGCUAUUGACAACUUCAUGGUUCAACAGCUCGAUGGAACCGUCAACGAGUGGGGUUGGUGCAAGCAAAAGGUAUAACAUAUUUAUGCUUGUUACAUUUAGUCUAUAUGUGUAAAUCGUUGGUUGUAGGUGUUGUCAAUCAAAUUAACUGGGAUAUAAUUUGUUUUUCAGCUUGGUGCAAAUGCCAUUUUGGCCGUGUCUCUUGCAGUCGCCAAGGCUGGUGCUAGCGUCAAGAAAGUUCCUCUCUACAAGGUAUAGGGUUUGGGGUUUAAGAUCAAAUAAUAUCUAUUGUGCUUCUUUUCAUUUUUAGUGUUCACUGUUGUGAUGUAGGUUUUAAAGGACCGGAUGAAUUGCUUUUUCCUUUUUUAGCUGUUUCUUUUUCAUGUUACACGAAUCUGAUUUUAAUGUUGCUGUCUUUUUCAUUGCAGCAUAUCGCCAAUCUUGCUGGCAACAAGAACCUAGUGUUGCCCGUUCCUGCUUUCAAUGUCAUCAACGGUGGAUCACAUGCAGGAAACAAGCUUGCAAUGCAGGAGUUCAUGAUUCUUCCUAUUGGAGCUUCCUCAUUCAAGGAAGCCAUGAAGAUGGGUGUGGAAGUAUAUCACAACCUUAAGGUGGGUUACCCUUCCUUGAGGGAAGGGGUUUAGAAAUUUUUGGGAACGUAUUGUUUCUUAUUCUAUAUUCAUAAGAUCAUCAUAGUGUCCUUGCGAUGAGGAGAUUUUAGUAAUUCUCUUUUCGGAAUUAUCUGCUAAAUCAUGCCAGUACUUUCCCCUGAUAUUUUCAGGAUCCAUGUCCUUCGUAUUGUUGAGCAUGCUUGUAUGAUUCAGUUAUGCAUCUUACUUUCUCACUGACCACUGUUGUUCUCUAUAGUCUGUGAUUAAAAAGAAGUACGGUCAGGAUGCAACCAAUGUUGGUGAUGAAGGUGGAUUUGCUCCUAACAUCCAGGUUAACCAUAGUUUUAUGUAACCUAAUCAUUCAAUUGAAGUUUUUUCUCGUUACUUUUUAUUUCUUUCACAUUUGUGUACUGAAAUUAUCAUCAUUUUUAAAUGAAUUCAGGAGAACAGGGAAGGUCUUGAAUUACUCAAGACAGCCAUCGAGAAGGCUGGAUACACCGGCAAAGUAAGUUUGUUUCUAAUCCUAAUGCUCCAUUACAAAGGAAAUUUUAUGACCCUGCAAUAGUUAUCAACGGAAUUUCUUUUUGUUUUCUCUUCAGGUUGUCAUUGGAAUGGAUGUUGCUGCAUCUGAGUUUUAUGGAUCAGAUAAAACCUAUGACCUGAACUUCAAGGAAGAGGUUCGCCUUUUUACAAUCCCCUCCUUUCAAUCUGUGUUGUCGCUUUUUGUUUAUCCGACCUCGAAAAAAGUUUAUUAAGAAUUAAUUAUUAACUUAAUUUUCUACUUUCUUUUUUGUCUGUACAGAAAAAUGAUGGUUCCCAAAAGAUCUCAGGAAAUGCUCUCAAGGACCUCUACAAGUCAUUUGCAAGUGAGUACCCAAUUGUUUCAAUUGAAGAUCCAUUUGACCAAGAUGACUGGGAGCACUAUGCCAAGAUGACAGCUGAAGUUGGAGAAAAAAUACAAAUUGUGGGAGAUGAUCUGUUGGUGACCAACCCCAAGGUCGGUUGAUCUCUUGGAAGCGAUGUUUUUCCCUUCUGUCGCUUUCUCCCUAGAAAAUGGGGUUUCAAUUUAAAGUUUCUUUCUGAUGGCCUCACUUUACUGACAUCUCUACUCUUCCUACUCGUAUUUUCAGAGAGUCGAGAAGGCAAUCAAGGAAAAAUCUUGCAAUGCUCUUCUUCUCAAGGUACAACAGGAAUCUCACUCCUUAGUCGAAAUUACUGGAGCUUGUGUUUUUUACCAACAUGAAAAUAAUAACCCUUUUUAAUCUUGUUUGGAAUACAGGUGAAUCAAAUUGGAUCAGUAACCGAGAGUAUUGAGGCUGUAAGAAUGUCCAAGAAAGCUGGAUGGGGUGUGAUGACCAGCCACCGCAGUGGAGAAACCGAGGACACCUUCAUUGCUGAUCUCGCUGUUGGUUUGGCUACGGUAAUUAUUUGAUCUGAAAUCUGUGUUAUCCCUCAGUUUUCUCCAAACCUCCAUUCGAUUUCUCACGAGUUUUUAUAUUUGUUUUCAGGGACAAAUCAAGACAGGAGCUCCCUGCAGGUCGGAGCGUCUUGCCAAGUACAACCAGGUCUGUACUAGCACCAAUUUUCUUUUGUGCUCCUAUGAUUUCGUAAAAUUUCUUCGUUCUUAGUUCUUUGUUGGUUGAAUUCUUCAACUUAGUUUCUGAACAUCUCAUGUUUCGUAAAUGUAGCUGUUGCGAAUUGAGGAGGAGCUCGGUGCUGAGGCAGUGUAUGCCGGAGCUAAGUUCCGCGUGCCCGUUGAGCCCUAUUAGAUUAUGAAGUGCUUCCAAGGCUUUUGCGGGAUAUGAGAAAUCGGAGUUUGACGAUGUUAGGGAAUAAGUUUUUAUGUAGAAUGGCUUAGUUAUGUGGAAAACUUGAAACCCUUUUCCAAUAACUUUCAGAGUAAGUUUUGUUCUGAGAGCUUGAAAACAGUUCUCUACUGGAAAUUUUCGAGUAAGCGUGUUCGACUAUGUAAUCUGUUUUGAGUUGCUUUCUUAAUGUUUGCUACAAGUAAAUUUGUGUUUUAAGAACAACUUGAUCGUCUUCUCUUUUAGCGUUCGCAUUCAAUCAUCGUUUCUUGUUUUUCGAGUUUGGUGUGUGCAUCAUGUUCAAUGUGCUUCAAUGGUUUUUAAGUUUGAUCUGGACGGAGAUUGAUACGAAACGCUUGAAUGUUUUUGAAGCUCGAUUUGAACUGAGAUUGAUAAGAGACAUCAUAAGAGCAUCUCAAGAGGGGAGGCCAAGUACAAUAUAACUAUCCGAGGUUGUCGCCUCGAACUAGGCAACUAUACCUCACACAUUAUCCAAGGUCUCUCUCAUCCUCAUUCUUUAUGGCGUCAAUAAUUAUCCAAGGUCUCUCUCAUCCUCAUUCUUUAUGGUGUCAAUAAUAUUAUGGUCUGAUAAUAUUUUUCUUCGUUUGUAAGUGAAAUAUUACAUGUUUGACUCACAUGAAUGAUGAGUUUGAUAUUUAAUCCUCUUUCUUAGUAGAAUAUCGUUGUAUAAGAAAAAACUUCAUCGUUUAUAAACUUAGGUAGUUGUGCCCGACCAUAUUUCCAUGGGGCAACUUUUACGGAGAGUCCUAUUGUUGUUGAUCUUACUUGAUCUCAUUAGGUACGAAUAUUUCGUUAAUAAAGUAGUCCUACCAGACAUCUUCUCAAAUCAAAGAUGCGUUUGGGGAUGGUAUGUAUGAAUAAUUAGCAUGAAAACCGACUAAAAGUUUGAAAACUAAGAAUUAAAAACGAAAUUUUUAUGGAAUUUUUUUUGAAAUGUCAUAUGAACUUGUACGCCUUUUUCAAUUUAUCAUAUAAAUUAAAAUUUUAAGCAAUAUUUCAUAUCAACUUUCUGAAAUCAUCAAUUUGUCAUCUCAUCCUAACUCCGUUAAGUUUUCCAUCCAAAAUUCAAAUGACUUGUGUUCAAGGUUAUUUCUAUCAUUUAAGAUCUUUUCACAAGUUCUUUACUUUUCUUUAGCAAAACUCUUAAAUUUUGUGUUCCGACUUCCGAGGGUAUUCAUCUGGAUCAUUGUGUUUCAAGUAGCGUAUAUGCAUCUACAACUUCAUUUCUGGCACCAAACCUCAACUCGUUUCUCAUAUUACAAGGUCCAUAUAAAAUUUGAUUUCAUGACAUGCUAAACUGAACACUCUAGAAUUGUUUUGAUCUAAUGCAACUUAAUAGAAGAAAGUGGGGUGUUAAAAUGACAUAGAUAACCCUAAACACAAGUCAUGUGCCUCACACAUGACUUAUUUUGGAUGGAAAACUUAACGAAGUUAAGGUGAGAUGAAACUGAACACCCCUAAACACAAGUCAUGUGCCUCUCACACAUGACUUAUUUUGGAUGGAAAACUCAACGAAAUUAAGGUGAGAUGAUAAAUUGAUGAUUUCGGAAAAUUGGUAUGACAAAUUACUUAAAAUUUAUAAAGGAGAAAAAAAGAAAAAAGAAAUAAAGAAAAAAUAAAUAAAGAAAAAAUAAAUGCAGGCUGUGGGGUUCGAACCCACGCGUACUUAUGUACAGCAGAUCUUAAGUCUGCCCCCUUAACCUCUCGGGCAAACCUGCUUCACGUUUGUAGUUUACUAAAGCCUUCUAUUUAUCCAACUUCACAUUGAAUACAAUUAUGCAAGAUACAAGAAUAGCACUGCUGCCGCUGCGCGUUUCGUAAAACUUAAAACCCUAAAACAAAGAUCCAAGGCAGAAUUCGACAUCUUCCCAAUUCGGAGGUCUCACAGCCAUGGCGGAGCACUUGGCAUCCAUCUUCGGCACAGAGAAGGACCGCGUCAACUGCCCCUUCUACUUCAAGAUCGGAGCUUGCCGGCACGGAGACCGCUGCUCCCGCCUCCACACCAAGCCCAGCAUCAGCCCCACCCUCCUCCUCUCCAACAUGUACCAGCGCCCCGAUAUGCUCACCAACCCCGGCGUCGACCCCCAGGGCCAAGCCCUCGACCCCCGCAAGAUCCAGGACAACUUCGAGGUCCGUCUGUUUCUCUCCCCCCCCCCCCCCCCCUUUCUCUUUCUCUUGAAUUGGGAUUUUUUUUUUGGGUGCAGGAUUUUUAUGUCUCGAAUUGGGAUUUUGUUUUUGGGUGCAGGAUUUUUAUGAGGAUCUGUUCGAGGAGCUGAGCAAGUACGGACAGAUCGAGAGCUUGAAUAUCUGUGACAAUUUGGCUGACCACAUGGUAUAAUUUUCAAUUUCUAGGGUUUUUUUGGUGUGUAAUUUUUUAGUUUUCUAGUUUUGUUUGACUAAUUGAUUGUGUGUUUGCGUGUGUAGGUUGGUAAUGUGUACGUUCAGUUCAGGGAGGAAGAACAUGCUCAAGCUGCGCUUCAGAAUCUCACUGGCAGGUUCUAUGCAGGUUAGUUCCCCAUCUUUUUCUUAUCUUGGUAUGUUACGAACAUGAUGGUCGAUAUUCGUGAUGCUAUGGUGGUUUUAUCUGCCGCUGUAAUAUGAUUUGCCGAAGUCCUUUUGAUUGAUUCGUGAUCGGUAGAUGUAUUGUGCUACAUGACAGUUCAGUGUUUAUUGCUCAUUUUUGCUGAACUUCCAACUUAGAGCCGAGCUAUUAAUGAGGAUUGGGUUUAUUUUGAAUUUUCGAUUGAUUGAAUUUUUAAACAUGCUGUCUAUCAGGGCUGGCCUUGAGACUGUUGGAUUUAGGAUGAAAGCAAAUCGUGCAUUCACACAAUCGCACAUAAGAAACUUCUUUGUAUAUUGUUAGAAGACCAUAUGUAUGUAAUAGAUUUUCAAUCAUGUGAGUGAGUUGCUCAAAUUUUAAUAUGUGAUGGUGUUGCAUAAUUAUUUCCUGGCUUGGCAUUAUCAUAAACUAUGACAGUUCCAUGGAUAAGAUUAAAUAAUAAAUCUGGUUUCAGGUCUUUAGGUAUUGAGAUUCAAAGUUUCAGACCAUGUCCAAUUUAGCCCAAGUGGGUUGGAACGGCCGAAUUAGGUUUUCUGAACUACAAGCAUUGUACUUUGGUCCAUCUUUUAAUCAUCUUAGAUUAUGAUUUGAUGAACUACAUUUGUUCAGGUAACUCAUAGUUUUUCAAGGAUGUGUAUAUUGGAUGUACUCUUGUUUUUCCUUUAAUUGGACAAAUCUUGAAUCGAUGCUUAUCUAUUAUAGAGAUGGAUUGGUUCUUAUAUGUUUACAUGUGUCUAGUUCUACUCGUUCAAACAUACUUUAUUCAUAUCUAUAUCUAGGCCGAAAGGGGAAGUUUCAUUCCAUUGACCAUAAAGUUUACCUAUGAGUAGAUUACAAAAUUUACUUUAAAGAAGAACUAAAGGAUAAAAAUGUCGUUGUUACAUAAUGGUUUGUAGAUGAUUCAUACAUCGACUAUAAAACUUGAUCUGUAGAAAUGACUGCAUGGUUGUCUUAUAGUUGUUCGACCAUUAAAUUAGAGCACACGUAUUUAAUUCUGCAGUAACUUGUAAAACUGUUAAUCAUUACAACCAUUUGCAAGUUAAGGUAAUGAAGCUUUAUCCUUCAGAAUUGAAUAUAUUGGUAGGAUUCCAUUCAAUUUGAGUUAUUUUGAAUUGUAUAUGUUUGAAUCUGGAGAGUUUUAAAUUUUCUUGUCAGCCGGUGGUGGUGGCACUCUUAUUGUUCUCUGAUCUUUUUCAUUGUUUUUCUUUCAUUACAAUGAUAGUACUAUUAGUAUUAGUAGAAUUACUGCUAUCAUGCAGUUACUAAUGUUUUGGUAAUAUGAUGAAUGCUAAACAUUCUAGGGCGUCCCAUCAUUGUCGACUUUUCCCCCGUGACGGAUUUUCGUGAAGCUACCUGUAGGCAGUACGAAGAAAAUGUAUGCAAUCGAGGUGGCUACUGCAACUUCAUGCACUUGAAGAAAAUUAGCAGGUGAGAUGGUACUUUUCUCUUAUUUUGCAAACAGCAUGAUUUUCAUAAUGACUUGUUUGUUUAUGCACGUACUUCUAUAAAUUGUUAGGGAGUUGAGGAGGCGGUUAUUUGGGAGAAACAAGCGAAGGCAUAGUCGCAGUCGAAGCAGAAGCCGCAGUCCUCAAAGGCAUCAUCGUGGUGGUUAUCAGGAGCGCCCACAUGGAGGUCGUGGUUUUGGUAGAAGAGGAGAAGAUGACAGAGAUCAUCGUUUCAAUGAUAAGAGCAGGAGGCCUAGAAGCCGCAGUCCUGGGCGUAGAGGAAGAAGUAGAAGCCCUGUGGGUGCUGGGGGAAGGAGGAGGAGUCCUCCAGCCAGGGAAAGUAGUGCCGAAAGAAGGGCUAAGAUCGAACAAUGGAACAAGGAGCGGGAACAGGUGGACUCUGGAAAUAAGUAUGAUGACAAUAAUAACAGCAACAAUCAGGAUGAUCAAUGGAAUGGUUCUGCAGAGAACAAUGAUCAGUACUACGACGACCCUCAUCAGCAGCAGCAGUAGCACGCUAGAUACAAAAUUAAUCUUCCUGCUUCCAAGAUCAAGCCUCAGUUAUUUCAAGCAGCUUACCGUGCUACUUGUAUACAAGAUGGCUGUUGUCCAAGAACUAUGUCCAUUAUCUAAUGUGAUGGGUUUUGGAGGCGGUAAGGUAAUUUUGUGAUCUUGGUGCAGGAGUCUGCUGCCUACAAUGGUGAGUUUUUAUUAUAGGAAACAUCGUAGUGUACGUGAAGUAAGAGACAUGAAUGUUUUUACUGGAAUUACAAGAUAUUUUCUGAGAUGUCUUGAUUAAGUUUUUCAAACCUCUGCUGUUAGAAUUGUUAGCGUGAUCAUUUGUUGCUGCUUUUCCUAAUUCGGGUGACUGACGGUGAUUAUAUUAUUAUUCCUGCUACUUCCUUUAUUCGAGUUUCUGUAGGAUAUGGCUCCCUAGUAGUUUAUUCCCUGCAUAUGUGUCUGUAGGCCUUUAGUGCAAUUGUAAUUCUUGCUUCGGAAGAAAUCAAAUAGCAGUGUAUUGGUUUUAUCGAAAAAUCGCAUUCUCAUCAAGUCUCAAAAGUAAUUAACAACUGGUUCUGUUUUAACCAGCUUGGAUGAGAAUUGACUGCAGUUGAUAUGGGAGGCAUUUUCUAUGUAAAAUUGUUCUGAAUUCUAUGGUUUUCGAAUUUGAGACGUUAUGAGUAACCGUUGCAUUAUUUUACAUAGGUGUUCGUUGCUUUCGUUUCUUACCGAGAUUUGGUCAUUCUCGUGUUUAGAAUUUCUGAAAACGGAGUUCAGUUAAUUGAAAGUUAGGAACAGAUGAAAAUUUCACAAUUUACCUCUCAUUGUUGCACACACCACAAGCUAAAGCUUUCUAAGUUCUGGUCACCGAAUUGAAGAUGUUGCCAACCUCACAACUUAGUUACACCGAUGAAGCCUACAUCGUACGUGUGACGGAAGAAGAUGGAUCAAAAUGUCUCCGGCCAAACGAUCAGCAAAUUCUGGGUGAUCAUUUACAGGUCUCUGUUACUUGGAAUGUCAAGAGAACUUGCUAUUCGGAAUUUGAAUGGCCAAUCAAAAAUUCAUGCAUUUGAUGGUAUAUACUAUAUGCUAAUACCAUCAUUAGAAUCGGAAUACUCGCAGCAGAAACACGUAGACGCCAUGACAUUUGAACACAUGAUAUACGAGAAAAUACCCGUUCUCGUUCCUUGGUUGCCGGGCGCUGGUUGGAGUGUUCUUCUGAAUCCGCCGGAGCCACAGACGGCUGCGCUGGUUAGAGUGUUCUUCUGUCUGCGGAUUCGGAAGAACCAUUGGCAAACGUUUUCGACAUGAUUCAGAAAAUAUGCAACAUGACGCAAGAAGUUGGACGUUCUUGUCACAUUCGACAAGCAAAUUACACUCUUUACCUCAACAAUAUGAAGCAGUGGAGCGGAGAACACUAGAGCCUAGGUGUGGUCUUUUUAAGUACUUUUCUCAAUGAACUGCAAUUUCGUUUUCGGCAAUUCUACACACGAGAUGACCAAAUCUUGGUAAGAAACGAAAGCAACGAACAGCGACGUAAAAUAACGAAUCAUAACGUCUUAAAUUCGAAAACCACAGAACUCAGAUUAAUCAACUGCAAUAAAUUCUCAUCCAUGCUGGUUAAAACAGAACCAGUUAGUAACCAAUAAUCUCCGUUUAUCUUGCUAAACCGAACUUCUUUCUUCUGGUCAAAAUCCCAAAACAUCACCAUGUAGAGGGUGGAGAAUAAUCUGCCUCUCACUUUGCAGCACUGUGCUUUGCCUUUGUAUGGCUUUGCAAUGCACCAUCCGAGUUAAACGACCUGCGUGAAGAACAGUGCAAGAAAUUACAAUUCCGUUUACGAAGAAACAGACAGUAGCAAGAGUUGAAACUUGUUCAAAAAAUGAAAUAGAAUUACCUGUUGCAGGGUUGGCAAUGGAAUGCACCGCUUGAUUUAGGAGCCUGCUGCUUUGACUGGUCGGACGUAGCUGGUUUUUUCCCAGUCUGCUUUGAAGGGUGUGGAGUUGCUGUGUGGACGCUGCCCUUCCUGCUACCUGCACUGACAAGUAGCAGUCAAUUAAACAUCUCCGCUUAUAUAAUGGUCAGACAAUCAUCUCCAUUUCAAAACGCCGCUGUGUGACAGGGAACAUGUAACAUAUUCAAUUGAAAUGAGACUACAGACAGCACCCACCACAAAAUCCAGGUUUACAAGUUAAAAUUUGGCAAAGUACAUGUUUAAAUUUAUUAAAACUUUGUAAUACGCGUCUUCCACAGCACACACGAAAAUGUUUAAAAUGGUAACAGAAUGAGAAAAAGCAUUGGAAGACAGAGAACUUUACCAAUCUUUUCAGGAGUAACAAACUUUGGCUUCUUGUCAUUAGCAGGUGUUUUAGAAGAUUCAGCAGGUCGCUUCUUGCCAACAUCAGCCUUGACAACAAAAAAGACGAAUACAUUUACUUAUCAACGAUAAUUUGAUAACGAAAACAACACAGAAGGGAUAUAAGCACUCUUGGACAUCAAAAAGUAAAGGCCUUUAUAAUAGGAGCGUUAUUACCUUCUUCGGAGUUUCUUCAUCCUCUUCACUGUCAUCGUCACUGUCAGAAUCAUCAUCACUUUCGUCAAAAUCUUUACUGCUAUCUCCCUCAGCCAAGGCCUAUAAAACAACUCAGCAAGAAGAUAUAUUCAGUACACAUUGUCUCUGGAUAAUGCCAUGCAAAAUUACAUCAACAAAGUUAAAACAAUAAUUUGUAAUAAGCCAGAAAAAAAGUUUUAAAAAUUCAGUAAUCAGUUUCAAAUGCAAGAAGUCGAUCACUCCAGAGUGUUGUAGACAUAAUAUAAUGGCACGAAUGUCAAUUCAAUUUUUUAAAUGCCAAACUUCUAGUAGUCACAUCUGGGAAAUUUCUGUACACAAGUACGCAUGCUCCAGAGCCAAUAAUUGUUUCCGAUACCCAGAAUCUAUAUUUCUAGAAUUAACACCUAAAUAAAGCUUUUUCUGUUCAUAUUUAUUAUGGAUUAAUACCGCAACUAAAUAUACCUAAAGAACAGAGAUUAUCGGAACCUUUCUAAACAAUUACAUAGAAAUUGCACGUACAAUACGUCCCAGAACACAAGUCCAAUAUCGUAUAUAACUUGGGCAAUGAACAUGUUUGUUUCAGAUGUACUUUUCUCAGUUAAUCACGGUAGGUAAAUUACUGUUAGACAUUCACAUCUGGUAAAAUAUUUCAGUUAUCGAAAGGAAAUUCAAACAGAAUUGAAAGAUGUGAAUACCUGAUGACCAACAAACUCAUCAUCAUCAUCGCUACUAGCUUCCUUUUGCUCAGAUUUAAUAGGCUUCUUAGCUACCUCAGUAACAUUAACCUUUGCUUUUCCUGCAAGCCAACUCGUUCCAAAUCACAAUAUAAAGUUAUUAAAAAGAAGAAGAAAAAGCCUCAAAUCCCAGUAAUAAAAAAUGAAUCAGUAUUAUCUUUACCCUUAUCAACCAGAGUAGGUGCCCUAAUAGGUGGUGCAUCAUCCUUUUCAGAAUCUAGAAGAAAAAACAGAUCAACAGCUUAAGAAUCAAAUGCGCUUGGAAGUUAGAACUAUGAUAAAACCAAAUAUCAGAAUGGUGACUCACCAGACUCCACAAUAGUGAAGACAAAACAUAGCAGUCAAGGAUUUAACAAAAAAUUCAAUGUUCAAGAAAGUAAUCUGAGAACAAGUAACAUGUAAGACACACCAUUUAACGUGAAACGUCAUUAAAAAAAAGGAUAUCACAUAGACUUAUAUCCAGUGAAGUGGACGCUCCCAUUUUUCCAGUUAUGGGAUAGCUCAAAUUUCUCAUCAAAUACAAUAUCAAACAUUAACUGAGGGGAUUUCUCAGCAGAAAGAAACCCAAGAACAAGCUUCAGAUCACCAACUUUUGCAAAGAGUGAAAUAGGAUCGCCUCCCUUCGCUUUCUUAAGGUCAUCCAGACAAGCCUGCAUUAUAAAAAUAAAUUUUACACAAACUUGCGCAACAUAUUAAAGGCAAAAGAAACAGAAAAAUGAAAAAUUAACAGUCACAAAAUUUUACAGCUAGCUGACUACCUGCGAAAGAUGCAGAAGCUUUUCACCAGGAUCAACAACAAGAGACUGACCACUUUUUACCUCAGCACCUGGACAUUGAGUCACUUAAGUAGUCAUUAAUAACUGCAAAUUUGAAAGUAAAGAGAAAAAAGGACAUUGAGGGAAAAAAGUAAGAGAUGCCUAUUUUGCAAUAAAAAUUAAACAAGGGAGGGAAAAAACGCAAACGAGAUUCCUGAAUCACAUCAACCCGAUGCAAAAACAAUUAUGGAAUAGAUAUCACAUUCUAUUCAAUAACUUGAAACAGAUAACAAAUCAUCCUUAACAUAUAUCACAUACAACUGUAUUCACCACAAGCACAUUGCAUUGGUUCAAAACGAAAUACAAUGAUUAUAAUUUUGUUACCAUGGCACCUUCAACAUGUACAAAGAAUUAACACGUGCAUUGCUGUAACUAAGAAGUAAGAAGCCACAUGAAGAAAAAUAACCUGGAAUCUUAAACGUUAACCAUCUCAACAAAAGAAAAUUAAAACUUAUGCUAGAGCAGAAAUGCCACGCAUGCCAAAAAUCCAAGUUAAACAUGUCAGCAACUGAAAAAACAUUUACAAACUCAGACUAAUUAUAUUUUCCAUUUAUUUUCUCGGCAAACAAACAGAGUGACUUAAGUUGUAAAUAAGCAACAAAAAGCCACAAAAAUACUUUCAAAACAUUUUAGAAAGAAACAGAAGCUAAAAAACCUAAGUCAAGCGCUGCGAAAAUUAACCACACCAGUCCUGCCAUUUUCCCUAGUUUUCUCAGCAACCAAACAGCAAAAGAAGGUACUUUCCAUUUAUUUUCUCAGCAACAAACAGAGUGGAUUAAGUUCUAAACGAAGAACAUGGAGCCAGAAUAAUUUUAAAAACAAAAAAGGGCUUAAAAACCUAAACUCAAGCGCUACAAACUUCCGAUCCACAGCAUAAAAUUUUAACCAGACUAGUACCGUCAUUUUCCAGAUUUUUCUCGGCGACCAAACAACAAAAACGUUACAAAUAAAAACGCAAAAAAUUCGUAAUGAGAAAAUAAAACCCUAACAAAUCAAACGAUCAGGGAGCGAGAGAAGUUUUCAAAAUUACAUAGAGAGACAGAGAGGAAUACCCCAAAACUCCAUUGCUUGCUAGUGCUAGGUCUUCUAGAAGGCUUUGCGGAAUUUUCAAUUUCUAAUUUUCGGUUUCUUUUUCGGUGACAAUUUUAAUCUUGAGGAAUGAGGCGGAUCAUUUUAUAUGGAGGCUCCAUCGGGUUCUUCCCUAGAGAGAUUUUAAUGUGCCCGCGUUAUUUGUACGGAUUUUUUUUUUAAAGUUUCCUUUUCCACAAUGACAUAUAGCGUAAGUUUACGUGCUCGUGUUACAAACACAUUGAAAUAAUUCUCGUUUUUACAGUGAGAUGAAGAGUGACAACGUUACACAUGUCAAAAGGUUAAGCCUCACUGGUUGAGAGAAUUUUCAAUGAGCCAAUGUCAAGCCCGAUUGUUUCGAAGAUUUUUUGAGCAUGUCUAGUUCGAUACAUCAAGUAUAAUAAUAUAAUUAAUUAAAAAUUAAAAAAAAAUUUCAUCGAAUUAUAUUAUAACAUUUGAUAUACCAAACAGUGUUUUCAACGGACAUAAAAUUUUUACCGACUGGUUCGGCAACCCAGAGGCUGAUGAGUGACCCAAUCGGGCUUAGAGGCCAAUAAAGUGCAAAUUUUUAAUUUCAUAAAAUACCCUUCUGAUCAAAUUUCAUAAAUACCUUUAUUUUCGAAAAUUAUUAUUGACACUCUAAAAAUCUCAUUUUGCACUCCAAACUUUCUAUAAUUAAAAAAAGAAACACUUCUCUCUGCAAAGAGCCUUGAUGAUUUGCAGGUGCAAGCGUUGUUUAGAAGCUGUGAAGGUUUGAGGAUGGACCAUCUGGCAAGCAUUGGCUCGGCACAGUGAGGCCUUAUAGACGAUUCACACCUUCGUUUCUCAAACUUGUCUUAUCUUACAAGUCUUCGUUUGGGGUAUGUUUCUUUGCGGCAAGAAGACCGUGAGGAGUGUAGAAUGAGAUUUUUGAAGUGCUAAUGACAAUUCCUUUAUUUCCUGAACAAACAAACUUAAAUACAAGGCUUUUGGAAGAAAAUAGUUAAAAAAUAAUACAACGAAAAUUCCAAAUUAUACAACACAUUUCCUCCAAUCGACGAGCUAAAAAAAUAGAAUUACAAAGAAUGUAAAUCCUUUGAACAAACUAAGGUCAAUUUGUAGAUUGAAUUUCUAAAUCUUCCUAACUUCUUCUGGGAUUCAUUCAACACAUUUCACAUAAAGAAUGGACGAGCAGCAGGAUCACAAUGAACUUCUAUAACGAAUCGCAAACUUCAGAUAAAUUACGCCAGUCGCCAGCUACCGAUUCUUUCUAUUUCUCUGUUUUCUUCGUUGAUUCCUUCACGUACUCCUCCUUCUCGUUCAACCACAGGUCUGCAAACUCGCAAUGCUUCCAAGCUUCAAACCACGGUCCUCCACGAGUGUAGUGUACAGCCUUGGGUUGUGUUUGGGGAUCAUUUUCAACGACCUUGUUAUGUCCCUCGAGGAAAUUCCACACAAAUGGGAUCGACCCUAUUUCAUUAUCCUCGAGCCACUGAAACCUGUGAAGAAAAGCACCCGUUUCCUUAUUCACAACCUCGGGUGUCAACACCUUGUUCUUGGGAUGCCCACAGUUAUACAAUACCAUGGAGGACCAGUUCUUCCUCGGAUACACAGUUUGAACGGCUCCAUCCAUUUUUGUUGUCUCUUUUGGAGUAUAAUCAUGUUGAACACACAUUAUAGCGUACUUAUUGUCAAUCAAGUCUCGCAGCUCCUUAAUGUCAGCAAGGUAAAGAAAAUCGCAAUCCACAAACAUUGCCCAACCUUCAUAAUUCGCCAAACGUGGAGUCAAGAACCGAGAAAAUGAAAACUCAGUGCUUUCAAAUUGCCCUCGUUCACGCCAGUAGAGGCCAUCCUUUCGCAGAUCUGAUUGUUUGAUUGGUGUGAUCUCAACAGGGAUUGAAGACCGCUUCAAAAUUGAGUGGCGACAGACCUCAUAUGCGAGAUCUUCACGUGGAUCAUAACCCACAAAGAUCUUAAAGGGAUUUUCCUUAAUGUUGCCAUUAGAACUCACUGGAUGAAUCUUCCCAUCACUCGAACUCAUCUUAGCUGAUAAGAUGGUACCUCACUGUUCAGAAUCAAAACAACACGCAGAAGAUUAUUCAGACAAUGAGUUUCAAAUAAGUAAUGAAAAUCGUCGACGGAUAUAGAAAUUUUCAUGACAUGGAAUAAACCAUGGAUUAUAUGACAAUUUCUCUAAAAUCCAAGCAGGGAAAUGGCCGAUCAUACAAAUACCGAGUUUAACUAGUCGAUUAAUUGCUGAGCAAGGAAAAGAUUAUUCCAAUUGAGAUAAGCUGCCACCAAGGUAUACAAUUCACAGAUCUGAAUCGAAAUUCAAAGACCAUAACAAAGGGAUUGUUCUUAUUUACUAGUUCGAGAUCUAAAACAUCACAAACAACAACACUAGUGUCAUGUGUUACCAAGACCCCUGUUUGGUUACCAAGAAAAUGAAGGAAAAUUGUGGAUCUUAACACUUUCUGCUGCAAUGGGUCAAUUAUUCAUUUUCCAAAAAUAUGGAAUUCUAGUUUCUGAGUCUCAAUUUGGCAAAGAUUAAGGAUCCGAGCAUUUAAUUCCUCAAUUUUCCAUCAUUUUCAAUUAAAUUAAACCAAAAACAAAAAACAAAAUUCUGGGUUCUGCGUAAUAAACCAAAAUCAAAUGCAUACAUCAAAUGCAACUUAAUCACCGUAUAUCCAAGAUCAAAGAUAUUCAUACAAGAAAUCCAGAAAACCCCAUAUUUUUGAGUUUUAGAGAAAUGCAGAAACACAGAAGCUAAAUCGUAAACGUCAUAAACCCAGAAAUACACACAAAAUUGCGGAAGCAGUACCUGGAGGUGGAAAUGGCGCAGAUCUUGCUGCAACUGCGGUGGCGGUGGCGCUUGUAUAUUCUUUUCUUUUUCUUUUCUUCAACUUUCCGGGAAAAUUUAUAUGAGAGGACUGAGAUCAGAUAUUUUCAAUUCAAUGGCACAGAAAGAGAGAGAGAAUUGAGCGGCAGCGGAGUGAGUGGCUGGGCUUUGAUUUGUGCAAAUAUAUAGGGAGGGAGAUUUACUAUCAUAUGAGACAGAGAUCAUGAGAUUCACGUUAAAUUGACCAUAUAUAUGGCCUCGACCUCGAAAAUAAUUUACAUGAAACGAGCACGAUAUUAUUGUAUCGUUGUUAAACCGACACCGAAAAAUUAUCUAAUUAUACCAAUAAAUAUGUAAAUAUGUAUUAUUCUAUUAUAAUACUACCAUAAAGAUGCAUGUAAAUCGCUCUCCUUGCUGUGGUGGCGCUUUUUUAUUGUUCGGUGCGUGGGGUUACCGCGUAUAAAUUGUCAAUGCCCAUUGCAUAUAUAUAUAUAUAUAUAUAUAUAUAUAUAUAUAUAUAUUUUUUUUUUUUUUUUUUUUGUCAAAGAGCUUCAUUGAAAAAGGAGACAAGGCUCCAAAACAAAACCAACAGACCAAGACAGCACACAGUUGAGGCCAGCACAAUUAUACUAUGUCGGUGCGCCCACAAAUCUUACUGACCUAGUUACAACGUGUGCAUUUAAAUAUAGGUAUAUUUUUGCUCAUCAUCAUUUAGUACGAUGUAUGCUCACCAUUUUAUUUAUUAUCGUUAAAUGAGUUUAAAUUUCGAGAUUCGUGUAAUGGAUAAACACAAAUCUUAAAAAUCAAACUCAUCUAACGGUAAUUUUCUAUUCAUCAUACACUCUUCAUAUAUGUGUUUUUCUUUCCAAAUAUAGAAAGUUUUACAUGUAGAAUAAAAUUUUAGAAUGUCAAUCAUAAUUUUCUAUAUAUAUUUAUAUAUAUAAUUUUGUAGUUUGGGUAAAAUAUCUAAAUAUGAAAUUAAAUAUAUAUUUUUGGAACUUGCCGUGCAGUGUUUUGGGGGGGCCCAAAAUAUAUAAUUUUAAAUAUGUGUGUGUAUAUAUAAUAUAUAUAAAUAUAUUUUAGAAUUUGAAUUUAAUAAAAUAUUUAAAUAUAAAAUCAUAUAGUUGUCUUGAAAGUUGAAACUUGGCAUACAAAAUGUCUUGGGUGGGGUGAAAUAGAAACUUCAGCAACAAUUCACCUUUUUUUUUGGAAAUUUAACGCACAGAGCAAGUCUGCGAUGGACCCAUUUGCAAUGCUUAUGAGAUCUUGAAGGUGCUUCGGUGGCGUCCAGAGACUAAUAAAAGUGAUGGUAAGUUGGGUUUUUUUCAUUGGAUUUUGUAGCUUCCAAUUGGGUGUUUGUUGUAAUUAACUAGGUGUUCUAAUAACUGGCAAUUUUUUUUACAGUGGAAGUGAUUUUGGAGGUGAAAAAUGAGUUGAUGAAGAGUAACCAAGAGAGUGAAGUUUAGGAAGAGUGGUCUGGAGAUCCAUGUGUUCCAGUUCCAUGGGAUGGUAUUACUUGUGAAUCUGUUGUUGGUUAUGUUGUCAUUACUGUAUUGUAAGUUAUUUUUUUCCAUUUUCUUAUAAGUUCUGCAAAUGGCUUUCAUGGAAUCAUGAGAAUAUGGCAUUUUUAUUGAAUUAUACUAGUUUUCAGUGUUGUGGGAUGCUUUGGGAGUGAAGUUUUAUCGGGUUUUUUCGACAAAAACGUAUUGUUAAAGACCAUAAAUCCAGAAUUGUGAUAAAUGCCUUAAAACCAUAAUAAGUUUAACAUAGAAUAUUUGAUAAUAAUUUUUAGGUUCUUGUUAAAUUACUAAAAAAGGUUUGAUUGCAAAGUAGGUAAAAGAAGACAGUUAUCAGCUUUCAGCGGAAAUUGAUAAUUCAUUAGAUUAAUUGCUUUUGCUUUCUUAGAGUUAUUUCAUAUAUAACUUUGCUCAUGAUUUCGAAUUUCAGGUAUUCUGAACAGUCAUAGUUCUGCAUGACUCAUUUUUUAUUUUGAAUCGGUUCUUCUUUCCCACUCCACUUACAGAGGUCAGGACUCAGGUACCCGAUCAAUGCUUCUCUUCUCUUAUGCUUCUUUUUCUAUAUUUAAUUUGUGAGUGUUGUGGGAUUUUCGAUUCUAGGGUUUAUGAUUUGUUUAUUUUAAUGUGUAUUGUUUAUGCGAAAUCAGAGUAUUCACUUGUCUAGUGUCUAUAUUGCAGUUAUAAAAUUCGAACUUGUGGAUGCACUUAAUAAAGUGGUUAAAUCCCUUCAAGAAGAUACAUGGAUUAUGGGUACACUUAACAAGGUUGGUUACUUUUGCUUCCUAACUAGUUUUGGUUCAAGAUAAUUCAAAGUUUUGAUGUUGAAUUUUACCAUAUUUUUUAUGCGCCUUGUUUUGUGUUGUGUCAUUUGUAUCAAACUGUUGUGUUGGGUAGUGGGUAAAAUUUGAAUUUUAGUUUUCUUCUUUAUCAAUUUGUUGUUUAUAGAAUAUUGAGUUGAUUGUUGAUUGUUGAUUGUGGGGUUGUGAUUUCUUGAUUGAAAAAGAGUUGGUUAUCAUGCCUCCUAUUAGAAAUAGUAAGCCCACUAACAGAAACAGAAAGUAUCUCUCUGGGUCUCAAAAAAGAAGAAAUAAGGAAAAGGAAGAAACAUUAAUAAAGUCUUAGGUUGGAUCUCUUAGUAAGUUUUUCAAGAAACAAGAUGAUAUUUCAGUGAAUGAGGAACAAGGGAAUCAUGACAGUAAUGGGGAGAAAGAUGAAUUCACGACUGAGAUUGAUAACGAAGAGCAAGAUGAGCAAUAUGAGCCUCUAUCUGACGAUGGUAUUAAAGAGCAAGAAGAUGAAAUUCUGAUUGAGACUGACAUUGAAGAACAUGAUUAAACUAAUGAGAACGGUAAGGAUAAUGAAAUUGUCUUUCCUUUGAAUACUGAUGAUCCAGGGAAUUGGGAUAAGAUUGAUCAAAAUCUUAGGGACAUGUUAGUGGAAAGAGGUUCUAAAAGAGUUGAUGAUGUUGCAUUUCUGAAAGAUAAUUCAGGUAGGCAUUUUUCUUCUGUACAUUACAUUAGAAAAUUGCCUAAUGGGGAGAUGCAAGAUAGGAAGUGGCUAGUAUACUCAUGUUCUUUGGAUAUAGUAUUUUGUUUUUGUUGCAAGUUAUUCAAGCAAAUUGGAAUCAAGACUUACCUGGAUAAUGAGGGUUUGAAAGAUUGGAAGAAUAUUGGUCAGAGGCUUACAACUCAUGAAACUAGCAAUGAACACAUUCACUUCAUGAGUGAAAGGAUUAAAUUGGAAAGAAGAUUUCAAAAAUGUAAAACAAUUGAUGAAAGUGUGCAACAACAAAUGAGCAAAGAGAAAGAACAUUGGAGACAAGUGUUAUGGAGGAAAAUUGUUGUUGUGAAAAGACUUGCAAAAGUUACUUUGGCAUUUCGUGGAGACAAUGAGAAGCCGUAUGAAGAGAAUAAUGGAAAUUUUUUAAAUGUGAUUGAAAUGAUUACUGAAUUUGAUCCUACAAUGCAAGAGCACAUUCGGCAUAUUGAUACACAUGAGACUCAUUACCAUUAUCUUGGUCACAAGAUUCAAAAUGAAUUGAUACAACUGUUGGCAAGUGAGGUCAAAAGUGAAAUCAUAGCAAGAAUCCGAGAAGCAAAGUAUUUUUCAACGAUACUUGGUUGCACUCCGCUUACCAGUCACAAAGAUCAAAUGUCUUUUAUAAUAAGGUGUGUGGAUGUUACAAAAACUCCAAUAAAGGUUGAAGAAUUCUUUUUAGAAUUUCUGAAUGUACAUAACUCAACAGGGUGUGCACUGUUUGAUGUGCUUUUAGGUGCAUUGAGCACUCUUAAACUUGAUGUUGAUGACACAAAGGGACAAGGUUAUGACAACGGUUCAAAUAUGAAAGGCAAAAAUAAAGGCGUGCAAAGCAGAGUACUUGAAAUAAAUCCUAGAGCAUUCUACACUCCAUGUGGCUAUCAUAGCCUUAAUCUUGCACUUUGUGAUAUGGUCAACUGUUGUCCUAAAGCUAUGUCUUUUUUUGGAGUGGUACAACGUAUAUAUACAUUGUUCUCAUCCUCAACAAAGCGAUGGAAAGUUUUUACAUAUCAUGUGCAAGGAAGUCACACCCUCAAACCGUUGUCACAAACUCGUUGGGAAAGUCAUAUUUAAAGUGUUAAACCCAUAAGAGAAAGCGCUUAACAGAUAAGAGAUGCUUUGAUUCACUUGGCAAAUUCUAGUGAAGAUCCUAAGUCAAAGAGUGAAGCCGAAUCCCUAGCAAUCCAUGAGCUGGAGAAUUUUAAGUUCUUGUUAGGUAUGGUUAUUUGCCAUGAAUUGUUGUUUGCUAUUAAUACUGUUACCAAAACUCAUAAAAAAGAAGACAUGCGUAUUGAUGUUGCUAUUGAUCAAUUGAAAGGGCUUAUAUAUAUUCUUGAUCAGUAUAGAGAAUCUGGAUUUGAAGAGGCAAUGAAUGAAGCUAAGAAAAUAGCAAGUGAGAUGGAGAUUGAGCCUAUUUUUCUUGAGAAACGCAUUGUUGAUGCACAAAACCGGAUGGUCUUGGAACAACGUAAAUCCGAUUGUGGAUCUGCAAUGAAAUGUAAAUAACACAAGAUGUAUCGUGGUUCACCCCAAGGUUUGGGCUACGUCCACACUGAUUAUGUAUUUAUUUGAGGGAAUAGAGAGGGAGAGGGUGAAAGCUUCUGAGAGCUUCUGAGGAUGAGAGAGGGGAUCUCAGGCCUAGGAAUUGGCCUCCGAGAGUGAGAGUGAGGCCCCUCCUCAAUUGUGAGGGUGAGGGGUCCUUUUAUAGAAUAAGGACUCCUCACUUAUUACAUAUUUGCCCCUUCCUUUAUCCCAUAAUUACAUUUAAGUCCCCUGAGUAUUUGUACGAGAUCUAAAUACGAGGCCCUAAAUAUGGUAUAAACAGUAGUCCCCCAAGUCUUCAGUCAAGAGAGUCUUUUGGCUGGAGACUUGAAAUUCAGUCCAUGUGUGGGCCGAAGUAACUAGAUGUCGUCUAGAACUAAUGCUUGAUAUGAGGCGGUGCCCAAUCUGAAAUGAUGCUCAACUAGAAGUAGCACAUGUUGCGAGGCCGUUCUGCUUUGUAGCUUGUGUUGCCUUGGUUGGCUCGGCUUGUGGCGUUUGAAGGUGAGGGAGUCCCUUUUAUAGAAUAAGGGCUCUCUCCUCAAUACAUAAGUGAUGGGUUAGAGUUGAUGCUCGCAGUGAGACAGUUGCUCAGUAGGCGGCGAUGCUCUCUAAUGGUGGUGAGGGAGUCCCUUUUAUAGAAUAAGGGCUCGCUCCUCAAUACAUAAAUCAUGGGUGAUCUUUCAAUGAAAGUGAGGGAGUCCCUUUUAUAGAAUAAGGGUUCGCUCCUUAAUACAUAAAUAAUGGGCUAGAGUCCCCCAAGUAUUUUUCAUGAGGCCCAGUUGAGGCCCAAUAUAUGGUACAUAAUGUAGUCCCCCAAGUCUUCGGUCAAUAGAGUCUGUUGGCUGGAGACUUCAAAUUGAAUCCAUGUAUGGGCCGAAGUGGCGGUUGUUCGGAGGCGGUAUUUGUAUACCCUGCACUGAAGCUUUGUAGGUGAAGCUUUUGUAGGUGAAGCUUUGCAAGUGAAGCUUUGAAGCUAGAGCUCUGUAAAUGAAGUCUUUGAAAGCUAGAGCUUUUGUAAAUGAAGCUUUUGAAGCUAGAGCUCUUGUGAAUGAAGCUUUUGAAGCUAGAGCUCUUGUAAAUGAAGCUUUUGAAGCUAGAGCUCUUGUGAAUGAAGCUUUUGAAGCUAGAGCUCUUGUAAAUGAAGCUUUUGAAGCUAGAGCUCUGUAAAUGAAGCUUUCGAAACUGAUUGACAUGAGUGAUGCUCAUGAAUGUUUAUGUUGAUUGACAUGAGUGAUGCUCAUGGAUGUUGACAUGAGUGAUGCUCAUGAAUGUUUAUGUAUGAUUGGAUGAGUGAUGCUCAUGAAUGUUUAUUUAUGGUUGACAUGAGUAAUGCUCAUGAAUGUUUAUGUAUGAUAAAUAUGAUUAAUGCUCAUGUAUGAUUUGAAGUAUUGGGGGUACUUUUGGUGACCUGGCUGGUGCUAUUUUGGGCUUAUGGACCUUCGCCCUCUACACAACAUUACAGCCCAUUUACUUUGGGCUUUGCCAUUUUUUUUUUUUUUUUUUUUUUUUAAAUUUUUUUUUAACCCUCUGAUGGGGUUUAUACAAAUGUUUCCGAAAGAUAAGGAAAAUAAAUUACAUCAUUCUGAUGGGAUAUUGAUUCCUCAUUUUUGCAGUGUCUCCAUGUGCAUCCCUUUUGCUUUCCUCUUUUCUGCUUUCCGAAAUAUUCUCCCAACAACAUGAUCUUUUUCUUUUCUGUUCCUUUCUUUGAUCUCUCCACCUCCAGACACACUCACUUGCUUUUACUUUUACUUUCCCUUUUCUUUCUCUUUUCCUUUUGCUUUGUCCGUCACUGCCUUUCUCUUUCAGCCUGGUUUCUGCUGUUUGAACACAAGCUGGUGUACUCCAGCUGUAAAAAAUGUAAAUAACGUAAAGAACGUGGCCUCCCACUCCAUUUCUUUGUCUUCAGAACCCCACCUCAAUGACCAUUUGCUAUCGUGGUCAAAGCAUGUUCAGAUUCACGUGUUCUGUUACUGGGCACUUCAGGUUUAAACUUCAUGGGAAAACUCAAGUACUGGGCAAAUUUCAAGUUCCCAUUGAUAAUGAUUUCUUAUCUGAACAAGAUCCAUUGCAACUAAAACCCGAAAAGAUAUUGAUCUUUCCAUUUCUCUUUUUCUUCUUGCUUUGAGACGGGGUUCUCAGUGAAGUACUCGGAGUUCCUGCCUGCUCUUUGGUUGCUUGUGCUUCUGACCACCUCAUUCUCUUUAACAGAAAUAAACGCAGCAGCGCCAACCUUAGAGAACAAAACGUAAUUUGCCGUCCUAGCCUGCCGUCAUUCCUACACUUGGCAGCGCCAAACCCUCGCCAACCCCAGCCUGGUCUUCUUCCGAGUUCCUUCUGAGUUGACCCGUUCUGUAUCAAUCGAGCCGUUCGAUUUCGCCGCCCUUUUCGUGUUGUUUUUCUUGCCGGAGCCCCGUAUCAAUCCAGGCCUUCGGACCUGGCGAGGUUCUCUGACCUGGUCGACCCGCCUGAGUCGUGCGCUGGGUGUCUGUACAAGUCACCAGGUCGGGAUCCUGUCACUGCCGAGCUCCUAUUGCAGAGGCCGACGCUGAGUUCCUCCAUCAUUUAACCAAUCCAAGCUAGAGAGACAAGACAGAGAUGAGAGAUUUGAUUCCCUGAAUCUGCCUUGCUAGAUUUGCCAGAACCAGUGCCUUUCUUGCCAGAGAUGGAGUCAUCGGAAGAGAUCAGGCGGUGCUUGUAGAUGCGGUUGGUGGGUUCUGGGAUCCGUACCCGAGAGAGAUUGGGUCGGAGCAGGUCCAUGAGGUCGAGCGUCGCUCUUUGUGCAGAAAGAAAGGGUUUUGAGAUUGGAUAGGCAAGACGAGAGAGGUGAAUUUUUCUGUAUGCUUUUGCCUUUUGAAUACAAAAGCAACAGGCAAUUCGUUUUGAAAUUUCUCUGGUAUUCUUCGUCUUGUCUCGACUCUACUGGAGUGAUGAGAGAGAAUGAGAGAGUGUGUCUUGGCAUGCCUAAUGGGCUGUUUCUAAAACUUGUUUUUGAAUGUGGUUUUGGAAAUGGAUUUUUGGGCCAUUUCUGGGUUUCUAGAGAGAGAGAGAGAAAUGGGACUGGGAUUUUGGUUUGGUGUUUAUGCAGAAUCACGGCAGAGGUGAAAAAAAAAUGAAAGAGAACCGACAUAGUUUUUUGUAUCGAUUCCCACAGACGGCGCCAAAUGUUGAUGCACAAAACCGGAUGAUCUUAGAACAACGUAAAUCCGACCGUGGAUCUGCAAUGAAAUGUAAAUAACACAAGAUGUAUCGUGGUUCACCCCAAGGUUUGGGCUACGUCCACACUGAUUAUGUAUUUAUUUGAGGGAAUAGAGAGGGAGAGGGUGAAAGCUUCUGAGAGCUUCUGAGGAUGAGAGAGGGGAUCUCAGGCCUAGGAAUUGGCCUCCGAGAGUGAGAGUGAGGCCCCUCCUCAAUUGUGAGGGUGAGGGGUCCUUUUAUAGAAUAAGGACUCCUCACUUAUUACAUAUUUGCCCCUUCCUUUAUCCCAUAAUUACAUUUAAGUCCCCUGAGUAUUUGUACGAGAUCUAAAUACGAGGCCCUAAAUAUGGUAUAAACACGCAUCAUUUGAAGAAAGAAACAAUUUGAUGAGAGUGCUAGUGAAGCGGCAACACAAUCAGCAAUUGAAGCUUUUAGAGUUGAUUACUUUAUUUAUAUAGUUGAUCAAGCUCGUACUUCACUUCAUAUCAGGUUUGAACAAUUUUAGAAAUACGAAUAAACUUUUGGGCUUUUGUUUAAUUUGAAGAAGUUAAAAGAUAUAGACAAUGAUAGCUUGAAGGGUUUUUGUAUCAAUCUUGAAGGAUGUCUUAAACAUGAUGAGCAUUCUGAUAUUGAUGGAAAAGACUUAUUUAUAGAGCUAAGAAUCUUAAGAGAAACUUUGCCGAAGGAAAUAAAUCGGGCAAUGGAAGUGCUGAAAUAUAUAAGACAAAUUAAUGGUUGUUUCCCAAAUGCAUGGGUUGCUUAUCGUAUUUUGUUAACCAUACCAGUUACAGUUGCCUCUGCAGAUAGAAGUUUCUCAAAAUUAAAGUUGAUCAAAUCGUAUCUUCGAUCAACUAUGUCACAAGAAAGAUUGAAUGAGUUAUCUAUUUUGUCAAUUGAAAAAGAAUUGGUUGAAAAGUUAGAUUAUGUAAACUUAAUUAAUACAUUUGUGUCUAAAAACGCGAGACGUGUAAUAUUUAAGUAAUGUUUGCAUAUAUUUCUUCUUUGGAUAUGAAUUCUAAUGAUUUUUGAUGUAGAAAUGAACUUUUUCAUGUAUUUAGCGAAAUCUUUUCUUAUAUAUAUAAAUGUACAAUGAGUUGGGUGUCAAAGAACUUUAGGGCCCCUACUCGAAGGCUCGCCUAGGGCCCCCAAUUUCUCAGGGCCGACCCUGAAUAUAAACCUGUUUUUUUGUUCUCAAAAUUUUUUACCAUUAACUUUUCUAAAAUAAUAUAUAUAUAUAUAUAUAUAUAUAUAUAUAUAUAUAUAUAUAUUAGUUUAUCUUAAUUAUGCACAAUCAUCUAAAGGGAAGUGUUAUUGACACUUUAAAAAUAUCAUUUUACACUCAUCAAGUGUAUAUUUCUUUCUAAAUAUAAAAAGUUUAGAGUGUAGAAUGAGAAAUUUAGAAUACCAAUAACAAUUCUGUUAAAGCGUAAAAAUUUCAUAAUUAACACUUACCAAUUAUACUCCUACCUCUUGCUACACGUAAUAAAUACACUUCAAUUUUUUACUACACACACACGAAACAUGCUAAACAUACUCCAAGCACUUAUACACACACAUCAUUAAGGUCUAAUUAUCUAACGCACAUCAUUCCGCUCUUUGAGCUAUCAUCUUCAUUUGUCACUAUCAGUAUAUUUUAGAUACCUUUAUUUGUAAAUUAAAUGUUUCAGUUUUGACUAAUAUAAAUAAUGAGUUAUGAAUGGUGAGAGAUUUGAUUUCGAUCCACAGAACCCAAAACCUAAUUAUUAUGUCCAACUCAUUAUUUAACUUAAAUAUCUCAUUCUUUCUCAGCCUUACACGCGCAUGAGAUGCUUUCAUUCUUACAUCCAUUGGGUGCUUUCUUUCGCUUUUCCUUUUUUUUUUUUACUUAUUGUAUUUUUAUCCAUGAUUAUUUAGUCUAGUAACAAUGUGACACACUAUAAUAUUACAAUAUUAUGUUAGCAAUAUUGAAUUUAAAUUUCAUGGUAGCUGGAGGAGAUUCUCUCUUGAAAUCAAGAGGAAAUUGUUGUAAUAGUUCCUCAACUUUACUCAAUUGGAGCAAUGGUUCCUCAACUAAAAAGGCAUGAUCAUUAGUCCUUAACUCUUUAAAACGUGCAGCUAUGGUCAUUUUCAUCUACUCCAUCUGAACUUCUAUCAAACAAGUUAUGUUGGAAGAAUCAUUGUUACAAUUGGAUUAAAGUUAAAGGGACCAUUGCUCCAAUUGGGUUAAAGUUGAGAGACCAUUUCUCAAAUUACAUUAAAAUUGAGGUAAUUUUGUCAGAAGUUUUAACGGAAGGCCUAAUCGGAUAAAUGGUCCCCGCGGUCAUAAGGUAUUCGGAUGAUAGCCUCUGUGGUAAAAAAAUUCGGAUUUAAACUCAUGUGGUCACAGUCUGUUAGGAUUUAAACCCUUGUGAUAUAAGUCUGUUAGGAUUUAUGCCCUUCUGUCAUUCCUCCAUUAGGUUUAGGUUGGCCAAAUCGGAUAAAUGGUCCCCGUGGUUAUAAGGAAUUUGGAAGAUAGCCCCUGUGGUAGAAAAAAUUCGGAUUUAAACCCCUGUGGUCUAAGUUUAUUAGGAUUUAUGCCUGAAAUUAGAGGUUCUGUCAUUCCUUCGUUAAGCUUACAGGUGGAGCAGAGUUUCUUUGAGGAGACGCGACAGAACGAGGUGGAACUAAUAAAUCACAUAAUUCAUUAAAAUUCAAGAUCUAAUAUAUCAAAUAAUUCAAAAUACCUUUAUAAAAAUUAGCGAGUUUUUGACUCCCGAAUGUCCAACCGAUUAAUUAAUUCUUUAUAACAUAUUCUAUUUUUCUUUGACAAAUAAGAGUAACGUUGACGUUUUCCCAGAAUUUUACGUAAACACCUUGAGAUAAAUAGUUUUUUUUUUUUGUGUAAUUGUAAAUGUGAAGUAAGUCUUCAUAUCCUAUUGGUGAAACUAACUAUUUGAAAUUCAACAGAUCUUCUGUUUUCGUCUUUUUCUUCUUGUGAAAUAACUGAGAUGAAUGAAUUUUUUUACCAUAAACUGAAAUCUUCUCUCCCCCUCUUUUUUAUUGUAAGAUAUUUUUUUAUUGAUAGAUACUCAGAGAAACUCUGCUCCACCUAUAAGCUUAACGAAGGAAUGACAGAACCUCUAAUUUCAGGCAUAAAUCCUAAUAGACUUAGACCACAGGGGUUUAAAUCCAAAUUUUUUCUACCACAGAGGCUAUCUUCUAAAUUCCUUAUGACCACGGGGACCAUUUAUCCGAUUUGGCCAACCUAAACCUAAUGGAGGAAUGACAGAAUGGCAUAAAUCCUAACAGACUUAGACCACAGGGGUUUAAAUCCUAACAGACUGUGACCACAGGGGUUUAAAUUUGAAUUUUUUUACCACAGGGGCUAUCAUCCGAAUACCUUAUGACCACGGGGACCAUUUAUCCGAUUAGGCCUUAACGGAAUUAACGAAAAUGACCAUAACUGCACUUUUUGAUGAGUUAAGGACCAAAUGGUCAUAGAUUUUUAAUUUAUGGACUAUUGCUCCAAUUGGGCAAAGUUAAAAGACGAUUGCUACAAUUUUCUCUGAAAUCAAUGCGUAAUCUCAGUAUCGAUCUAAAAACAAACAAGAAUACAUUUUAAUAUAUAUAUAUAUAUAUAUAUAUAUAUAUAUAUAUAUAUAUAUAUAUAUAUAUAUAUUGAUUAAAUCUUGAUCUCGACCCACCAUAUCGGCUGAUGUUGAUUAAGAAAAAUAAUUCCUACUUGGUUCUAAUGAUUUGUGUGACUAUGCCAAUUCAUGAAGGUGGACACUUGAUUUUCUGGCUGGACGGUCAAAGUUGAUUUUAAUUGUUCCAUCAAAAUAUUGCUCUAUGUUGUCUAGAUUGACUAAACUAUUUUGGAUACAACUGGCUUGCUUUCAUUAAUCAAACACCAAUCUGAAGGCAAACUGAUAUCUGAUCACCUAAUAGUUAUGGGUAUUUUGAUGUUGGCAUUUUCUUGAUUAGUUUGGAUUAGGAGUGUAUGGUCUCUAUGACUUUAACUAAGGCAUGGAAAUUCAUGUUUGUCCCUAUGACUUUAUAGUAGACUCUAAAAUUUAAAGCUAAUGGUUGGACUCUUUCAAGGACUUGGUAACAUGAAGUUUUUAUGUUUUAUGUGAAUGCUUUCAGUAUGUGGCGGUCUGAAAGACUUAUUGUGAGAUUUGGGAAACAAUCAAAAUGAAUUGGUCCGUUGUAAAGAUUUGACUCAAUCAUUCCAAGAAUGCUAUCACUAAAGUCAGUGAAUCUUGCAUCUCAGAGACAUAAUAAAAUAAAGGUAUUGAUGCGUCUUCUUGUUAAGGGCUUGAUUACUAUUUGGACUAGACCUAUGUGAAUGUAAUUGUAACCAUCUUUUCUAUGAGUUUUGAUUUGUUCUGGUGUGAAUAAUUGACAAGUUUCAUGUUCUUUACUAAGAGCAUAAGUUUUUUCAAUGUUUUGACUUGGUGUUCACUUCUAAAAGAGGGUACUGACCUUUUUUUUUGUAAAUGUUUUUACUAGAAACCUUGGGGAUAUUCCAAUCUCUAAAGUCGACACUGUCAUUUGUUUGAAAUUCUAAUUUCUGUUCUUCAUUUACUAUGUUUGGAAUUCUACUUAAACUGGAUCUGAAGCUAGUGCUGGCAGUUGAAUUAGAUCUAAAUAAUCUAUUCAUAUUGCUCAAAAUGCAGGUUUUCAAUAUACAUAAAUCUUACUGGCUAUUACCUUCCUCGCGUAUUUGCUAAACUCCCACUCCGCUCAUACCAAUCCUAUGGACUUAUUGUUUGGAACGCGUCUUACUGUUUGGGUUGAAAUUAAACAAUCCUACUUAGAAGGUUAACAAAUAAGAUAAGCUGUAAAUGAAAAACUGAAAGAUGAACAAAUGUAGUGAUUAUAAAGAUGAUAACUCAAUUACCACUCACUUGGCUUUGAUACCAAAUGAGGUGGAAGAUUUAAUGAUAAUAACGAUAAGGACAAUUAAACCAAGGGCAAUGAUGAUUAGAAUUGAAUUAACUGAUUUCUGUAUAUUGAAAACCUGCAUUUUGAGCAAUAUUAGUAGAUAAUUUAGAUCUAAUUCAACUGCUAGCACUAGCUCCUGUUUGUACCAUACUUGGCCAAUCCCGAAACUACUGAGGACCCAUCAACAUUAUACCUUCAAGGACCCAUAAGAGUUUCCCUCAAACCAGGAGGCCAAUCACAGCGUGACAUGUGUCGACAUCAGAAGCCAAUCAUAGCGCGACACGUGUCAACAUUAGGAGCCAAUCACAACACGACACGUGUCAAUGUCAAAACAAAGCUAGAAACUCUCUUCUAUAAAAGGAGAUCAUUCUCCCACAAUAUUUCCUAAUGUCAUUUGUACUAAAUCAUUCACUAGUACUCACUAAAGGAGAGCUUGAACCUAUGUACUUGUGUAAACCCUUCACAAUUAAUGAGAACUCUUCUACUCCGUGGACAUAGCCAAUCUGGGUGAACCACGUACAUUUUGUGUUUGCUUCCCUAUCCCUAUCCAUUUGCAUACUUAUCCACACUAGUGACUGGAGCAAUCUAGCGAAUGUAAAAAACUUGACACUUUCUGUUGUACCAAAGUCCUCACUGAUUUUGUGCAUCAACAGCUCCAACUCCAGUUUAAGUACAAUUCCACACAUAGUAAAUGAAGAACAGAAAUUAGAAUUUCAAACAGAUGACAAUGUCGACUUUGGAGAUUGGAAUAUCUCCAAGGUUUCUAGUAAAAACAUUUACAAAAAGAAAUGGUUAGUAGCCUCUUUUAGAAGUGAACACCACGUCAAAACAAUUGAAAAAGCUUAUGCUCUUAGUAAAGAACAUGAAACUUGUCAAUUAUUCACACCAGAACAAAUCAAAACUCAUAGAAAAGAUGGUUACAAUUAAAAUCACAUAGGUUUAGUCCAAAUAGCAGCCAAGCCCUUAACAAGAAGAUGCCUCAAUACCUUUAUUUUGUUAUGUCUCUGAGAUGCAAGAUUAAGUGACUUUAGUGAUACCAUUCUUGGAAUGAUUGAGUCAAGUCUUUACAACGGACCAAUUCAUUUUGAUUGUUUCCCAGAUCUCAUAAUAAGUUUUUCAGACCCCCACAUGCUGAAAACACUCACAUUAAACAUAAAAACUUCAGGGUACCAUGUCCUUGAAGGAGUCCAACCAUUAGUUUUAAUUUUCAGAGUCUACUAAAGUCACAGGGACAAACAUGAAUUUCUAAGCCUUAGUUAAAAGUCCUAGAGACCAUACACUCAUAAUCCAAACUAAUCAAGAAAAUGCCAACAUAAAAAAACCCAGAACUAUUAGGUGGUCAUAUAUCAGCUUACCUUCAGAUUGGUGUUUGGUUAAUGAAAGCAAGCCAGUUGGUAUCCAAAAUAGUUUAGUCAAUCUAGACAACAUAUAACAAUAUUUUAAUGGAACAGUUAAAAUCAACUUUGACUGUCCAGUCAUAAAAUCAAGUGACCACCUUCAUGAAUUAGCCCAAUCACACAAAUCAUUAGAACCAAGUAGGAAUUCUUUUUCUGGAUUAACAUCAACCGAUAUGGUGGGUUGAGAUCAAAAUUUAAUCAAUUCCUUAGUCAAUAGAAAAUUAAAGGCAGUAGAAACUAGCAUAGCAGUCACCCAACAAGAAUUAAUCAAUGACCUGAUUAACAUAAAACUAAACUCAAUAGAAACAGCCUCUCAGGUGACUCACCUAAGAUAUCAACCCAAUACUCAAAAUCAAGGAGAACAAAUCUCUCCAACAGAAUCCGACUUCGAAGCAAGUCAAAUCAACCAUCAAUUAUUCGUAUUAAACAAACCAUUCAAAAUUCGAUAGAAGAAACUCAAUGUUGACAUCGAAGCAACAGAAAAUAUUCUCAGAAGGAAUAUUUUUUGAAAUAAAUAUACAAAAGAACAAAAAUUGGACAUUUACAAUAAAUGGACUAAUUUCUUGAAAAAGCACAUAUUUGAAAUAUUUUUCUUCGAUUUCGUUGAAAAAUAUUACGAGUCUAAAGUAAGUUAGAAGUCAUCACCAAAGAAAAUUAGGUUAAAGAAAACAAAACCAUAGUCUCUUCUAGUCACCCUCCACAAGAAACAAUUUUAAUUACAACUGCAAACACACAAGUACCAGCCACUCCUUUCAAACUUUCAAAAGAAGAUGUAGGAGUCAAGCCAGUCAUCGAACAAUUAGACAAAAUUGAAACCAAAAUAAAUAGACUUUCUCAACCAAAACCAACAAUUAGGAAAACCCCUUAGUCAACUUCCCAGAGCUAGUUUCAGAAUAUCAUGAACGAAAUAUUUAAUCAAUACAACCAUUUCUCAAUUGUUUAUAUUAACGAUGUUCUCAUGUAUUCCAAAUCGAUAGAUAAAUAUUGGAAACACUUAAACAUGUUUGCUAGGAUUAUUAAGUCGAAUGGAUUAGUUAUCUCAGCAACCAAAAUUAAGUUAUUCCAAACCAAAAUUAGGUUUUUAGGAUACAAUAUCCACUAGUCAACCAUUCAACCAAUAGAUAGAGUAAUUCAAUUUGCAGAUAAGUUUCCAAAUGAAAUCACUGACAAAACCUAAUUACAGAGAUUUCUAGGAUCUUUAAAUUAUGUUACAGAAUUUUAUCCACAUCUUAGACAACAAUACAAACCCUUGUUUGAUUGUCUAAAAGAAAAUCCCUCAUCAUGGUCCAAUACUCAUACUUCCAUAGUUAAACAAAUCAAAUCACAUGUUAAGACUUUAACCUGUCUUGACAUUCCAACUCUUAAUUCCGUUAAAAUUGUUGAAACUGAUGUCUCUGAAAUUGGUUACGGGGGUAUUCUCAAACAAUCAAUUUCUUCCGGAUCUCCUGAACAAAUUGUUCAUUUCCAUUCAGGAAUAUGAAAUCCAGCACAAAAUAAUUAUAAUACUAUUAAGAAAGAAAUACUAUCUAUAGUAUUAUGUAUUAGUAAAUUUCAAGAUGAUUUAUUAAAUCAAAAGUUUUUAAUCAGAGUCGAUUGCAAAUCUGCAAAACAUGUUUUACAAAAAGAUGUUCAAAAUAUUGCAUCAAAUCAGAUUUUUGCACGAUGGCAAACUAUUUUAAGUUUUUAUUUUAUUUUGAAAUUAAAUACAUCAAAGGUAGUCAAAAUUGCAUCCCUGAUUUCCUAACCAGAGAAUUUAUGCAGGGAAUGAAUGACAGCAAGAAUACUUGAUCAGAUGAGGCUUUCAUCCACUCUACCACCACCAUCAGUCAAACAAGAAUCAAGCCUAGAUUCUUCAUUGGCCUUAGCCAUUUACAACCGAUUCACUCUUUUAGGUUCAAUAAUAGGAAACCUUAAACCAAACUACCAAUCACCACGUCCCAAUUAUCAAACGACAUUAGCUAGUCAAUAUGAUCCUUAUUCAACCCCAACACACCAAUCAUCAUCAUCCCAACCAGUCAGUUAUACCAAAACAUCACCAUAUGUCAAGAAAAACCCCAUUGAAUAUCUUUUUAGUAUCCAUUUCAAUCUCAAUCAAGAACAAGCACCAGAAAAAUUAGCCAAAACUAUCUUUCCACCUAAUUUCCAUUAUCAUCCUACAAAGCCACAUAAAACAGUUAAAUACUAUCAAGCCAUCCGUAGCGAAAUUGAGUCCAUUUCAAUCAAACAUCUUUACAAAAAAACCCAUAAAAACAAAAUCCUCUACCAUUAUUUUUACAUUGGAAGGUUUCUAACCGAAUCAAAUUAGAGAAUCCCCCUUUACAAAACCAAACCUCUUCAUACCCAAUAUGUCCACAUUCCUAAUAACCAUUACAAUUACUUUUGUUUGUACCAUACUUGAUCAAUCCCGAAACUACUGAGCACUAGUCAAUGUUAUAUCGUCAAUGACCCAUAAGAGUUUCCCUCAAACCAGGAGGCCAAUCACAGCGCGACACGUGUCGACAUCAGAAGCCAAACAUAGUGCGACACGUGUCAACAUCAGAAGCCAAUCACAACCCGACAUGUGUCAAUGUCAAAACAAAGCUAGAAACUCUCUUCUAUAAAAGGAGAUCAUUCUCCCACAAUAUUUCCUAAUGUCAUUUGUACCAAAUCAUUCACUAGUACUCACUAAAGGAGAGCUUAAACCUAUGUACUUGUGUAAACCUUUCACAAUUAAUAAGAACUCCUCUACUCCGUGAACGUAGCCAAUCUGGGUGAACCACGUACAUUUUGUGUUUGUUUCCCUGUCUCUAUCGAUCUACAUACUUAUCCACACUAGUGACCAGAGCAAUCUAACGAAUGUCACAAACUUAACACUUUUUGUUGUACCAAAGUCCUCACUGAUUUUGUGCAUCAACAUUUGGCGCCGUAUGUGGGAAAGACACUUAUUCCCACUCUCUUCAGAUUUGUUAAGCUGGUUUCCACCAUUCGUACACUCUCUUUUGACUAGGCAUCCCUUUUCCAACAUGGGGAGCAAAGGAAUCCACAACACACAGAAUGACACCUCUCUUGUACCUGGUGCGAAGCAACGAAAGAAAGAACAAAAGAAGUUUGCUCUUCAGGCUAAAGUCGAUGAGUUGGAGGCUCAGAACAAUAAGAUAACGAUGAAGAAUGCGAUCAUCUAAGAAUAGUAUGAGAAGGCCUUCGAGAUGUUCCACGAGGCUAGAUAUACUAAAACACACGAGCUCAUCACCCAUGUGGAAGUCAACCAUCAACUGGGUGCCCCCCAAUGCGGAUGGUCAUUUGCCCUCGACAUGGGUAUUCCUGUUGAAGAGCGAGCUACUCAUCGAAAUGGCAACCAACAUGAGACUUCUCUCAACCCAGUUGCUUCGACUCGAAGCAGGAGGAGUGGAGGAAGACACCUCCUUACAGAAUAAGUAGAAGGAUCGAAAGCCGUCUUUCGCAACUGUCGAGACUUUCUAAAGCAACAUCGAGACAAUCCCAUCCAUGUAAGCUUGAAGAUCAAUGACCCAAGGGUCUCUGAAAGACUCGGUCUCCUCCCAUGUCCCAGGCCGACUACCAAUUUGGGGAAGGGGAACAAGUCCUAGAGAAACACGAAGGUAUAGGGGACUCAGAGAUGUUCCAACAAACAUACCUUGGAAGUCAGUACGGCGAGUCUAGGGAAAAAUCACAUGCUCUUGAUCAAACCUUCCUACUUCCAAGAGGAGAUGGAGAUUUACGAAAGAAAGCUUUAGUGGUACAUGACUCCACUCAGGACCCUCUUAUCCUACAACUCCUUAAGGAAGUAACAAGUUGAAGGCCGAACGACAAGCUGAGAUACCUGAUUGGAACCAACCUAGGCCUGACCCUCUUACAAGGAGGAUCAUCGACGCCUUCUCCAAGCAAAGACAAAACAGAAGCUUGGCUUGCAACUCUAUACUGGAAAGGAGGACCCGAUUGAACACCUUAACCUUUUUUAGUCCACCAUGGCAUACCGGAUGCACACCGACAAAGAGUGAUGUAUUCUCUUCCUCUCUACCCUUUCUGGCAGAGCUCUAAAUUGGUAUUGCUGUCUUCCACCUGAGACGGUAGACUCAUUUGAGGAAUUGAGGAAACUGUUUGUUUCUCAACAUAUUUUCCAGACUGAUCGCUUACACUCUGCGAAUGACUUGUACACUAUUUUCCAGAAGCCAGAUGAGUCAUUAUGUAUGUAUACUGACUGCUUCAGCCAUGAGUAUUCUCAUUGUGCCAAGCCAGACGACAAGACUGCCCUCAAAGCCUUCACUGCAGGCCUACGUGACUGUUUAUUUAAGUACAUAAUUAAUGACAACACUUGGAAAACUUACUCUGAGGUGAUGGCACAGACUUACAACAAUGCCUCUGCCGAGGCAAAGACAUAUCAAGGGAAACCCCCCACAGCCACACCUUAUCAGCAAGUAGGAAGUGGAAGCCAGAUCCAACCAAAUGAGAAGACCUCGACCUUCCAAACGGCAGCGGUGCCUCCCUCUACCUUACUUAAUACUUCGCCAAGUCAACAGACAUAUCAAUCUCAAGGCAAAAGGAAAGAUUUCCAUCUUCACUAGUCUUAUUUUAGUAAAAGGAGUAAGGGACACUAUCGCGAUAACCAAGGGUAUCGCCACGAUAAUGCCCACCCCCAGGCAGUCAACACAGUGGGCUAAGAACGUGUCAGGACAUUCCCUACCCCGAGGUAUGAGACAUACACACCUUUGGACGCCACAUGCGUGGCCAUCUACCCUAGCAUAACAUACCUGAUACCGAAGCUAAUGUCGAGGCAGUCGGGUUACAAGCCCACAAAGAACACGGGCACAUUUUGCUGCUACCACGAGCAUAACGGCCAUGACAGCGAGAAAUGUAUCACCCUUCGUGAUCAUAUUGAAGCUUUGGCGCGUGAAGGAAAAAUUGAUCGAUUCCUCUUUCACCCUUCAAGGGAUAACCGUAACCAAAGCCAAGUGAAUGUGAUAUAUUUCAUAAGCGGUGGCACACCCAUAUCUGAAUCUUCCAAUAGGGCCACGAAAAACAGCGAACGAGCUUUAAGGCCUGGCCACCAAGUGUUUCACGUGGAAGACAUCAGGGGAUGAAAGUAUCAAAAGCCUAACUGUGAUCCAAUAUGCUUCUACCCAGAGGAAGAAAGAGGUAUUAUCUACCCUCACAACGACUCACUGAUCGUGGAGGCUCAUAUAGCCAAUUUUGAAGUACGACGAAUCCUGGUAGACAUGGGGGUUUCGGUCAAUAUCAUGUUUGUUGAAGCUUUCAGAGCACUUAAUGUAGCUGAACACUUGCUCGAUUGCUCGAUUUCUCUUCUGAUAAGCUUUUCCGAUGAUAUCGUGCAACCUUUAGGGAGCAUACACUUACCUUUCACCAUUGGUACAGGCCCUUACACAGCUACCAUUACCACUAACUUCCUGGUGGUUGAUUGCCCAACGGCAUACAAUGUCAUCUUCGGACGCAUAGGCAUCGAUGAUCUCAAGGCCAUGGUAUCCACACAUAUGUUGUUGAUGAAAUUUCCAACCCCUAUGGCAAUGGUUACAUAAGAGAAUAUCAACUUAGUGCACAAUCAUGUUACAACACUUCGGUUAAGCAACAUCACCUGACUGUGCCCAAGGAAACUCUUUCUAUACAUGACCAAGUCAUAAAGACCAGCCCAGACGAAGCCAACUUGGAUCUUCACGAUGGCAACAGUCAACCCGACGAUCCUCGAGACAACUCUUUCACCUAACAAGCACAACCCGCUGAAGAGUUAGAGAAGUUUUCUAUCUCAAAAGAUUAUCCAGAUCGCAUGGUGAAGAUUGGCACCAUCUUGUCACCACCCAUUCGGUUGACAUUGAUCUCUUUUUUGCAAGAGAAUACUGAGGUCUUCGCCUGGUCAUACAAGGACAUGCCAGGCAUCUAUUCCGAUAUCAUAUGUCAUCGCUUGAGUAUUAACCCCAAGACCAAGCCGGUGAGUCAGAAGUGAAGAUCUUAUGACGCUCAACGAUAUGAAGCAAUGAAGGCAAAAGUUGAAAAACUCAAAGGCAUAUGCUUCGUCCGUGAAGUCAAUUAUCUAACGUGGGUAGCAAAUGUUGUCUUUGUUAAGAAGAAUCCGACCAAGGAAAGUCUCAAGCUUUCAAAGGUCUUGUGAAAAAUGUGUGUCGAUUACAUCGACCUAAAAAAUGAUGCCCAAAUGAUAGCUUUCCUCUUCCUUUCAUAGACAGACUUAUAGACUCUACGGCAAGGUGUCAACUAGGGGAGCACUUAUGCCCAACAAGAGUUAUAGUCACCAACAAAGUCUUAUUGCAAGCCAACAACAACUUCAGUGCAUGGCAUACGAAGAUCAAGCUAUUCAGCCCUUUUACAUCUACUUCAGAUAUUUCUCCUCUGUAAAAAUGCAAACACUACAACUCGUAGAAAGCUUCACACACUUUUGAUCAAGAUAGUGUGAAGCAAAACCAAUUUAUGAAGCCAACAAGAGCUUCAUCAAAGGAGUUCAACCACAAUUCUCAAAAGCUUCACACACUCUUGAUCAAGAUAAUGUGAAGCAAAACCAAUUUAUGGUAACAACAAGAGCUUCAUCAAAGGAGUUCAACCACAAUUCUCAAAAGCUUCACACACUCUUGAUUAAGACAGUGUGAAGCAAAACCAAUUUAUGGUGCCAACAAGAGCUUCAUCAAUGGAGGGCAACCACAAUUCUCAAAAGCUUCACACACUCUUGAUCAAGACAAUGUGAAACAAAACCAAUUUAUGGUGCCAACAAAAGUUUCAUCAAUGAAGGGCAACUACAACUCGUAGAAAGCUUUACACACUCUUGAUCAAAACUGUUCGAAGCAAAUUCAAUUUAUAUGGUUCAUACAAACCUUUGACUACUACAAGGUGUGGCUUGCAUCGCAAUCUCUUGCUCAACAGUGUGGAAGCAAAAUUUGUAUAUGUUGUCUCUCCCACAUUUUCAAAUUUCUAGUUUCCAAAAAAAAAAAACAAAAAAAAAGGAAAUUGGGAAAUUCAACGAAUUUCUAGUUUCCCAAAAACAAAAAAAACAAAAAAAAAAGGGAAAUUCAACAAAUUUCUAGUUUUCCAAAAAAAAAAAAGGAAAUUCAACAAAGCUUCAUUAAUGGAAGACAACUACAAAUUCUCAGAAGCUACACACUAUCUUGAUCAAGAUAGUGUGAAGCAAAAUUAAUUCGUGGUACCUAACAAAGCUUCACCAACAAAAGUUUCAUCAAUGGAGGACAACUACAAAUUCUCAAAAGCUUUACACUAUCUUGAUCAAGAUAGUGUGUAGCAAAAUCAAUUCAUGGUACCAAACAAAAGCUUCAACUCCAAAGCUUCACCUACAAAAGCUUCAACACAAUAGCUUCACCCUUAAAAGCUUCACCCACAAAAGCUUCACCCACCACAAAAGCUUCACCCAUAAAAGCUUCACCAACAAAUGCUUCAUCCAUAAAAGCUUCACCCAUAAAAAAUUCACCCACAAAAGCUUCACCUACCACAAAAGCUUCAUCCACAAAAGCUUCACACUAUCUUGAUCAAGAUAGUGUGAAGCAAAAUCAAUUCAUGGUACCCAACAAAGCUUCAACCUGAAAGCUUCACCUACAAAGCUUCAACACCAAACCUUCACCUACAAAGCUUUAAAAAUAUAUAUAUAUAUAUAUAUAUUUUUUUUUUUUUUCAAAAAUUUGAAAAUUCGAAAAAAAAAAAAUUUGCCUAGGCCUCAUCUUCUUUGGGCCUAACAACUUUCAUAACAAAUAUAUAUGAAGAAGGAGUUUUGGGUUAUCACUUAGAAAGGAAAUGCCUCAUUCGUCAACUCCCUCGAUCGGAGACUUGGGGGACUCCUACCAUAUGCUACUGCACAUUGAUAUUCGGAAGUCUCACGACCACUCAGUGACUUGGAUUUUUUAAGUCUCCAACCGAGAAGUUUUCCUCACUCGGGAAAUUAAGGGAGCACUACCUCAACAUACAUGCUUCACUCACAAAGCUUCAACAAAAGAAAAAAAUUCAAAGAACUUAGUGAAGAAUGCCUUGGUGUAUUUCACACAAUACGUAAUGAAGCAAAGCUUGUUUAUUGAUAUCUCUGAUAAGUUACAAAUAUGUACACAUACAUGAAUCAAAAUAAACAAACAAGAUGGAGCCUUCACAAAGGUUGCUCAGGAUAAGUCUCAGCAGUCUGCAGAGCUCCAGAAAGAGAAGGCACCGGAGGAUGAUUAUUCGGAGCCUCAGUACUGGGUAGAACCCCAGAAGGAGAAGGCACCGAAGGUUGAUCAUUUGGAGCUUCAUUACGCGGUACAACCUCAGAAGACGAAGGCAAUAAAUGCCUUUGGAACAAACCCACAAACCUCUGAUGAUCAAGUAAAAUCUGACCAUCAGAUUCCUGCAGCUGGUCGAGAUUCCUCUUCAUGUUCGUAGCAUAAUUAUGUGCGAGCCUCUGCAACUGUUUAUUCUCAUGCUUGAGCCAUAUGAUCUCCUGUUUGAGACUUAUCACUUCAGCCGCUAAUGAUUCAACUUGGCGGCUGAAGUGAUAAGUCUCAAACAGGCGGGUUCGAGCAAAUAGGCGUUGGGCUAUAUUAGACACAGAACCUGCACACUGAACACUGAGAGCCAGAGAAUCCUUAACAGCCAACUCAUCAGACCGUUUGGAAUGUAGUAUGUUAUCUUUGGGAGUGAGAAAGUUCUUGGUCACCAUCGCAGCGAUCAUAUCAUUCUUCAUCACAGAGUCCCCAACGGUAAGAGGACCAGUAGGGGAUAAGAAGAAUGGGUGCCAUAUGUUGUCUUGAGAAGGCAUGACUGCCUCUUCAUCAAAGUUCAAGUCAAAAUGACGGUCGGAUGGGCCAGACAUUCUCAGAAAUGAUGAAGGAGAAAUGAGGUGUAAUAAAUCUCUGAAGUACAAAAAUAAAGGGAAAAUUCUUGUAGGCAAUAACUCUCUGAACGUACUUCUUGCACACAAUUGGUGCCCCUAUAAAAGAAAGGGCAACAUGGCCGUUGGUUCAAAAAUCGAAGAGGCACCAUUCUCUGGAUUUCGAGAAGAAACUUUUCCUGAGUAAAAUAUGUCGACAAUCCCACACGCAACAUCAGCUCCUCGGGUACCACAGAUAACUUUGCCAAAGAUCUCUGACAAAGUUUAGACAAAUAAAUUUUGAAGGUCCAGCUACCCUACUAUUACCCACAAGGGUAAAGGAACAGCACCACUGCUUGAUAACUGGAAAGUCCCUAUGUGUGUCAACCUCCGUGCUCCGUGGCAAGACAAACUGGCAAAAAUGCCCAACCUUUACUCACAUUCGAGAAAACACUCCCAACAAGAUUGUUUGCUCAAAUAUCGAAGAGGUACCGCCCUCCGAAUCUCGAGAGCCAAACUCCUAACAGGAUUACUUGCUUAAAAAUCGAAGAGGCACCGUUCUCUGAAUCUCGAGAGCCAGACUCCCAACAGGAUUACUUGCUCAAAAAUCGAAGAGGCACCCUUCUCCGAAUCUCGAGAGCCAGACUCCCAACAUGAUUGUUUUCUAAAAAAUCGAAGAAGCACCGCUCUCCAAAUCUCGAGAGUCAGACUCCCAACAUGAUUGCUUUCUAAAAAAUUGAAGAGGCACUGUUAUCCGAAUCUUGAGAGCCGACAUGAUUGCUUGUUUGAAAACCGAAGAGGCACCGCUCUUCGAACUUCGAGAGCCAGAUUUCCUUGGAUAAAGCUUGUCUGCAAUCUUCACACGCAACAUCAGCUUUCCAGAUACCAUAGACCACUUUUUCAAAGUGCUCUGACAAAGUUAAAACACGUGAAUCUUACAGCUCCCACUACAUUGUUAUGACCGAGAAGGGUAAAGGAACAACGUUACCACUCGUUUUUGGGACAAUUCCUAUAUAUGUCAACCUUCAUCCUCCACAGCCAAGCAGACCUGCAAAUAAAAAAAAUGCUCAACUUUUCUUCACAUCCGAGAGGGCACUCUCAGCAGAGUCUCUAAAAUACUCAGCUUCUUUUCCCUCCGAUAAUACCUCUGCAAACAAGCCACACCAGAGCAAGAGUAUCUCAUAUCAUCAGGGUUAAAAGCAAGAGUAUCCCAUAUCAUGCUUUUUCCAUGUCUUUUCCUUUGGCCUUGUUCUUACCUGCAAGACAAGGAGAAAGAGAGCAAUCAAUCAUUACUUGGACUCAAGCUUCCAGUCAGGAACUGACUGCCUGGAACCCCUUGCUUGAUUACUUACCUGGUAUUACUCUCGAGUACUCAUAUUCAACAUCUUAUGUUUUUAGAGAAGAUACCACAUCUGUCUGAGGAACAGAUAAGGCAAGUGAGAAAGAUACAAGGAAGCAUGUGAAGACAAGCGCAACAGAACACGUGCCGAUACAUCCAUUACUUUGUCAACAACAAAAGUAUCCCAUAUCAUCGGGGUUGAACGUACUCUAGAUUUGAUGGAUUUGUUUUGACUCUCAAAUUCUUGAGUCGACCUUAUACUCUGGAGGAAACUAGAAAACCCUCAAGCCCAGUUUAAGAGUAAGCCUGUGGAAAGUUACUUCUUCAAAAGCAAAAGUAUCUCAUAUCAUAUCUUCUCAUUUUUCUUCUCUUUAUCCUUCUUGCUGCCUGCAAGAUAGGGAGAAUGAGAACAAUCAGUCGGAACUCGAAAUCAAACUUCUGAUCUGAGACUGAUUGCUUGGAACUUUGAUUGCUUACCUUGUCUAUCACCUCUUUCGGCAAAUCUCCUAGCUCGGUGACUUGAGAGACUCUUACUACAUGGUUUGUAUCGUGCUUGACUAAGCCUGAAACUACAAGUAAGCUUCAAAUCAAAUUGAUACAUUACCUUGUGCAUCUUCACCGGUUAAAGAUACCAUCCCUGGAUGGAGGAAAAGUACUUCCAGAGAAGAUGCCACAUCUACAUAUGAGACAGAUAAGGUAAGUGAAGACGAUACCACAUUUCAGUACUUAGAAGUUUCGUGAUUACUCAGCGGCUUGGAUCUUGCAAGUCCCCAACCGAAGAGCUUUCCUCACUCGGGAACUUAGGGGAGCACUGUUUGUACCAUACUUGACCAAUCCCGAAACUACUGAGCACCAGUCAACAUUAUACCGUCAAGGACCCAGAAACGUUUCCCUCUAACCAGGAGGUCAAUCAUAGCGCGACACAUGUCGACAUCAGAAGCCAAUCAUAGCGCGACAUGUGUCAACAUCAGAAGCCAAUCACAACACGACACGUGUCAAUGUCAAAACAAAGCUAGAAACUCUCUUCUGUAAAAGAAGAUCAUUCUCCCACAAUAUUUCCUAAUGUCAAUUGUACUAAAUCAUUCACUAGUACUCACUAAAGGAUAGCUUGAACCUAUAUACUUGUGUAAACCCUUCACAAUUAAUGAGAACUCCUGUACUCCGUGGACGUAGCCAAUCUGGGUGAACCACGUACAUCUUGUGUUUGCUUCCCUAUCUCUAUCCAUUUGCAUACUUAUCUACACUAGUGACCGGAGCAAUCUAGCAAAGGUCACAAACUUAGCACUUUAUGUUGUACCAAAGUCCUCAUUGAUUUUAUGCAUGAACAACUUUGAUUACAUUGAUGCAUUGACUAACAUCUUUCUCCAUCAAACAGAAGAUUUUAGUCAUUCAUGUUUCAUUAAUUUUAACAAGAGUUUCAAAUUGAAUUUUCCUGCAUGGUUCCCUAAAUGGUGGUCAAUUCACGGUCCGACAGCCAAUCUCCUACCAUAAGAAUUUAUGCAGGCCUUAUCUGCCAGUUUCCAAAAGAAAUUUGACAGAAGCCGAUUCAACUACAGAAUUACACUUCUCCCAAUUUUGAUGGCCAAAUACAAAGUCCCAUGGAUUAUGAAGUAAAAUUAUGAAGUCGAAACAUGUGAAGUCUACAGAGUCAGAUCAUUUAAGUGGUGGGAUAAAUUCAACCAUCAAAAGACCAUCAGUUAGGUCCUCACCGAAUUUUCCAUUACUCCACUUCCAGUCAUUCCGGCACAACCAGCACAACCAUCACUGCUAGUCAUCCCGAAACAAUCAGUAUCGGACAUUAGUCCAUCUUCAUCCCUCAAAGGAAUAUUCAAGUAUUCCAAAUCGUUAGGCUCAAAGAAAAAUAAAACCACUCAGCUUGAAGAUUUAGCACAACAAUUACUUGCAAAAGCAGCGAUGCUCCAUACUGAAGAAGAAGAAGCCACAGACUCCAAAUCUUCAGACGCAUUCUCACAGCAACCAUCUAACUCAGCAAGCCAAAAACACAUUCAGCCAAGUAGGCCAACUACCAGGAUUCCCAUGACCCAUUUGCAUAGAGUCAUGUGAAAAUUUUAGUCAUCUUUCCAAAAUCACCAUGUGAAGUGUUCAUGUAUUAUUCGCACCAAUAAUUCCAACAAAGCAUGGAAUUAUUCGAUCAGCCAGCACGUUCCCACCAAUGAUCCUGACAAAGUUUGGAGUCAUUCAAACAUUCAUCUCAUGCUUCUACAGUAAAACCAGCAAUUAUUCCAACAAACUUCACUAUUAAUCAAUUGUGAAAGCAAGUCAUCAUUCACCAAAUAGUAAGAGCAAGUCUUUCAAGACAUUUUCCAAGUCUGUAAAAAGUGGACUACGGAAGAGAAAGUUUUCAAGUUUGGAAUUUCCACAAUUUCUUAGUAAAAGCUUUCCUUGAGUUGAUAACCCAAAGAAAUAAAAAAUUAUAAACACUUUUAAUUUUCAAAUGUCAAGGAUGUCGGCGUGCACUAAUAUCCUUUUCAUUAGUCAUUUUCUUAUUUGCUGACUCAAUCGUCAGUAAACCAAUUGUAAGUUCCAGUGUAAGUUUUGAAAUAAAACUUAUUUUCAAAUUAUAUUUGAAUCAUUAUUUUGAAUUCAUUAUUUUCAUUAUGAGGAAUAUUUUUAUAACAACUGAUUUUGAAUGGCAUAAAAUCUUUACUCACAGUCAGUUCAUCGAAUAUCUCAAAUUCAAGGUAAACACAGACCAAUCAUUUGUUCAAUUCUUUUUAUUUGUUUAUAACAGUUGGUUUUAUGACAUAUUUAAUCAUGGUUAUCAUCCGCAUCAAAUUUCCAAUAUAUAUAUUAGGUUUCCAAAUCAUUCAUUUUCCUAUCUUAAUCAGAAACAAUAUUGUAUCAGAAGGAAGUCUAAAGCCUUUCCAGAAGAGCCACAAAUAAUUAAAGUAUGAUCACUCUAAUAAUUGUUUCGUAAUCGAAACAAUGUGGCUCAGCAGCACAGAUUAUUGGGGAAGAACUAGAUGCAGCUUUUGAUUCUGUUUCUGGCCAUCAGAGUUUAGAAAAACCCGUUCAUACGGCAGUGUUUAUUCCGGCUUUCGGCACGUAAUCACCGAAUACUUGAUUAGGUCCUUCUUGAAUCCUUGGAUCAUCAAUGGCAUUACCAAUGCUCCUCUUAUUGUUUUUAUCCCUGCUCAAUUCAAAUCAAGAAACACAAUUAUUCCGGCUUUUCGACCAAAAGAUUUCAAGAAACGCAAUUAUAUAGAUGGAAUAAAUGAAAGCUGAGACUGUAUCUGCAACCACAGAUAGAAACGUGCAGAAAUCAACUGAUGUAGUAUGAAAUGUGCAUCACAAAACAAUUUAUUGGGAAGAAACGCUAAGUUCGUACCGGUGCCUAACAGCGAUGUAAAACCCUUCCAUGUCAAUGCCGAGCGGAUAACUGCAGGCCAAAACGGGGCAACAUAAGGGGACCAAUCUUCCGCCUUGAUGUCCUGCCAUGGAAGGUUUCAGAUGUUAUUGCAGGUUGAUGUAGAGACACUGGGUUGUUAGAUCAAAAAGACUUGACAUGUUUUGAAGGGAUUUAGUCCAGCCAAUAUUUGAGCAGGAAGUCAUUUCCGCAAGCCCAUUUUCUCCCCAUGCACAUGCUCGUAAUAUGGAUCUAGGAAAAUCAUUUCUAUAUUUGAGCAGGUAAUUUACCUCGAGCGAGUGGGACUCGAGUAACUUGAGAUAAUCAGCAGUGGAACACCAGGCUGGAAGAUAGAAUGAAUUGCAUAUCCUGUCCAGGAGAUUCUUCUCAUCUGGCUUCAAGGUUUUUUCAGAAGCACCAAGAUCCCUGUGGCACCAUGUGACUAUAAUUAUUGUUGCUCCUGGUGCAGCAACUCGAACCAACUCAUUCACAAACUGCACAGUUUUAAAAAGAGAGCAAAGAGAAUAUUAGGGCAAGUAUUUAUACAAAGAGUUUAACAGUCUUUCUACGUUGCAGUUAACUAUACUUGCGGACAAAGUACGAUGACAUAUCAUGCAAUCGUAUUUACCACAUAUUGACAAUUGUAAAUUGACAUUAUCAACAAUAUUAAAGACAUCGAUAGCAUAUUUGACUACAUAUCAAUGCAUGCCCGCAUUCAAAAAGUGCAAUUAACAGCGGCGUAUAAAUUUUACGAAUCUUGCCCUAUUAUCAAACCGGUCCAGUGGAAAGAGGUAUGACCUUGGCUUUGUCAGGCAUGUGCUCACCACUCUCCAUGGACCAUACCAGAUCAAAUUCCCCGUCAGGAAAUGGUUGGUCCAGAGCAUCUGCAACUUGAAACGAAGCCUGCAAAUGAUGAACAGAAGUUAUCUUCAUUUAAUUGAGUCAUGGAACAUGUUACAUCUCUAUCAUCAACCAAAGCUUACAUUGGGACCCGUUCACAUAAUUGAGUCAGGGAAAAAGAUGCUUUCAGUUUGAUGGUGAAUCAUAAAUUCAAUUCGAGUCUUGUAAUACAGAUAUGGUGCAACUGUUAAACUGAAGAAUUCGUGGGUACCUACUCACAUAAAUGGGUCCCAUAUAUGGAUCCAAAAUAUAAUUAUCCGUUCUCCUAGACCCCAUAGUCUAAGGAAAGUGUGGUAAUCGUCCGUACGAAUUUAAUCCAAACGGUUUGUGUUUAUUUACCUUUUGAUGUUGUACUUUAUCCUCUACUGUUGAAUUAUCGAACAGUCAUUGCCCAUAAUUUUUUUGACCAUAGGGUUUUGGAGACCGGAGCUCUGAUAAAUGAACAGGUUUUAUUUGGGGACUACUUUUGGAAGAGCAAAAGGCUGCUUUCUCUUUUUGGCAAGGAUCUUAAAAUUACUGUUUAAUAAUUAAGGGCUCAUUUAUAUGUGCUUUUAAAAUAAUUAAAAGCGUUUUUAGAGAAAAAUUUUUUAGAUUCCAAAAGCACUUGAAGUGCUUUCUGCAAGAAGAAUCAGUUAUGUGCUAGCACGUUAAAUACCUUUUCAGAAUUUAUUUACAUUUUUACUAAGGAUUUGUUUUAAAAACAUUUUGAAUUAUUUUAAAAAGCACGUCCAACCAAGUAAUAAAAAGUUACAGCGUGCCUCUCACAAAAGAAGUUCUAACAAAAGCACUGUCCAGCAGAAGUGCUUCCUACAAAAACAGUGUUCCAAUUAAUCGGAUUCCGGCUUAACCAAACGAUAAGGUGGGGAUUACCUGAUUGGCUAACCCUUGGGCAGCAGCAAGAGCAUUGGCCCUUUCAGCCUGCACAGGGCUGAGGGUGAUGCCUUUGGCAUUGGCCCCAUAUUUACUAGCCAGAUAUCUGGAGCUCCCUCCGAUCCCACAUCCCACAUCCACCAAAUUCUUAGGAAGUCUAGUUGGGGGCUCCUCUGCAAAAACCAAUUACAAAUUUAAAUUACACUAUUACCCGAAAACUAUCAUUAAUUAAUCAAAUCACCCACAAUAAAAAGAUAAGAUAGAAGGAGAGUGACCAGAAAUGCCGGCGAAUCGGAGGACCUCGUCGAUCAUGCGAAUCUGGGCGGCGCGAUGGUCGGGAAUGGAGACCGAAACGUCGGCGUCUGGGUCGUAGUAUCCGUGGUGCAUGUGGUCGCCCCAGAUGUUCUCCCACAAGCCAGACGACUCGUCGUACAGCUCAGCAAUCCCCUUCUUCAGCUCCACUGCCUCCAUCGCUGCCGUCUCCGCCACCGCGUUCAGUCUCCUCAAUCCUCUGUUCCUGGAGUUCGCUCCGACCACGACUGUACUCGCACGAUUGAGACGGUAGCACAUGCGAGGCAGCACUGCUCGUGUCGUCGUCGACGAUGAUAAUCCAGCCGUCUGGUACGACACGCAUGCCAUCGGGACUAAACAGAACAAAUUAUUAAAACUCACAGAUCAAAAAUUCAAAUCCAAAAAAUAUAAGAAAAACCCAACAGAGUGAAUUGUUUGUGGCAGAAACCACCUUGAAGAUUUUAAUUAGCAAAUCAGUCCUCUGUUAUAUGGUUUUGCGACGCUGCAGCUCUACCAGCAGAAGCUCGAUGAGGGAGAGAGAGUGAGAGAGCGGAUGAUAACGAGGGAUUUGGAAAGUUGGUGGCUCUUGAGAAACCAUGUCGGGAUAAAAUAGUGACGAUGACGACAUCGAUGCGAUUUUGGUUUUAAAUUGCACACAAAAUUAUUUUGAUAAAAAAUCAUAAGUCGACUGUGUUGACAAAAAAUGUUUCAUUUUAGUAAUGUUGAGACUCUUUAAAAGUGUGAUCAUGGAAUUUCCCCUACCUUACGUUUUUUUGGCACAAUUUAUGUAUUAACAUUAUAAAACAUUGGUCGUGCUAAAAACAUGAAAUUGUGAAUGAUUCCUAGAAAAUCUUACUUUGAGAGACUCGUAUUUAUAUUCUUUUUGGCUUUUUAACCAAAAUAGUCUCUGAAAUUUGCAUAACACAACACUUCAGUCUAUGAGAUUGAAAAUCAAUAGAAAUGGUCAUUGAGAUUGUCCACCAUCUAUUAUUUUGAUCAUUUCGUUAAAAACUCUAUUAAGUAAUUCCGGAGAAACUGAAAUUUUUUGCUGGAAGUUUGGGCAAUUUUCAAAGUUUCAUAACUCAAUCGUUUCUUAACCAAAUUCGACCCAUAAUAUAUCAAAAUGAAUAUAUAAAAGUGUUGAACAAGAUUAUACCUAUUUGGAAGCCCAAUGGUUGCCAGAGAUGGCCGGAAAAUAGCCUAAAGGGUGACUGGUCCGUGGGAAAACUGGAAAACGCAUCGGAAACUGGAUAAACUUUAAACGUUCAUAACUUUUUCAAUACUCAAUGAAAUCGAGUGAUUAAAAAACGUCUUGAAAGUGGCUAACUUGAUGAGACUAAGACAAUCACUUUCGAGCCGUUUUCCAGCCAAACCACGGCGAGUUAGCCGUCGAGAAAGCUAUCAUUCUCUUCGUAUCGUCGAGAAUUACGAUUUUUUGUUUGAAAUCAAUCAAUUUCGUUGAGUAUUGAAGAAAUUAUGAACGUUUAAAUUUUACCCAAUUUUCGACGAGUUUUCAGUUUUUCCGCGGACCAGUCACAUUUUAGGAUAUUUUCCAACCAAACCACAGUGUGUUAGCCCUCAAGAAGGGUACCAUUCUCUUCGUCUCGUUGAAAAGUAUGAUUUUUGUUUUUGAAGCACUUGAAUUUUUUGCAUAAUAUCAAUUUACCAGUCUUACAACAAUUAGCUUCUUUGAUUGUAACCUUCAGAAGGAAGCAUCUUUAACUCACCUGAUGGUCUCAUAUCCAAUCCGAUAAGAGUUCUAUAAAUUUUAAUUAGUUUUGUUUACAUGACACAAAUUUGACAUCACAUCAGUAAAAAUAUCAGACAUGUAAUUUACACAUUAUCAAAUAACAGUCAUAUUAAUAGAUUAAUUAGAUCUGACAUUACAACGAAUUCGUAAAUGAAUGUAUGACAUUAUUAUGUUCAAAACAUGAAAGAAAAAAAAAUCCUCCUUCCUAAAUUAGUAUAGGUGGGAUAGAAAGGUUGAGCGGGUAUGAUUUUGUUAUUUAACCCAAAAUUAGGAUGGUCAAAUGUAAUUUACUAAAAAUGAUAAGAAGUGAGGCGAGCUCCAAUAAGCAAAAGGAGUGUCAUUGCUGUCAAACAGUUAGGAGCAGAGCUACUUGAGCAGCUCUCAUUCUCUUCAAUCAUGGAUCUGGAUCAUCUUCUACACCUCCUAAUUCCCUCAUGGACCUCUGUAAGUACCCCUCUCUUAAUCCAUCUCACCAUUCCCCUUAAUCCCCACUUACGCUAAUUAAUUAUUAAUUUAAUCAAUUUCUUGAUCCGUAAUAUUCAGGUUGCUAUCCUGGCAUUGUUCUUCACUUACUUGGCCAUUGCUGGAUCUUUACUGCCCGGAAAACUUGUCCCCGGAGCCACCCUACCGGAUGGCUCUCGGCUUCAUUAUCGAUGCAAUGGUGUGUUUUUUGAAUGCAUCCUUACUCGUGCACAUUACCUGUUUGUUUAAAUGCUUGUAUGAAGCUGGUGUGCCUUUGUUUGGAGAGUUUGAUGUGUUUUAAACUUGUAUUUAUUUAUUUGUAAGGUCUGCUAUCACUUCUGUGGCUGGUUGGGCUUCUUGGGGUCGGCGCUAAGAUGGAUAUCGUAUCGCUUACUGUAUGUGGUCACUCCUACUUCAAUGUGGUUUUUUCGGAUUGUUAAUUUCGUUGUACUGACCAUUUGUGUUGAUGCUGUGGUGAUUUGGUUUUUGUUCUUGAGGUUCUACUUAAUGGCUUGUUCAUAUUUACAUCCAACAAGAACAACAACAACAACAAAGCCUUAUCCCACUAAGUCAGCUGUAUGAAUCCAAGAAAGCCACUGCGCUCAGUUUAACUCCAAUUUUUGUUCACAUAUGUUGUGAAAUUACACUUGCAAUCGAUCAUGUUGUGGAAUUGAAGAUGAUUUCACAACCCACAUAUUGGAAAUUUUUUUAAUGAUAUAAACUGUUAUUUAAGACAAAUCAAUUAAGCAACCCAAAUGGGGUUGAUGCAUACUGGGAAGUAGAAGUUUUUUUCCAUAUGCAUCUAAAUUCAUCCAUUCUCUAAACUUAUGAAAAUCAAUCCAUCAUAAUACAUAGUUUAGCUGCUUUCAUUGUUACAUCUCUCUUCUCUCUCUUCUCUCUCUCUCUCUCUCUCUCUCUCUCUCUCUCUCUCUCUCUCUCUCUCUCUCUCUCUCUUUCUCUCUCUCAAAGUUGUGCAAAUAAACUUUUGGAGAUUAUAGUUGCCAAAUUUUUGUUAUUAGUGUCGCUCCAAUUUCGAAUGAGUGUAUUAACAUCAUAAGACUGUUUGCAGGCAAUAUCAGAUAGAGGACUCGAGCUGUUGUCAACAACUUUUCUGUUUAGUGUUCUGGUAAGAUAGGGAAUCUAUUCACAUAGUUUUCUAUGUUCCAGUUAUAGCAUUUGAAAUGGACAGUAAUGUCACAGAUGGUAAAGUGUGUGCAUAACUCUUGGUAUGAUUGUUUAAGAUAAAACUAUCUUUCUAUCAACUCAGACGAACGUUAUGAGUUAAAAAGCGAGCCUAUCAAUGUUUCUGGUUUGCUCUCAUGCGGAAGAGAUUCCAUAUUGGCAUUGCCACAACCUCAUUGUAACUGGGAGAGUGUUCACUUUGAAAGACCAAAGAUAAGCCAAAACUUCAUUAUGAAAUUAAUUGGAUGGGAGAAUAAUUACGUCAUUCUGGCAUGCAAAGAUAUAUGGAUAAAAAAUAUCAGCUUUCAAGUAGUGUUUCAUAUUAAUGUAUGCUGCAUUUACCUUUUAUGGGACCCCACAUGGUAAAGAAUAAAAUCACUUGUUCACAUUAACUUUUAUUUAACCAUAUCUUCCAUUUUCAGUGGAUGAGUAGUAGAUCAUUAUUGUUAGGUUUUCUUCUCUUAUCAAUACUUAUGUUAAUUGAUAUGCCUUUGUUUCUUUUAAAUGUGUAUUAUGUUAGGUCACAAUGGUACUUUACGCUGCGGGCUGCAAGUCGACCAACCGGGGUUCUUCCCUGAAGCCUCAUGUCACAGGGAACCUUCUUGAGGACUGGUAGUUUAAACAUAUUGUCCAACUCAUUCCAAGUGAUCUCCAUUGGGUGAAAUGGUUUAUAUUCAUAUACGAUAUACCAACUGGUAAAAUUUGUUUAUAAAUAUAAGAAAAAAACAUGUAUAUAGUGGUUUUUCUAAAAAAAUUGUUUUUGCCUCCCUUAUGAGAAUAUUUCCAUUUUCUCAAUUAGAUGAAAAUGUAUAAAGAAAGUGUUAGAAGCGGAUUUAUAGAGGGUUUUUAAUACUGAUACCGUGAAACCUGUCUUAUCAUUCCUAUCCUGGAGUCUCUGCCAUCUGCAUGAUUAAACAACCUGAAAAUUCCUCUGUUCUGAAAUUCACAUAUUUUAAUUAUUUAAAAGGGUUUUGAUUCAAAAGCAGAUUUGUCGAAUAAUCUUUUGACCGCCGAAAAGAAUCCCUGUGUUGUGGUUUAGAACAAACAGAAAUAGAUUACUAUCUUGAUUAUUUUUGUCUUCACUGCUUCAUCAUCUGCAAUGUGAUGCUUGACUACUCUUUCUUUUAUUGUCUUAAAAUUGAAGUGUGCAUUUUCUGUAUUUUACUUCAAAUCCUUGUCAAAUGCAUCUUCCAGUUAAUUGAUAUGGACACUCUUACUAUGUUUAAUAGGUGGUUUGGAAUACAGCUUAAUCCGCAGUUUAUGGGCAUUGACCUCAAGUACGUAAUCCAGUCUUCAAAUAUUCAUGACAUGUUCUAACACACACCCAUAAAGUUAGUAUACUACUAUGGUCAUAACAAUCUCUUUUUGUUAAUGUCUUAAUAAUUACUUUUGAUUUCAAACCUUUAUUAUCUUUCUUACCUGAAAUUUUCCCCUGCCCCUUCUGUACAACAGUUCCCCAUCUCUUACUGCAGUCUGAGUUUGACUACUUUCCUUUUCUAUAUUUCUUCCAUGUUUCCUCUUAUUUUUGGCCAGAGCUUGGUCCUCAUAAUUUUACCAUUUCCUCGGAUUGCUAUUACAUUUUAUACCUACUUGCAUAACUGAGACAAAAUUAGCCUGAUAUUAAUGAGAUAUAUAUAUAUAUAACAAAGAGAGAUUCUCUUUUGCAGAUUUUUCUUUGUUAGAGCUGGAAUGAUGGGCUGGCUAUUUAUCAACCUUUCGGUUCUCGCCAGAAGUGUUCAAGAUGGUACCUUGAGUCAAUCAAUGUUCCUCUUCCAGUUGUUUUGUGCGGUAAUCUGGGACCUUACAUUAUUUAUGUAUAUUGUUUCUCUACACGUUUUAAUAUGAGGUGCGUACAAAAUUAUCAUGUGGGCAUCAUCACCCAUACUAUGAUAGGAAAUUAAGCACGCAACCCUUGUCCUCCACUUGCACAUUUCUCCUUCCUGCUGUGUGUGUGUGCACAUGUUAUUACAGAUGUAUGUUCGCAUUUGUAUAUGUAUAAAUAUUCUUUACUUGUUGCAAGUGAUUGCUGAAGAUUCUGUCAUUUUCUCUCUUUUAUUUUUCAGUUAUACAUCUUGGACUACUUUGUUCAUGAGGAGUACAUGACCUCCACGUAAGAAAAUUACCAUAACGUCUAGCUGAAUAAUCCUAUUUAGUUUUAUCCUGUGCCACUGUUUUCUUUUGCCACUAUCAAAUAUCUUUUCACAAUAUGCUUCCCCUAGCAGAAUCUGCCUCAUACACAUUCUCUGAAAAUAAGCCUGAGACACAAUUCUGAUUGUAUCUUUUGUCAUUUCCGGAUUGCUUGAUUUUGCCAUUUAUUUUGUUUGUUCCUAUGUACUUCUAGUUGUAUGUUCAUUUUUAUUUUUUAUCUUUGGACAGUGAGGAAAGAAUUCAUUAUGUUUGUUCAGCUAUAUUUCUUCAUGCUUCCCUUUCAUUGUCUUUUUGAUGAUUGAGCAACUUGUCAAUUUGAGGCCAUUAUAUGUUUUGUCUUUUCAUAUUCGAUUUAUUUUUACAUGGUUUGCCCUUUACAGAUGGGACAUAAUCGCAGAGAGACUGGGCUUCAUGCUGGUAUUUGGAGAUCUAGUCUGGAUUCCGUUCACUUUCAGCAUCCAGGCAUGUAGCCUGAACUAGAGCUUAGAUAGCUCAACUGGUUUUUUGCACCCAGACACAUUUUUGUGCACACUAAAGACUUGAUUUCUGGUGCUUCCAUACACUUCGGUUGAGAACUCAGUUUUUCUAUUGUCAGCACUGUAAAAGAUAAAUCAUAUUUGGUAGCAAAACCAAAACCGUUGGCCGUUAUAUUCUUCAUUGUUGUUAAUAUCUGCAUUGUCAUUUCCUUUGGUAAAGGGAUGGUGGCUUCUGAGCAAUAAGGUGGAGUUAGGAACAGCGGCUGUCGUAGCAAAUUGCUUGACAUUUCUGAUUGGGUAAUCUUCCCCUUGUAGUUGGGGUUUGAAGCUUUAUAACAUAAUUACUCUUUGUGCAUUUGCCAACAUUAAACUUUUCAUUUCCAUACUGGUCAGGUACCUUGUAUUCAGAGGAGCCAACAAGCAAAAGCACGUCUUUAAGAAGAAUCCCAAAGCACCCAUAUGGGGUAAGCCCUGUAGGGUCAUUGGGGGAAAGUUGCUUGCUUCUGGUUAUUGGUAAGGUUCCAUCAAUCACAUUCUUUAUCUUCCUUUCUUUUUCUCAUCAUUAUUGUCAACCGUCUUCUGAUCUCUACAUAUAUAAACUGAUAAAAGUAAACAAAAUCGUAACUGGACGAACAUCACCAUGCGAAGAUAUUAUUUUGGACAAUGUCGAAUCAAUUCUGGUACUUCUAGAGGUACAAGGAAAUAGUGAUGAGAAGAAAGAAAGAAAAAAAAAAAAUGAUACAUUGACUUGAACACGAAGUUCAUCAUCCACAUUCUGAUUCUUUUGGUGCAGGGGAAUUGCAAGACACUGUAAUUACCUCGGGGACUUGUUACUUGCACUGUCUCUCAGCUUACCUUGCGGGAUAAGGUAGUUUCGCUAUUCCUGCAAAAAUGCUCCUACAAGUUCCUUACAAAACAAUUCUCCAUUUGAUAUGCCGUUCCACUUUGCAGUUCCCCAGUUCCAUACUUCUAUCCAAUUUAUCUUCUUAUUCUGCUCAUAUGGAGAGAAAGACGAGACGAAGCUCGUUGUGCUGAGAAGUACAGAGAGAUCUGGGCCGAAUACUGCCGGCUUGUUCCAUGGAGAAUAUUACCUUAUGUUUAUUAAGCUUCCUGACUCUGCACUUGUUAACUCUCAUCAAGUUUAACUUUGCAGUGGAGCUCAUACUUUCUUGUUUGUACUAUAAAAAUGCACUUCAUCGUGUCUGUUGAGUUAUUUCAGAAAAAUCAUCGUGACUGUUGAGUUAUUUCAGAAAAACGUAGUGCGUCCUUUUUGACGAAGUACCUGCACAUUUAACUAUCUUUGUGAGUUUCGGGAAUAUCCCAUUCAUAGGUCGAGAUCCACAUCUGUGAACUGAAAGGUUUGAAUUAACUCUGUAAGUAAGAAUAUCACUAGACUAAAAGUAAGCCGAUACGUUCGUUGUUCAUGUCAGUUGAAGGAAAACUAAACGCGGGCGUAUUCCAUCCACGAUUUGGGCCUUUUUUUAAGAAAGUGCUAAUUUAUUUUCCUCAUUGUUUUGAGGUAAUAGGUAUAAGAAACUGGUUAACAUCAAGAUUCUAAUGUGGGCUUGACUUGGGCUAUUUGGCCCACAAUUAUUACGUGUCUUUUGGUUUUUAACAGAUCGAUAAUAAGACUACUUUAAUCGCCGGAAGAAUUCAAACUCAGAUGUAAGAGAAUGUACUUUUCUGAUCGACUGACUUAACGUAUGUUUGCAUGUUUUUUUAAGACUAGUCCAUGCAUAAUUGAGAUAAGGCUUAGCUUUUACCUUUGGGGAGUAAUGAUAUGAUAUGCCCUUAUAUUUAAUCAUAUAAUCUAAUACAAAUUUAAUAAUAAUACAAGUGUCGUGUUAAAAAUUAGAUUUAAUAUAUUUAAUGGAGGUGCAAAUGUGGCCCUAACCAAACGAAAAAUGGUCACCUAAAAGUCAAUGAGCCAUAACCUAGUAAGAAGAGAAGGGUAUUUUAUAAUGGUUGUAGGGUUGCUUGGUAGUUGAGAAAGCAAAUCCACACACCCACAGAAUAACUAAAGAGCGGUGGUGGUAGGGUGUUCUCCCUUUUCUCAUCCUUUUGUCAUCAUUAUCUAUCUUUUAAUAUUUUAUUCUUUAUACGUAUUGAGUAAUUUUUUCUUAACCGUAAUAACGGUUUGUUAGCCUCUCUUGUUGGGCCCAUACACAUUGGAUUUGUUUUUACAAACGAUAGUAUUAAUUGGUUAAAUUGUUAAAUAUUAUAGGAAAGUUGAUAGGUGGGAAUUGACAUUCACUACAGUGCAUAGACAUUAUUGCUUUUCGCUACUGUGAUAAAGUAUCAUCUAUACGUCGGAUUUGAUUCUCAUAAAUUGGAACCAAACUCACUAAGAAAAUCAAAAUAUCAAGUCCAAUGACUCAUAUAACUAUUAAACUCACCAUAUUUAUCACAAAGUUAUAAAAACUACACUCACAUAGUCUGAUUCCUAUAUACGAGAAUCAAAUUCACAUAAAAAACGAAAGACCUUUACUCAUUAAGUUAAAAACAAAAUAAAAGGAUACACAUAUUAAACGUGAUUUGUCUGUAAAAACGAUUCUACUUUAAGACAACCAAGCAUCUUCCAAGUAAAAAAGGGAGGAGGGAAUCGGAUGCUUCUUUCUGUCAACCUCUUCUGGCCAAUAUUAUGCAUUAAGGCUGUGAAAGGGCAUGCAUGUAAAUUAACACCAAGGCGGGGAUGGGGGAUGACGUAAUGAUGAGGUACCAAACAACCCGUGAAUGUGAUGACGUUUCAUUGGAAAAGUGGUCCCCUUCAAUAAAACAAGGGAAAAGAGGAGGAAGAUAUUGUGUUGUGGACCCAGUCGAUGCCUAAUUGUCCUUGGCUGGGACCUACGCAAAUAGAGAGAGAGAGAGUGUGUGUUGUGGACCCAAUCGAUGCCUAAUUGUCCUUGGCUGGGACCAUAUAGAGAGAGAGAGAGAGAGAGAGAGUGUGUGUGUGUUGUGGACUCAGUCGGUGCCUAAUUGUCCUUGGCUGGGACCUACGCAAAUAGAGAGAGAGAGAGAGAGAGAGUUGCUUACAGUUGUGUACAUUAUUAUUUUUUAUUGUUUCCAAUUUUUGGAAAACUUGGAAAAUAAUUUUUUGUGCUAUCCUCAAUUGAUGAUGGUGAUGUUCAUGUUAUAUUUAUUAUAAUUAUAAAUUUUAAGAUUUGUGUAAUGAAUAAAUACAAAUUUUGAAAUUUAAACUCAUAAAAAUAAUAAUAAGUAAGAUGGUAAGUUAUAUCUUCCUCAACGUGUGUCCACCUAAACCAGGUGAAGGUAACUAUAACCAGUUUGGAAGUGAAUUUAUGAAGGCCCUAAUCACUUCUAGACAAAAUGACAAGAGAGAUACUUCUUCAUAAAAUCACUUAAAAAUUACUUUUAAUCAAUUUUAUCUAGAAGCAGGUGAUUUUAUCGAGAAGGACAUCAAAAGUGCUUCUUCUCAUGAGUCAUAAGUGACUAUGACUCUCCCAAAAUCACUUUCAAAUGAGUCAUACAUUAAAAGAGUUAUCGAACUAUUUUAUUACAAUAUCUUGUACAAAAAGUACCUUAUAACAUAGGCUGAGAUUCAUAGUUGUUGAUUCUUUAACCAUAAGUCAUAGGUCCCAAUCUAUAUAAUGAGUCGGUCCAUACUUGACAAACUUCGUCUUAUAAUGUAGGAAACCUAAACCUUCUGAAAUCAUUUAAGGCACCUCUUAGUGUGAGUUACCUUAAGGUCAAACAUUAAAAAAUUGGUUACAUGAUGAAAAAGUACCAAGAUGAUCCUUAAAUCACAUCUGUUCAUCGUACAUCGUGCGGUCAUAAAUCAUUGUAAAUUUUUUAUUUAAAAUUGAAUAUAAAUAGUACCUGAGAAAAAAUAAUCGCACGAUGUACGAUGAACGAAUGUGAUUAGAGGAUCCCUGGAAUCCUCACAAAGAAGAUCCAGCGAGGAUCCUCACUCUUAGUAGGUCUCUGAGCACCUCUAGUAUGCUUUAUAUUGAUGGGUCCCACUUUACCUCUCUUUUUAGGUGUCACCUCUAGAGCUCUUUCACAUCUUAAGCAUUUUGUAUUUAAAGAGAAAUUAUUGCGUACGACCAUUAAAGUAUUAAACAACCUCACAAGAGAUGGGCCCUACUUGUAGUCCUUAGUUUGGGCACACCUCGAUUGUGCUAUCGUAUAUACAGACAUAUAGAUGCAAGAAUUUCUUUUUUUUUUUUUUGCACUUCAAAAACAUGAUUUGUGGUUCUCUUUCAAUAAUUAUAAUAGUAAACUAUGUAUGAUUAGGGUUUAUGGUUAAUGUACUAAACAACUGCACAAGAAAUGGGCCCCUACUUGUAGUCCUCAGUUCAGGCACACCUCGAUUGUGCUACCGUAUACACAGAUAGAUGGAUACAAGAAUUUCUCUUUUUUCCAACUUCGAAAACAUAAUCGGCGGUUCUCUUUCAAUAGUUAUAACAGUAAACUAUGCAUGAAUAGGAUUUAGGGUUAUGUACUAAACAACCUUAGAAGAAAUGCGCCCCUACUUGUAGUCCUCAAUUCGGGCACACCUGGAUUGUGCUAUUGUAUACAUAGAUAGCUGAAUGCAAGAAUUUCUUAUUUUUCCGACUUAAAAAACAUGAUUGGUGGUUCUCUUUCAAUAAUUAUAACUGUAAACUAUGCAUGAAUAGGGUUUAGGGUUAAUGAACUAAACAACCUCAGAAGAAAUGGGCCCCUCCUUGUAGUACUCAGUUUAGGCACACCUGGAUUGUGUUAUCGUAUUCACGACAGCUGAAUGCAAGAAUUUCUCAUUUUUCGGACUUCAAAAACAUGAUUAGUGGUUCUCUUUCAAUAAUUAUAACAAUAAACUAUGCAUGAUUAGGGUUGUCUUUUACAGCAAAGAAAGAAGGUAUUGAUUUCAUCACAUUCAGAAUGCGUGAUUCAUCAUCUACCAUUCAAUAAAGGUUUUCCACCGAUUCCACGCACUUCACAUGCAGAUGGUGAUGUAGUUUGCAGUAAGCAACUACACUCACUUUUAGAUAGACGGACGUUUAAAGCAUCUUCUUUUCAUACAGCGGUCUUACCAAUUUGUAUUUUGAAUGUUUGAUCAUCAAAUUCGAUACUGAUUAAUGCCCUAAUCUAAUAUUUAAUACAAAAUUAAUAACCCUAAUCCAAUUUGUUUUGGCUUUGAAGCUGGACAAAUGUACGUGCAUGCGGACUUGUCGAUCUUGCCUGGUUAUAUACUGAUGUGCCACGAAUCUCAUUUAUCUUGAGCGACACAGAUCAUACAGGGUUAUAUACUUGUUAUUCUUAGCAGGGAUUUCACUGUAAUGUUCAUGGAGCGGGAUAUCGUAAUGCCAUCAUACUUUCCUUUAUGUCAAUUUUUUGGUUGUAUGAUGUAUGCGAUGCUAUGGAGACAACACAUGGUCGUCCUACAUACAUUACGAAGAUACUCAAUCCCGUUCUGUGAACAGUGGAGCGGGAUCUCUAUUAAAAGGAGAGGGAGAGAGAGAGGGGGCACCUAAAGCUAAAGGCAAUGUGAUGAAUCAUGGGUAGGUAGGGGUACUUGUCAAACUUUGCGUUGCGUAUGGUUAGCUUAUUAUUUGCCAUCUCUUUUUCCAAUAAGCGUUAAAGCAAGAGAGAUACUAAUUCAUUUGUGAAUGGACAGUGGAUGUAUGAACAAUCUCUCACCAACCCAAAACUCGGUCAACCGACCUAAUAAAAAUGUACACAAAUCGAGAUGAGAGAGAGAGAGAGAGAGACAGACAUGAAGAACGAAAAAAGAGAGUGAGAGACAUGAGGAACGAAAAAAGUGAGAGUGAAGAAUUAAUAAGUGGGAGGGAUGCACAUCGUCUUGCCGCGUUCAACGAUAAGCUGACUUUGAAAUGAGUGGAUGAAUGUCACUAAAGUCAACUUAUCGUUGGAAUAUUUGUCUUACUUAUUUUAAAGCCAAAUUUAACGUUGUGUGUGCGCGAUACGAGAUGCAUUACCAUUUACCAGCAUUCAUCCCACAAACGCAUUGCAACAUUUCACAAAAACACAAAAGUACAAGGCCCAAUGUAUAAUGUAUACAAAAGUCAGGCCACAGAAUUCUAAUUUUUACAAGUAAUUCUCUAUUUUGUUGAGAAAGAUAAAAAAGCUUCAUGAAGGGCGAUUCAUUUGGGAUCAUCCAUUUGCUUAAUUUAGGACCAUCAAGGAAAAAUCUUACAAGGAAUUCCCUAUUUUGCCCUUUACAUGAAACAAAGAAAAACAAAACUUCAAAAACUCAUUGUCACUCCCUCAUCUAACUACACUACAAAAUUCAUCCCACUUCCUUACAUCAUUAGCCCUUCCUCGAUAUGUAACUCUCUAAGCGGAUAAGUGGACCCCAUCAUAGGGCAUCAUGGGGGAGAUAGUAACAAAGAGAGAGAAAGAGAGGCCCAAGAGGGGGUUGGGUGAUAGGUGACACGAGAGUUUAUCGAGGAAGGGCUAUCGUUGUCAAGGAAAGGGUUGGCAUUUUCAUUCUGGUUGGGGUUGAAGGUUGGGCUUUUAUUUAAAUAUUUUUAAGGCAGAAGUGAAAAUGUAAAGUUGCAAAAAAUCUUGGAUCUCAAAAACCAACAUUUGGGUCCAAUAUAUUAAAUAAGUGUGGCAUAACAAAAUGGCGACAUAUUUCAGCUAAUCAGCAUUAUGUAUCAUGUCGCAAAUAAUGGCACGACUUAUUAAUAUCUCAUCUAAUUAGAAAUGUGGUACAAUAUGAUACGAAUUGUAAGAGUGAGUCAGUCAUAUUAGUCUGCGGUUAGUUAUUUAGAAUUGUGUAUAGAAAAAUAUUCCUUGUGCGAUUAGGAUUUUUAUAUUUCUAACUAUGUUUUUACAACACACAUUAUAAGCCUAUAUAUUCCUCCUUGUGGAGGAAAUGAAGCAUUCUAAAUAACCUGCGAGAAGAGUGAUCUAGUUGAAGUAAUUGUUGAGGGAAACACACUUACAACAAAAAACUUUGUGUAAUAAACAUUCUAGGUUGGAAUUAAGUGGAAGUGUAAUGACCUAAAAAUUUUUAAGUAUACAUUCGUUAUACCUUGACAACUUAUGCCCAUCAGGUCGGGGUUUGACGAGAAAAAUAGAACAUGAGCAAAUAGGAUAAUUCGGUUGAACCCUAACUAGGACCACAAGUACUCGAACUGAAUCAUCGAAACCCAAAUCGAACCUCGAAAUGUCACACACAAGCUCAAAUCAAAUAAAAAAGGGUUACUGAUGUGAAGUUGGUUUCACAUGUGGCACGGGGCCAUGUUGAUGUAUGUAAAAGUCCCACGUUAGAAAACUAACCAAACCACAAACUUUGAAUGAAUGAUUUAUCAUCACUAAUUGCAACGACACUUUAUUUAUAAAACCACACAUCUAUUAAACUGCACAAAUGUAGUUUUAUUUUAUUUUUUAAUUUUUCCAGGUACAACGAUAUUUUGCUCUGAGAGAAGAGGAGAUAGGCUAAGUCACACAAUGUGCCAAACAGUAACCACAAAUCGAACUUAACACACAUAUAAUACGUGAUUCUCAUUCAUGUGAGUCAAAUCUGAAACCUUAUUUAUAAAUGAAAAAUGAAUAUCAUCAUACUGUAAUACUAAUUGGUACUAUAUUAUAAUUAAGUUGGAAACAAUAUCAAAAUUAAUCGUUAGAAGUUUGAACCAUCUCUAAUAUUUUUUGACAUAAAUGAUUUGGUCUUCUUAAUAUUUUCAUUUACUUAAUAAUAUAAUAAAUAAAUAAUAAGAAAAAAGGACAAACAUCAGAACUCACAACCAAUCAAAUAACAAUCAUUGUGCUUUCAAAAACCUUAACUUACGUCACAUCAAAUUAAAGCACCUCUUUUCAUAAUUUCAUUACAAAAAACCGCACUAGUCUGCCUCUGAGGAGAAAAAGAGUUUACUUAAUUCCAAUCCGCAAUAAAAAAGAAAUAAAUUUUUUGUGUAAAGUUAAAUAGACCAGUUCUUUAGAUCACAUUAAUAUAUAUUAUAUAAUAUACACUUAAAUAAUAAUUAAAUAAUUAAUAAUUAACAAUCAUAUCAUAUAAUUUAUAAAAUAUAUUUUAAUCUCUUUUAUCAUUACCUAAUUUUCUCCGAGUAUCCUCCCACCUGGAGUCCAACUUGUAGAUUCAUUUUUGUCAGUAUCCAGUUAUUUAAUACAAGAUUGAUAUCUCCACAUGUUUCUCAGUGCCCUAACCUAUAGCAUGUGAGAAUUUAUAUGAAGGGGCAUGCCCCUGCAACCUUUUUACUCCAAUCAUUAUUUGACGGUCAAAAAUAUAUUAUUUUAUAUCGUAUAAUUAUUUGAUGGUAAAAAAUACACAUUAAUUAUAUCGUAUGGAUUUCAAGCUAAUUUUUCUAGAAUGUUUAGGUUUAAAGUUAUGAAAAUAAAACAUAUUCAAAAUAAAAUUGAACAUGCAAGUAGCCCUUUACCACAAUGGUGGAAAGAAAUUAAGUCCUUACAUAAUGGCGUGGGUUUGAAUUACAUCGAUGACUAAUCUAACAAAUUCUGUCGUUUGACAAAAAAAGAAAAAUGAACAUAAUGAAAAUAUAAAAAUUGAUUUCAAUAUAAAUACAAGUAGCAAACAAAUGUAGAAGUUUAGAGUAUACCAGGACUUUUAGAGAGAGUGGAGAGAUGCAAAAUUCAUUAAACUGACGGGAAAAAAAAGAAAGGAAAGGUUGAGAGAGGAGAGAGUCUGAGUCAGACAAAAAUAUGUAGACUAAUAAUAAUAAAGUAUUACCACGUAGUACUACGGUCUAGUGAUAUUUUUUUUUCACUUGUAGGUGAGAGGUAUUACGAUCGAUUAUCGCCAAAUGCGAAGUUGAACCACAUUAUUAUGGCAAACCCUUUGUAAGGCUUAGCCCAUUUCCCCACCCCUUAGUAUAGAUAUUAUCAUUUGUUAAAAAAAAAAUUAAUAAGAUGAAUUAAAAAAAUAAAAAAUAUUUGGAUCCUAAAGAUAAUUUAGUAUGUGGCCUAGUUGGACACUUUUAAAAUACAGUUAAAUAAACGCUCAUCUGCUUUAUUUUACAGCUGAUCAUUCUUAAAGUAUAACAUAAGCAGUUUUUUUAAAAGCACAACAAUCCCAAACUGGCCCUUAGUCCAUCAAAGCCAGUAGAGUCUAGUCCUUAAAGUUAGUCUAAUCUGAUAUAGUUCGGUGCAACAAAUACACCCUAAGUAGUCCCAAAUAUUUGGAUAAGCACGUGAGGUUUCGCAACCAUUUUAAUAUUAACAGAAAAACAGAUAUAAAAGUAUAAUUUCAAAUUAAAAAGAACAUAAUAUCAUUAGUAUUGUUGUAGCCUAUUUUAUCUGACUAAGGGGAGAGGGCCGGUGGCAAGGGAAGAGAGAUGUUUUUGUAGAAUCGUAGGGGAAUGCGUGUGUUGAGAAUGUGUUAUCCCCCUACGUAGUGCCUUUAUUUACAGUAAUAAGAGGGGAAUGAAAUCAUUCAUCGAGUCCAUAUAGGAAAGAAUAACUAUAAUCAAAUUUAAUCUUGGAUUUACGCAAUUACACUUAAACUAGGAAAGUUCACAACACUCCCUCUUAAGCGUAUAAAUACUCAAGGUAGAUUUCAGCAUCAUGCAGAAGUUGAGGAAGUCGACUUGUCGACACCGAUUCUGGGAACAACGCUUAUUCUCAAAAAGGUAGAAACUUGUAUGAAGUAGUAAGUCUCACUAAAAAACCCUAAGGCUAUGACAAAAACCGAGUAUGGACAAAAUUCAUAGUCCAAGGAAAAAUGCGUGAGAAAUGCAAAGUCAAAAGAAAUGUCUACGGGACGUCAUCAGGGAUAUGAUUAGCCCAAGGUAGAUGCCUUGUUAAAACCUAGUUAGGUAGCAAAAACCCUGUAGGAAAAAUGCUCUUAAUCGUAGGCAAAAAGAGUACAUUAAGAUCAAACAAGUAUACUUAAUGAUACUCCCCUUGAGUUUGACACAAUUCCAAAGAAAAAUAGCAAUGUUACAACUUAGAAAGUUUACGCAUACCAAUUCCAUGAACAAGCUUCUGAAACGUCGCCUUGGCUAGUGAUUUGGUGAAAAGGUCGGCCAGAUUGUCUUAUCAACGGAUUUGCAUGACUUCAAUCUUCUGAUGCUCUUGUUGUUGAUGUGAGAAAAAAGAACUUCGGUGCAAUGUGUUUGGUGUUGUCUCCUUUGAUGUAACCCUUCUUGAGAUAUUCGAUGCAUGUUGUGUUGUCUUCAUAGAUCAUCGUUGGGACAUCAAUGAUAGGGUAAAGAUAGCCGGAGCUUCGAAUAUGGCCCACAACUGCUCUCAACCAAAAGAAUUCCCAAAUUGCUUCAUGUAAAGUGAGAAUUUCAGUAUGGUUAAACGAAAUGGCAACUAUGGUUUGUGUAAUUGACCUCCAAGAGAUUGCGGUGCCUCCAAAGGUAAAGGCAUAACAUGUUUGAGAAUGCGCCUUGUGCAGAUUAGAUAAGUAUCCUAUGUCGGCAUAACCAACAAGGCAAGAAUGAACUAAAGAAGUGGGGGGUGCGGCAUCACUCACGCCAGUCCAAUGUCUGUGUGUUGGUGCAUUACUGUAUCUUGCCAAAAGAUUAACAUCGAAAGAAAUAUCGGGUCUAGUGCCUUGAGUUAAGUACACUAAAGCGCAUAUCUCACUUAGAUAAGGAACUUUAGGUUCCAAAAUAUCAUUAUCAUCAUCCUUCGGACGAAAGGAUUCUCGUUUUGCAUCUAGCGAUCGAACGACCAUUAGAGUACUAAAAGGCUUCGCUUUAUCCUCAUUAAAGCAACACAACAUCUUCUGGGUGUAGUUCGUUUGAUGUACUAAGAUUUCAUCUAAAUGAUGCUUUAUCUCGAGACCGAGACAGUAUCGAGUCUUUUCUAGAUCUUUCAUCUCAAAUUUCGACUUUAGGUGCUCAACAGUUCUCGCGAGCUCUUCAGGAGUUUCGAUAAAGUUCAUGUCAUCGACAUAUACUACAACCAUUGCAAAACAGGAAUGUGACUUCUUAAUGAACACACAAGGGCAUAGUUCAUUGUUCACAUAUCCUUGACUAGUCAAAUACUCACUCAAACGGUUAUACCACAUUAUUCCGGAAUGCUUCAAAAUGUAGAGUGAACACCUCAACCAAAUUGAGAGUGUGUUCCGGGGUUUAGAAAUAUUUGAUCUAGUCAAUGUAAGUCAUUCAGGAACUUUCAUAUAGAUUUCUGUAUCAAGAUCCUCAUAGAGAUACGUAGUUACUACGUCUAUCAACUGUUUUUUUUUCUUCAAUUUUUCGGAAACUACCAAACUGAUAAGGUAGCGAAAAGUAAUCACAUCCAUAAUGAGUUAAUAAGUUUCGUCAUAAUCAAUCCCAAGGUGUUGUAAGAAACGUUGCGCAACAAGACGAGAUUUGUAAUGCACAAUUUCAUUCUUCUCGUUACGCUUCCGAAUGAAAACCCACUUGUAGCCAAAGAGCUUUACGUUUGGAUGAGUAAGAGUUACAGGUCCAAACACCUUACGUUUCGCAAGUGAAUCGAGUUCGAUUUAGAUUACUUGUUUCCAUUUUGACCAAUUGGUUCUACUUCAACAUUCAUCAACGGAAUGAGGUUCAAUGUCAUCGCUCAACAUGAUCUUAGUAGCUACUGCAUAUGCUAAUGCACCGUUGACGAUCAUCUCAUUUCUACGUCAUACAUCAUCUAAGCUAGCAUACUAGACCAAAAUCUCACGAUUCUCGGGAAGAGGAUUUGUCGAUUCAAGGACAUUUCCAUAAUCUAGAAUUUCCUCAUGAAUUGGAUAAAAUGAGUAAGCGGCAGUCAGAUUCACGAUAGGCUUUUUAGAAGCCUGUGCCGUGGGUUUCCUCUUCCAGGAGUGUGAAUCUUUUGAACCAAGAACUCUGGAUUGCUUUUGUGUAGAGGCAGAUGAUUGGCUAGUCGUUAAUGUACAUGGAUCACCUAAGUUGGCGUCCCGGGCUUCUAGGAGGGAAAUCCGUCGUACAUUUGGUACAUCUAUCUUUGCAGGCGUAUGGGCAGAUCGAAUAUGUGAUCUUGUCAUUUGCGCUACAUUGGUGAAAGCAUCUGGCAUGCUCUAAGCUAUACUCUGAAGAUCUAAUAUGCGCUGCACUUCAGUUUCAGACUGAGCUGUGCAGGAAUCUAAAUGAGACAAAGUGGGAGUCGUCCACGAUAAUUCGCGUCAUUUUUCAGGGAUGUUGACAUUCUUAUCUCCCUUUAACGAGGGAAAACUGUCUCAUAUAAGUGACAAUGUGCAAAACGAGAAACAUAUCGUCUGUCAAAGGUUCUAAGUAACAAAUAAUCAAAGGAGAAUCAUAUCUAACACACCCGAUCCUGAUAGUCUCUAAAUACCCGAGGUAGGCACGUGCUGGCUGACACCCGAAUGUGACGAAGCCAUACUAACAUGCAUGCGAUGUAAUGAACAUAAAUAAAACUUGUAAAUUUAAUUAUAAUGAAUAAGCAGUUGUGGAUCGUGUUCAGAACAUACAACUAAAUCGAGACACUAGAAAGGAAAUAAUAUAAAAUCGAAUGAACAAAGAGAUGGGUCCUACACCGAAAGGACUCGAAGAUGCCGAUGCGGGAGUGUCUUGACGCUAGGAUUGUACGCCUCUAUUCUAAGUCAUGAGAGGGCGCAAAAGAAAAACAUGAGUAGACCAAGUUGAUAUAUAAAUAGUACUGAAACAGUUAUUCAAUAACGUACUAACCCCCUAAGUUUUAAGGAAACUCAAUAGUACAAUAUGUAAUAGGUUUUUUCGAAAACCCUAGCAUGCCAUAAAACCUUUGUAAAACAUAUAUCGUAUAUAAUGUGCUAAAUAGUGGUAUCAUAAUUGAUCGAAGCCACUACAUCACUUGACCCGUAGGCCAAAUAUAUGAAUAUCUUCGGACCCGUAGGCCACUACAUCACCCGACCCGUAGGCCAAAAUAAAUAUCUCCUAACCUGUAGGCCACUACAUCACCCGACCGAAACAAAUAUAAAUAUCAUCGCCCGUAGGCAGAACAGUGACCACUAGAUAAGCACAAAAACAUUGAAUAUAAUCUUUCCAAUAUACAUACAUAUAUCUCAAAACAUCUUUAUAGUAUAUAGUCAUCCAUCAUAUAUACUACAAAGAACAUAAAUUCGAUAAAGUAUGGUAUUCCAAAAUAUUCUCAGUAAAGCAUGAUAAUCAUAAAGUGUAAAUCUAAUUUACUCAUAAAACGUAUGCAUUAAAUCAUGCUUUUCAUGUAUGCAUUUCUCCUAUUAAAAUAUGCAUUUUAGAAGGGGUCCACUCACAGUUACUUCACUGUCGUAGAGCCAUGCAAACUAGCGAAGACGGAAACGCCACAAUAAAUGGUCCAAUUAAUAAAACAUUAUCAAAACGAUUGAAUUUGGGAAAAUAGAUGUCGGAAAUGGAUUUAGGACGUCAAAUUACCCUAAGAAAGGUCCCGGGUAAAUUUCAAAAAAGUCAACACAAAGUUAACACGAGAAUAUUCGAACUGGGUCGAGUCAAACGGGGCGGGUCAGCUGGGCUGGAUAGUUGGGUCGAAAGCCUUAGGUUGGAUUGAAGUUUGGGUUGGGCUGGGUCACAUGGCCCAAUGGGUCUAGGCCUAAAACUAAGCCAAGGGUUAAUGGGUUUGGGCUAAGUUCCAUUUGGGUUUAGUCUUGGGUGGUUAGGGUUGGGCCGGGUAGUUAAUUGGGUUGGGCGCAGAGUUGGGUUUUAGGCUAGGUUCAGGGUGGUGGGUUGGGCUGCCUCGAGUCGAGUCUGGCCCGUUAACCUCGCAGGUCAACGAACCCAACGAAGGAGAAGGUUGGAUUUCAACCGGGAAACUCUUAAACUCCGAUCGAGCUCAAAUCUUAACCAAACCAAGUCAUUCCAUAUAUCAAAAUGAAGCCCGAAAGACCAAGAAUUGAACCAUACCUUUGGUUCCCACAGUCGUGGCCGGAGUUAGCCAGAAAAGAGCUCAAAGCCAUCAGAUAUUCGCCGAAAACUUGGAAAAAUACUCCCCGAGCUUAUCUACAAUCAAACCACUCCAAAAUUGUCUCAAACUUCACCUAAACACCCUACUUAACCCUAUCUAGGUUGAAUUAGGACCUCGAAGGAAGAACACAUGCACAAACCACUCCAAAAUUAUCUCAAACUUCACCUAAACACCAUACUUAACCCUAUCUAGGUGUAAUUAGGACCUCGAAGGAAGAACACAUGCACAGUGACUGUGCACAAUGCAGAGAAAAAGAGAACGUGAGAUUAGAGAGGUGAGGGAGAAAAGGGAGGGUCCGAGUGGUGGUGAUGGUGGUGUGAUGGUUGCCGCCUGUGUGUAUGUAUGUUUGUGUGUGUGAGUUCGCUGGUGAGGAAGGAAAACUGAGGUUGAGAGAGAGUUUCAAGGUAGAGAAAGUGCUAUGGAAAAGGGAAGAAAGAGAGGGAGUGGGAAAAUAGGCCGGGGACAAGAAUCAAGGGUGGGCCCUUUCGGCACACCAAUUAAGGCAAAAAACAACCUAAUUAAAAAAUAUCUAGCCCAAGCACAAUGAAAUUACAAAAAUACCAUUUCAUUUUGUAAAUUUUGGGACAGGUUGUUACAAUAUACCCUCGUUAAGAAAAUUUCAUCCCGAAAUUUGAAAUAACUUGUUACACUGAAAAACUCGAAAAUAGGGAGAAGGAUAUAUAUAGGUUCAAGAGACAAAGAUUUUGACAAAUAUUUCUACUCUUUAUUUAAACCCUUAGAUUAAACCCAUUUUAAAGGUUAGGAUUGCUUUGAUAUGUUGACUAUUUUGAAAUAAGAACGGAAAUUAUACAUUUAUACCUCUGCAAUAAUGAAAAUUAUUAUGAUAAUAUUUUGAUUUCUCUCUUCUCAUCUCUUCAAAUUCAAAAAUAAAAGGUUUAUUCCUACUUGGUCCUGCUGAUGGUAUGAAGAAGAAGGAUGAAAUAGGAAGAGUCGAAAUGACAUGGGAUUCAACUUGUUUGAUUCAUAAAGUUCUUGUAGUCUCGUAUCUUAUUUUCUUUUCUAAUCUUUAGGCAUUUGAGGAUAAAUAAAAGAUCAAAUUUUGGAUUACAAACACCAAUUUUUUUUUCUUUCUAAGACUCCUUUUGGAAUUGGGGUGAAAUUGAGGAAUUACAGGCACCACCGCCAUAAACCCGAACAACACUAGAAUGCUCCAAAUCAAACUAAGGAGCCAUUGCUUGCAAACCAGUUGGUCGAAGGAAAUUCUACAUACUUUGCUGCUAAAUGUAUAAGAUUUAAUGGCGUUAAAUCUUUUAAGAUAUACGUAGGAGAUAGAAUCACUAAUAAUAAUUUUUCACAAUUAAUGAAUUUUAAUUUCCUUUCAUAUUUCAAAUUAGUAAAUAAACUAGUGCGAUCUUAACCAUUAAAAUAGCUUUAAUCUAAAGGCUCAAAAGAAGUGUAAAAAAAUUUGUAAAAAAAUUUGUAAAAAAAUUUGUCCCUUAAUCCUAUCCCAUAUAUAUAUAUAUAUAUACACACACACACACACACACACGUAACAAAUAAAUCAAGUCAGAGCAGUUGCACAAAAGGGAAAAUGCCACCCCGUCGCGAUCAAGUUGCAAUGAUUCCAUCUUUCGUGCGUCCAGGUUCAUACCUUCUUCCCCCAUUAGUGGAAAAGUAUAAACAUACUUUAUAAAGAUAUAAAGUCGAAAACAUAUAAUAAUGUAAGGUUAAAAAAUAGGUUCGUAUAGCAAUAUAACUUCAAAAUAGGGUACAUAUUGAAAUAAAGGUCGAAAACUCGUACUGAAAUUACAUUGAAAGUGGAAAAGACUCGACCAACAUUUGUAACGUCAAAAAUACAAAUAUAUAACUAUAAUAAGGUAAGUUAUAAUACUUGUACUGAAAAUCCAAAUCAAACAUGAAAGUGGGUCUCGCCCCAGCAUACGUAAUGCCACAUACUUCGAGAAUAGGUGUGAUUCUUUGGGUCGAUCCUUAACAAAAACUAACUAGUAACAACUAUCGCCGAUGGGUCUACCUACCCAUUUGCUUAACAAACCCAAUGAAUAAGUUAUCGAUACAACAGUCGGCUGCCCGCGAUAUUGACCACAAAUUGUUGUCUCGAUAAGUAAGCAGUAAUUUCCCAAGGGUGCACAAUUUCCCAUAUCGUAAAUUCGAUCCUCCAAAUACCAGUUCACAAAACUCCUCUAUCAACCAGUGUUGCCUGUAAAAACUCUCGUACCAUGUCUCAAAAGUGCCACCCAAAACAAAAAAAAAAACUAGCAUCGUAACCACUUCAAAUGAGAUCGGUGCAAAUUCUAACCAUGUUGCAACCACAGAACAAGCGAACAUGACACGUCUUCCUAGGUUUAGAUAGCUCGUUCAGACGUAUAACUGUCUGGGAAUGAAAUGCAGUACCGAAUAAACAACUUAGUACCCAAGGCCUCCAAGAGAAACUUCACAAAACUUAGAAAUGGAACGCGUAAAGCAAUGAGGCAUCAAAGUGACGACAUACCCUAAAACCGAAAAAGUGAAACACACAGUUAAGUGAGCUGAUUCAAUGAACAUUUCCCUCGAAUUUAGCAAACGGCUAUUCAGAGAAGGCUAAAAGAACACUCAAGAAUUUAAAGGUCAAAACAAGUCCAAGGAUAGAAUGGUUCACAUCAUGCAGUUCCAAUCAUCAAGAGGUACAUGCGUUACUCGAUCCUGCUGCAUUAACGUGCAGCCAACAUUGAAUAAAACACCACCGCAGGAAUUCGAAAUGUAAAGGUUACGAUCAGAUGAGACAAUACCCCGUUGUCAGAAACUUCGUUUGCCAUCAGCAUCACAAUAAAACUGACUGGUUUCUUAGCCAAAAAGGAAAUAGGUCUAAGCUCAAAGAGUAGUUAAGAACUGCUGAUAGGCCAAAAACAUUUCGUAUAUCAUAACACCAUGUGAGGAUUUCCAAAGGUUGUAACCCUUUUUGGAAAUUGAUGAGAAUAACGUCUACUACCAAAAAAAAUUCUCAAAAAGAGUAUCGACUCUAAACAAAAACAACAUUUGAAGAAUUUGACGUACAAUUGACUGUUGAUCUUUAGUGAACUUAACCUCGUGGUUGAAGUAAGCAAGAAGGUUAUCAAUAAAACAAUCAUCGAGAAUUGUUCUAAGGAUCCACACAAGUUUCCACAAUGAGAACGAGUCAAAGGACAUUAAUUCGAUCCCACCAACUAACACUUACUAAACUUCGCAACAUCUAGCGCUUACUCGCUCUCUCUAACACGAACUUCGAAUAUUUCAAAUAACUUCAAUAAAGAUGUGACUCUGCCCGUUAUUCCUAAAGAACGCAUGUCGCACAGUGACAUCACCAAUUCAGAUCUUACAACUCAAAUCACUUAAAUCUUUUCGUUUCACGUUAGAUAUGACUCUGCCCGCCCUUCAUAGGGAACGCAUGUCGCAUAAUAACAUCACUGUUUCGGGUCUUCAGUUGGUCUUAACCAACUCAUACCACAAGUAUUUUUCGUUUCCCAAAACUCGUAUGUAGAUCCGACUACGCCCGUAAUUCCUAGGGAAUGCAUGUUGUAGAGUGGCAUUACCAUUUCGGAUCCUCAACUGGUCUCAACCAACCUUCUUCUAACUGAGAUUUUCUAAAUCGCGUCACUUCAAUGUAAACACUAAAUCUUCCCGUAAUUCCUAGGGAACACAUGUUGCAGAGUAUCGGUCUGAUGUUGAAAGUCAUCAAACAGUCCAUUUCUUCACCGAUGAGGCAUAAUCCCGACACGAAUUUUCUUCUUCUUCAAUAAGAUGUGACUAAUCAUGCAGAAUGAGGGUUGCACAAACGUGUCGAAAGACAACAAAUCCGGAAGUCUUGACAUCUAAAUGACGUCAUGACCGACACAUUACUACAAUAAAAGAAGAUCCUAAAUAUGCUUUGCACAAACCACAUUCUGAUACCAAAUUGACAAGCCUGACCCUGAUAUUUUCUAAAUACUCGAGGUAGGCACGUGCUGGCCAACACCCGAAGGUGACGAAGCCAUACUAACAUGCAUGCAAAGUAAUGAACAUAAAUAAAACUUGUAAAUUUAAUUAUAAUGAAUAAGCAAUUGUGGAUCGUGUUCAGAGCAUACAACUAAAUCGAGACAUUGGAAAGGAAAUAAUAUAAAAUUGAAUGAACAAAAAGAUGGGUCCUACACCGAGAGGACUCGAAGAUGCCAAUGCGGGAAUGUCUUGACACCAGGAUUGUACGCCUCGAUUCUAAGUCAUGAGGGGGCACAAAAAUUAAACAUGAGCGGACCAAGUUGAUUUAUAAAGUGUAAAUAUAAUUUACUCAUAAAACGUAACCAUUAAAUCAUGUUUUUCAUGUAUGCGUUUCUACUAUUAAAACAUGCAUUUUAGAAGAGGUCCACUCAUAGUUACUUCGCCGCAAACUAGCGAAGACAGAAACGUCACAAUAAAUGUACCUAAGCACAUAGAGGGUCCAAUUAAUAAAACACUAUCAAAAUGAUUGAAUUUGGGAAAACAGACAUCAAAAUGGAUUCAGGACGUCGAAUUACCCUAAGAAAGGUCACGGGUAAAUUUUGAAAAACUCAAUAAAAAGUUAAAACGAGAAUAUUCCAUCCGGGUCGGGUCAAACGGGCCACUGAGUCAACGGGCAAGGUCAGCUGGGCUGGACCUAAAACUGAGCCAAAGGUUAAUGGGUCUAGGCCUAAAACUGAGCCAAAGGUUAAUGGGUUUGGGCCAAGUUCCAUUUAGGUUUGGGCUUAGGUGGUUAGGGCUGAGCCGGGUAGUUAAUUGGGUUGGGCCCAGGGCUAGGUUUUGGGUUGGGUUCAGGGUGGUGGGUUGGGCUGCCUCGGGAUGGGUCUGGCCCGUUAAGCUCGUGGGUCAACGAACCUAUCGAAGGAAAAGGUCGGAUUUCGAUUGGGAAACUCUUAAGCUCCGAUCGAGCUCAAAUCUUAACCAAACCAAGUCAUUCCAUAUAUCAAAAUGAAGCCCGGAAGACCAGGAAUCGAACCAUACCUUUGGUUCCCACAGUCGUGCCCGGAGUUGGCCGGAAAAUGGCUCGAAGCCACUGGAUACUCGCCGAAAACCUAGAAGAAUACUUUUCGAGCUUAACUAUAAUCAAAUCAUUCCAAAAUCGUCUCAAACAUCACCUAAACACCCUAAUUAACUCUAUCUAGGUGUAGUUAUGAGUGGGAUCGACUUACCUCAAAGGAAGAACACGUGCAUAGUGAUUGUGCACAGUGCACAGUAUAGAGAAGAAGAGAGCGUGAGAUUGAAGAGGUGAGGGAGAGAAUGGAAGGUCUGAGUGGUAGUGAUGGUGGUGUGAUGGUUGCUGCCUGUGUGUGUGUAUGUUUGUGUGUGUGAGUUCGCCGGUGAGGAAGGAAGAGUGAGGUCGAGAGAGUGUGUGCUAUGGAAAAGGAAAGAAAAAAAAAGGAAAGGAAAAUAGGCCGAGGACAAGAAUCAAGGGUGAGCUCCUUGGGCACACCAAACCAAUUAAGGCAAAAAAUAACCCAAUUAAAAAAUAUCUAGCCCAAGCACAGGGAAAUUACGAAAAUACCCCUUCAUUCUGUAAAUUUCGGGAUGGGUUGUUACAAUAUCCGACAUAGAUUCCCAUCUUUCGUUGAGGCCCUAUUUUUGUACGUAAGGGCGGCGAAAUCGGCACAUAAACUGCACAAUUAGAAACUCGCAGAUGCAAUAUGUCGGGUUCGUAUCUAGUAACCAACUAAAUGGCGCUAUAUGGUUGGGUCGCAACAGGCUUCAGGCGGACUAACAUGGCUGUGUGCAAUAUUGCAUGGCCCCAAGCAGUGAUCGGGAGCUUGGUACGUAUGACCAACGAUCGAGCAAUCAUUUGUAAGCAUUUAAUGAAUGCCUUUGCCAGACCAUUUUGGGUGUGAACAUGGGGUACUAGAUGUUCAACUUCGACCCCAACCAACAUGUAACAGUCAUCAAAAGUUUUAGAUGUGAAUUCUCCAACAUUAUCCAAUCGAAUAGAUUUGAUCAGAUAAUCAGGAUGGUGAGCCCUGAGUUUGAUAACCUGAGCCAACAGUUUGGAGAAUGUAGUGUUCCUUGUGGACAACAAGCACACGUGUGACCAACAUGUGGAAGCAUCGACCAAACCCAUAAACUAUCUAAAUGGUCCGCAUUGAAGGUGAAUCGGUCCACAAAUGCCCCCUGAAUCCGUUGUAGAAAAAUGGAAGGAUUCAAAUGAAUCUUGUCAUAAGAAGGCUUAGUAAUAAGCUUUCCCAUUGAACAUGUUUGACAUGCGAUUCCUUGAAUCGAACCUAAACUUCAGGUUAAUAGAUGCCCGUGUGAUGAUUUGAGGAGACGGUGCAUCACUAUUCGUCAAAGAUUUCCCAAAUGAUCAUGCCAAAUUGUAAUUUCGUGCGUGGUCCCAGAGGUAGGGUCGGCCAUAUAAUGGUUCUCUAUGAGGCGUAUGGUCAUAGUAUACAGACCACUUGGGAUACGCUUCAUCUUCUCUAGAAUACGCUUCUAGACAUAUUCAUAGAAAGUUAUGCAUAGAAAUUCAACUCCAUUUUCUAAAUGGGUUUCAUCGUGGUAAUUGUUAUCUUUAAUGUCCUUAAAACUCAACAAGGCUCUUCCGGAACGUGGAGAAUAAAGUGUCUCAUCAAUGGUCAAGAUUGUACCAUUUGACAACAUUAUACGUGCCUUACCGUAUCCUUCGAUUAGGUUGGAUCAGCCUGAGAGGGUUGUCAGAUGUGCAUUAUUAGGUAUGAAGUUAGUGAAAUAGAUGUGUUCACACAAAACGGUGUGUGUGGUUGCACUAUCUUCCAGACAACUAAUUUCCCCACUAGUCAUAUGUAAAAUGAAAAAUUAAUUUGAAUCGAUCACAUGCAUAAAAGUUCUUAAAACAAAUAUCCAUUCAAAAUAAUUUAAGUAUUCAAGGCCGAAAAUUAAUUAAAACUUAAUAUCCAAAAAAAAUCAACAACAAAUAAUCCAAACGUAAAGGAAAAUUGUUCAAAAUUAACCAAAAACAAGGAAGGGGUUCGGCCACUACUAUGGAAUUUGGCCCCAUUGUCUUAUUUUAACUAGAAAAUAAGUUUAUGUCUAAGAUUCUAAUCUUUCAUAGGUGUGGUAUCCUCUUGAAAGACAAAAACCACCAUUUUGGUGCUCUCCGGUUCAUCCACUUGCACAAAGUUUGAUUCAAACUUCUUACGACGAGAAUGAUAUUCGGCUAUAACCUUCUGGGGAGCUCAGCAAACACAGAACCAGUGGUCCUUAUAACCACAAUUAUAACACAUAUCUGCAUCCAUAGUUUCAUGUGAUUUACCCUUAUUCUUGAAGUUUGGCGCAUUGAGAGCGAGGUUAGGGCUUUUUUGGGCUUUGUUUCCUCCCUUAGAUGGGUCUUGGCUCUGUUGAACUUGACGGGAUGGCUUCUGGCCGCCCCUACCACGCCUCUUUUAGUGUUUUGGGCGUUGGUUCGUGCUAUAGUGUGCUUCAGGCACAUCAGUUGUCCUAGUAGGUCAAGCUUGAUGAUUCUUCAUCAACAGCUGAUUCUGCUUUUCAGCGAGAAGUAAAACAGAGAUCAAAUCCAAGAACUUGGUAAACUUCUGAGCUCUAUAUUGUUGCUGCAGGACAAUAUUAGUAGUAGAGAAGGUCGAAUAUGUCUUUUCCAAAAGAUCAUCUUCGGUCAAAGUUUCGUUACAAAACUUAAGAAAUGAUCAGAAUCGACAAACUUCAGAAUUAUAUUCAUUCACAGACUUAAAGUCUUGGAAAUGCAAAUGUUGCCGAUCAUGUCUUACUUCCAUUAAGAAGAUGUCCUUUUGGUGAUCAAAACGAUCAGCCAAAAUGACCCAUAAUGCUUGUGGAUCCUCCUAAACAAGGUACUCGAUAUGUAAUGCGUCAUGAAUAUGUCUUCGGAUGAAAAUCAUGGCAGUGGCUUUAUCAGCUUCGCCAGCCGGGUUGUCCGUCUCAUCUUUAAUGGCAGGAUGCAAAUUCUUUGCAGUGAGGUAGAGUUUCACAUCUUGGACUCACUUGAGAUAGUUCUUUCUAAAGACCUCUAAAGCAGUGAAGUCGAGUUUGUUCAAAUUUGAUAUGUUCCUAUCAAAAAAUAAGUGGACAAGAUAUGGUUAGUGCAAUGGAGAAAAAAAAAAUCAAUUCAUUCACAUAGGAGUAGAACAUUCAGGUUCUAAAAGACAUAUAUUGGUUAAAAUUCACAUGAAAAAGCUUCGGGUUUUCAUGAGUGAUGUUUUUAAUGAAAACUUCAGGUUUUCAAACAAGGCAUGUUUAUAGAAGCUUCAAGUUUCGAAAUAAUUAUAAACUUCAAGUUCAUAUGUUCCUUCAGAUAAACGCAAAUAUAUAUAUAUACAUAAAUAUACAACAAGGAAAUAUGCAAAUAGAACCUCAGGUCUAUAAUUAUAAUUGAAUUAAUUAUUUGGACCUUGGACCAAAAUUAAAGUGUGGGUGAAAAAAUAUAAAACCCAUUAGGCUUAAAAAUAAUUAGGCAAUUAAAUACGAGGCCCAAAAUAAAAGGCCAAAGCCCACGGAUGGGCUAAUGAAAAUAGGUGUCGUGCAUCCCACGCCCAAAUAUUGAACGGGUUUGGUUUCGGGCCGAGUAGACAUGCAGGCCCAACAUCACAAAGUAAGCAGUUAUAUUCGCAAGCCCAAAGUAGAAGCCCGUGAAAGGUGCGGAUUGGCUGCGAUACGACGCAUGUGAGAGACGGCAGGAGCCCAGAUAGAUCUCGGGCCAGAUCAUCAUUAAAGUCUAACGGGUUGGUGAUGUGGGUUGAAACUCACGGCACAAGCAUGCCCAAUAACAUGGGUGAUGUGCGAAUAGACCGAAUGGAAAUUGAGGCCCAUGAAGGCUCAGGUUGGGACCUUCAGGCCACCCCAUUAACACUGGGUGUGGUGAUCCGCUGAAAUUAAGUCGACGGCUCCAUGGUCGGUGCAAGCUAUAGUUCAUCGGAGAACCAAGUUUUUGUCGACGGAGGUGAAAUCUCAACAUCGGGGUAAGGAGAACCGAAAGAAUUCAAUCGAAUUCGAAUAAAAACUCAUGAAAUUCUUCUGGAAUUUCGAGAAAUCGUUGGUAAAAACUAUGAGUUUCGUCCAAAUUACACGACUGCCAGUCGUGUUUCGAUGGAAAAAUCAACGGGGAAGACCUAGGCUUUAGGCCGAGGGUUGGGACAGUGGUGCCUCAAUGCACCGUUAUGAUUUUUGGGCUUGCAACCUGGGUUUCGAUUCUGGGCUGGGCUUGUCGAGCCGUUGCAGGUUGCUGGCUUGGUGCUAUCGACUUGCACGAUUUGAGGUGAGGUGUUCUAAGAACCCUAGCUUUCCCAAUUUCAAUUUUUUUUCAAUUUUUUCAAUUCAAUUCAAAUAUUUUAAUGCAUGGACAUAUAUUUGAUGCAAUUCAUGGCACUAUCAAAUUCACAUAAUUCAACAAUUAUGAAUUUAUACACAAUUGAUGUAGAAUCUCAAAUUCGAAAAACGUAAAGUUGGGUCAUGCAUUAUGGUGAAUAUUCGUGCUAUUAGGGCUGCAAAAAUAUCGAGAUAAAAACCGUUGUUUUGGAAGAACCUGAUUGCAUGAUGAUAUGGAUUAACUGGUUUGAUGCAAUAAAAGCUCCAACGUCAGAUUCCUAAGCACAUCGGUAGAAACAUGCUGAUAACGUGUUGUAGCCUAUUUUAUCUGACUAAGGGGAAAAGGCUAGCAGCAAGGGAAGAGAGAAAGGAAAGAUGUGUUUGUAGAAUCGUAGGGGAAUGUGUGUUAAGGAUGUGUUAUCCACCCUACGUGGUGCCUUUAUUUAUAGUAAUAAGGAGAGGAAAGCAUUCAUCCCCAAGGAAUACAAGUCCAUAUAGGAAAGAAUAACUAUAUCCAAUAUAAUCUAGGAUUUACACAAUCACACUUAAACUAGGAAAGUUCACAACAAGUUUAAAAUGUGUCUAAUUAUAUGUACGUGUAUUAUAAACUAACAAAAAAUUUAUGUUGUCACAUGUAAGUAAUGUGUUCGCAUUGAUGACAAAAGUUCCAACACAAUGAGUGACGUAAUCAAUAAAGUACGAAUAAUUAUGUUUUAUAUAAAGACGAGUGUUGACAAUACAUAUUUUAAAUUGUGCUGAUGACUACUAUUUUAAUGAUUCGUGUUGACAAUGUAUUUUCAAACAAUCAUUGUAACCAUCAUGUCAAAACGACUGGGCUCUAAAUUUGGUGCCAUCAAACAAAAAGAAGGAUUCCAAACCAAUGAAAUGGUACACAUAUUGAUGAAGUAAUGGUCUUUUUAUGUAACACCAUUUCAACUUCUUUCCAAAAUGGUUUCAAGUAAGAAAUAAGGAAUGAAAUUUCUAACAGACUUACUCAAACUAUUUCUUGUUUUAAUUGAGAAAAAGAAGAGGUCGGAUUGUGUUUACAUGAAAUUAAACAACUAGAUUUUGGAGUUUUACAAAAGAGAAAAAGAAGGGGAAUAUAAAACGUGAAUCUUACUUUUAUGAAGAAAUACAAUAUGUAUUACAUGAUACAAAUAAUUCAUGUUAUUUUAAAGUCGUUCUACUUGCAUGGACAUCGAAUGUCAAAUCCGCAUUUACAACAAAUCUCUAAUGUGUUCACAAUGACGACAAAAGUCCCAAAACAAUGAGUGACGUAACCAGUAGAGUGCACACAAUUUUGUUUUUUUAUAAAGACAAGUGUUGACGAUACAUAUUUUAAAUCGAGAGGACGACGAUUAUUUCAAUAAUUCGUGUUGACAAUGUAUAUUCAAACAAUCAUUAUGACCGUUAUGUCAGAACUACCGCAGUCAAAAUCUUGAGCAACCAAACAAAAAGAAGAAUCCCAAACCAAUGAAAUGAUACAAACAUUUAGAUUGUCUAACCCCACACCAACACAGAUAUUUAAUCCCUAACCCUAGUAAAAAGUAGGGGAAUCCUCCAACCAAGUUGCAUAUUUUAUUUUUCACUUUUGGCCAUGAGUGUUUGGAUAGUGUUCUUGGGUACCUGUCGAGUUUUGUUUGCUUCCCCCGCCCGAAAAACCUUACAACCAAAAAGCACGACUGCAACCAAUGCAUGCCACUUUUACUUUUUUGUUCGGUCGGCAUGCAUGACACUUGCCCCCAACAAAACACCAAACCCUAACCCUAAUUUCAGUUCCAUAUUUAUCCUCAUCUUUUCAGUAAUUUCCCUAAGUCAGCACGGCACUACGAAAUAAAGUUGUCACCUACGCGAAUUUAAUUUAACCAAACUCAGUACGAAAAGACAUAAAUGACACUGAAAAUACAGAAGCAAAGAAAGGAGAGUUUUCAGGGCUGGUUUAGUAUUACUGUGCUUUGAAAAAAAACUGCCGUGAGAAUAAGCGGCUGUGCUGUGAGAAUAAGCGACUGUGAAAUAAAUUAGCAGAGUGUUUGGUAAACUUUUUUGUAAAAGUGCUUUUGGAAAAAAAAAACAAUCUAAUAGUAGGUCUUUUCAUUAAAGGAGCACUAUAGCUCCGUGUGCUUUGAAAAAAAACCAAUUUUUCAAAGCUAUAAAUAACAACUUCAGCUUUUUCCUUUGAUUUCAGCUUAUUCUCACAGCAACUUCCAAAAUAAGCCCUUUUUUUUCAGUUUACCAAACACCUAAAACCCUCACAGCUUUUUUUCAUGAGUGCUUUUUUUUUAAACACCUCACUCCCAAACCACCCCUCACUGUCUCCUAAACACAACCAGCCAUAUGUUAUUAUAUCAAUGAAGGAAUACUUAAAAAAACUUUCUUUCGCAAACAAUGCUACUAUUACCGUCUAUUUAUACUAUCACACAAAUAAAGAUAAGAACUACACACGUUGACGAAUCUUACUUCUAUUAAAAAAAAUAUAUAUAUAUAUAUAUAUAUAUAUAUUAAGUGUAGCGUUACUCUUCUUCCACAUACAUAAAAAUCUAUAACGUUUAGCCCCGUAUACCAAGUCCAUUAAAAAAUCUUUCAAAAAAAAAAAAAGACCGCAAAUACAUGUAACUCAAUUGGUUACAAGUAUUCACUAUUACAGACCAAUGUCGAGUUCUGAUUUCUCUAAUUCCUCUAUCACCUAGUCAGAAAAAAAGAGGACACGGAAACUGUGACACUUGUCACGAAAAGAGGCAUGUAGCAUGAACAUAAGGUGGUGCGAUGGGUGAUUGUAGCAAGCGUUUUUCAAGCAGAAUAGUCAGGACAGAAACUUGAAAAGAGGGGAGAUAAGAUUCUUUGAAAUGGCCUUGGAGUCGAGAGUCACGAGCGGUGACCGACAGAUUUGGGAGUACGGUCAAGCAAAUGGAGGAGUGAGAAAGUAGAGAGAGAGAGAGACAGAGAUGACGAGAAACGAUUGGAGCACUUUACUCGCAUGAAAACCAUGUGUUGCGGUUGCUGGCAAAAGAGCAAACCACCAAAAUUAUAUUUCACAUUUCUUCACACACCUCAUCACCCUUAAAUUUCGGUUUUGAUCAAAUGGGUUUUUGUAUCUUAGCUACCAAAACCCUAUCCCUUUCUCAUCCAAACAAAAAUAAAUAAAAGAAAAUAUUUUCCAAUGAAUAAAAAAACCAACCAAAAAUCAUAAUCCAGUUAAUUACCUCUUAAAAGCAGUUUUCAAAACAAAUUGAUACACAUCACGAACGGUAAUAAAUUUUAUAUUCAAUUCGCAUAAAUAAUAAGUUUGAUAUUUAAUUAUUAUAAAUUAUUUAUUGCACCACGUGACUCAAUCAUCUUAUAAACAAAAACCACCUGAAAUAUGCUAGCAUUUAUAUAUAUGUGUGUAUUAAGAUGCUUGUAUGUGAUGUGAUGCAGUGAUAGUGCUUAUGAAGAAAUGUUAGGUUUGAAGAUCCCAAUAAUAUGUUGACAGUUAAUGUAGUUGGAAGCAAUUGGUUUUUCAUUUGUGUGAGUGAAAAAGUAGAGACACUAAAUAAAGUUAGUGUCUGAAAAAAAGACGGCGCGCCAGACAAAAGAACAUAAAUAUUUUUGAAUAAAAGACGCAUAAUUAAUUAAUGCCUUUAUUUUUUUAUAAAAGGAGCUUCACAUUCUUCCAAUCAUCAUAAGAGACAGGUGAAAUGAAAACAGUAUAUAUAUAUGUUUGACUUUUGUCUAGCAAAAUCUUGUUGGAAUCUAUUGAUCAUGUGGGACCGGUUUAAGAUUUCAUCAAUUUUAAAACUCAACUAUGACCCGUACGACACACCGUUACGUUGAUGUUCCGGAAAUAAACUCGACACAACUACGUACAAAAAAUGCAUGAACAUAUAAACUUUCAGAUAGGGUAGCCCUAUAAUAUGGUAGGUUAACUAAUCCUCAAUAAAUCAUGAAUUAUCAAAUUAGCACUAAUCAAGAUUAUAUAUCCUCACACAAACUCUUUAAAUUUCUUAACGACCCACCACGGAAUGACCAUCAUGAACCAAUUCCACGCGGGCCAAAUUCAAUCAACACGCAAAAACCUCCCCACCUAGAAAAUGGUGAAAAGGGUGCACCAUUUUCUCAUCCAAUGAGGGGACCACUAACGCCGUAACCGAUGGCUCCGUUAGCUGGAAUCUGCCGUGAGGGUAGGGGCCAAAAUAAAGCAAAAUACAACCCCCCCUAACUAGCAUUGUGUUAAUCGCCCAAUCCCUAACCGUACGACGUCGUAUUCAUGCUAAGCCGGACCCAUUAUUGACUCUUCCACGCCUGCUUGUGCCAAGUGUCAAACUUUGGGCCAACCUCGCCCAGUAAAACCUCUUUAAUUUUCUGUUAGGUCUCGUGUAUCAGUCAGGAUUCGACGCUUCACACGCCGUGGUCGUUGGUCCAAAACCAACUUCACAUAUUACCCCUGUAGUAUCAUGUAAUUACACUACUACCCCAUGUGUACGAAUUACACUUUCCAUUUCCUAACUGAUCCUAAACAGUCACAAAUGUAGCUCAAGUAAUAUAAAACAUUUAUUACUGUACUCGUGGUCCUAAGUAUGAUCCAAUGUCCUAUGUAUUAAAAAAAUAAUUAUACAGAGGGCCAACCUGAUUUGUGGUAUUUGCCCUUUUUUUUUAUUCAAAAAUUUUAGGAGCAGAGGCUACCCCGUUUCAAGUUUGGGCAUACCACAAGCCUUCGUGAGAAUUUGCAAACAAGGUCUUAACUUUUUUAUUUUUUUAAUUUUACAGAUCAUCACCAAGAGAAGUUACCGACAGUGAAAACUCAAAUGUCUUUUGAAUUUGACUCAAUUAAAUAACGAAGAUAAUAUAUUUUUUAGUGCAUGAAAAUCAAUUAGUAGUAAGUCUAGUGUAUUUUUCUCCACUCAAUCGUAAGAGGUCUCAAAUUUAACCUACCGAAAAGACGACGGCUAUAUAUAUUCAUAUAUAUAUAUAUAUAUAAACACACACACAUAUACAUAUAUAUAUAUAUUUGUAUUGAGCGUAAUACUUAGUCGUGCAUGCCGUGAUUGCAUGGCUCUAUGACACCGUGAGUAGAUUAUAAAGUAUUUGUUAAUUAAUGUACAAAUACACAGAAAGAAACAGAAAAGUAAAGUAAAAUUAGUUUAUAUAAUUUCGUGUUUAGAAUUAUUAUAUUAAUAUAAUAAUAUUAAAGACCAAGUCGUUUACCGGGAAAAGGUGUUAUCAGUUAUAUCUAUUGGUUCCAUGGGACUUUGUGUUGUUUGGCUUCUUUCUUCUCUCUUCACAUUUCUCUCACUCCCUUCCUCAAUAACUUUUCACCAUUUUCGAUUCUUUCUGAGAGUUGAAUGAGAUCUGGGCAGUCACUUAAAUUCAGGGUAGCUCUAUAAAUCCUCUCUGUUUUUGCUAAUUUUUUAAAAAUAUUUUUCUCUGUUCUGAAGAUUUCACCGAACAGCAGAGAAUAAAGUGGCAUUAUCCGUGGAGAUUUCUGUUUUUCCCAUCUUAUUCAAUAAAACUGAAUUUUCAGUGAUUUAAAGAUCUGAAUUUUUUCAACCAGAUGCUGCUGGGUGUAAUGUUUUUGGUGAGCUGGGUAAACUCUGAUGGUUUGUUGUGUUGUUAGCUCAAAGCUGGGUUUUUUGAGCUGAAGAUUCUCAAAAUUUGCCUUUUUUUUUUCUUUGUAGCAGGUGAUUCGAUAAAAUGGGGAAGAGAAGGAUGAAGAAAUCUUGAUUUCGAGAAAUCGAAAUCGAAAAAUCCGCCUUGGGGAGAACGGAAUUGAGCGUGUUAGAAGAAAUCUAAGAACUUAACAGGUGGGUGGGUCCCUCUGAAGGCAGAGGGAUCGGUAUGGGUGAAGAGGGAGGAGAUCGGAGUUCUUGCUGUUGGAUGCCACCAACACCUUACAGGCCUAUUGUCCCAAGACCGGAGCCCAAAUUGCAGCCGGAGAUUGCGACGGCCUCGAGACCCUUGGCCUUCGGGGUAGAAGAAACUCAAGAGAAUAGAGUAGUUAUAGACUUGGAUCCGGAUCCGGAGGAAGAGAGCGGGUUUGUUUACCAUGGGGCUGGGGCCGGAGCCGGAGCCGGCGUUGAAAGUUCAACGGACGCUUAUUUUUGCCGCGUGGCGCAGUGGAGAGACGUUCCUUGUAAAGAGCUCAUGAUCCUUGCGGUGGCCUCUGCAAAUGACGGGAGUGGUGGUGCAGUGCUUGGAGAUACUCAGCGUAAGUGCAACCAAUUGAGUUUUAAUUGUUAUUUGUACCACAUUUACUGAUCGGGGCGAAUGACGGCGCAGGUGCGAACUCACGUGUGUCCGGAUCCACAUCCGACUCACGUGCGUCUCGACUCACAUCGGGCCCACGUGCGUCUGGCCCUCUAAUUAUUGGAGGACAGUUGACGCACGUGUUCUUUUUUCUCCUCUAUUAGGAGAAAUUCUUGAGUACGGACGUAUGCCUUUACCACCCACGAAAAUAGUGGGCCCAUAUUCUCUCCCUUCUCACGUGAUGAGAGAUAAAAACACACUAAGGUCAACUAACUUUUCAUAGGGUUGUUUAGUGGCAAAUGAGCGGAGAGACUUACAUGUAUACUGCUUUUUUCUCUCACGUGAGGAGAGAAGAUAGAUAUAAAAAGGGUACUAACCUGGUUGCAAGGUGAGUCCCGUAUAAAGCUUUAUACUUGAUUUUUGCUACGAACUCUAAUCUUUUACUAUCUUACACCUCAAGCAAAGCAUUUUUAAACAAAUUCAUCAGUCUUGAGAAGUGGAGAACAUAGUUACCGUAGGAGAAGCAAACUCGGCAGUCACUGAAUUUAAGGGUAGGAUAGCCGCCUUAGCGUGGACAGCCAGUUGAAGUGACUACAAAUAGCAUGAAUAUGAUAGUUGUCAGAACAAAUUAAACAUCCGAAAUGAAAAUAUUGAUAACAAGUUAUAGGAUUGUUCAGGAUUACGAUAUCUAGAAGAUAGUAAUGACCGCUAGAUACACGCAUUAUGUAUGAUAGAACAAGUAAUGAGCCAGUUUUCACACGUCAUAUGUCAUAUAUUCUGACUGCAAUAAUGAGUUGUGUAUUGAUAUGUCGUAUGAAUUUCUGAUUCUCGGUAUGAAUUUCAUCUUGGGGAACAAGUUCUCCAUGGUUAGUUGAUUACCACCAAUUUUUUUACCAGAUUUCAGAUUUAUGUUAAUUUUAAGUGCAACUCUAUAAAUCAACAACAAAGUUUGUAGUUUGUUUUUGUUACCUUUCUGAUCAGUAGAUGAACCAAUGUUUCUAUGCAGAUGAAUAUUCGUUCCCUGACAACCAUCCUUAUGAUCUGAAUGUUCCACCUCCGACUACAUAUGGCCAAUUUGCACCUAUAACACCAGAUAAGUCCAUGAGAGUAGACAGUGUUCAAAUGUCUCAAAUUCCGAGCUCCAACGCAGACGAUGGACGAGGCCAGGAGAUAGAAGAGCAAUGGGAUGCUAAUUCUGCGACAAUUAACAUAAUUGAUCUGGAAAACAAUAAGGAUAUAGAAAAAUCUGCCGUGGAUUCAUCACAAGCUACUUUCUCCACGCAGCUCCAGGAACAUUGCAACCCUGACAAGGAGGUGAACAUCAUUAUAGACUUGAACAAUACACCACAACCAAAACAAAGAAGGAGAAAGCACAGGCCGAAGGUGAUUAUAGAAGGCAAGCCAAAAAGAAACCCACAGCCUUCUGGUUCUAUGGAAAAUCCAAAACCCAAACGUAAGUAUGUGCGGAAGAGUACACUCGAGAAAAACAAAACUCCUCCACCACAGGAAUCUACAGAGCAUAUUGAUUCAAAUAAUCUGAAGCCUCCGAAGAGAUCAUGCAGAAGGACUUUAAACUAUGCCGACACAGAAGAAACAAUAGAUGGAAUUUCCUCAAGCAAGUCUUUCAAUGUGGGUUCACAAUCACAGGAGAUGAAUGUUGGCACCGAUGGAGUUCAAUCAAAUUCAACUGGACCGUGCAGGAAUGAAGUUGAAUUGGUGGCAGAUAACACCCAAGCAGGCAUAGCCCAAGAUCUCGUCCGUUCUACAAGCCGAAUGCUGAAACAUUACUUGUCAUUGCCAGACCAGCAACCUCCAGUCACACCACAACAAAUUAGAGGUUCUACUACAUAUGUUAAUUCCCAAAAGGAGGCUGCAGAAGAAAAAGGACAAAUGAGCACUUGUAGUGGACAGGCAAACACUGCACAAACCAUGUUGGAUUGUGACACUCGAUCAUCCCAACGAAGUGCAAAUGAUUCCACCUGCAGCACAACUACAGUUCUGGCAACAGAAGAAGAGCAAGCAAAAAGAUCAGAGAGAAACUAUUUGAAUGCUGUUGAGCAAGCAUAUCCUAGAACUGGAAAUUUGUUCGGGGCUAACUAUAAUAAUUUGCCGGCAUACUACAAUGUAAUGUCCUGGGUGCAUUUUCCAUACAUAUACAAGAAGAAGAGGACCGACAAGGCGCAAAAUUCUACCAUACCAAGCACCUCAUAUCGUGUGACUAUGGCAGAAAAUGUAUGGAGACCAUCGACAGCUGGCUACUUGACUUCUGGUCCUCAAGUGAAUGCUGAUAAUUUUUCAACUGCACUUGGAGAAGCAGGAAAAACCCCUCAGGAGAGACCGCAAGGUGUUCACCGUUUCCUGCCUUUGUAUCAGACAGAGAGGUCAACAAAGAGAAGAUCUAGUUGCCCUACAAGGGUCCGUGACUUAGCUUCCCUAACCAGAACACCAGAGCACAUUCUGCACAGAACCUGUCUCGUCAAACAACCACCCACUGAUGGCAAUGGUCAAAGAGUGAACCACUUUGACGGAUCUCAGACAUGCAUUGACGCGCUAGUCACAGACGUCGGUGCAACACUCGCAAAAAAGAAGAGGACAAAGAGAAAUCCACUUUCCAGUUCACAACGAGGUCUUGUAAUAUAUCAGAACCAGCAAUCUUUCGCCACUGCAUCAGGUAUGUCAGUACAUUAUUUAUUCCUGUAUGCAGGUUGUUUCCAAAUCUGCCAAGCAGCUUUCGUAACUGUACCUGAUCAUCAAUCGCAGGUGUUCCUCCAGAAGUACCAUUUGAACAACUGCUUUCUGCUAUUACUGAGCACUUAAAAUGUUUGAACAUAAAUAGAGAAAAUAGCAGCAGAUUUGCCUAUCAAGGGUAUAAUGUGAUCUCUUCUUAUAAGGCACAAUAUCAAGAGCACAAUGCACUUGUUCUUUAUAGAAGAGAUGGCACUGUUGUACCAUUUGAUGGUUCUUUUGAUCCAAUUAAGAAACGUAAAGCACGACCUAAAGUUGACCUUGAUCAAGAGACUGAUAGAGUAUGGAAGCUUCUGCUGGAAAAUAUAAAUAGUGAAGGUAUUAAUGGAACAGACCAGGAGAAAGAAAAAUGGUGGGAAGAAGAGCGUAGAGUGUUCCAUGGACGUGCAGACAAUUUUAUUGCACGAAUGCAUCUUGUGCAAGGUACAAAUUCUUUCAUUUUCAGGGAAUUCAUAUUAAGCGUAUCAUUUCAAAUCUUAUCUCAUGACUACAGUUUCUACGCAGUGCAAGCUACUCGAUGAAAAGAAAUAUGCAUUCUGUAUAUUCAUGUACUGACCAUCAUGAUAGUCUCAAGAACCUUGGGAACUCUCAUGCAUAUGCAUUAUAUACAAAUAGAACGCUAUUCUUUCAAUUUUAGAUGUAGGUUACAACUUCAUAUUCUAACAGUAUAAUAUUUUACUUUUAACAGGUGAUAGACGCUUCUCUCCGUGGAAGGGAUCAGUUCUGGACUCAGUGGUUGGAGUUUUCCUUACACAAAAUGUCUCAGACCACCUCUCUAGGUAAAGUGCCGUUUCUAUAAACUAGAGAAUGACAUUAGAUAAAUUCCAAGUGAGAAACUUUCUAAUCUGUACCUCCUUACAGCUCUGCAUUCAUGUCAAUGGCUGCACAUUUUCCCCUGAAGUCAAGGAGCAACGAAAAAUCAUGUGAUGAAGACGUUGCGAGCUUCGUAGUAGAUGAACCAGAAGUGUGCCUUAGUGAGAAUUCAAACCAGCCAGGUUGUGACUGGAGUUCCCUCACGUUCCAUGAUGCUGAGCAUAGUGAAGAAAAAGUUGUCAAUGGAAAUGAGAACUCUGGAAGCACUACUGAAGGUAUCUCAACAAAUGAAGCAGAAUGCAAGCUAUCACAUCCAUCUGAAUCUGGUCCGGGGUUGUACCCUAACUCAUUAAUGAACAAAUCAACCACCAAGAUCACAAGAACAGGAUCGUACCUGCAGGAGGAUAUGAGAACUUAUGAUGGAGUUUCAUCUCAAAAUUCUGUGGAUUCUUCAACUUCACAAACUGUGGAAAAGACAGGAUCAUGCGAGAGCAACUCAGAAACAGAGUAUCCACCUAAUAGAUGUGAAAACAGCAGUUUAGAUCACUCCACUUCGUUUGUGGAGCUUUUACAGAGGGCCGAAUCAAGUAUGCUGCAUUACAGUCUCAAGGGGACCUAUAUGUCCUCUCAUGACACAUCAAACUGUGGAGGUUACCAACCUGAAUGUAUGCAGCAUAAUGAUCAAAGAUGUGAGAUAAACAGAGAAGAAGCAUCCCUAGACCCUUCCAGUAACUGUUGUUUGAAUCUAACCCCCCACCCAGGAGUACGGCAAGUUGAGUGCUUUGAUUUGUUCGCAGAAGUAACCGAGUCUUCUUAUACAUCCAAAAAUAAAUGGGAAGACAGUCUGAGUGAAAGAAGUGUACUAACAGCAGAAUCUCCCAGUCAAGAUACAAUAAAUAAUAAGCUGACAGCAAAUGUUCAAGAAACACCAAGAUGUUCCAGAAAUUCGUCCAAUAACAUUCAGGCAGGCAAUAAUAUGGCCCAGUCUCAACUCGGGUGGGUUGGGAACUUGAAUAAUGUUGACAUACAUUCUCAGGAGCAAAACAAUAAGAUACAGCAAAGUCGCUUGAAUGUUUCUGGAGGGACCACAGAUGUUAGGCAGAAGGCAGCAGAGUUGGGUUUAAAUGAGCAGAGUAAUUCAGUAAGCAAGGAGUUCACUAGUACAAAUGCUGCUACCUCCAAAACAAAGAACAGAAGAGCUGGAAAAGAGAACAAAGAUCAACAAGAUUGGGACAAAUUAAGGAAACAAGCAGAAUCAAAUGGAAAGAAAAGGGAAAAGACAGAAAAUACAAUGGAUUCCUUGGACUGGGAAGCCGUAAGAUGUGCAGAUGUUAAUGAGAUUGCCCAAACCAUCAAAGAGCGGGGAAUGAAUAAUAUGCUUGCAGAACGAAUAAAGGUAAAAGUAACAUUAAAUAUCAUUCUGAAAUUUUUCAGUGAGCCCAUUACACAUAGAAAACCUUAUCAGCUGAAGUUGAUUGAGAAAUUUUGUGCAGGAUUUCCUUAACCGACUGCACAGAGAACAUGGUAGUGUUAAUCUUGAAUGGUUGAGGGACGUUCCACCUGACCAAGCAAAGUAAGCUUGCAGGAUUAUUCCAACCCAUUUCUAAUUAUAAAAAAUAAACUCUAAAACUAAAUCACUUACCUUCCAUGUCAUAUAUGUACUGAACAUGCAUUAUGAUUACGUGGUUUGCAUUCCAUAACUAUGUGGUGUCUAUAGAGAGUAUCUGCUGAGCUUUCGUGGAUUGGGGCUGAAAAGUGUGGAGUGUGUGAGGCUUUUGACACUGCACCAUCUUGCUUUUCCGGUGAGUAUAUAUUAAAAAUAUGAUUGACCAGAAUAGAUGCAACAGAUCUCAAUAUAUAUAGUUGUACCUUUGAAGGUGGACACAAAUGUUGGACGUAUAGCUGUACGGCUUGGAUGGGUACCCCUUCAGCCACUGCCUGAGUCACUGCAGUUGCAUCUUCUUGAAUUGUGAGUUUUAUGAGCCUCCUCCAUGUUGCUUUUGCAAAGCAUAUCCAAUUGGCACUGGCGCUGAUAUUUCUGUCUUUUAUAGGUACCCAGUGCUGGAGUCCAUACAAAAGUAUUUGUGGCCACGACUGUGCAAGCUUGACCAAAGAACAUUGUAAACACAAAAUCAGAUAAAAUCUUCACAUUAGUACACUAUAUUGUAUUUAUAAGCUUGAUUUUGGAACAGUUGCUUUUCCAUGAAAAUUGGAUACUAACUGGACAAAAACAUUUCAAUAUUUGUGAACAGGUACGAGCUGCAUUACCAAAUGAUAACAUUUGGAAAGGUAUGCCAUCUUAUCAUUUAUGUGAAGUGAUUUGUCUUCACUUUCAGACUAAGAACGAAUAAAAUAUCAUUCUUUGACACAGGUCUUCUGCACUAAAAGCAAGCCGAAUUGUAAUGCAUGCCCUCUGAGAGCAGAAUGUAGGCAUUUUGCGAGUGCAUUUGCGAGGUUUGCAGUUCAAUUGUUCCAUCCCUUGCAUCUAAAAGCCAAUCUCCAUUAUAGUUCCAAUAAAUAACAAAACAAUUUUGUUUGUCCACCACCAAUUAGAUCCCUUUGGGAUGUUAAGCCUGAUAAGUAAAAGAUAUAGGGAAAAAUGGUAAGCAUGCACGUAGUUAGAACAAAAAAUGGAAGGUCUCAUGAAUCAGAUUAUAAUGUAAUAAAAAAGUGUGUACAAGAACAUCAGAUGUCCUAAUGCAAAUCUGCCUUUAACAUUCUCAUAGAACGUACUGUACGGUAAGAUUAUCUGAUUUGUUACUUACAAAGAAUGUUGGAUGCAGUGCGAGGCUUGCCCUGCCGGGACCAGAGGAGCAAAGCAUAGUGAGUGCAACUGAAGACAGAACUACCCAUCCAAACCCUGCUGGGAUCAACAAUAGAAUGCCCUUGCCCUUCCCUCAGGCAACAUACCAGCAAUUGGAAGCAAGUCAGAAAUCAGAAGUAAAAUCUACAGCUGGUCAUUGUGAACCUACAACAUACCAUCAAUUGGAAGUAAGCGAGAUAUCAGAAGUAAAAGCUGCAGUUGGUAACUGUGAACCUAUUGUUGAAGAACCAGCAUCACCAGAGCCAGUGUGUACACAGAUAUCAGAGGACAUUGAGGACUUCUGUGAUGAUCCUGAUGAAAUUCCUACUAUUAAACUUAACAUUGAAGAGUUCACUCAGACUUUGCAAAAUUAUAUGGAAAAAAACAUGGAGCUUCAAGAAGGUGACAUGUCAAAAGCUUUAGUCUCUCUGACACCAGAAGCUGCAUCUUUACCAACUCCCAAGCUUAAGAACGUGAGCCGAUUGCGAACUGAGCACCAAGUGUAAGUAGGAGCUUUCAUCUCUCCAGUAAUUCAAGAAAUAUCUUGCAUGCAGGAUUUUGGUAUUACUAGGAUUAAAUGGAUGUUUUAGUAAUCCAAUAAAAAUCAUACAACAUCACUCUGUCCAAAACUAUAUUGAUUGUGCAUCCAAAAAACAUAACAUCUUCCAAAAUAAAGGCAAACAUUUGGAACAAAAGCCCUACAACUUUCUACACCAUGAUGAUUGUGAUGAAUAUUAUCACAUAAAGCCAAAUAUCUUAUAUGUUACUGAUUCUUGUUCUUCACAAUGCAGCUAUGAACUUCCUGAUACGCACCCUCUUCUAGAAAUGGUUAGUAAUACCUACAUAUCUAUAUAAUAACAUUGUUUAACAACCCCUUCUUUCUAUAAGUCCAAUAAGUAUCUAUCCCCAAUUUAAUAUCUGCCUUUGUUUAAUACAGUUGCAUAUGGAUAAGCGAGAACCUGAUGACCCGUGUAAUUACCUUCUGGCUAUUUGGACUCCAGGUAUGCAGACGACAAUAAAAACCAACCACUAUAAUUCUUAAAUCUGGCUAUCUAAUUUUCCUCUUUCACCCCCAAGUUCUCAACCCUCUUUGAGAGUUUAGCCUAGAACAAUCUUCCAAAGUGGAUGGCAUAGCCUUAUGAAACCUGACUGUCCCCAAUGUCACAGUGACUACUAUUAUCAUUUGAACCACGAAUAAAAACUGGUUUAAGAUCAACACUAGAGACAUGGCAUAGAGCAUCUCUACGUUUCUUGGUGGGAUACUGCCCAUAGUUUAUACCUAUUCUCUUUUUAUAUAUGUUUACUAGGAAAUUCCACUAAAUGCCUUGAUGUUCAUACCAGGUGAAACUCCAAAUUCCAUUCAACCACCAGAGAAAAGGUGUGGUUCUCAAGAACUUGGCAAGUUGUGUGACGAUAAGGAAUGUUUCUCAUGCAACAGUUCACGGGAAGCAAAUUCACAAACAGUCCGAGGGACUCUCUUGGUAAGAAUAAGCUAAACGAAACUAACCAUGUAUAACGUUUACUGCUAUACAAAAGAACUAAACAUUUGUCACACCAAUAGAAGAAAAGACAACAAUGAUCAGUGGUUACUUGUUCUGAUCAUGAACAGAUACCAUGCCGAACAGCAAUGAGAGGGAGCUUUCCACUUAACGGAACCUACUUUCAAGUUAACGAGGUGAGAUACAAUUUCAUUCGGCUCAAGGUGUUUCACAUCCUUAAGGCAUCUGUUUCACGUUCAGGUGAUAUUGAUAACAAAUACUGUCCAAUGUAGGUAUUUGCCGACCAUGAUUCGAGCAUUAACCCAAUUGAUGUUCCAAGAGCUUGGUUGUGGAAGCUAAAUAGGAGAACCGUGUACUUCGGAACCUCGAUACCAACAAUAUUUAAAGGUAUAGAUUCUGAAAUAUUAUGCUUUGAUCUGUUUUUAAAUGUUUCUAACAAAAACACUCAAUAUUCUUCUUCUUCUUCUUGCCAGGGUUAUCGACACCAGAAAUUCAGCAAUGCUUCUGGAGAGGUAUGAGAAAAUGUCACUUACCCAUUCUGUGUGAUCCUAGCAGUCUUCAAAUGGUUAUAUGUAUGCACUGGCCUUAGUCUAUUGUUGAAUUAUACACCCAUUCAAAACCUUACUUGUUAGAAAGGAACAUAAGACCUACUUCCCUUGGAAUGUUGCAAUUUCUAACACCCAUUCAAAACUUACUUGUAAGAAAGGGACAUAAGACCUUCCUUGGAAUGUUGCAAUUUCUAACAUCUUACCCAAAGAGAUAAGGAUAUUGUAAUAUCUUCCUCCUGACAUAACCUAAGACACUACUAAUUUCAUCUUCAGAUAUUAGUAGAUUACACUUUCAUAACUUAAAAUGACAAAUGCUGAACUUGCCCAAGGAAGGGAUCUACGGGUACAAAGACUGUUUUCAACAAACUGGAACCUAAAGCAUCUUAUCGCUAACUCAUAGAAAAAUCUGCUUUAUUUCAUUUUUCUAUUUGACUCGGUCUUGUGGCACAAACUGCCUCUGGGCAAGUCCAUAGCAAUUUCUGUUUGCUCAAAGCAGCUGGUGUUUUUUGCAGGAUUUGUCUGCGUGAGAGGAUUUCACCAAAAGACUCGAGCACCGCGCCCAUUACUGGCCCGACUGCACUUCCCAGCCAGCAAGUUGGCCAGAACAAAAGAUAAGAGAGAGGAGUAGCCACCCAGAAGUCUCAAAGCAAGUCUAUAGAGCUGCAGAUAGCCCACAUUGAGCCAUCCAGAAAUUUCAAAGCAAGUCUAUAGAGCUGCACAUACCCCACAUUGAGUGGCAAAGCAUUCAAAACUUGUAAAUUGGCUCAUGUAGUAAAGAGUCGAGUUCUAGUUUAGUGGUUUGCUCAAUUGACUGAGAGGGAAUUUAGCCCUUCGUGUAAAAACGGCCAGGAUACCAUGCGGCUUUAUACACUAGCUAGUUUCUUGAGCAAAUUUAGUUCAAGGUUGUGAGAUUAGUAUCCAAAGAUCCCUCCCCCCUUUUCCCUAAAAAUCAAAAUAAUUAGCAAAAAAUGGAAAUUCUUUUAACUCUGUAGGGACAGGAGACAUGAAUCUGAUUUUACCUUACAGAACGUCCAACCCCUCCCCCAUAUCCAGCAGAAAUCCUUCUACUUCUUUCUAAUCACACUACCCAAAACACGACCAAUACUACACACCUCAAUAGGACAAUUAAGAAUAAAAGUGAUCUGCAUUUUCAGUUUCACUUCUACAUAUCAUGCAACAAUGGAAAGAAAGACAGACAUUGGGCCCUGUUCUCUCUAGGGAAUCACAAAUAUCAACCCAACCAGAGCAAUACUUCAUGACAGAAAGCGAAACCGAACCGUGGGAGGAGCUUUAGCCUUCCAAACCAAAUAAAAAUGGAUCGAAAAGGAGAUAUAGAUCGGUAGUCAACUGAAAACCCUCCUAAAUAGUUGCUAUUUAUACAAGAAAGAAAAGCCUGAAUGACUAGAGCUUUCAGCACCUUCUAUAGAAACCAGGUGUAAUCAAAAUGACAUUUCCUAAUGAUGAAAGUGAAGGAAGUUGAGGUUCCAAUCAUAAAACCAAUUAACAUCGGGAGAUUGAUCCAACUCCUUAUAAGCCCUUGCACGAUUUCGUAACUUUCCGAUGUAGGACAAUACUUGGCAUCCUCACAUAAAGCUCCGGCACUCACAAAUCAAUUAUAUUCCUACAGAAGCCAAAAGCUAAGCAAUUUGGGGAAGAGUUUACUCACAUUCAUCCCAAAACCUCAUUCUUUAGCCUUUUGUCUCCAAAAGAUUUCCGAAUUUUAAUCCUAAUUUUGUUCUCUCACUACCCCUUCUUCAUUCAAAUAGUUUUCUUCUUCUAUCAAAUUCAUUCCCCAAUUCUCCUCCUACUCCAUUUUUGUGACGUCAAAAAACCUCGUUCAAAUCCCUCCCACCUUGUUCUUCUCUAUCCCUCUGUUAGAAGCGUUCCAGAAAUGUGUGCGAUCGAGUAAUUAGCUCUACGAACAUCAUUUAUAUUUCUACAGAAGCCAAAACCUAAACAAUUUGGGGAAGAGUUUACUAAUGCUCACAUUCCUCCCAAAACCUCGUUCUUUAGCCUUUUGUCUCCAAAUGAUUUCUUCUCUGAACACUACUAGCUCUUCAAAUUUUAAUCCUAAUUUUGUCCUCUCACUCCCCCUUCUUCAUCCAAACAGUUUUCUUCUUCUAUCAAAUUCAUUCCUCAAUUCUCCUUCUACUCCAUUUUUUUACAUCGAAAACCUCAUUCGAAUCCCUCCCAACCUUGUUCUUGUCUAUUUCCCCACCACCCCAUUAAACAAUUGUCUAACUUCCUGAUACUUAAAAUUUCUCCAAGCUUAAAAAAUGCCUCAAAUGUUAAAUUCAAGAAGUUCCAGAUCUAUGAAACAUUUCCCCGAUACUCACUGAACAUUUCCUAAACUUCUGAUGCUUAAAAAUUUCUCCUAAAUUGAAAUUCCUCAUAUUUUAAAAUGGAGAAGUUUCAGAUAUAUGAGUUUUUCUUUUUUUUUUUUUGCCUCGACAUUAUUCAGACAAAAAGGAUAUGUAUUACUACCGGACUCAAGUUCCGAUUCUUCAAUGGAUCGAUUAACGGUGACAUAUUGGAAAUCGAUACAAUCGAACAUGAGCAAGCAAAUUUCAAAUCGCUAAAGAUGAAGAGGCAGAAAAAUGAAACCGACUGCGAUUACAGAGAAAGAAAAUCAACUACAAUAAGUCGAAUCAAAGCGUACCUUCGGAUUUGAAUCUGCUCGCGAGCCGCGAGAGGUAGAUCAUAGAUUCGGAGACUGAACAGCGCUCUCUCUAACGCUGAUUAAGAUGCAGAUGCAGAAAAUAUGAAAUCGAAUGCGAUUGCAGAGAAAGGAAAUCGACCAUGACAGUAUCGAAUCGAAGCGUACCUUCGGAUUUAUAUCUGCUUGCGAGACGCUAAGAGAUGGAUCGUGGAUUCGAAGACUGAAGAGCUCUCUCUCCUCUCUCUCUCUCUCUCUCUCUCUCUCUCUCUCUUCAGUCGCAGAUACAAAGGGGAGUGGAGAAAGAAACGCUCCUUUGCCGCCUAACCACCAUUUUCCUUUUCGGUUUCCCUCCCAAAUUUCCCAUAUCUUUCCUUUUGUGAUUUUAAAGCGAGACGCGUGACGUGGCGAGCUGUAGGCUGUUGUGGAAUUACUCGAUUGAGUUGUGUAACGCGCGCGCACAUGCACAUGUGAGCGGAUUUUUUUUUUUAACAAACAUGAUAAUCUAUAUUAAGAAAAUUAGGUAAGCUAAAUUUCACAAUGAUUAGUAAUAAUGUGAAAAAUUGGAGAGGGUAUUCCUCACAAUAGGCUAGCAAUAAUGUGGUUCAAAUUCGCCUUUGACGAAAAUCAAACAUAAAACCUCUUAUUUACUAAUGAAAGGAAUAUCAUUAAACCGUAGUAAAUAUUCAAAACAUUGUUAUUGUUUUCUAAAAUUCUGAUUGUGCACCUUAAAUUUUUAAUAUUUGGACAAAAGUACAUUUGUGAUAUUAAAUAUUGGGAAUUGUUAUUAGCACUUCAAAAAUCUCAUUCUACACUCCAAACUUUCUAUAUUUGAAAAGAAAAAUACAUUUGUGAGGAAUGUAGAAUGAGAUUUUUGAAGUGUCAAUAACACUUCCCUAAAUAUUUUGAGUGACAAUAAAUGUUCUCAAUAUGUAUUGGGUUUCAUUUUAUGUUAAGCGUUUUGGGUUCAAAUUUUCUAUGUACAUUUGAUUCUAUUUUAGUCUAUCACAUUAUGUUUAUAACUUGAAAGAUAUUUACUUUUGUUAUAGUUGGUAGGGGUGAGCAUGGUUUGAUUUGGUGCGGUUUUGAGUGAAACCGAAACCGAAAUCGAAAUUUUUUGCGGUUCAGUUCGGUGCGGUUUUGAAGCCAAAACCAAAAUGAAACCAAACCAUUUGGUUCAGUUCAGUGCUGUUUCAAACGAUUCGGUUUGGUUUUUAAGAAAAAAAUGUACAAUUUGCAAUUUAACAUAUUAAUAAGCAUUUCCCAGUAGCAAUAGGAAAAAGACAUUUGUUAUAUAAACAAUUAGCAUGUUGCAUGCAGUUGUGAUGUUAAACAUGUUUGUGCAACAUAAGGAUGUCCCGUACAAGGUAUAACAUAAUACAAGUUGAAUAACUUUGAAUUCAUUAAACGUGAGCGAAACUUUCAUACUAGAAUAUGUGCUAUCAUGUUUCAAAUGAGAGGACUUCAUUAGAUCAUUGUUCGACUCUUGAUAACAAGAUUAGUCCACCAUUGUACAUAUAUGUGUGUGUGUGUGUGAUGGUAUAAAAUAACAAAAGUCCUUCAAGUUAAUGAACGAAAGAAAGUGAUGAAUGAUGAUAUUCUAGUGUGGUUGAGUCCAUACUAAGUGCAUGAAUUCUAACAAACAACCAAUUAAAAGAUGAAAUUUAAUAUGGACAUUUAAUUAAAUGUUUAUUAAUAUUUGUGGUGCGAUUCGAUUUCGGUGCGGUUUUCAAAAGCCAAAACCGAAACCAAACCAUUUUCUAAGUUGCGGUUCGGUUUCAAAACCGAAACCGUUUCAAAACCACAAAACCAAUUCGUUCGGUGCGGUUCGAUUUGGUUCGUGUUUCGGUUUCAAUUUUCGGUUCUAAGUGUCCACCCCUAAUACUUGGGAAAGUCAUAUUAUGAAUUUAUCCUAAUUUAAAGUCAAUAUUGCACUAUUGUUCACACUUAUAUAUGUCGAUGCAAAUUUCCGCUGUCUUCAGUCUUGAUGAAAAUGUACCUGCAAAACAAUCAACACAUUUGAUUAAAGACCUAAGCCUCACGCGCCCACAAGGUGUGGGGGGGUUAGGUCAAUAGAUCUCCGAUGCCUAAGUUAGUUUCUCUAAGAGAGUAAAGUGUUUAGGGCUUUUUUAGGUUGCAAAAGCCCUCCAAAAUUUGGUAGAAAAUGGGGUAUUUAUAGGGCUAGGGUCGGCCAUAUAGUGUUUAAUGGAGAUAUAUUCUCUAAAUAUUCCCAGGAUAUUAAAUAGGAAAUAAUAUCUUGAGAUAAUGGUGUAAUUAUCCCAAAUUUAUUUAAAUUGUGAUUACUUACUUGAUUGAAGUCAAUCUUCAAUUAGGAAAGUAUUAAAUAUAAGAUUUUGGUAAUUAAUCCUUAUCUUUAAUUCCUUGCCAAGGGCAAGUGAGCUAUGGGCAGUCGUAUUCAGCUGCUGAGACCUCCAAGGGUGUGAGCUGCACGUAGGAGCAUCUGAGAAGCCUACCAAUUUAUUGAGGGCAAUCUUGUCUUUUUUGAAUAAAAGUCCACGUGUUGCCUCUAGAAUAUUUGGGAUUAUUUUAGGCUCCACAAAUGCCCCCACACAUACUGUGUUGCACGCAGGAAAAAGAUUGUAGGUAUAGGAAUCCCAAGUUGCUUAGGCUUGCAAAAUUGUUUCCCAAUUUGAACUUGAUCUUCUUUCUUGAUUUGGAGAUAGACUUAUUCUAGGAAAAGGAAAAUAAUUGCCCCCAAUACUAUUUAAUUCUGCCUUAAGUAGGGGAUUAAAUAAAUUUAGAGAACAAUCAUUAUUCCAACAAGGAAGAGAAGCUAGAGGAAAUUUUUAUUUCCCCUCCCCUAGCAUUCUUCUUCUCUUACCCUUGCAAAGAGUUGUCUCUCAUUGUAGUUCUUCUUCUCCGUGCCACACCAAGGUAAGAAAAUUUUGAAUUUUCUUCUUCUUGAAUUUUUUUGAGAGUCUUGGGACUUGAAAAAUUGGCUUGGUGGGGGCCGUGGGUGUGGGUAACACACGGCAUGGGAGCCUCGGGGCUACUUGGUGGCGCAACACAAGUCGACUAGCGUGGGCCAGGUGGACGACUCGGCUCGGGCUGAGGGGAUCAACGCGUUGAGGUGCGAGGAGACCGGCUUGAGCCGGGUCUUCAAGGCUGCUGGGCACGGGCCCAUGCAGGAGAGAAGAGAGGGAGAAAGACCGGCGUGGGCUGACUUUCUUACGUGCGAGACCUGGGCCGAGAGGCUUGGGCCUACCUUGGGGCGCAAAAGAAAGAGAAGAAUGAGGCACGGGCCUCUCCCCAUAUGGCGUCUUUUCCAAGAGGUGAUCUGCUCCAUGAAAUACGCGUCUGCUUAGUGUUCCUCAAAUGCAGUUUGUGUGAUAAUGGGGUUCUCGAACUUGAGCAGGUUCUUUGAUCUUGGCUUGACCAUAAAUGAGUUUUGGUACUUUUUUAAGAUUGGCCAUAAGGAAAGUGUGAGGCAGCUGAGGUCUUGCCAUAAGUUGUUCGAUACUUCUAGCAAAGGGGAUCAUAAGUGGGCGAGAGAUACCUUAGAGGUAAGCAAAGAAUGAGACUAUGACUAUUCUCCUAAGCUGUGUGUUCCAACUACCUUUAUCAGUGGUAAGUGAACUCUUUAAUUCUUGUCUUAUUGAAUUUUUUGUUGAGCUGUUCCAUGACUUCAAUUUAUUGAUUGUCUUUCUUGCUUUGCAUAGAUUCGGAGGUUGGCUCAACUCCCAGGAUCUCGGAAAAUAUGAAGAAAGUGCACGUCGUCUUGGGCAUUCCUGCUGAGUACCGUGAGUGGCGCUGGCUGCUCAGCCCUCUUCGUCUGGAAGAAUGAUGGCAUGCCUCCGAUGGGAAAAGAUAAAGUGGAUAAAAGAUGAGGUGUUAGCUCGCCCGAUCGUUGCUGUAAAACAUGCUGCCAAUGAGGGUGGAAAGAAGAGAUAUUCCUCACCUGCUUAUGAGCCUUUGGUCGAGAAGAAGCCAAUAACUUCCUCCGCUGCUCGUAGGAACUCGUCUGCUGCCGAGAAGCUUAUUAUUGAUCUAACUUCCCCCAAUGAGGUGAAGAAGACCGUUGAAACUGAGCCUAUGAAACCUGCUGCUCCAAAGGUGACCGCAUCCAUCGCUGAGAGACUUGCCCAGCAGAAGGGUUCGGUAGGGUAUUCGGUGUCCAAGUUUAUAUCGAAUCGUCUGUCGGGAGUUAAGUCUAGAUCGGCUUUUGAGAGGUUCGUCGUUAUAAAGAGCGGGAAUGUGGAUUUUUUGUUUGUUAAUGUAGCGUCUGGGCAUGUUCAUCCUUUUACCGUGAUUGACUCGUCUGCUAAGAAAUGGAAAUCUGCUCGUACGGGCAGUUAUGAGAGCUCCACCGAGUUUGAGGUUGGAGAAUUUCUCAAGGUUUGUGCGCUGAUGAAGGCUGACCUGCUUGAGGACGUCGAUGUAUGCGCCAAGUUUGUUGAUAGUGUUAGGAAAGUUGUUGUCCACUCAUACUCUUUUGCGAAGCGUCCUACCUAUUCGAGGAAGUCUUCCCUGAUUGUUACAAUGCAUAAGACUUUGAUCCUGGCAACUGAGUCUAUGCGCGUUGAUUAGGAUGCUGUCAAGUAUGCUAAGGGGGCCGAAGUGGCGUUGGUGGCUCAGCUUCGCUCGACUGCUGAAAAUAUCGAGAAGCUCGAAUAUGAACUCGCCGUUUUGAAAGGGUAUGAUGUCUCUGCCCUUACUUCUUUGCAGUUGGAGAUCGCUCAUCAAAAGGUCGCCUAUUUGAAUGUUAGGCUUAGUGCGACUCAAGCGAUGUUAGAAGCUGCAGAGAAGGAAAUCAGUCGUGUUUUUCUGGUGGUCGAUGACCUUGAACGUGUCAAUUCGGAGCUACGAUCUGCUUGCUUUACAAAGGAAGAUAAGCUUAUCUUAAUGCAUGCUGAAAUGUCUCGUCUCAAGGAGGUUACCAGUAAGCUUGAGUGAGUCCAAGGAGAUGGAUCUGCAAGGUGCUAGCGAUAACCUGAAAAAGGAACUGGACAAGCUGCAAGGUGCUCACAUUGGGCUUAUUGAUAAGAAUACGCAGCUGAAGAAUGAGAAAGCUAAUCACAAAGUGGCGCUUGCUUUUUGUUAGGUUGAUUUCUACAAGCUUGGCUAUGUAGACCAUCUUCAGGGUAUGCCGUCAAAUUAUAAGUUUUCCCAAAAGGACUUUGAGACUUUUUCCAUUUCUCCAGUUGAUUUGCUAGAUUUCUCGUUUGAGGCUGUCUUUGGUGGAGCAGUUGAGGGUCAGGCAGUCCAGGCAGGGGCAGCUAAGGAUUUAGCUGAUGGAAGCUUUAGCUGCUAGGAAUGACAUGGAUAUUGAAGGCAUGGCAAUCGAGGAACCAGUGGUUGUGCAAGCUGCUAAGAAGUAGUUUUUUUUCUUAGACUUAGGAGUUUUCUUCUUUUCCUUUUUGUUUUGCUUUAUUUGAACUUUGCUGGCCUUCGAGCCAGUUUAUCAAUUUGCUAGAAAUUUAAUAAACAAUUUUCCUUGUUUUUGCUUCAUCCUUCUAUUUCGCCAUGUCUUUUGCAAAACUUUACCGUAUGACGGGUGGCUCACGCGGUCACUUUAGGCUUCAGUUUUGGCUUUGGGGCUUCUAAAGCUUUACCUGCGAAAGGAAGAAAUGCAAGAUUUCCAACUUAUAUAGCCGAAGGCCGAACUAGUUAUCUCUAUAGAAGGCAUACGAGUUCGCGUAGCUACUAUAGUUGUGAAUCUCGACUUUGGGUAAAUCCAUGAGCUUUAGCCUUCCCGGGGCGUAUUGCAAAAAUUUUUAACCUACAGAGCCAGCAGUCAAACACGUGUUUCGCGUAGAAAGCAAAGGAGUUCUUGUGGCCACUAUGGUUGUAUUCCGACUUUCGAGUGGCUUCUUAAGCUUUGGCCUUCCCAGGGCAUGUUCCGAGAUUUUUAACUUAUAAAUCAGUCGACCAGACUCAUGUUUCUCGUAGGAAGCAGAAGAGGUCCGUGUAGCUGCUAUAGUCGUGACACUCGACUUUAGUGGCUUCUUGAGCUUGGACCCUCCCAAGGCAUGUUGCGAGAUUUUUAACUUAUAGAGUCGUCCAUCGGACUCAUGUUUCUCGUAGGAAAUAGAGUAGGUCCGCGUAGUUGCUAUAGUCGUGACACUCGACUUUGUCCCAGCAAAACUUAAACCAUAGACCAUCGAUUGGAAUUGCUGCUUGUAAAUAAGCAGGUGUAAGUUUCAGCUUACGAGCUGCCUUGGACUUUUAACCGUCGGGUUAUCGGCCAGGUGUCUUACUUACAAAAACAGACGACUAGUGUAAACAUUUCAGGCUUUAUUCCUGGCUCUCAGAGGCAUUUUUUGGCAUUAAGUAUAGGUGAAGUCGCUCUUCAAAAGCCAUAUCCUUCCGAGUUGCAGCUUUGAUCCCGUAGGUCGCUUAACUAGUAUUGCAACACUUUAAAACCAAGCCGCUUCAUGAAGAUUUGCAUGUCGAGGACGGACCAUCUUGUCACAUGAAUUCUUUCAUGGGCAAGGGUCCUGCACUUAUCGUCUCUUCCGGUUAGAGACCCAGGAUCCCACGGAAUUAAAUCCUUAUGUUGGCUAAGUCUAUUCCAAGGGAAUGACUAUCAUGGAAAAUUCUAGGAGUCGUCCAGCGUAAGUAGUCGUUGCAUUCAGGGGAAACUAAGCAGUCAUACCACCCAUCCACAUCUGGAUGUUCCAGAUUAGUUUACCUUCUCAUGCUGGAGAGCUUACCCAGUUGGGUGUCAAUGAAUUAGUUUACGCUCUCACACUAGAGAGCUUACCUAGAUGGAUGUCGGGGAAUUAGUUUAUCCUCUUACGCUAGAGAACUUACGCCAUAUCUACGGGUAAUGGGUGUUUUCUGCUUGUCACAAGGUUGGUCAGUCUAUUUAUGCAUUUGGCCCAAGCUUGUCAACAAAUCCUUUAAUCUUCGUUAAAGAUAGAGGCUUUUAUUAACUUUGCUCGCAUGCAGUAAUGGCAUAACAACUGAUAAUCAUCAGCAUGCGAGGUCUUGUUCGUCGAGCUGCUUGAGUCUUCAAACUCUUUCGUCUUAAACGGGGUCUAAGAAAUGGUGGAAGGUCACACGUAGUACUUCCUUAGGUUGUAGGCAUUCCACUGUUUGUUGAUUUUUUUUUUGUCGUUCAUAGUGGUGAGGGUGUAAAUGCCUCUUCCGCCUGCUCGGCUGAUUUUGUACGGACCUUCCCAUAUGGAAGCCAUCUUUUUAGAACCUUCUCGUCGGGCAGUGAUGAAGGCUUUUCUGAUAACUAGGUCUAUUGAUUGGAACUACCGGAUGUUUGUCGUCUUGUUGUAGUUGGAUAUGAGCUGCUGCUGAUAGGCCACAAUGCGAGUGAUAACAUUUUCGCGUUCUUCCUCUGCCAUGUCUAAUUUGGUAGCCAUCUCAUUUUCGUUUUGCUCAAGAUUCGGCAGUACAGUGUUGAUACUUGGCACCACGAUGUUGGGAUGAAUGAUCGCCUUAGAACUAUACAUCAAAGAGCUUGUCUUUUGGUGGUGCGAUAUGCCUAUAGAACACCGGGGAACUCGUUUGGCCACUUACCCUUCUUGUCCAAUGGUAGAGCUCAUUGCUGCUCAGAUACCACCAUAUAGAUGCAUAGGUCAUCCGCUGCUUCUGGUUUAGAUUGCAUUCGUCGGUAGGUCGUGAGAGGAAUCAGUUGAGUGCAGCUGCUUGUCAGGUCAGACCUUGGAUCUCCUUCAGAGUGGUGGGGGACUUCAUAUCCAAGUGUCUAUCUGAAUCUUCAUCUUCUUUAAACAAGGUAAAAUGUGGGGGGCUGAACUUCCGCGAUGGCUCCGUCUACUCGAUCUCGUCUACAAAGGGUGACCUAUUUAGGUUGGCCACGUCUCUUCGAAGAGCAUCGUCGGUAGUGUCAAUGCGCUAGAAGCCACACAGCUGCUCUGCUACAAGCCUUUGUACUUCCUCCUGGAUUCGUGCCUGGUAAGGCAGUGGAGUCUCUAGCUGCCCCCGAUGUUGACCUGUUGGUCUAUGUUGCUAUUCGACAUAUCCUGCUCGUCCAUGUUGUGGUUGCGGUGCGCAUGGUUUGCCCUGCGCUGCUCGCCGUCGCUCUAGGCAAGGGUUGCCAGUAGAACUUGAGUUGGACUACUCUCGUGCUCUUCUCUAUACGUUAUGCGGUUGCCUACUCCGUUGCCUCUUUAGAGGAUCUUCUUGUGGGCCUAACCUCUUGUGGAAGCUUUGCCUAGAAUGUCCUGAGUGCUCGUCGGAGUGCAUACCCAACCUCGAAUGCACACUAACUCGUGAGCCGAGUCGGGAAUGAACGCUUUUAUGUGCAUUUAGGUAAGAGAUGACGUUUCCUCGAGGACCCAAAUAAAAAUGCACACUACUUGAAAGCACGGUUCGUGGUAGGCUGAGCAGCUCUUUAUCGGGAUGUUGCUGGAAUGAGUUAAGUUCUUCUGCCCUUAUCCUACUUCGGGACACCUCGUUUGGGGUGCGCUGCAUCUCGAUACGGUCAAGGAGUUGGUUCACCAAGGUGGUCUGUUGCGCGAGGGCGUUCGUCAAAUUAGUGACCUGCUAGGGCAGGUGGUGCUUGCCAUUUGGAUUGGAAGAGUGUGGAUGAUGGGCGUCUCUAUGUGUGGUGGAAGUAUAAUGGACUGCAGGUACAAAGUUUGAGCCCAAAAUGGGCAUUCAUGUAGAAAAGUGGGGUAUAGGUAACCUUGAAUCGAUCGCAAGACCUAUGGUCAGAAUCUGGAUUGCUAGAGCUGGCCUUGGAAUGGAUUGGGUCGCGGACCAGGUCAUUGGAACGAGUCACGGGGUGCGUUGGACCAGCGCUUGCUCGCCUUGGGCUUGCAUGGCCGUAGACCCUCCUGGUCGUUGGGCUGCCACAUCAUGUCCUGCUGGCUGAAUGGCUUGGCUUGGGCACGUUGAGUUGCCUGGUUGGCAACAGCUGCCGCAUUUUGGGCUCGAGUCUGGGCCUGCUGCUGCAUUAGGUUGGGCCUCCUGCCUAGGGUUUGGUAGGGUGCAGAGUUGUAAGGGCAUCGGUGGUGGGAGUGGCGUCGUGGCUGCUAAAUCACAGUGGUGAUGGUGGUGGCACGUCUCCACUGUGGUUGGGCUCCUCCUACCGCCGUGUUCAGCCUUGAGGACCUCCGUCGUAGGGCUAUGUCCUUGUCUUCACUCUCCGGUCCAAGUCCUUACACGUAUAAGGUUUCAUUCGUCGUAAUUUCUGAAUUUCUUACAAUUGUAUCCUUUUUCCAGGGAUUGAUCAAGAAACUUUUCUAGGAAAAAUUAAUUGAUACGAUGUGUGAGAAAUUCAACGUAACAAAAAAUUCAAGAAACUAAUGCAAGAGGUUUCUUCGAGUAUUUUGAAUCAGUUCUCAAUGAAAGCACCAAUUUGUCGAUACAAAUUUCCGUCGUCUUCAGUCUUGAUGAAAAUGCACCUGCAAAACAAUCAACAUCUUUAAUCAAAGACCUAAGCCUCACGUGCCCACGAGGUAAGGGGUUAGGUCAACGGAUCUCCGAUGCCUAAGUUAGUUUUUCUGAGAGAGUAAAGUGUUUAGGGCUUUUUUAGGGUUGCAAAAGCCCUCCAAAAUUUGGUAGAAUAUGGGAUAUUUAUAGGGCUAGGGCCGGCCAUAUAGUGUUUAAUGGAGAGAUAUUCUUUAAAUAUUCCCAAGAUAUCAAAUAGGAAAUAAUAUCUUGAGAUAAUGGUGUAAUUAUCCCUAAUUGAUUUAAAUUAGGAUUACUUACUUGUUGGAGUCAAUCUUCAAUUAGGAAUGUAUUAAAUAUAGGAUUUGAGUAAUUGAUCAUUAUCUUUAAUUCAUUGCCAAGGACAGGUGAGUUGUGAGCAGUCGUAUCCAGCUGCUGAGACCUCCAGGGGUGUGAGCUGCGCGUGGGAGCAUCUGAGAAGCCUACUCAUUUAUUGAGAACAAUCUUGUCUUUCUUGAAUAAAAGUCCACGACCUCAAGAAUAUUUGGGAUUAUUUUAGGCUCCACAAUAUAAUAGGAGUGAAUUUGUAAUAUGACAUGCGUCAGUUCACUAAAUUAAAAUUAUUUUUCCAAUGUAUUUGAAUUAUAUUAAAAUAGGGUAAAUUACAUUUUACCCCCUCAGGUUUGGAGUCGAUUUCAAUUCCUUACAACAUCUUUAAAACAUUUCACUUUCAUACCUCAAGUACUAUUUUAUUUCAAUUUCAUACAACUGUUAAAAAUUCUGUUAAGUUAACCGUUAAGUGAUGACGUGGCAAAUAUGAGGUCCUCAUUCGUGCUGAUGUGGCUGAUACAUUUAUGCCACGUGGAUAAACACUUAAUAAAAAUGUUAAAAUAUUAGAAUAAUUAAUUAAAGAAAAUUAUAAAAUUUAUAAAUAAAGGGAACUUUAACGAAAAGCACCUGGUACUGUUCACUUUAACGAAAAACCACAUUUUUACACUAAAAAGUCAAUCCUGGUACUAUUCACUUUACCCUUUAUUUUGUCCUUAUCAUUAAAACUCAAAGUUUUCAAGCCCUUUUCAUUAAUUUUCCUAUAAAUAAAACCCAAAAGUCCCUUCGUCUUCCCCACCCCUUCCUCCCACCAGAGCCCAUCCCCCUAACACCCACGCCUUUCUCCCAUCUCGCAUCACCCGAGCCUCCCCCGCAACCUUCAAUCUCCAUCUUGCUUCAGAUCCAUCAAUCUCCAUCCCAGAAGCCAAAAACUGGAAAAGUUCCAAAUUUUCCCACACUCAACAGAACACAAAGAAAUCCAAACAUUUCCUACCCAUUUUCUCUCAAUUUCCCUCUAACCAAACACACCCUGUUGUCUUUCGAAAGAAUAUGCAAAGCCUACCCAUUCAAUUUCAAAUCCUCAAAAACCCAGCAAAACUAAAAAACCAAAAAACUAAAAUAUCCAAAAUUUUCCCCUCACCCUAUAUCAUUUUCUCAGCAACCAAACACAACCCAGAAUCCCAAUUAAAAAAAAAGUCUUUCAAAUCAAAAUUCACUAGCAGCAACCCUCAAAAGUGCUCUCCAGACCCUCAUAUUAGUCUGCUCCGAAACCUUCAUCUGAACUCUCACGACCUCCUAAAUCGUCCUGGUCCACUAACUCUUCCCCUGGCUCACUGAGUCACCGCCACCGAGUCUCCUGCCAAACGACGACUUCAAACCCAGUGCCUUUUUGACCCUGCUCGCCAUUGACGACAUGAGUGAAGUCAAAACACUCCAGUCGAUCUUCUCGGACUUUGGGAUGUAGGUGAGAGGUUUGGGCUCGAAGAUCCGGCAGGCUUUGACUAAGAUCUCAUAUACAGUUUCCCGGAGCUUCGAGUCCGAGAGAGAAAGGGGCUCGAAAUUAGGGAUUUGAAGAGAGCAAUUUACAUUUAGUUGGGUGAGCUUAGGGUUUUUGUACAGAAGCACCGCAGCUUCAAUCGAAGUCCUAAGACGGUUUGGAUUCCGGGUGUGAGAUGUGAAGAGGGAGGAUUGGGUUUCCAAGGAGAGAUAAGGAAAGGGAGGUGAAGAGAAUGUGGGAGAUGGAGGUGGAUCGGGGGAAUAGGUUUUUAGGUUUCAGGGUUUUUUUUUUUUUAAUAGGAUAAAUUAUUAUAAUAAUUUAAAUGCAUAAAACAUUAUUAUUUUUGCCACGUGGCACACAUUUGGCAGCCACGUGGCACAAAUAUGGCAGUCACGUCAGCUCUUAACGGAUCAAUGGAUGGAAAAUGUAACGGAUGUAUGAAAUUGAAAUAAAAUAGUACUUGAGGUAUGAAAGUGAAAUGUUUUAAAGAUAUUGUAAGGAAUUGAAAUCUACCCCAAACUGAGGGGGUAAAAUGUAAUUUACCCAUUAAAAUAUUCAUGUUGUUUUGUUAGUUAUUAUCUAAUAAUUAUAGGAUGUCAAGAUAUCAAGUUUAGUGGUAUCUCACCAUAAUUUUCUAGUAAGAAACAAAACUCUUACAUGUUCAAGCAAACGUAAGUGUAGUCACGCUGUUUAAAAUAUGUGUUCCUUGUGCAUUCGAGUUAGCCAAUCCCAAAACACUUGUAGAGAGACCGAAGGCUGAAAGCCAAAGAACAAAAAUCAGCAACUUGCCACUUAGUGGAAACAUAAACCUGAAAAUAGGUAAACAGCAAUGGUGCCACUGACUAAGUGGAGACAGCAAUCAUGCCACUGUGAGUGGACAUAUGAGCGGAGACAGCAAUAAUUUAUUCAUUCAGUCAUCAGCGCAGGAACUUCUCUGUAAACUUCACACACUCCAGCUUUCUCUCUCAAUAAUUUACACACACUCCAGCUCUCUCUCUCUCACUAAUUUAUUCAUUCACUCAUCAGCUCAGGAACCUCUCUGUAAACUUCUCCUCCACACACUCCAGCUCUCUCUCUCUCCAGUUCUCUCUCUCUCUAUCAUCUUCUCCACUCCUCACUCUGUUAGUUCUAUACAACUCAUCCAUCGCCUGGGGACUGACCUUGGGCUUUUCAGCUGCCAAGCAACUCCAGAAUCUGUUCUGAUCAAACUCAAAGUUGUAACUAAGGAGUUUGGAGAAAAUAAAAAGAUGAUCAAGGUUGAAGUAAUUCACAAAGAAAUUAUUAAACCAUCCGCUCCAACUCCUCACCACCUUAGACAUUUGUGCCUCUCCCUUUUUGACCAGAUUAUGCUUGAACUGCAUGUGCCACAAGUUCUCUUCUAUCCUAGCAGCAGUGAUGAACAUUCUUUGGUCGCUGAAAAGUCCGAGCUUCUAAAGAAAUCAUUAUCUGAGGCCCUCACUAUCUUCUACCCUUUUGCAGGGGAAUUCAAAAAUAACGUUUCCAUCAACUGCGAUGACCGCGAAGCUCUAUUUCUUGAAGCCCAAGUCAACUGUCCCAUGUCCAAGAUCCUGGACAAACCCGAUUCUGAGAUCCUAACACAACUGAUUCCAACUCCUAUGCGUUCCAAACAAGCACAAGUAGGGCAUCUUGUACUAGUCCAGGCCAACGUAUUUGAAUGUGGUGGAUUGGCAAUUGGCGUCAGCAUUUCGCAUAAGGUCGCAGAUGCCUUAGCGAACAGCAAUUUCAUCGAAAGCUGGGCUGAAAUUGCCCGCUGCACUGCCAGCAGUACUGACCAUCACGUAGUACUUCCUACAGAAUUUGGUGUUGCAGCUACUUUGUUCCCACCACAAGAAUUUUUUAAGAAAAACCCCAUCACGCUACCUAUUAUUGACAAUGUUGUCAGAAAGAGGCUUGUGUUUGAUGCCUCAAAGAUUGCUGCUCUCAAGGCCAAAGCUGCCAGUGCCACAGUGCCAAAUCCGACGCGAGUUAAAGCAGUUUCCGCGCUCAUUUGGAAAUCCGCAUUGGAAGCAUCAAGAUCGAACUUGCGUUUUGCAAGGCCAUCCACAUGGCGGUCCUCUGUGAACCUGAGGCUCAGCCCUUCGCAGAAAACUUACAAGGAAAUUUUGUGUUUUUUACCAUGACGAAGAUUGAAGAAAAUGAAGUAUAUGAUCUUCAAACCUUGGUUGCAAAAAUGAGGAAAAGCGUCGAGGAAUUUAAGGUAAAAUAUGCCAAUGAAAUUAGAGGGGAGGAAGUAGUUCAAUUCCUGAAGGAGUAUAGUGAGCUCCUUCAAAAGGAUGAUAUGGACAACUAUAUUUGCACCAGUUUGUGCAGGUUUCCCUUCGGCUCGGCCAAUUUUGGAUGGGGAAAGGCAUCAUGCAUACGCAUCCCUUGGAAUGAAGAUUUCAAAAACAAAAUGUUAUUGUUGGAUGCAAGUGAUGGUAUUGGCAUCGAUGCAUGCAUAACACUGAAAAAAGAAGAUAUGGUCAUGAUUGAAACCAACCAGGACCUGCUUGCAUAUGCUUCUCUGCAAUAGACCAUUUCUGAGAGGUAAACCUCGUCUUAUCUUUCUCUAUAAUUACUUAAAAAAUAAAAAGUGUGCUUCCCGAAGUCAUUGGAGAUUCAAACUAUAAAUAUCUUUCAAAUGACGGGAAAUAAAAUGCAACUAAAUUAAGAGCUAGUUGCGAGUGUUCUUGAGCAUUUAGAAUUUGUUUGGAUGCUAUGUUGUAACCUUUGGUGAUUUCUUUUGUUGCUUUUGAUUCCACAAUUUCCUUGUUUUGUGUGAACAGUGAGUAAUGUAUUGCUUUUACUAUCGACUUUAUUUUUCUUUCAAUAAAAUGGAUUUGUUUUGUU